RNAcentral lists this long non-coding RNA (254092 nucleotides) under Fragaria vesca (wild strawberry). Its description in RNAcentral is "long non-coding RNA (FVES_LNC001606)". The record is from RNAcentral. Lineage: Eukaryota; Viridiplantae; Streptophyta; Magnoliopsida; Rosales; Rosaceae.
GAGAGAAGAAAAUCGGGUGGGAGGAGAAGAAAAAUCGGGAGGGAGGGAGAGAGAAAAGAAAAAGGGUUUGGGCCUCACACCCCAAACCGGUCCACACCAUUUAUAACCCAAACUUCCAAAAUAAAAACACCCCGAAAAAUAAUACCCGAAUAAAAAUUACCUUUUUCUAGCUAAAAUUUACUAUUUUUACCGUCGUCGUAUUUUCUUCAUACUAAUAAUCCUCCGCACAUAAUCGUCCCCGAAACCCCUCUAGGGACCAAUUAAACUAUUUACUCAAUGAUCGAGACGGUAAAAUUCUUAUUAUAAUCACGCUAGUAAAUAAGGUAAAAAUAUAAGGGUCGGGAUGUGACAGAUUAGAUACUUCUGCAUAUACACUUUCAGUUUGGUUCUGUUUUUUUUAUAGUGUUUUUUUUUUGGUAGGAUACAGGUGCUAUCAAAUGUAGGGACCUGAAGAUGAGGCUUUUGUUAAGGGUAGCAGGGUUUCAUCAAACUACCUAUUAGACUCUACAAGCAUAUUCACAACUAAUGAGGUCAUCUAAAUUUGUAAUGUUGUACGUUAUAUUGUCGUAAUCAUAAUAAUAAUGGUAUCAUAUACAUAGGUAUUUGAGAGCAAAUACGCAUUGAUUGAAUGGAUUCACGCACAAGCAAUGCAAAAUAAUCUGGUGGUGGUUACUAUGAGGUCUGAUUCUGGGGGUGUUGGAAAAAGACGGAAGAGACCUAGGAUAACAUUUUGGUGAGUAUAGGCCAAGGAAAUCUAAUCAUUCUGAUGAUUUAAAUUUUGGUUCUCAAAGUAAAACAGGGAAGCGUCCACGCCCGAGGAACACUGGUACCAAAAAGUAUGGAUGCCCAUUCUUAUUGAGGGGAUUGAAUGUUGGAGAUGGAAAUGAAUGGAAAUUGGAAGUUGUACGUGGGGUGCAUAAUCAUGACGCUUCAAACUAUCUCCAGGGACAUAGUUAUGCAGGAAGGUUGACUGAAGAAGAAAAUCAGCUCUUGGUGGAAAUGUCUAAGAAUUUUGUGCGACCUAAGCAAAUUUUGACUACCAUAAAGAAAAGAGAUGGGCUAAACGUGUCAACGUUGAAGAUGCUAGACAAAGGUACAGGACGAAAGAUUUGGCCAGAAGAACACAAAUGCAGCAAUUGUUAAGUAAAUUAUCUCUUCAUGACUAUAUUGAGCAUCACAGAAGUAUUGAACAAGAUGAGGUUUUGUCAGACUUGUUUUGGACUCAUCCCACGAAUGUUGAUAUUCUACGUUCAUUCCCACAUGUAAUUAUAAUGGACUGCACCUACAAGACUAAUAGCUAGGUAUCGUUUUCCACUUUUGGAGUUUGUUGGGGUGACAUCAACUAACAUCACAUUCACUGUUGCAUUUGCAUACCUUAAUUCGAUUCAGAGAAGGAAGAUAAUUACUCAUGAGCUUUGUCUCGGUUGAAGGAGCUAUUUAUUGAUGAUCUUCCUCAUGUUUUAGUUACAGAUAGAGACUUGACGCUUAUGAAUGUCAUACAUAAAAUAUUUCCUUCUAGCCACCAUAUGUUGUGUACAUGGCAUAUUAGUAAUGGGGUGUUUGCAAAAUGCAGUAGCAUGUUUGAAACCAUAAAAAUGUUUGAGAUGUUUAAUGAUACUUGGCAAUUUGUGAUUACUUCCAAAACUAAGGAGGAGUAUCUGGAGAGGCUGAAGUCAUUUGAAGUUAGGUACAAAUCAUAUCCAAAUGCUAUUUCCUAUUUGAAGGACACUUGGUUAGUGCACAAGGAAAAGUUUGUAUGAGCAUGAACAAACAAGUUUAUUCAUUUUGGUACUACUACUUCCAAUAGGGAAUUUGAAUGUGUUUUAGUAUGUUUAUAUUUCUUACAUGCUUUAUAGACUAAUUAACUUCUUUUUUUUCCCCCUUUCUUUACAGAGCUGAAAGUGCAUAUGCAAAGCUAAAACGACAACUUAGGUUUAGCCAACUUAACUUUAAUAGAGUUGCAACAUACUGAUAUUAAAGCAUCAUUUGAAAAGAGUUGUUGCACUAUUUAGCAUUCUGCUAAGCAUGAGGAGUCGAGAGAGUUAACAGGCUUUGUAUCUAUCACAGCAUUAAAUAACAUAACCUGCGAGUUGAAAAUGUAAUGUUUUGUUCUUAUUAGUUGAUCAUUAGUCCUCAUUUAUUUAUUGUUAUGCUAAUGUGAUUUAAUAUAUAGGAUUGACAAGUGUGAAGAAAAUGUCGAUUCAUGUCAAUGUACUCUUCGUUAUACACAUCAGCUGCCAUGUGUUCACAAGAUUGUCUCAUACAAAAGUAGUAACAAUCCCAUUCCACUUGAGUGUAUUCAUCCUCGCUCAUUGGAAGAAGUUAGAUUUCAGUAUUCUCUUUCCAAAGAGCAGCAGCAGGAGAUCAAAUGUUAUUCAUCUUAAACCAUAUAUGAUAAGAUUAGAGGAGUGGUUUGAGGAACAAAAUGAGGAGAGGAAGAAACAAUUUUUAUUGAAGUUAGAGGAGUACAUGAAUCCGAGUUCUACAUCUCUUAAAAAGCCACAAGUGAAGACCAAUAAUCGAGGCCGUCCACAUAAAGAAGAUAUCUCCACUCGUCGUUUGCCUUCUGCCUUUGAGUAUGUGAGUGCAUUAUCAGGCCAUGAUAGUCAGUCAUCCAAUCCCACCAUGGGUCUCAAAGAAAAAAAUCGAAGAAGGUUUCAAAGAAUAAACAACAAUCAGAGCCCAAAGAGUCGCAAGUAUCCAUAAAAAGGAAAAAUAAGGUGCUCAAUAAUUCAAACCAGAAGGUAAGCACUUACUAAUAUAAUAUAUAAAAAAAUGUAGGGUGAACAAAGCAAAUUUGAAAUUACAAAAAUAUAUGUGAGGUGAUGUAACACCCUGACCCAGGUGUUAAAAAAAAAACGAAUAAAAUAAAUAAGAAAAUCCUAAAAUCAAAAAUGAGAUAGGAUCUCAUUCUCAAACAAAACAACAACGCAGUUUUACUGCGUUUGGAACCUAAAUUUAUUUUGUUAAUUUGCGGCUACACCCAAAACUUGAUCGGGCUGCCUACGUACCCUUUUAAAGGGAUCAAGCCACUCGUAGUUCAUCAUUUUAUACUAAUUCUUCACCUUCAAUAACAACUGUAUCGAAUCUGGAAUUUGUGUGGGUGUAAGUCCUCAAAUUGAUAAGGACACCCAAGUUCUCAAUCCCACACUUCCUCUCAUUUUCUCCGAAAGUUUUCUAAUUACACACCAUGCUCGCUCAUAUUAAAUUCAUUGUCACUCUUCUUGUCUCCCUUACACCAUCCCAUCGUUGUUGGCACCGUUCAGUCCUAAUCUGCCAUCUCAACUUAAAUUGCAAAGCACAUAGCCAAUACAUCAUUUCCAACUCAAAAUCAUGCUCUGCAGUUCUAAUAUGAUCAUAAAUUAACCAAACAUUGUCCAACAACCAACACCAUCGUCAUGCACAGUAGAGCAGUAGAACCUCAAGUACCAAAUCCUGCAACUCUCAACCAAUUUNNNNNNNNNNNNNNNNNNNNNNNNNNNNNNNNNNNNNNNNNNNNNNNNNNNNNNNNNNNNNNNNNNNNNNNNNNNNNNNNNNNNNNNNNNNNNNNNNNNNNNNNNNNNNNNNNNNNNNNNNNNNNNNNNNNNNNNNNNNNNNNNNNNNNNNNNNNNNNNNNNNNNNNNNNNNNNNNNNNNNNNNNNNNNNNNNNNNNNNNNNNNNNNNNNNNNNNNNNNNNNNNNNNNNNNNNNNNNNNNNNNNNNNNNNNNNNNNNNNNNNNNNNNNNNNNNNNNNNNNNNNNNNNNNNNNNNNNNNNNNNNNNNNNNNNNNNNNNNNNNNNNNNNNNNNNNNNNNNNNNNNNNNNNNNNNNNNNNNNNNNNNNNNNNNNNNNNNNNNNNNNNNNNNNNNNNNNNNNNNNNNNNNNNNNNNNNNNNNNNNNNNNNNNNNNNNNNNNNNNNNNNNNNNNNNNNNNNNNNNNNNNNNNNNNNNNNNNNNNNNNNNNNNNNNNNNNNNNNNNNNNNNNNNNNNNNNNNNNNNNNNNNNNNNNNNNNNNNNNNNNNNNNNNNNNNNNNNNNNNNNNNNNNNNNNNNNNNNNNNNNNNNNNNNUUAUUAUAUAUAUAUAUAUAUAUAUAUAUAUAUAUCAUUUACCGAGAUAGUAACUUCCCGUUUAUAGACCAUAACUUUCUCAUACAAACUCCGAUUUAAGCGUGCCACGUGUCCACGAUCUCGUAUUAACGUCCUCUACGACUUCCAUGCAGGAAGUUUUCCCAAAUUAUCGACUUAACGAAAAGUCAACUUUUUGGGUCUUUUACGGUAAAACGGUUACAAGAAACAAUAAUUGAAAAUUUCCUGGAAACUUUAUAAUUCAAAGAACCUAGCUCGUCGCUCCGGAAAAUAAUCCGGGCAUACCGGUGAGCUCGUAUAAACAUGUACCACGACUUCGGAGUUUUAAAUCUACUAUUUACCGUUUUCAGAAAAACUCAAAAACAAACUCAAGUAAUCGUUAUUUAAAUCUCUGAACGCGAAUAAAGAAAAGUCUGCGGUAACUCAUAACCUCGAAUAGUAACCUUUUAGGUACGGGUUAUUACAGGUGAGAAUAUGUGAGGUGAGAAGAGAACGUUGAGUGAACAAAGUAGAAUUGAGAAAAAAAGUAUUUUAGGUAUUGAAAGUGGGUGAACAAAGUAGACUUACAAUAAAAAGUAUCCAAGUGGGGUGUGAAAAGAAUGUGAGGUGAACAAAGGGGUUUGUAGGAUGGUAAUAGGCGCACCAUAAAGUAAAUUUAAAAUUAAAAGAUAUAUAGGCGGCGUGAGAAGAGAUCGAAUGUAGGGUGAACAAAGCAAAUCUAAAAUUGAAAUUGAAAAAAAAUAUAUGUAGGGUGAAAAAAAAAAUUAGGAAGAAAAAAUGGAAAAAUGAUAUUUUAGGUAUUGUAAAUAGGUGAACAAAAUAGACUUACAAUUAAAAAUAUAUAAGUGAGGUGUGAAGAGAACGUAGGGUGAACAAAAUGAUUUGUGGGAUGAUAAUAGACGUACUAAAACAUAUUUAGAUUUGGAGAAAAAGAAACAGAUGUAGGUAGUGGUGGUGGUGGUCGGCGGAGAUAAUGGAGUAUGGAGCAACGGGGUGGGUUUUGGGUUUGGAGAACGGUUAAGGCCGAUGAGAUUGGGUUUUAUGGAUAAUGGGAUUAAAGAAUUUUUGUUUACGUGAUUAUUGCAAUUAAUAUGUUUAAUUUUUUUUUUCCAUUUAAAAAAUGUCAAGUAAUUUGAAAAAAAAUUCCGGAAUAAAUUGUGUACAUUUUAAAAAUGAAAUGUUGAACCCUAAACAUUAUUAAGGUGGACAAAUGUGCGGCCGACGACACACCACAUGGGUUAUAUCUUACAUAAAAAUAGCUUUUUAAAUCUUUAAAUCUUUAUAAAAUCAUAGUAAAUAGCUCGGUUACUUGAAUAAUUUCACGAAAAUUAAUGAGCCCUUGUGGUGAUGCGUUCUUUCUACCUUAGUAAAGAUUUUGAGAAAAUUAUAUUCGCGUAACACGACUGCCCUUAGGGCUUGGGGAGAUAGAAAGGUAUACAUAGAGUUGACAAUUUUGAUUAAUGUCCAAAUGUUAUCAUAAAUAUGUGACUUUUCUACCUAUCAGUAUUUUACUAUACCGAUCACAUCUUAUUGCACAAAAUUAUCAAAAAAAUUGUUUCCUCUAUAUAGUUGGUUCACAAUGAUGUACACUUUAUUGUCGGUGAGCCGUGGUAAGGUUGGUUAAAGUGGUUAACUAACAGCUUUAAGGUCAUCGGUUUAAACAUCAUUGACAUAUAGGCCUAUAGGGUGUGUGAGUUAUUUAAUAAGAGAAAUUUUUUUUUUUAAAGUUAUUAAACAAUUUAUACCACAUUAGUAUGCACGUUGUGAUUCCAAUGCCUGAAAUUCAAAAAAUCAAAAUUCAACCGUUUGAUGUGAUCAUUAUAGUUAAAUAUGACUAUGGUAGAAAAUUCAACUCUAUUCAGUAACGUUCGGGGUUUGAUCGAGGCGGUCAACCCUAUUUUUAAGUGACUUGUCACACGAAAAUGCUCUUAUCUACCCCUAUGUGACCUAUUUUGGUUGAUUCUUCCACACACACUCUCACAUAUUUGAGAUGUAGCCGCCCAAGUAAAAAUUUGGGGACAUUUACCUCCUGAGGAUAGGAUUCCCCAUAGGGAAACAUAAGCGUAAUUAGGGUUGAUCGCUUUGAUCGAGACCCAAACAUUGUCGUUAGAGUGAUUUUUUUACCAUAGCCGUAUUUCACUAUAUCGCUCACAUCUUAUUUCACAAGAUUUUCAAAAAUUUUGUUUUCUCUGUAUAGUUGGUUUACGAUGAUUUACACUUGCAUAUAAGCUAUUAAACAAGUUACAUCAUAUUAGUAGACACAUUAUGAUUCCAAUGCUCAAAAUUCACGAAAUCAAAAUUCAACAGUUUGAUGUGAUCAUUAUAGAUAAAUAUAACUAUGGUAGAAAAUUCAACUCUAUUCGGUAACGCUUAGGGCUUGAUCGAAGUGGUCAACCCUAUUUUCAAGUCAUUUAUCACACGAAAAUGCUCUUGCCUACCCCUUUGUGACAUAUUUUGGUUGAUUCUUCCACACACACACUCUCACAUAUUUGAGAUGUAGACCCCCAUAUGAGACGUUUAUCUCCCAAGGAUAGGGCUCCCCUUAGAGAAGUAUAAACGUAAUUAUGGUUGACCGCUUUAAUCGGGACCCAAACGCUGUCGAAUUAGAGUGAUUUUUCUACCUUAGUCGUAUUUUACUAUUCUGAUCAUAUCUUAUUUCACAAGAUUUUCGAAAAUUUUGUUUCCUAUGUAUAGUUGGUUUACAAAGUUGUACACUUACAUAUAAUCUACUAAACAAGUUAAACCAUAUUAGUAGGUAUGUGGUGAUUUAAUGACUAAAAUUCAUAAAAUCAAAAUUCGACCAUCCGAUGUGAUCAGUAUAGUGAAAUAUGGCUAUAGUAAAAAAUUCACAUAUUUUCGUUAAUGUCUGGAUAUUGAUCCACGUGGUCAACUAUAUGCAUGUAUCAGUUUACUUGCUUAAGGACAGCCAUAUUCGGAGAUAAAUAUUUAAACUUUUUAAUAUAAAUGGAUAGAACACAUCCCCAUGAGAGCACAACAAUUUUUGAAAUUUUUUUUGAGCAACUGAGUUAUGUGUGUUGAUGUUUGAAGAUUCGAAACUUUUAAAAAUCAAUUUGAAGUAAAACAUGACCCCGUUGCGCCAUUUAAAUCGUUUUUUGUUUGUUGAAUAUUUAUUUUCUAGGGAGCUUUACUUAAAUAAUUUGAGUAUAACAAAAUUUCGUAAAAUUAAAGUUGGGAAUAUAUUAAGAAAUUAAAAAACUUUCUUACAAAAAUAUUAAGAAUUCAUUUUUUUUUAAUAUUUAUUAGCCGCCAUCCCCGCCAACGGCCAAGUACAAUCCUUACAACGACAAGACGCCGCCAUCCUCCGUUCUCUGAGAGAACUUCUCUCCACCACCACCACCACCACCACCACGACCAGGGCCUAAACCCGAAUUUCAUCCCAGCCAAAAAACAAACCCCAAAUCUCAUCUCUGCUUCCCUUUUGCCAAACACUCCCCAACACCGCCCUCCUAUCCCCUUCGUGAUCUCCACCAUCAAACCCAGACCCUCGCCGCCCAUCCCCUCCGCUCUCGUGUUAUGUGUAAUCUCUCAAAUUGAAAAGUGUCGUGCUUGUUCAACGAUACUGUACCUUUCAAUCGCAACCAACAAAAUUGCAAUAGUAUAUAAAACAAGGCCCCCUCCCUUCUUAUUUGUGGUCCGUCGGAGGAAGAACACCAACCAGAAAAAUCCCCAUAAAAGAAUCUUCUUCUUGUGAGCAAAUGAGAAAAGAAUCUUCUUCUUCUUUGGUCCCUUUUGUCAGUCUUUCUCAUGUAUGAAUAACCUAAGCCACAUAUUUAAGACUAGAGAAAUGAGACGGCUGUGAGAAUCAAAAAUUGAUAUAUUUAACGAUAAUUUUGAAAUUUAGGUACUCUAUCAAUAAUUAUUAUUUUUUAUGUUUUAACAAAUUAUAAACCGACACGUGGGCAAGAGAGAAGAGAGAAAAGAUUUAGCAAUUGCUUUAGUUAUACAUGGAUCAUUGACAAAUUUGUCAAUUUUAUUUACCAAUAAUCAAAUUUAACAAUAAUUUAUGUAUUUUGUUGAAGCAUCAAUUCACUUAAAAAAUUGAUAAAUUUCCAGUUUAGCAAUACUACUAGUGAAGACCAUUGAUUCAUGGUUCUUGCUGAUCUCUUGAUUCAUGGUUCUUGCUGAUCUUGCGGUUGGUAUUAUAUUUCGUCUUUACUUUCCCAAUCACGUGCAACCCACGAGCAGUUUGUAUCCCAUACAAAUCAAUAUAGCAGAAUUUUCCAUUUCCACCAGCCUAUAUCGCAAAUCAAAGAUGUGUAAGUUUUAACACUUGGAGUAAUACCUCGGCUGAUCAUUUCUGUGAGGAGCUUUGAUGCUUCAUCAAUGAGUGUGGCCUUGCAUAGACCGUCAAUGACAGUGUUAUAGAAGACUAUGUCAGGUGUACAACCGUUUUCUUCCAUCUUACUAAGUAAUUGCAUGGCCGCACCGUUGUUUCCCAUCUUGCAGGAGCCAUUUAUAAGUGUUGAAAGUAACCACAUUGGGCUUACAGUGAUCUCCCUUGAGCAUUUUGUUGAAAAUUCAUCCCAUCUCAGGCACUUGAUUGUUGAGAACGAAGUCGUUGAUUAGAGUGUUAAAGGUAAUAACAUGUGGUUGAAGAGCCAAUUUGAAGAAGUUUUCCAAGACAGAUAAGCCAAAACCCAUUCGAUUCAAAUGGCUAUAACAAUUAAUCAUAAUAGAGAGAGUAUAUUCAUUAGGAACAAUUCAAUAGAGAAGCAUUUGUUUAAAGAGAGGGAUGACUGUAGAAUAUUGUUUGAAUUUGACCAGUUGAUUCAAGAUUUGAUUGAAGUGGACAAUAGAAGGCAGAGGACGCAAGUGAAGUAUUUCAUCGAACACCUUAAAGGCAUCCUCGAUAUCACUCACUCUGGGUUUAUUUCCCAAUUGGAUUUCUCUAAAUUUACUCACUUUGGGGUUUGGGCAUUGAGGGUGGUUGAGGGUAGGCCUCAUCAUUUAGCCAUUCGGCCCUAACCCGCCCUAUCCUCUAGGGCCGAAGCCCUACCCGAACCUAGGGGUGGGCAUAAAAAACCUAAAUCCCGGUCCCGUCCCAGUCCCAUCCCGAAAUUUGACGGGAUGGGACAGGAUCUAUGUCUAAAAACAUUAGGCCCGUCCCGUAGAGAAACAACAGGACGGGACGCGGGACUGAAAAGUUGAGGCCCGUCAGGCCCGUCCCGUCCCGUGUAAAAUAUAGAGUAAUCUUAGCCAUUGAUUUUUUUAGAUGUUUUGAUCUCAACCUUUCAUUUUUUGAACCCUAAUACCAACUCUCUUUCACUCUUUCACUCUCUCAGUCUCUCACCUCUUUCACUCUCUUCAGUCUUGCAGUCACUCUUUCGAACCCAACUCUCUUUCAAGUUUCAAUCUGCUUCCUCCUCACUCUCUCAGUCUCUCUUUCGAACUCCUCCACCGCCCACUUCCUCCUCCUCCUUUUCCUCCGCCUCCGCAUCUCACCGCCCGAUUCCUCCUCCUCCGCUUCCUCCUCCACUUCCUCCUCACAAACUACAACCGGCGACAAGGCAACCCCAAUCUUCCCGGGACCAGCGCGACUUCUCGGAGCAUGACAAGCACCAGGUCUUCCAAACGAAGCAGCAGCAACAAGCACCAGGCCUCCUCUUCCUCCGCUUCCUCCUCCUCCUCCUCUGUCGCUUCCUCCGUCAGGCAAGAUUAUUUUCACUCUCACUCUCUCUUUCUCUCUUUGUAAUACCCCAUACCUAAAAGGUUACUGUUCCGAGUUAUGAGUUACCGCAGAUUUUUCUUUAUUCGCGCUCGGAGAUUUAAAUAGUGAUUGCUCGAGUUUAUUUUCGAGUUUUUUUGAAAAUAGUAAAUAGUGGAUUUAAAACUCCGAAGUUGUGAUACACAUUUAUACGAGCUCACCGGUAUGUCUGGAUUAUUUUCCGGAGCGACGAGCUAUGUUCUGUGAAUUAUUGUUUUUUGUAACCGUUUUACCGUAAAGGACCCAAAAAGUUGACUUUUCGUUAAGUCGAUAAUUUGGGAAAACUUUCUUCAUGGAAGCCGUAGAGGAUGUUAAUACGAGUUCGUGGACACGUGGCACGCUCAAAUCGGAGUUCGUAUGAGAAAGUUAUGGUCUAAAAACGGAAAGUUACUAUUUCGGUAAAGGGUAUAAAAAAAGAGAGAGAGGGAGGUUCUAGAGGGGUCGGUUAAACCAACCUAAGCAACAAAUUAAAAGAAAAAGAAGGUUCGAGAGAGAGGGGACGGAGGAGACAAUCAGUUCAGACCCAGACCGGGUCAUUCUCGACCCGAAUAGAGUCAGCAGGUCAACCCGACUGGUUCUCUGUUUUUUGGCGACGACAAGGAGAAAGAAUGGUAGUGGCAGCUUCCUCUCGUUCUCGUGGUCAUGUUCAUGCCCUUGAUUUUCAGAUAAGAAGUCUGGAGUGAGAGAUUCGAAGUAGAGAAGGAAAGGCUGGGUUCACCGGCGAGUCUCCGAUUCCGGCACCGUUGACGCCUCUCACUGGUAUGGAUAGCUUCAUCUCGAUCUCAGGAACCUUUCCAUGUUCCUGGUUUUUGAAGAGAAGCUCAGAGGAGGGAGAAUCGAAUAGAAGAAGUUAUGGGAUUUUUCCGGCGAGGGUUCGAUGUUUUCCGGCGACCUCCGAGUUCAACUCAGGUAUCAAAGUUGGUCUAUUCUUCGAGCUCUACCUGUUUAUAUAAUUGAAAUUGAGGUUGGUUGAGAUUUGGCAGUGGAGGACAGCCGUGUGUGUGCUACUGUGCACGGUGGCGUUGAUGAUGUUUUGAGUUUUGGAUUAGCUAUCUUUGAUAUUGAUAGAAGCUUUGGAAUAUAAUUUCCUGGUUGGUUGUAAUCGAAUUUGAGGCUGUGAUUAUUGAGAUUGAUGUGUGGGUUGUUAUUUUGGUGAAAUGAUGAAGGAAUGGCAGUAAGGGGGAGAUCAGACUAGUUGCUGCAUUCUCGGUCAAGGAAUUGAAAUUGAGGAUUCAGCUGUGUUAUGAUCAAUUUGAUAUUAAGGAAGGACAAGGAGAAAUCGUGGUAUUAGAAGAAAGGAUGUUAACUCGCACUUUGGAUGCUACUGUGUUCUUCAUUUGGGUGCAGAGCAAAAUGGGAUCUCUACCUAUAUCUUUGAAGAUUUUGACGAAGUGGUGAAGAUGGAUCAGACUAGCUACCUUGUUGUUCUGCUAUGGAUACAAAGAGUAAAUAAAGGAGCCAACUAUGAAUGAUUAAAUAGAAAGGUGAGUUGAACUUUGUAUAAGUUGCUGGGAUUUGGACUUGUACAUUAAAGUUUCUGGUUUGGGUGCCUUGUUAAUUAACUGGUGUUAUCAAGUUUGGUGUAGUCAAUUGAAUUAUGGAUUUUGUGAGUUAUAUGAUCGUGAUGAUUUGCAUGGUAGUCAUUGUGUUGAAAAGCUGAUAUUAAUAUUGAAUCUAUAAAAGGAAGAUGCUAAUUAAACCAUUGAUGUAUAUAUCACAAUCAGAGCCUGAAGUUGCUUGUAUAUUACUGUUAGACAGUUGUUGGAUUUAGUAUAAUGCUAGGAAAGUUGAUGAUUAGUGGUUUUGGUUGUCCAUAGUAAAAUCAGAGAUAGGUUAGUAAUUGAAGUGUUGAUAUGAGCAAGCCUAAAGGUGAAUUGGAAUGUGACGAUGAAUUUAAUAUGAACGAGCAUGGUAUGUAAUUAGGAAACUUUCAGAGAAAGUGAGAGGAAGUGUGGGAUUGAGAACUUGGGUGUCCUUAUCAAUUUGAGGACUUACACCCACACAAAUUCCAGAUUCGAUACAGUUGUUAUUGAAGGUGGAGAAUUAAUAUAAAAAGAUGAACUAUGAGUGGCUUGAUCCCUUUAAAAGGGUACGUAGGCAGCCCGAUCAAGUUUUGGGUGCAGCCACAAAUUAACAAAAUAAAUUUAGGUUCCAAACACAACAAACAUUUUGUUUGUUUUGAGAUCCUACCUCCGUUUUGAUUUAGGUUUUCCUUAGUUAUUUUAUUCGUUUAUUCUUUUAACACCUGGGUUAGGGUGUUACACACUCUCUCUCUCUCNNNNNNNNNNNNNNNNNNNNACUACUCUCUCUCUCUCUCUCUCUCUCUCUCUCUCUCUCUAUCUCUCUCUCUCUCUCUCAUGCUUUCACAGUGUACCAAUUCUGCAGCUCUACCCCUAAUUUCACUGAAACUCAUGAAUCAAGUCCAUUAUUUUUCUCACUGUGUUUGCUUCUGUCUAGCUCGCUGCUUGUUUUGAUUGUUUUUUGAUUAGGAUGGUUGCGAUCAAAUUUAGGCUUUAAGAGAUGUAGUGGAAGUGAGAUUUGGAUACUUGAUAUUAAGUGUUAUGGCAAUGGUUAGAGAGAAAUCUAUCAUUGGUUAGAGAAAUCAUCAGGCAAGGUCAUUAGUUUAGACGUAAAUAGUUUAUAUGAAUUAGUUAUACUGUUGAUUAUGCUAUGUCUAUUCUCCUCAUGAAUGUCAUAUUGUGGAUUGAUACUUGAAAGCAUGAUUGUGAUUUGUGAUACUCCUAAUAUUGGGGCGGGAUGGCGGGAUUAGGCCCGUCCCGUUUGGGACGGGACCUGCGUGGGAUCAAGUCUUAAGAACGUAAGGCCCGUCCCGAUCCCGUCCCGUGUGCAAUGUCCGGGACGGGCCGUGUGAUGACCCUAAUCCCGUCCCGUCUCGUCCCAUGCCCAGCCCUACCCGAACCUCCAUUAGGGCGGGCUGACCCUAGCUUUUCUCAAAUAGGGUAGGGUAAGGGUCGAGCAAAUUUAGGCCCUAAUAAUUCUAUAAUUUUUCUGUUGUUUUUAAUGUCUCUUAUUUUUUAGAUCAAUACAACUAAUCUUGUAAUUGGUUUUGUAAGCUUUAUUUCUUUGAUUUCCUUUUGCUUUGUUAAACAAUGAUUGGAUUUUAAUGAUUUAGAGAGAUAGUUCAUAAGAUAUAUGAAUAUAACCACUUAGAUUAAUAUUUAUUGAUACAUGUUUUAAGUUAAGUAUAAUGUGUAUGCAUGUAUUUUAAAUAUGACUAAAAAAUAGAGUGAUAUAAUCAUUUAAAAAAAUUUUGAGGAAAAAAAAUAAAAACUAGCCAAUUUUGGCCCUAUUUAAAAGGCCGACCCUAUCCAACCCUAUCCGGCCCUUUUAGCCCUAACGAAAUAGGCCUUUAGGACAAAUAAAUGUUUACAUUAACCUUAAGUUUUGUUGACUAAAUCAAAGCUCAGCCCAUGAUGAGGCCUAACUGAGGGUCUCUCCACAGACUUUGGGUAUUGGGGAUCUAUAGAUUUGGUUGGGUUUAAGGAUUGAGAGUAUAGGGUUUUGAGCGGGCUAGCCCGAUAUGAGGCAGUCCUAGGGGGUCUGGGCCGUCGUGGGCCUACGCACGCGGGCGGGUACACCAUUUAAAAAAUAUAAAUCGUGGAAAACAAAGGCCAAGAUCCCCAAAUUCGAAACAACACCGAGUACUGGACGCUCUGCUUCUCUAUUUUCUCUCUACAAGACUGAGUUUGUCAACUCGGGCGAGGAUUGAGUCAUGGGCGGCGAGUUACGCUACGAGAUCGCACAGAACGCGUACAUAAAGCUCGUACUCCACGCCCUCAAGCACAAGACCUCCGCCGUCAACGGCAUCCUACUCGGCCGCGUUUCCCCUCAAAACGACGUCGUCGAGAUCACCGACUCCGUCCCUCUCUUCCACUCCCAGCUCGGCCUCCUCCCCCAGCUCGAGAUCUCCCUCAUCCUCGUCAGUCCCGCUUUCCUCAAAUCUCAAUAGUUUCGAAUUCAAUUGAAUUGAUUUUUCGAUUAUAUAGUUGAUUUGGAUUUUACAGAUUGAGGAGCAUUUCGCUGCGAAAGGAGUGAGCAUUGUCGGGUACUUCCACGCGAACGAGAGGUUUGAUGAUCAGGAGCUUGGGAGCCUGGCCAAGAAUGUUGGCGAUCACAUUUAUCGCUACCUUCCUCAAGCUGCGGUGCUCUUGGUAAUGUGAUUUUGUUUAUUUAUAUGAGUGUUUUUUCGGGUUUUUCGAUUCGAGAGAUUGGAGUUUUAUUUUGCGUCUGUGUUAUCUGUUUGCAGUUAGAUAACAAGAAGCUUGCAGCUUUGUCAAAAACUAAGGACCGGAGCCCCGUGGUUCAGGUUGGUAUCUUUGAUUGCUUUUUGUGUUAGUGCAUUAUAGGCUGGGUUUUUUUAUUAUUUUCUGUUAUCUUGGAUGAACUUGUUAUUGUAUAAUUUAGUUUGAAAAAGGUAGAGAAUUUAUGUGUGGUAAGAGUAUUUCUAGGCUUUCUAGAUCAUGGAACAAAUAGGGUGGGUAGGAGGAUGGUUGAAGUGGAUUGCUGGGAUAAAGAAGAUAAUUUAAUCAUGUGUUAGCAUACUAUAGUAUCCAUACGAAGCGUUUUAGAUAUCAUUACUAGCAUUUCUUGUGGAUGGAGUCGUAGCUCUCUGGACAGUGAGUUACUGAGUUGUAAUGAUAAAGAGGAACUCAGAGAGCUUAAGUUUUUCUAUGACGUAGAUGCAUAGAAUUUCAGGUUAAUCCAAGUCCAAAGACAAGGGUAGAUGAGGUUACCUUUUAGCCCUUCCCUAUAAGACCACCUAGAACAUGAAAGCAUACCGAGCUUUGUGGUUUCUAUGUUCUUUAUGUGAGUUAAUGAUGUCUCAGCAAUAAUAAAAAGUCCUUUUUAAGGCAGAAUACUAGAAUCUGCUAGAAACUGAGUGCUAGUUAAUCACCUUUAGAAAUUAGGAGUUUAAAAUCAUAUCAAGACGAACGUAGUCAGAUACCAGUACACUUCAACUGUACCAACUGAAAGUUUGUCGGCAAAAGGGAACAGUAAAUCAGCAAAGAAUGUCAUGAGUGUUUCAUUCCCCACUUACAGCAGAUGAUCACAGAUCACAAGCUGUGAUCUUUUUAUUAGCCUGAUAACUCAAUUUUUGGGUUGAAGUUUUCGCGAUUGCAAUUCACGUCUAACAGACUCCUUUAGCGUUUUUGUAAUUCAGAUCUUCCAUUUAUUUUGUUAAUCUCUGCUCUUUGUAUGUUGAAGGUGUUAGCUUAUAUAAUUGUUGGUAAAUUCCUAGAUAUUUUGAGAUUUUUACAGACCAGGGUAUCUAACAAUCAUUUGAUGGAAUUUAUACCGGAUUUUGGAGAGGGGAGUAAGAUACUGCUGAAUUCAUCUUGCAGGUUACUUGGAUGAAGAAACCUUAGUGUCGUUACUUUGAACAAUUUAACACUAAAAUCUUGGUGGCAAACUAGGACACAACUUGAAAUUGAUUGUAACUAUAGCAAGAAUAUGAUCCAAAUCAUGAGUCAGAUCAUUCCUUUUUAUACGAUUUCCUUUAGCUCUUCAGAUUACCAAGGUUUUUAUUUCUUUUUAUUUCUUUUGUUAUGAAAAAUGAACACUGCUGAUGAUGGAUCUCAGUGAUGAUAUUAUUGUAUCAACAAAGUAUCAUGUGUCAUUCACUUGCCAAAUAUUAAAAUCAUUCAUGUUCGGCCAUUUAGUUCUAACCUCUGAUCCUAAACCCUCUGAGCCGCUUUGUUCUUUGUGAUGACUAGUUUGCCAUGCCCAUGAUGAUCUUAGAAAAUCAAACAAACAGUACUAACAAUCCAUUUUAUUGAAGUUAGGAAAAUCAAAAGAUGACACAUGUCACUUGAGUGAAGUGCCAUAACCCGCCAUUGGUACAUGACAUGACAUGAUUGGUAUUGUAGAUAAUCUUUCUUCUCUGGUGUGAUUCUCAACUUCGGUUAUUGUUUUCCUUCAAACAGUUAUUUGUCUUGAUUAUGGAUGUUUGAAGCCAUCUUUACUGACUCUCAUCCUUGUUCUCCUAUAUAAGCUCAUAUACUGUUCCUUUGUUUUACAUGGUUUCGUUGAUUUCAGUAAUUAUUUGUUAUGGGGAUUUGUCCCUUGUAUUUACUUUCAGCUUAUAUGUUUCUGAUCUUUUCUAUAUAUAUAUAUAUAUAUUUUUUUUUUUGAAAAAAAUCAGCUUUACACGAAAGAUGCUUCUAGGAUUUGGAAAUUAGUUGGAUCAGAUGGAAAUCAGUUGACAAUGAAGGAGCCCUCAGCCAAUGUUGUUCUAUUGGAUCACAUUUCAACUGAAAAAUGGCAGGAUGUUGUAGAUUUUGAUGAUCACCUUGAUGACAUUAGCAAGUGAGUGCAAUACAACACCACAUCUGUUUCUUCUCAAAAAUUAAUUUCGUGUUUAGAGGUCAAAACUAAUGCUGAUUGGAAAUUUGAUGUAACAGGGAUUGGCUGAACCCAGAGCUCUUCAAGUAAACUAGGCAUUAAUAGCUUCAUCCUAUGCAUCAGAGCAAGAUAGACCGACCUGAAGCUCCUCGAUUCCUUGUUUUAUGAGAAUUUUUCGAGAUGUAAAAAACUGGAUAAACAGCCAUCUCAUACUUUAAAAAGUCUCCAAACUCGAAUAGUAUCUUUGCGCCUCUGAGAGCAUUUCAGUUGUAGCUUAUGGUCGUAGCACUGAACAAAAUUUCGAAAAUGUGACAGACUUUGUAAUCGGUGUGCAAGGUUUUUGAGUCCUGGCUGUUAUGUUACCAGACUACAUGUUAAAGCUGAUUGUUUUCCCAAGUCACCGUGGAAGUAAUGAAAGCAGUGGUUCAUAUCAAAUGUGCUCUGACGACGUCGUUUUGAACAAUGUCACAAUUUAAGGACCAACCUCUACAAUUCAAAUAACAUAUUUGAAAUGCUUUCAACUCUCACUUCCCUCCAUCUUCCUCCUCUAAACCACACUCACUCCCCAACCUCACAAACCCUCACACCCCAUCAUCAUCAUCUUCUCCACACUUUCACCACCCCAUUUGAGCUCAAACAACUCCAUGCCCACCUCAUCAAAACCAACUCUCCCCUCUCCUCCCUCCCCCUCACCCGAAUCGCCUUCGCCUGCUCUCUCACUCCCUCCUUCUCCUACGCCCAUAAACUCUUCCAACUCCUCGAAAACCCCGAAACCACCCCCUGGAAUUCCUGCCUCAAAGCCUUCGCCGAAGGCGAAAACCCUGUAAAUGCAAUACUCCUCUUCCAUCAGCUGCAUUGCUUCAAUGUAGUUCCUGAUAGCUUUACCCUCUCUUUCGUUCUAAAAGCCUGUACCCGCUUAUCGGAUUUUCGCACUGGUAGAGUGCUACAUUGCUAUGUAGAGAAGCUAGGGUUUCGAUCCAAUCUGUUCUUGAUGAACAUGAUUCUGAAUUUGUAUGCGUUAUGUGGGGAAGUUAGGGAUGCACGGAAGAUGUUCGAUAAAAUGCCGCAGAGAGAUGUUGUGACGUGGAAUACAAUGAUGACUGUGUUGGUGAAGAGAGGUGAUGUAGAGGAAGCUUAUGAUUUGUUUUUGAGGAUGCCGGAGAGGAAUGUGAGGUCAUGGACGUUGAUGAUUUCGGGGUUUGUGCAGCGCGGUAAGCCCAAGGAGGCGGUUCGUGUGUUUUUGGAGAUGGAGGAGGCUGGUGUGAGGGCGAAUGAGGUGACUGUGGUGGCGGUUCUCGCGGCGUGUGCUGAUUUGGGGGACUUGGAUUUGGGUAGGAGAGUUCAUGAGUACUCGAGCCGGAGUGGGUUUGGAAGAAAUGUUUGGAUUUGCAAUACUCUGAUUGAGAUGUAUGUGAAAUGUGGAUGCUUGGAGGAUGCACGUAGGGUGUUUGAUGCGAUGAAAGAUCGAACGGUUGUGUCGUGGUCGGCUAUGAUUUCGGGGCUGGCCAUGCAUGGACAGGCUGAGGAAGCUUUGAGGCUUUUCUCUAACAUGGUUGAGAUAGGGAUGGAUCCAAAUCAUGUAACUUUUGUUGGACUCUUGCAUGCUUGUAGCCACAUGGGGUUUGUAGACAAGGGCCGUGAGUUCUUCGAAAGAAUGACUGCAGAUUAUGGAAUAGUUCCGAGAAUUGAGCAUUAUGGUUGUAUGGUUGAUCUUUUAAGUCGGGCAGGGCUCCUUCAAGAGGCUUACGAGUUCAUAAUGAACAUGCCUAUAAAACCGAAUGGUGUUGUGUGGGGAGCUCUCCUUGGUGGAUGCAAAGUUCACAGAAACAUUGAACUGGCUGAAGUGGCAACUAAGCACCUUGCUGAACUUGAUCCACUGAAUGAUGGAUACUACAUUGUUUUGUCGAACAUUUAUGCAGAGGCACAACGGUGGGAAGAAGUGGCGAGUGUGAGAAAGCUAAUGAGGGAUCGAGGGGUGAAGAAGACACCUGGGUGGAGUUCAAUCACAGUAGAUGGGGUGGUUCAUGAGUUUGUUGCUGGGGAUGAAGCCCAUCCUCACGCUGAGGAGAUCAACCAAAUGUGGGAGAAACUACUUGAAAGAAUGAGGAUGAAGGGUUAUGUGCCCAAUACUUCAGUUGUUCUACUAGACAUGGAAGAGGAACAGAAGGAGAAAUUUCUCAGUCGCCAUAGCGAGAAAUUAGCCCUGGUUUUUGGGCUGAUCAAAACAAAGCCUGGAACACCAAUUCGAAUUAUGAAGAAUCUUCGUGUUUGUGAGGACUGUCAUGCUGCUUUGAAACUUGUAUCAGAAAUUGCGGAGAGAGAGAUAGUUGUGCGUGACCGAAACAGGUUCCAUUGUUUCAAAAAUGGUUAUUGUUCCUGCAGGGAUUACUGGUAGUAGGUCGUGGAAAAGUAACACUACAUUUUAGCUAACAUUCUUGUUGUCAUUUGUCAAAGAAACUUGAAAUGUAGAUUUGUAUGCUACUCUUUUCAGUAACAAAACACUAGCUUCAAAUGUAAUGUAAAAUCAAAUAAUUUAUUACUCAAAGUAAAUCAAACUACAUCUUUAUGUGUACCAAUCUGCUGUUGCUGCACGACGAUAACCAUCAUCAACAAACACUAGAUUCUAGUUGAACUGCGCUACGAUUUGAAGAACUAGAUGAGCUGAUCAACUAUCCCAGCAGCUCUGGAGUUUGUCAUAAAACUGGACACCCUGGGACCUUUACUCCUGGACCAGUAGGGCACUUAGCCAAUGGACAAUGAUCAGUACUGUCCUGUCCCCACCAUUCUGGACCGGAGAUACCCUUACUCUGAAGGGUGAAAUACACAAGAACUGCCAUGAAGGCCACACCGGCAUCCAAAGCAGCUGAUAGGAUAUAGUUAUGCCUUCCCCACCAAGCCCUGUGUUGUCGAUAAACAUAGACAUUAAAGAAAAUUCCAACUGCGAACCACAUCAAGUAGUGGACAGGUUUGGCUGGUGGCAUCAGUGCCGUGGCUCCAAGGAUGACAGGCAUGUUUAUGAGCUUUAACCACUCAACCUUGGGGAAUUUGCGCGAAAGGAGCCAACCUGGUAUAGGUGCAAGUAAACCAACAAGGAAAAACCAGUUCAUCUCUGGGUACACUCCGUGCUUAGUGAACAUUCUGAGAGGGCCUAUGACUCCCCAAAUGAUUGAGGCAUUGUAGAAGACCUCAUCACCAGGACAUGUCCAUGGACUUCCCUUUGGCAGUUUUGAUGGAUCGCAUAUGUUCUUAACAGUUGUGAGAAGCCACCAGGAUGUGCCGAAAUAACAACUUGAAGCGGCCAGUGUUCCAGCUAACUGGAAGAAUGUAAAUGCAUACCAGUGAUUUAUUAGACAUACAAACAACACGAACAAUUAAACAAGUGUUUAACUUAAUAAUACCAUUACCUGUACAAUAAACAUGGACUUGGGAGGGAUCUUCAUAUAGUGACCUAACUUGAAGUCACUGAGAAACAUGAGUGCUUGUGACAUGCUGAUGUAGCCAUAGAUUUUGAAAGCCACAUUGGCAAGAGGCCUCCCGGAUAAAUAUACCCAAUAACCAACUCUGUGAUCACAUUGAGUCCCGGUUGCUGUACAGUACAAAGUUUAAAACAGAAAUCACAACGUUAUUAGUUGCAAUUUUCUACCAAGAAAUUGAACUUAAUUGCAGCAUAGCAUGGGGAACAUUUAUCGUAUAUUUACAUGAACAUACUAUGUUUGUUGUGGCUUGAAUGAUGCCGAUGGGUAAGGUGAAAACUACUGCAAUGGCACAAGCCAGUAAGACUCCCCACCAUGGAAGUUGGAGUUGUUUCCCGAAACCUUCACAAACAAAGAUGGAAAGGCAAAUCAUUGUAACAAGGAUGAUGUGAAACCACCAUUGAGGAACUGCCUCAUAGUUCUUCCUCAUCAGCCGUGUGUGAAUGUCUCCAAGCUGUUUUGCUGCGGAAGAAGUCUUUUUCCACAUUUGCCAGAUUGCUCUGUUCAUGAAUAUAUUUCCCACAUUUGCAGAUCAGUUGAAGUCUGUCCGAACUAGGAGAAAGAAAAGAAAAUAAAAACUUACUUACUUUCCAUGGAAGAGUGCAACAUGUGAAAUAGUUGCUGUCAGAUUAGCAAAGCUCCAUCCAUACAUCGUGGCGAAGUACAUAGGGAGAUAAAGUUUACUGUAACUGCUAUACUCCUUGAGAUCAAUAUUGAAAGUUUUCUCGUCCAGAACUCGGGAAACAUUAUAGGGUUUACCAGUGAAGUCGAAAGGACGAGACGAAAAGAUGGGAAACUUCCUAGCAUCUUUUACAUUGAACCAAUAAUUAAUCGGGGUGACAAUGUAGAAAAUGAACAAAAAACCAGCCAACAUGUUCAUGAACACAAAACCGGGUGUUGCUAAUGGGCUCUUCAAGAAGCUAGCAAUAGUUGACCAAUCAAGGCCAAACGAGCCAAUGCCAAGGCCACUGAGGCCGGAACCAAUUAGUUGAGCGGUAACAGAGUCCUUCCAUAUCCAACAAACAAAGGAGAGAGCACCUAUGGAGGGCAUUAGAAAACUUGGAACAAUGUAGUAAGCGAAGCUGCAUACGAAAACUAAGCUGAAGUACUGCAGCCUAGUAGGGCCUCCCUUUGGUCUUAUUUCCCAUUCAUGAAGUGCCCUGUCAUUGCAAAUAAGAAUUUGUUUACAACUAGCAGAAAUAUCCAACAUCUCAAAUAUAUUCACUUGAAGAAAAUAUGUAUCCCAACUUUUAUGUAGCUAAAACUGAUCUGCUCAUAUCAGAUAUAUACUUGAAAUUGAGCUCUCUCCACCCAAUGCCAGUUAGUCCUUCUAUAUAUAUGCUACAUUUUGGUCAAUCAUGAAAAGAAAAGCGUCAAUUAUGCUAUCAAAGUACUAUAACUAUACUCUAUCAGUCAUGUCAUAUCUAAAAUCCCAAGUGCUCAUCACUACCAUAUGUAAAAUGUCGAUCUUCUUUUCUUCCCCAUGCUAGUCAGUUUUGGACUUUCGGAUUCUAAGAGAGGUCAAUGCUACGAUCUAACUGCAACAAUUUCAGUAUGAUGAUGGGAAUUAGAUUGGAAAAAAAAAAACCUGAAAAGAGAGACCUGAACCAGGUUUUCAGGCCACCACAUGAAAGGGGAAUCAACAAGGUACUUUCUGAACAACCCAGCCCAUCCAUAUCCAAGCAACUGAAAAUAACAAACAUACACAGUCAAAACAUGAACUUCACAACACUAGAAUGAACCAAGUCAACCAACACAAACAUGGAUCACUUUGAGAAAAAGAAAAAAAAAAAAAACAAAUAAAGUAAAAAGUUUACUUGAGUGGUUUGGGCUAACAAGAAGGCUGCAAAAGGAUGCAUUUCCCUUUUGUAGAAAGCCUUCACAAUAGUGAUAAUGUUAACUGCAAAAACACUUUGUGAUCCAGAAUUGGCAAAGAUGGUGAUCAACACAUGCUCCUUCAAGUUGAAAGGUCCAGGGUUGAACGAAAAUGUCCAUCCGAAAACUCGGAACUGUUUUGUUGGGAGAGUUGAAGCCAUGAGUUUUCCGAGAGGGAGGACGAUGAUCUGGGCUGAGACUGAAGAAAUGAUGAGACUGUUUUGGCGGUAACCAAAGAACUGGUUCGCAAAGGCAAGAGUGCAGCAUGAUAAAAGACCUAGAACCCACGUACGAAAUGUUAAGGCCGGAACUGAAGGGUCGUCGGUGAUCGGAACUGUUAGCCUGACUUGCUCGAUCGGACUGUCGUUGAACUCAUCAUCUGCAACAAGUUUACAGAAUUGGUGAUCAGUAUGUAGGCCAGGACUGCAAUACAAGCCAGGGUUUUAGCCACGAGGAGCUCAGUAAAAGUAAAACUAAUACUUUACAGUAAUCAGGGUAAAUAUAUGGAGAAUAACCAUGUUAACACGUACAUCAUCAAUUUCUUCUCACAUAUGCAAAAGAAAGAACAUAUAAGUAUUUUUAUGGGAUCCAAUCCAAUUAAGUUACCAUGCAUAUGCAUAGAUUGCAUGCACAAUCAAGGUCAUUUCUCUGCAGCACAAUGUUGAGAAUAUAGUAGUACUAGCAAGUAUAAAUAGCUAGAGAGAGACUUACCAAGGAUAUCGAUCUUCGUCCCACCAGGAAUGGUUGCUUUAGAUUCUGCACCUUCGUCAAGGACUGUCAUCCUUCACCUCUACCUACAGUCCUACACAAGCUCCCUCCUCGAUCAGAGAAUUAUUCCAAAAUUUAGUUCCUUAAUUCUCAAUAUAUGCCUGUACAAGAACUCGGCACCAUGCAUUUAUAUGCUCUUGCUAGUUGUUUUUUUGCCUAGCUUCUUACUUUGUUUCCCUGCAUAAGCUUAAUUACAACGAUACAGUAGUAGUCGAUCUGUAUUGCUUAUCAAAUGAAGCGCAUCUGCAUCAAAUUUCCAAAGGUUUUCAGAUCACGUAGACUGUCAACACCUUGCAGACCACUUCAUCUAUAUACCGGUGAGACCUGACUACACGUAAGUCGGUUUCUGGUCUACCGGAGAUCUGGUCAGCGAGGAAGAGAGAAUGAAAAUGUGGUCCAAAUGGCAACGCUCUUUCAAAGACCUGAUUUUGUGGCCUAGGAUUUGGUUUGCAGCCUAAACUCCUUACUGUAAUAACGGUCAAAGUCACAAACCAUCUAAAUUUGGUUACAUUUGGGACAUGGAGUACACUUAUAUUUGGUGAUUCUUUACUGAUAAACUUUGCAUUGUCGUCCACAUAUAUGUAAUGAGAUAGUUUACAAAUCACAGUUUAAUUUGGGGUGUUGUCUAGUACUAUUUAGUACACAAAGGCUUCACGAAUCACAAGUUCAAUAAACUCGAUUAUUGUAAAAAUAAAAAAAAUUAAAAAAAAUCUCAAAUCUACGUACGAACGAGUGUGCAUCACCGAAUUAACAAUUAAUACAUACAUUAAAAAGUGAGAUAUCAAAAUGUAAUUUACACGUUCAUUUGAUAUGUACAUAAACCACUUGUGGUCAAAAGCAGGUUUGUAUAUCUGAUACUUGAGAGUUUUUAUCUUAUCCUAUGAUUUUCGAGGUCAUGAGUUCUCUCCUUUGCAAUCGGUAAUAAUCAAACGUUACUUUCGAUUCUCAAAAACUUCGAAUAAUGUAAACUAAGUUAAGUUCAUCUACACAAGCAAAUAUAUACUGCAAAGAAAAUCAAAAUGUUCAACAUGUACAAGAGCUUGUAUACACAACGACCCGAAAGACUAAUUUCUAAUGACUACAAAUGAAUGGGUUUAUAUAUGUGCACCCACAAUGUAAUAAGUAGACAUACCAAAUAUAUGGUUCUCAUAGAACUGGACACCCUUUUGCGAUUAUACCUGGUGCAGUAGGGCAACUGGCCAAUGGGCAGUGGUCAUCAUUGUCCAAACCCCACCAAUUUGGCCCUAUAAUAUCCCUACUUUGAAGGGUGAAAAAUAACAGAAUUCCUGAGCAGCUGAUAGGAUGUAGUUAUGCUAGCCCACCAGCUCUUGCACUUUCUGUACACAUAGAAGUUGAAGAAGAUUCCAACUGCAAACCAUGUAAUGUAGUUGGUAGCUCUAGCUGGUGGCAUAUUCCCAGUUGCUCCAAGAAUGACAGGCAUGUUUAUGAGCUUAAUCCACUUUUGAUUAGGGAAUUUCUUGGCAUGGAUAACAACCAGACUGGAACAGGUGCAAGUAAACCGAUGAGGAAGAACCAUAAUGUGAUAAAACUGUCGCUCAUGUGAGCAAACCUAUGAUUUGGUUGAUGUGUGUAGAUUGAAACGCAUUUUUCUAUACCUAGAAUGCAAAGCCGAGGUAAGAUAAAUCGAAUUAUUAAAAACUAAGAAAAGUACUUCUUAAAUUAUCUACACAAACAAAUUUAUUCUGCAAGAAAAAUCGAACUACUUAACAUAUACAAGAGCUUGUACUUGACCAAUCUGCAUAACUAUUCUAGUGAUCACUAAAGAUAAAUGUGUGCACCCUUUUGAGUUUUGUUCUCAUUGAACUGGGCACCCUUUGGCCACUACUCCUGGUGCAGUAGGGCAAGCAGCCAAUGGACAAUGGUCAUCAGCUAACAAACCCCACCAAUCUGGCCCAAAGAUAUCCUUACUCUGAAGUGUGAAAUAUAAGAGAACUCCUGUGAAGGCCACACCAGCAUCCAAAGCAGCUGAUAGGAUGUAGUUAUGCCUAGCCCACCAGCCCUUGAACUUUCUGUACACAUAGAAGUUGAAGAAGAUUCCAACUGCUAACCAUGUAAUGUAGUUGACAGAUCUUGCAGGAGGCAUAUAACCUGUUGCUCCAAGAAUGAUAGGCAUGUUUAUGAGCCUAAUCCACUUUUGGUUUGGGAAUUUCUUGGCGAAGAACCAGAUUGGAACAGGUGCAAUUAAACCGAUGAGGAAGAACCAGUUCAACUCCGGGUAGAUGCCUUUCUUUGUGAACAUUCUGAGUGGACCGACAACUCCCCAUAUGAUCGAAGCAUUGUAGAAGACAUCAUCCCCGGGACAUGUCCAUGGACUUCCUUCCGGCAACAAUGAGACAUCACAGAUGUUUUCGAUGGAGUGGAGAAGCCACCAAGAUGUAGCAAAGUAGACACUAGAAGCAACUACUGUUCCAGCUAACUGAAGAUAUAUAAAUUUCAUAAGAAAUUAAUGAGUAUAAUAUGUAUGAUCAAAAUCUGUAAACAUAUCAGAAAGUCUAUAUGCUACAUUGUCAAAGUGUUACUAUGAACCAUAUAACCAAUUCACAGAAAUAUUGCUACGAUAUAAUAGUAUAACUAACCUGAACAAUAAACAUGGACUUUGGAGGGAUCUUCAUAUAGUGACCCAAUUUGAAGUCACCAAGAAACAUGAGUGCUUGUGACAUGCUGAUAUAGCCAUAGGUCUUGAAAGCAACAUUUGCAAGAGGCCUGCCUGGAUAAAUAUACCCAAUAACCAACUCAGUGAUCACAUUAAGCCCAGGUUGCUGCAGGAUUUGAACAAUUCGUCACAACUCUCACUCAGAAGAAAUUCAGAAUAAAUUAUGAAUGACAAACAUGGUUGCAGAAACGUACCUGAUUUGUUGUUGCUUGAAUGAUGCCAAUGGGUAAGGUGAAGAACAAUGCAAUGCCACAAGCCAUUAGAACUCCCCACCAUGGAAGUUGGAGCUGUUUGCCAAAACCUUCACAAGCGAAAAUUGCAAGACCAACCAUUGAGACAAGGAUGAUGUGAAACCACCAUUGAGGGACUGCUUGGUAGUUCUUCUUCAUGAGCCUUGUGUGGAUGUCACCAACUUGAUCUUUAACUGCACUAGCUGUCUUUCUCCACAUUUGCCAGAUUGUUCUGUUCAUGUAUGUCACAUAAAGAAAUCCAGUAAGCAAUCAAAAAGGAUAAAUUUUAAGCUAUUAAAUAACUUUUGUUGGAGAACGCUGCUUACUUUCCAUGGAAAAGUGCAACAUGUGAAAUUGUAGCAGUGAGAGUGGCAAAGCUCAGUCCAUAACUGAAGGCAAAGAAAGUACUGAGAUGGAGUUUGCUGUAGCUGUUAUAUUCGUCCAUAUCGAUGUUGAAAGUUUUCUGAUUUAUAAUCCUGGAGAUGUUGUAGGUUGUUCCCGUCGAAUCAAAAGUAUGAGAGGAAAUAAUUGGGAACUUAUGAGCACCAUAUGCAUUGUUCCAAUAUGCAAUGGGGGUAACAAUGUAGACAAUCAAAACAAAACCAAGUAAGAUGUUAAUGGUAGCAAAUCCGGGUGUAGCCAAUGGACUGCCUAAGAAACCAGCAACAGUAGACCAAUCAAUUCCAAACGAGCCAAUGCCAAGUCCAUGGGCUCCAGAACCAAUCUGUUGAGCAGUUAUGGAGUUCUUCCAUAUCAAGCAAACAAUGGAGAUAGUAGAUAGGGAGGGGAAAAGGUAACCCGGAACAAUGUAGUAAGCAAAGCUGCAUAUGAACACCAAGAAGAAGACUGCAGCCUUGUACGGCCUCCCUUUGGUCUCUUUUCCUUUUCAUGCAAUGCCCUGUAUUUCAAAGUAUGAAUUAGUAGUGCUCCUAUGACUGUCAAAAAGUUUUCUUUUUAUGAGCUUCCCAGGAAAAGCCAAAAGUACUUUUAAGUAUUACAGAAGCCAUAGUUGUGAAUUUGUAAUAACUUCCACUUGAAUAUCCAAGAAGCACAUAAAAAUUUAUGCUUCUCAAAAAGUACUACUUCUGAACUCAAUAAAAUACCUGAAUAGAGAGACUUGAACCAGAUUUGCAGGCCACCACAUGUAAGGAGAGUCAACAAGGUAUCUUCUGAAUAGGCCAGCCCAUCCAUACCCAAGCAUCUGUUAAUUUCAGAAUGUAAAACAUGGAUUAAUCAACACGACUUUUACAGACGUACCGUGGAGCUAGUCAAGUUUACUAAAGAAAUACAGGUAACUAUAAAUUACCUGAGUGGUUUGUGCUAACAAGAAGGCUGAUGCAGGAUGCAGUUUCCUUUUGUAAAAAGCCAGAACAAUUGUGAUGAUGUUCACAGCAUAGACACUGUUUGAUCCAGAGUUAGCAAAUAUGGUGAUCAGCACAUGCUCUUUCAGAUUGAAAGGCCCUGGAUUCAUCGAAAAUGUCCAAUUUGUGAAGGGGAACCGGUACUUAUUAGUUGGGAGGGUAGCAGCCAUCAACUUCCCUAGAGGGAGAACAAGAAUUUGUGCUGAGACUGAGGACACAUAGAGCUGGUUGGUGCGGUACCCGAAAAACUGGUUGACAAAGGCAAGAAUGGAGCAUGAGAGAAGGCCAAGAACCCAUGUCCGAAAUGUCAAGGUUGGUUGAGAAGGGUCAUCGGUGGUCGAAACAGUUAGCCUGACUUGCUCAAUAGGAUUGUCAUUCACUUCAUCAUCUGUCACAUAAACACAUUCACAAAUUGCAGAUUAGAAACACACAAAAUUGCUUCAUCUUAGGUAGAAGUGUCCUAAAAUUGACCAUCUUUUCAUGUCAGCUGCAUAUACACUUUUACAUAUGCAUAUACAUAUCCCCAUAUAAUCAAGCUUGCUGAAUUUCCAGUUUCUCAGAACUAAAAAGUUACCAUCUUUAAUCUCAUGAAUAUAUUUAGAAACUGCAUAUAGACAUGUUCAUAUGCAUAUAAACAUGUACAGUCCUCACUAUCACUAAAACCCCAUAUCAAGCAAGCAAUUCCAACAGAAAAGUAACCACAUGCAAACACAGAGAAACAGAAUCCACCAAAGACCCAAAAUUUGGAACUUGUAAGAAACUAAAACAAAAUCGUCACCCCAUGAAAGUAUGGUUAAAACUUAAAAGAAACAGACUUUUCUGCAUAACAUCUUGGAAUGAGUGUUCAUAUAGAAACCCAGAAACAUAUUCAUACAUAUACGCAUAUAAUACUCACCAAUUACAUCAAUGUCAAAGUGAUGUCUCCCAGAAAGGUUUCCUGGAGGAACUCCAUCCUCAACCAAGCCUGUCAUCUCUGCCUCUCUCUCUCUCUCUCUCUCUCUCUCUCUCUCUCUCUCUCUCUCUCUCUCUCUCUCUCGUACUCGUACGUCGUACGUACGUACGUACGUACUACGUCGUACGUCUCGUCUACUACGUCGUACGUCUACUCGUACUCUACGUACGUACGUACGUACGUACUACUCUACUACGUACGUACUACGUACUACGUACUCGUACGUACGUACGUCGUCUACGUACUACGUACGUACGUACGUACGUACGUACGUACGUACUACGUACGUACGUACGUACGUCGUACGUACGUACGUACGUACGUUACGUACGUACGUACGUACGUACGUACGUACGUACGUACGUACGUACGUACGUACGUACGUACGUACUACCUACCUACCUACCUACUACUCUCUCUCUCUCUCUCUCUCUCUCUCUCUCUCUCUCUCUCUCUCUCUCUCUCUCUCUCUCUCUCUCUCUCUCUAGCUCUUUGUGUUUGGUAUUAGAGAAAGAAUGCCACUAUAUAAAAGAGCACAUGAAUCUGAAUCUGCUAGUGGUUUCUUUGUUUAGUGGUUUAUCAAGUUUACACAAGCUUGCUAUGAUAUACAGACUGUCCCUUGUACCGAUUUAGCAAAUUGUUAUCUCGUCUCUCUCUUUGUCUUUAUUUCGAAGAAACCGGUCUUUAUAUUGUGCAUAUGUGCUCGAUCACUUUCUAACCGACUAGUAAUUUGACUCUUUUACGUUAUGAAUCAACCUCUGAUUCUAAUGCAUGUUCUUGUUUGAAACCAAAAUAAGAAGUUAAUAAUUAGCAAUAAAACUAAAAUCGGGUAGAAAAAAAUUAGGAGAAUGAACCUAGAGUCUUUUUGGUUCCAAAGACAAAAACAAAAUUAACUACUAGAUUUACUGAUUAAGCCAAACUUGUAAAACAAAUUAGUGGCUUAAUUAAAAAGAAAAUUACUGCUUUAUGGACUCCCAAAUUUUGGGGGUGACAGCUCUGUGUGAUUAAAAUCGAAAUUAGUGGUAGUUGACAUGUGAGAUCAAGUAUAUGUGGGGCUAAUGGUAGCUGUCAUAGCUUCCAAAUCAAGUCAAUUCUUAGUCAUUCUAGUUUUCAUAGUUUGGCAAUAUAAUAGAGCUGUGAUUUUGACUAUUCAAACUGAGAGGACCUGGAAAAUAUAAUUAGGACAACUACGGAUUAGUUAAUGACAUGGUAAUGGAUAAAACCUUGAUUAAGAACUUAAUCAUUAGAAUAAAUUGAGUAUCAUGUACAGUGUACUGGUACCAUUUGAAUCAAUUGGUUGACUAAAGAUUCAGAUUCUCUCGAUAGAACGACGUUUUUAAGAUUUAGAUUUUCUCUUUGAAAUAUAAUUUACAUACUUUUUUAACGAAUCUUUUUCUAAAUAACUAUAUUCACGACCAAAUCAUAUCUCAUAUUAACCUCAUUGUCUUCAUUGGCUUACGAAUCAUCAUGAAUGCUAAAUUAGAAAUUUCCCUUUGUUAUUUUCUCAUUGGAAGUUUGGAACAGCCCAAAAAAUGGGCAGGAUGAGCCUAACUCUAAGUUUGAAGUUACCAGUCCAUAAAGGGUUUUCUUUAUAUUUCAGCUGUCCACUUGCACGUUACAUAGGGGACUUUGCCAGUUUGCCAUACCAGAAUUCCACUAUUUCAGAAAUUUGAAGUCAAGUAUCUGUAUCUCCAUCCAUAUAGACAGUUAGACACCACCCAAUCUAGGGCCAUCAUUUUCAGUUCACAUCUUUAACAUUUUGCAAUAUUUAUAUGCAUGCUGAGGAAAUUUGGAAGCAUAUACACACACAGCUCAUCAUGCUUAUUAUAUACAACGAGAUUUGGCUUGCAGCAUUUGUGGUGAUUCUGUGUAUUUUACUAUAUGAAAAUUUUAGCAUAUGAUGGAAUUAAUGUUCAACUGGCCAAGGCUUAUAAUUGAUUAAUAGGCAGAGCAUCUUAUCUUCCAGUUUCUUGGUUCAGUUUCUAUGUUUAAUAAGUGCAAGAGAUAAUUCUUUUAGAAAGUUGUUUGGGGUAAACCCGGUUCUAAUGGUGUGUUUCAGGUUUUGAAACGUGCAUCUUUUCGGUGCUUUUAGUUCUAUUCUUGAUAUUCGAAGUUUAGUUAUAGCUAAAAUGAUAACAAUCAUGAAGAUAGUUGACCAAGCUAGCUACUUGACAUAUGUUUAUCUGAUCUUUAUAAGAUUGAAUUUGAAAUGUGGGUAAGAGGAUCAAGUAAUCGGAUAGAUCUUGCAAAUUCCACUUAGCAAUCAAUUGGCAUUGCUAUCUUUCUAGUGUCAAAGGUGCAUGCCCGACCCUAUGCUAGCAUGACAUCUCCCUCUAGGGUUUGUUUUUAUUUUAGUGGGAACUGGGCACUUGGAUUGAGUGCUCUAGAGGCAAUUGAGCAUUUGUAUCAGUCAAAAGAAAAGUUCUGGAAUGUACUCCGUUUGUCUGUGUAGACGUGUCAAGCAGUCAUUGAUUUGUUGUUGAUUUCUCCGUCAAGGCCUGUUAGCGCGUGGAGCACACAUCCUCGGUUAAAUUUUCGUAGGCAAAGGCAGAUGAACUGGGGUAGCUCGAUUUAGUCGGGGAAUAGUUGGUUUGGUGUGUUGAAGAAGCUUCAGUUUGGUAGGAUUUGUCAAAACAGAUUUGAAGUUAGGAGAGACAGGUGGGUGGUGAUCCAUUGUCGUUUCUUGAGUUAGGAAUUGAUUUUCGUUUCUUGAAGUUUGGUGAUCGAAUUCAAUUUGCCUGAUUGGGUUCUUCGAGUUCAGUCGCCGUCGUUUUGGUGUUGAGGCCUGGGAAUGCGACUGAGGAACACACCAUCAUCUGCUGAAUUGAAGAUCUCAGGUACACUUUCAUCUCUUCUCUCUGUUUGGGUCUACUUUCAUCUCUUCAACAAGUUGAAUCCUUUUAUUGGGUUUGUUUCUGUUUGAUAUCUGGUGGGGAAUUGGAUCAGUUCAACAGGCUGAAUCGGCUUCUUCGAGCACACUAGAUGCUUAGGGGUUGUAAUGUUACUGAUUAAAACACACAAAAUACUUUAAACUUUACUAAUGCUCAUCUUGUUUGUGGUUUUCGUACAAUUUUGCAAUAUUUAGAGUGUGAGUUUUUAACUAGUGUGGUGAAUUCGGUAUAUUCAAGUAAUGGGUGAGAAUGCUGGGUUGAUCUAAUGUUGUUGCCAACUCUGUAUGAACUAUGAAGGACUAAAGUAAUUUAAUCUUAGCUCUCUGCACUUGGCCAAAUUAGCUGACAACAUUUACACCUACCUUUACACUCAUUUUUCUGUCAUAUAUGAUCAUUCUCUCGCAACGUGAUCCGGGUGUGAACUUAAAAAACUAUAGUAAAACGUAAUGGUGACUUGUUAUGCAAAAUCCAACCUUCCCAUUCUUGCAAGAAAGGGAUCUGUAAGCAUCAUUCAUUUCCAUCCUUAAAAAAUAAUCUGUUUCUUGAUGAUGUCAUAUCAAGGUAGCCCACAUCAACACGACGUGCAUAAUUUUAAGCCGUAAAUCGUUUUCCUAUUAAAUUCCAUCAGUUGUCAAAUUCUGCUUGCUGCUAUUCCCAUCCAAGCCAUAAUGGCAAGGUUUUGGAGGCCACUGUGUUUAUUAGAGACAUCUGAGAGCUACAGCUACUGCUCUAUUUGAUCCCAUUAAGUAAAGGGUUUUGCACAUAAUUAAUAUCAUCUUACCCCUUUUAAUAUGCUAAAUUAUGGGUAUGAAAACAAUAGAACACAACCACUUCUUAUGUAUAUUGGAUUCCUUUUGGAUUUUGAGCAAAUUUAUGAGUAUGAAAACAAUAGAAAACAACGCACUACUUUCUUUAUAUGUGAAAAACUACAUAUCUUUGCUGAAUUUUCUGAUGCACAAAUAGAUAGACCAAGUCUAUGCAGACUAGACUAUAUCAUCUGCUGAAUUGAAGAUCUCAGGUACAUUUUCAUCUUUUCUCUCUGUUUGGGUUUACUUUCAUCUCUCAUCUUCAACAAGUUGAAUCCUUUUAUUGGGUUUGUUUCUGUUUGAUAUCUGGUGGGGAAUUGGAUCAGUUCAACAGGGUUGAAUCGGCUUCUUCGAGCACACUAGAUGCUUAGGGGUUGUAAUGUUACUGAUCAAAACACACAAAAUACUUUAAACUUUACUAAUGCUCAUCUUGUUUGUGGUUUUCGUACAAUUUUGCAAUAUUUAGAGUGUGAGUUUUUAACUAGUGUGGUGAAUUCGGUAUAGUCAAGUAAUGGGUGAGAAUGCUGGGUUGAUCUAAUGUUGUUGCCAACUCUGUAUGAACUAUGAAGGACUAAAGUAAGUUAAUCUUAGCGCUCUGCACUUGGCCAAAUUAGCUGACAUUAUUCACACCUACCUUUACACUCAUUUUUCUGUCAUAUAUGAUCAUUCUCUCGCAACGUGAUCUGGGUGUGACCUUAGAAACUAUAGUAAAACGUAAUGGUGACUUGUAUUGCAAAAUCCAACCUUCCCAUUCUUGCAAGAAAGGGAUCUGUAAGCAUCAUUCAUUUCCAUCCUUAAAAAAUAAUCUGUUUCUUGAUGAUGUCAUAUCAAGGUAGCCCACAUCAACACGACGUGCAUAAUUUUAAGCCGUAAAUCGUUUUCCUAUUAAAUUCCAUCAGUUGUCAAAUUCUGCUUGCUGCGAUUCCCAUCCAAGCCAUAAUGGCAAGGUUUUGGAGGCCACUGUGUUUAUUAGAGACAUCUGAGAGCUACAGCUACUGCUCUAUUUGAUCCCAUUAAGUAAAGGGUUUUGCACAUAAUUAAUAUCAUCUUACCCCUUUUAAUAUGCUAAAUUAUGGGUAUGAAAACAAUAGAACACAACCACUUCUUUUGUAUAUUAGAUUCCUUUUUGGAUUUUGAGCAAAUUUAUGAGUAUGAAAACAAUAGAAAACAACGCACUACUUUCUUUAUAUGUGAAAAACUACAUAUCUUUGCUGAAUUUUCUGAUGCACAAAUAGAUAGACCAAGUCUAUGCAGACUAGACUAUAUCAUUGCCUCAGCACGAUUUAUGGUUGUUCUAUUGUUGCUGUUCUAUUACAAAAGCUAGCUGUUGCUUCUGUUUUUGUUUUGGUCAUGUGUAUACAUCACGUGCCCUGAAAGGCACAUAGAAACAUGGACCUCUUGUUCCCUUUUCAUUCUGGAAGUAUAUGCAAGACCAGAUAAUGGUUGUGAUCAAUUUGCCAAAAAAAAUUUUCAUGCUUGCCUAUUUGGGAAUCAGAGUCAUGAUUUGCCCCUUUUAAAAGAGUGUACUCAACAAGCUGCGAUGCUCUAUUUGUUUAAUUAGUUAUUGUAAAGCCAUAGUGAAUUAUGCUCACAUGUACAUAGGUAGUUGGUUUCUUAAAUUCCCCUACGUUGGCCUGGCCUAUUGUUGCAGUUGCAUUAUGAGUUUCUACCUGUUUUUUUACCUGUUACAUUACUAGAUGCAGUGACAGCAUCUUAUAGAUUUAGUUCAAUUUCAGCAAGAGUCAUGAUUUAAGUCCUAUCAGGUCAAUACUUAUAGCCUACAAGAUAUUUAUAUAACACUACGUCUGCCUGUGUUUUUGAAAAUGCAGGACUAGUAGCCUGUGUUUUGGUGUUGAGGCCUGGGAAUGCGACUGAGGAACACACCAUCAUCUACUGAAUUGAAGAUCUCAGGUAACAUGGAGUUUUUAGUGUCUGAUUUGCUUGUUAAGGAUUGUGUUAAAGGUUUAAAGCCUUAUUAUGAGAUUACACUUUUACAAUCUGGUCUGGUUUAAAUUCUCUCUUUCUCAGUCAUCCCUUGAUUCAUUGAAAACCCUCCUUUAGUUAGACAAUGACUGAGGAACACGCUAUGUACCAUUCCAUAUAUUAGACAAUGACUGACUCAAGUUCUAUAUGCUUUGUACUUUUGUUAUAAUUUGUUUUGUUCUAAAUUGAUAACAUGCUUUGUACUUUUGAUAUAAUUUGCUCCUGUGAAACUCUUAACGUGCUUGAAAUGGAUAGUUCCUUAAGUCAGUCAUUGUCUCUAAGUUAUGCGUAGCAUCUCUCUGUAUCAUGUUUUGGAUUAUAAUGAUUGCUGUUUGUUAAGAACCUAAUAUAUUGAUGUCUUGGACUUAUAAUGAUUGCUGUUUUGCUGCUCCAACUUAGAUUCCUCAUGAGGAAAGUUAUCCCAUUUUGUAGAAUAGAGUUUGUUGUGUUUUUUGGGUUUACUUGAGGUAGCUCUGAACUAGGGUUGUUCAUAUGCUUCCAAUUGUGUUAACUGUUCUGUUUACAAGUUCUAUAUGUUUCCCCAGCUUAUUGACUUGCCCUUGUUUCCUAUUUUGUUUCCAGGAAACUUCAAUCCUUAUAGUCUAUUUUGAUUCCAAAUCAAUUUGUAUAUGUCUGUACUUGAGUUCAAUUCGUACCCUGUUUGAAAAUGCAAUGAAUGUUCAUGCUUUGCUUUUGUAUCAGGUAGUGGUAAUGAAUGGAUUUGGAUCAAUAGAGGCUUGAGAAGAGAUGGAGAUCAAUUUUCUUUCUAUGAUCCAUUUUUGUUGCUUGUGUUCAGAAUUCUGGAGUGUUUGAAACCGAUUUGGUUUGAAGAAACAGUCGGGGACUGCUCAAAGGUCAGUGUUUGAAAAUUCUGAAAACAUUAUUGAAAUUGAAAUUAUGUAUUCGUAGUUGAAUUAAUCAGUGUCAGAUUAACGGUUAUUGUAUAUUUUGUCGGUGUGGUUAAUCAUGUGUAGCUAAUUAUGAGAGACAUGAUGUAGAUUUUGUGAUGGUCUGAUGUACUACAAAAUUACUUAAUUACUUAAAGUUACUAAAAUAGAUCUCUCUGUUCUAGAUUUCCGUUACUGGACGUUGUCAGCCUCCCUCCUCUCUCUCUCUCUCUCUAGUGAAUGACAUAGAGCUUAUUGUUUUGGUAAGAUGUCAAAUUGUUUGCUUGACACUCUGAAUACUGAAAAUACUAUCUUUUAUUUUUUACUCAAAAUUUAAUAGACUUAAGCUUACUUGAAGCUUAAAUUUCAUGCGAGGAUUUUGCUUCACAUGCUUACUUUAGCUUAAGGAAACUGAAGCUUUCAUAACUUUCAUCAGGCAUAGUGAAUUUUGCUUCAAUUAAUUGUAUUGGUAUGCAGAUUGUGAACCAACUGAGCAGCAACAGCUGCAGAGCAAGACACCAUAUCACCAAGCUCCACCAAACUGAAGUUUACAGCAACCUAAAGAGAGUACCUUGAAGGAGCUUUACAAAGAAGCCUGUGCAAAGAGACUAAAGAGGUAAUAAAUAUUAUAAAUUCUGUAGUUCCACUUUGCUCAUGCUGCCUGAUUUUAGAUCUGUCAUUUAUAGUUCCGUUACCUUUUUAGAUGCCAUAUUUGUUCACUGUGAUGGCCAUUUCCAAACUUGAUGAUAAGACACUUGGAAGACUUAUAAAAAUGUCAAAUGAUAUUCAGUUGUGGUUUUAGAAUAGUAGCUAGCUUGUUCUUAUUAUGAUUCAUUUGCUCUAGGAGGAAUCACCUGAAAUUGGUUAACUAAAGAGCUGAUGGCUUAUUCAAACAAAUGGUUGCUGAAUGAAUAUUGGACAACGUGUUGUUAUGCUUCUCUUGUUUGGUGAGAUAAAAUGCUAAAACUUACCACUUAGUGAUAUGCAAUUGAUGCCACUGAGCUUGAUUCUUUCAAAUUGAAUAAUUCUAUUUCAGUUUCUGUGUUGAAUAUUAUCAUCAAUCCUGUUCAAAAUUGAGCAUUCUUUAAUGUCAUUGUUAUCAUUAGUUUGAAGUACCUGUUAUUUUUUUUUGUCAUAAUAAUUGACCUAUAAGGUUUUUGAACUGAUUAAGUGUGUUUAUAUCCAGCAACUUACAUUGCAAAACCUGCAUUAGGAAUUAUAAUUAGACAAGAUGGACACAAUUUUAGAACCUUGACUGAAUAUCGUAACCAUGAACAUUGUCUUGUAUGUUACUAGUAAUUUUCUUUUCGUUUUAUUUUUUAAACUCACAGAAAACAAAAAAAACUUGACAGCAAAACCCUUAAACAGUAUUGAACUUCUGUCUCUGGUUGCAGAACCUGGGAGCUUCAGCACCAUGGACAGGGUACAAAUCAAAGUACGAGGCAAGUUCCUUGUGGUGGAUCUAGACAUCGCCUAUCGUAUUUGGGGUAUCAAGGAAUAUAUUCAUAAUGGUGACUUCAAGAGCCAGGUGCCAUAUUUGCAAGAUUUUAUAGUCGAAGGAGCAGCUCAAUUUGUAACCAAUAGAAGGCAGACAAAUGCGCAUUCCUCAUACAUAUGACUUCAUCAUAGAGUUCCGAUUUUCUUAUGCAAACUAGAUUCCAUUAUAAAGGUGCACUUGGUGUCUUGAUCAUGUUUGAGAAUCCUAUAAAUAUAGCUGGUUUACAAGUUGUUUUCAGCGUGUAAUAAAUCUUGUAGCUUAUUCAAUCACAAGGAGAUAUAACCGGGAGGUUCUCUUAUCUUUUCAUUUGACUUCAUAGUUUGGAUAUUUCCAAACCGAAUGGAUUUUGUUUCAGCACAAGGCAAAACACAACUAUCUGAAAGAGAAACAAUAAUUAAACUUAGAUAUACAUAGCAACUGAUCCCAAGUGGAACAAUGGAUAUCAAUUUUCCAAACCUUGGACCGAAUGAUUAGAGGGAAAUCCCAAGUGGUGGGCGAUGGGAAUCAAGUGAAAUGAUUCUAAUAUUUGAAGAAUGGAAUCGGAGGGAAGUUGGGGAAAUUUGGGUUUACCAUUGGUGGGAAUUGAAAUGUAGUGAAAUAGUUUUAAUAUUUGAAGAAUGGAAUCAGAGGGAAGUUGGAAAUUUGAGUUUACCAUUGGUGGGAAUUGAAAUGUAGUGAAAUGGUUCUAAUAUUUGAAGAAUGAAAUCGGAGGGAAGUUGGAAAUUUGGGUUUACCAUGGGAAUUGAAAUGUUGAAUUCAAUUCGGAUAAGUGACGUUUAAUUAAGAUUGACUGUUUUGAUCGAGAUCCAAACGUUAUCGAAAAUAUAUGAAUUUUAUACAGUAGCUACAUUUAAUUAUACUGAUCAUUGCCAUCCUUAGGUGAAAUCCAAAGAGGUUCUGCGGGGCCCACUUUAGAAACAACUCUAUUGAAAAUUUCGACAGUCACCCCUAAAUAGUGGUUUACAUCUCAUCAAUAUGGGAGUUUUUUGUGUGGAAGAAUCAAUCAAACUAGGUCAUAUAGGGGUAAAUAAGAGAGUUUUCAUGUAAUAAGUGGCAUUGGUUUAAUGUUGACCGUGUGGAUUUUGACCUAAACGUUAUCGAAAAAAUGUGAAUUUUUUUAAAUAGCCGUAUUUAAGUACACUGAUCAUAUCAGACGGUUGAAUUUUCAUUUUAUGAAAUUUAGCCAUUAGAACCACAACGUGUCUACUAAUGUGGAAUAACUUGUUUAAUAGGUUAUAUGUAAGUGUAGAUCUUUGUGAACCAACUACAGGGAGGAAGCAAUAUUCUCAAAAAUCUUGUGAAAUAGGAUGUGACCGGAACAGUGAAAUACGGUGAGGGUUGAAAAAUCACAAACUUCCAAUAACAUUUGGUUUCCAGUAAAAACGGUCAAUCCUGAUUACGAUUAGGCGCUCUUAAGGGGAGCCUAACCAACAGAGGGUCGAUUGAACAAGAUUUUUUCAUGAGUUUCUAAAUCUCAUAUAUACGAGUUAUAGUCUUGAAACCUGGGGAAAAUAGAGCUUCGCACGAUGCCGGUCAACCACGUUUCGUGUUAAAAAUAAAGUCAAAUUAAGGUUGACCGAUUUGAUGGGGGGCCUAACAAGUCUGAAACGGGGUGCAUUUUGUUCAGUAUAUCUAUUUAAAUACAAUGACUACAUUUGACGGUGAAAUUUUUAUUUUCACAUAUUUAUGACCUCAUAACGUCACGUGUCUAUUAAUGUAGUAUAACUUGUUUAGUAGGUUAUAUGCAAGUGUACAACUUUGUGAACCAACUAUAGGGAGGAAGCAAUAUUUUUAAAAAUCUUAUGAAAUAGGAUAUGACCGGAACAGUGAAAUACAGCUAGGGUUGAAGAAUUACAAACUUCUUGUAACGUUUGGUUUCCGGUAAAAGCGGUCAACCCUAAUUACGCUUAGGCGCUCCUAAAGGGAGCCUAACUAACGGAGGGUCCAUUUUACAAGAUAUUUUCACAGGUUUCUAAAUCUCAUAUAUACGAGUUAUAGAUUCGAAACCUGGGAAAAAUAGAGUUUCGCACAAUGCCGGUCAACCACGUUUCGUGUUAAAAAUGAGGUUAAAUUAAGGUUGACCGAUUUGAUGGGGGGCCUAACGAGUCCGAAACGGGGUGGAUUUUGUUCAGUAGACCUAUUUAAUUACCAUGACUACAUCUGACGGUGGAAUUUCAAUUUCAUAUAUUUAUGACCUCAUAACGUCACGUGCCUACUAAAGCUAUAUAAUUUGUUUAGUAGGUUAUAUACAAGUAUACAUAGUUGUGAACCAACUAUACAGAGAAAGCAAAAUUUUUAAAAAUCUUAUUAAAUAGGAUGUGACUGAAAUAGUGAAAUACGUCUAGGGUUGAAAAAUCACAAACUUCUGGUAACAUUUGGUUUCCAGUAAAAGUAGUCGACUUUAAUUACGCUUAAGCGCUCCUAAAGGGGGCCUAACCAAUGGAGGGUCCAUUUAACAAUAUUUUUUCAUGGGUUUCUAAAUCUCAUAUAUACGAGUUAUAGGUUCGAAACCUGGGAAAAGUAGAGUUUCGCACGAUACCGGUCAACCACGUUUCGUGUAAAAAAUGAGGUUGAAUUAAGGUUGACCGAUUCGAUGGGGGGCCUAACGAGUCCGAAACGGGGUGCAUUUUGUUCAGUAUACCUAUUUAAUUACAAUGACUACAUCUAACGGUGAAAUUUUUAUUUUCACAUAUUUAUAACCUCAUAACGUCAUGUGCAUAUUAAUGUGAUGUAACUUGUUUAGUAAGUUAUAUGUUUGUAUGUCUUAUUAAACUAAGGGAAGAAUAUAAAGUUUGAGAAAAUUCAUCAUAAGAUGGGAGUAAUGGUGUGAAAUAUGACAACGUUAGAAAUUCCAAAUUUUUUCAAUAAAGAUUCAGUCUCCAUCACAAGAGUAAACCCCGGAGGGUCAUUUUUUUUUUCAUCGUCUAUUUGAUAUAUUUAUUCCCGCUUGACGCAGCUAGCUUUAUAGAUGUUAGAAAAAUACGAUGUACCGUGUGAAUUGAGAUCUGAAUGAUAACAAAAAUGGGUAAAUUAUGUAAUAUUAGCCUUUAUUCACUAUAUUGGUCACUUCACACAAACAAUUUUCCCAACUUUUAUUUUCUCGAUAUAGUUGAUUUAUAAAGAUAUACAUUAAUUUAGAAAACGUGUAUCAUUUCCUUUUAUAGAAACCAUGUAUAGAUUACUUCCUUAUAUAGAGAUAAGGUAUAAAUUGAGCCCUUGUAUAGAAUUUGUUAGUUUCAUCAUAGUUGAGAUCGCACUAGUGGAUAUUACAAAGAAAGGGCAACAUGCAAUUACAGUAAACUAGCACUAUGAAAUAUUUCCAGGCCGUGUUUCCAACAAAGGUAUUCUGAUACAUUACACAAAAAGAGUCAUUAGGCAUAUUGAGCUGUCAACUGAUCCAUGAGCACUAGCUGUACUCCAGCCUCCACCACUCACUACUAGAGAUGUACCCUUUAAUGACACUUAUUUUAUAACGUUUCAUGAUAAAUGUCAUUGUAGGGGGCUUCCAUGACGUUUAGGGCAGCAAACGUCAUGGAUGUAAAACACGGAGCAAUUAUAUGACGUUUUAUAAACGUCAUGGUAAAACACAUACCAUGACGUUUAUUUUCUGUCAUCAAUAAGUUUCAAUGACGGUUUUGGUCUGUCAUACAUAUUGUUUGGGCCAUGACAGUUUAUUACUGUCAUCAAAAGUUUUGAGCUAAAUUUUGGACAUUGUGCCCAAAAUUUGGCUUCGCGCCUGACCCAAAAUUUGGCCCUAAAAUUUUCAGUUUGAGUUUGAGUUUGAGUCCCUUUAGUUUUAGGGUUCCCUUUAGUUUUAACUCACUUGCCUAAAAUUUCUCUCACCCAAACUCGAUCUCAAACUUCACUUUCCAAUUUCUCUCUUGCAAAUCAGUCACCCAAACUCAAUCUCAAACUCGAUCCGAAUCUCAUCCCAAACUCGGUCUCUCACCCAAAUCAGUCACCCCUCUCCCAAAUCUCAUCCCCAAAUCUAACACCCCUCUCCCAAAAUCUCAUCGCUAAAUCUCAUCCAAAUCUGUCUCACUGCUCUUCGCCCUAAUCCCAAUUGUUUGGGUCUGCUCUUUGAGUUGUCACAGGUUAGAACCCUAACUCUCACCCGACACGCAUCCAUUUCCUCUUCAGAUCAAAAACCAACCCAAAACCCCCAAUUCUAUAAUUCUGGCCAAAUCCUCUCUUCUCCGACGAGUUCAUGUUUCCCAAUGGUUAACCCAUCUCUCCCUUCCUUCGAUUUCAGUCCCUCAUGAACCUUAAAUUCCUAAUCUCGAUCUCUAGUACUUAAUCCAUUUCCUCUCUGUUUUUCAGCUUUCAUCUAGUUGUCAUCUUCGCGGCAUCUCCGCCUUGAAAGCAUGAAGUCGCCGCCGCAGCUAGGAGGAGGAUGGAGCCGCUCGGUCUCAGCAGCACCAGUGCGGGUCCUGAAGCCGCGGACUGAGCUUCGGGCUGAGGAAGAAGAGUUGGAUUUGGAGCCUUGAUAAAUCAAGGUGAGGUGGUUUCGCUGUUUCUAGAUAUCAGAUUUGUUUUGGGCAUUAUUGUGGGUGUUUGAUUGAGUUACCGAUUUGAUCUGAGGAGGAGAAAGCGUUGGUGGAGCUCUGUCAAGGCAGUGGCUUGGUGUUGGCAGCAGCAAAUGAUAGGAGCCCUGCUACUCAGCAGAGUUGGUAGGGAGGAGACCCUCGGCUCAGUUAUGCCUUAGCUAAAGGUAGUCACCCUAUAGUUUAUGUGUAUGAAUAUGUGUUGGUGUUGUUUGAUUAAACUAUAGGUUGUUAGAUGAUUGUGUAGUUAAUUGUGUUUUGGUGUUUAUGAUUGAAGUGUUAAGAUUAUAGUCUCGGUGGAGAAGUGAGGCUUGUUGUGAUUUUGGAGAAGAUUGGUUAUAGCGUGCAUGUUGUUUUGCUUUGGAUGAUUGGUUGUUUGGAACUUUGGAUUGAUAUUCUGGUAGUGUCGGAACAGUUUCCAUUCAUUUUUAUGUGAAUUGUGAUAGACUUUAUUUCAAUUGUUUCAUCAAGUUCCCAAGUCCCAGCUUUUGCUUUUUUCAAAUUUGACAUCCUAGAUCUGAGUUUUUGUGUUUGUUUACUUCUGUUUAGUGGGUUGCUGAAUUUCAAGCUUGCCACCGCUCAGGUAAGAGACCGAGUAUUAUAUGGUCAUAUCUUUCAUUUUUACUAAGAUGACCUUUAAUACUGCAAAGUAGUAAAAUAUGCAUCUUGGGAUUCCUUGUUUAAGUUCAUUUGAUUUGGUUCUCCAUAUGAUGGCUUUGACAGGAAGGAAGGUUGCUAGUUCAGACAAUGAAAUCUGGGAGCUAUAGUGUAAGUUUUUCUUCUAUUACUCAUUUACCUUGCUCUGCACUAGCUGUUAAUGUAUAUGAUGUCUGUUAGUUUCUUAAUUGAACAUGAUCUUGAUAAGAUUUUAAGGGACAAUUUGUUUCCUUGAACUCCUAGGACAGAUAACAGAUUAUUGGUUUAAUAAAGUAAUAGGUUUUGGGAGAUGUUUUUCUGAAGCAGCUACAAGGUAGAAAAAUUAGUCAUGAGUUCUUUAUAGCUGUAUUAUUUGUUUUGUUUCAGAUGCUUUUGAAUGUAAGAGAUAAUGUGAAAAAGGGUGCAAUAUACAUGUUCAGGUAUGGUCUUGUCUUCUUAUAUGCGUAGUCGAAUUUUAGAAAAGUAGCAAAGUUCUACUUUUGCAGGUUGUCGUUUACAUUGAUCCUCUACCCCAAUCAUCUGAACAAGUUUUAUUUACAUUGAUUAAUGCAUUGAGAAAAGUAAUUGUGUUGUCUACAUUGAUCACAUAGAGCCUAUAUCAAAUAUAGUCUGAUUUUUAUAUGGUUUGAGUUAUAGGGUUAUUGAGAAGGCAAGGAUUGAAGCUGAAUACGAGUUGCAGAAGCUGCUGCACAAAGGCUAGGCUGAACUUUAAUUGGAGGAGGUUUUGAACAAGACUAGAAAAUUACACUUGUAUAUAUAUUUUUUGAUAUAGUGGAAACUAGAGGACUUGGUCUUAAUGAAACAAUUAGUACUGUGUCUAUGGUGACUGUGUGAAUACAAACAUAUUUGAUUUCUGAAUUUAAUCAGAAAUCAAAUAUUUUUUUUAUAAUAUGAAAAACAAUUAAUGACGUUGGGAAAACGUCGUGUAAGCCUUUUCUAUAGCAAUUGAAAAACGUCAUUGAAAACCUUAUUAUAACAGUUUAUAAACGCCAUUAAAAGGUUUCUAUGACGAGAACGAAGUAUCAUCAAAAGAUUUUCAAUGACGUUUGAAAAACGUCAUUGAAGGGUACCCUUUCCAUGACACAGGCUAAGACGACGUUCCUAACGACACAGAAAACGUCAUGGAAGGUCUUCAAUGACGUUUUUUGUGUGUCAUUGAAGGGGUCCUGUGUAGUAGUGACUAGAACCGAUGCACCAUUCCAUUUCAUAACAAAAACAAUAAACAAAAAAUUCCAGUCAAUCUUUAGCUUUAAAACACAUUAAGCCAGGGAAGUGAAAUGUGGAACGAAUAAGCUGUAUAACUCAAAAUUGAGUUACAACACAAUCAAGGAACUAACACAAACAAACCAUUUGUACAAUACAGUUAUCUCAUAUUGAUAAGUACCAAAACCCAACAGACUUCCUCAAACCUCAAAAUAUAUCCGAAACAAAUUAAUCUCUAUCAAAACUCCAACUCUGGAAAUCCCACAAAAUUAAAAUUACCCUGCACCAAAAUCCCCAAACACCUUCCUUCCAAACACAAAUUGUAUUAUGUAUCUCACUGCACACGAAACACAACAGACCCCAACCAAACUUUAGCGAAUCUAACAAGACAACAAAAAUGUUAUGAAAGAGGAUAUGAUCUUCCUAUGCCAAAUAAUGAAGCCACCAAAUAAAGUAAUACAAACUAGAAAUUUGGUUUUCAAAACUAAACGAUAUAAUCAACUCCAAAACCUUAAGAACCAAAGGGAGAUAUUAACAGGCAACCCAAACUCUCAAUAAUAAGUGACAGAAUAAAACCAAAACAUUUGAUUAUUCAUUUGAUAGCAGUACAAAUGGUUACCUAAACUCUCAAUAAUAAGUGACAGUUUACCUACUCAUUUGAUUAUUCACAAGAAACAUGUUGAUAUAUUAGAUUCACAUGUCCACAAAUGUAGGAAGUAAAGCAAUAAAUCAUAAACCAUAAGAAGAGCACUUAUAGCAUUACUUUGUAGUUCAACGUGAAAAUAGCAGUACAAAUCGGGCAAUAAAAGGGGCACAUGAAGGGAACCCUCAGAUAGUUAAGUGAACUGUAUUAUCGAUGUAUCAGAGAUGCACAUGAGCGAAGGAAGAAAGAUGCAAUAACAUUACAAAGACAAUAAAAGAGAAACUGAGAAAAUAAAACUUACUUCGUAGUUCAUGACUAGAUACAUCUGUCUAGAAAGUUAAAACAUUUCAAGCGGAGUUAUGUUGAGUGAAUUUCAUGCUAAUUCAAAACUGUAAAAAUGGAAAAAAAAAAAAAAGAAAAAAAAAGUAAAAAAAAAAAGAAGGCUUACCCAUCAUGUUUAGGAAAGUCAUAGCCAGUUAAAAAUUCAUCCAAGGCCCAGAACUGUCAAAUCCAAGCUAAAGGGAUUUAGUAUAACCAACAAGAAACAAACACAUGAAUCUCUUAAUCUCGAAAAUCAAGAAAUCUAAUAAAUUCAGGAUACAUGGUCAGUUCUUCCACACCUACUUAAAACAUUAAUAAUCCCGUUUAACCAAGCUUACCAAUUACCAAUCAAGUAACAGCAAUCCCCGAAAUUCUUGAACCCUCAGCUUAGGGGUAUUAGACCCUAGCCUAACCAUAUCAUCCAGUGAUCAAAAUUCCCUUCUUACUGUUGGACUGCAGUCUUACAAGGCUUAGUUCCUUAUUACUGGUUGUUUCAUAUUCCAAACAGCCUGACCUCAAUAGGAAAUAUAUGUCGGAGCUUAUAAAGGCAAUUGCAAGACAAGAUUACAAAAAUCUACUUCAAUCAAAUACCUAGAGGAACAUACAUCAGAAAGAAAGGUGUAAAGACAUAUUGUCAUAAACUAUAACCCAAUUUAGGGGUAUGUGAAGACUAAAAUGGCUGCAUCUUCAGUGAUGCAGCAUGUGUUAACUUGAAAUGAAUCUUUGCAGGGCCAGAAAUAAGAUAUCCAGUGAAUACUUAGCAGACAUGAGGAAAGUUUGUCACGGGUUCAACCAUACUGACCAUCAAUGGCCAGUAAAGAGCUUCAAAGUUAGAGAGUAAGCUACAGCCUGCUUGAAAUAAAUAUAAAAAAAAAAGAAAAAGAAAAAAGAUUCAGUUUGUAGUAAAGAGGACUCGUUCCCAGAUUUCAAGAUUAAGAAGUCAAAACGCUUGCAGAGUACAAAAUAUUUUUAAAUUAUAUAAAGGAUAAACUACAUUUUCCGCCCAUGUCUUUUGACUCAAAACUAGAUUUGUUCCCCUCACACUUAAACUUAGCAAUGGGAUCCCUUUGUGUUGCGACUGUUAGAGAUAUGAGGAACAUGUUUUGAUUCAGUCAUUCAACCUCACUAUAUUGACCACUGGCCGUGAGAAUCAUGUGCAUUCAAACUUACAAAAACUACAAGGUGUACUUGAGUUGUUAAAGAAGUAAAUGCAAUUGCCUAUAUUUGCGAUUUUUAAACCCCAUAGACCAAUUAUGUUUUGUGUCAGAACAGAGAACCAAAAUAUAUGUUUUGCAAACAACUGAGAUGCUAGAUCAAAUGGUUAAUCAACUGGACAAAAACAAACUUUAGAAUUCAGUUAUCCAAGGUGGUAGAGGUUAUGGAGAGAUCCUAGAGGAUAAAGAAAGAGUGAGAGACCUGUAUAUCCAAACAGCUCUAGACUAGGAGAAGUUUAACAUAUGGCCUUAGGUAACAUAAAAAUAAAACAGCUUCAAAAGCAGCAAUGCACAAUCACUGAUCUUCAACUGGGAGAGUGCCAAAAAGUAUCUCUGAGGAUGCAGCAACAUGAACACGAGUAUUGAAAUCAUAGUAUUCCAGCAUUAAACAGAUUUAAGAAAUGAUUACCAGGACUCAGACCCAACAUCAUAUAAACUACAAAAAGAAAGAAAAAACAAGAACAGCAACGAGAUUCAAUCACUAUGUUUAUCAGCAUCUAAGUAAAACUUACAAGUUUGUCCGAAGAAAAAGAAAAGAUACAAGAAUCUCAACUAGAAAUAAAAGAAAUGGAAUGCUGAUGUUCAUGCUGCCACCAUUGAAACAAAAUCAAAAAUGAAAAAUAAAAGCUGAUUAAUUUUGAAAAUUGCCAGAUACAAACGUGUGUAGAUUCAUACAUCAAAUUUCUAUACACCAAAUAACAUAUUCUUUUGCUUAAAUUGCCACAACUCUCUUUGAUUAACUAGCUACAAGGAAUUCAUUCUACAAAAAAAAAAAAAAUAGUUACAAGGAAUUCCGUUUGGUGCCCAGCCAGAUGGUUUAUUCAUAGUUUUAUACUGAAUCUCAGAUUAGAAUUCUUGCAAGUAUUGAACUCAAUAAGAAAAACAGAAAAAACUAAUACUGUUAAUUGGAAACAUUCUAAGAUUCCAAAUGUUUGAUGAAGGAUAACCAUAUCAGAGCCGUUUGUAACCAAAAUACCAUCUAUAGACUCUGACCCAUUGAUUAAAUUCUCCAAGUAUUUCCUACUGCUCAUACACAGCUCACAAAUUAAAUAACAAUAACAUAGACUGAAUCAAAUCGAAGAGAAAGAUGGAAUCUUGGUACUUACUAGAAUACGGUGAGGAGUCAGGGCUGUGUGGGGAAUAAUGAACUGAGGUUAUGGCCGAGGUCGAGAGAUUCUUUUUUUUUUCGAUUGACAGAUGAGAGAGACUUUGAUGAAGAAGAAUAAUAAGAUAACAAGUCUACCCACUACUAAAACCCACGCGACGCGCUCGCCAACCGCGUGCGUCCAACCCAAAGAGUAAAAACCGAGUUACUCCGUCAACAGACAGACAGAGUACAUGCCCAACUUCUCUUACUCUUAUUAGCACAGGACAAUGGGGUCGUAUGGGCAAAGAUAUGAGGGCUCCUUUUCUUCCAUGAUGAUGUCAAAACUGCUCAGAAUUUGGCAAUUUUCAGGUGAAGAAUAUCAGUAUGAGGAUAAGAUUCUUUGAUGUCAAUGAUUGCCUCACUUGUUUUGUUUGUUGGUGGUGAUUCCUUUUUUUUUUUUUUUUUUUUUUUUGAAAAUUUGUUGGUGGUGAUCCUAGUCCUUCUUGAUAUUUUUUGGUGACUAUGAUGCUUAACUCCCUCAAUGUCUGCCUAUAAUAAUUUCCAUUAAUGGCUCAGUGUAACAAUAAAGUAAUAAAGGACAGAUUUAUUUCUUAAAACUUUAAGAAGACAAUAUCACAUAAAAUAUAACACAAUGAUGACCCUGAUUUUAAGAUUGAGAUAUUGCAUGAUAAUUGGUGGUUGGAAGGUUGUUUUUAUUUACCCAAAAUAACUUUGCGACUCUCUCCCAAUUUAUUUAAAUAGAACGCUGAGAAAACAAAAAUGAUAAACAAUGAAACUAGAUUGUAACAUACUUAUUGCCAUAGACCUAAACUAAUAGUGGUUAGAACUUGAAAGCUAGCUUUGAUUUUGGUGAUUUUGAUUUUAGCCUUCAUAGGACAUUUUCAAGUGUCCUAGAUAUGUCUCAUACAACAUGUUUCUAACAAGUGUUAGGCAAUCAUAAAUAUUGUUUAAGUUAAUGUUGUCAACGAGACUUUAUGACUCAGUUGUAACGUAUAUUGUCAUGUCUUCAAUCUUAAUAACAUAUGCUCUCCACCAUCUUAUGAAGGCCAGCACUGGCUACGGUGGAGAGUUAGACAGCAUCUUUCCCUCUCCAUAUCUUUUUUUAACUAUGAAUUUCUCUACCAAAGACUUAACCUAUGUUAAUAAGAAAACUUCUCAGUAGAAAAAGUGUAACUGUAAGUUUCUAACUAACUAUAAUUACAGUAGAAAACUAGGCUCAGAGUGUCUGACACGCCGACAUGACGUCUGACACUCCCAUGGCGUGUCAGAAAAUGUUGAUUUUUCUGAAACGGCUCGACACGUUGAUCGACACGACAUGCCAUUUUCUCGACACGUUAUGUUAGCAAAUUGUAAACUAGACUGGAUCAAAAUAAGCUCAGUAUCAUUUGGUAUAGUAGCAUCAGUCUUCUUUUUGUAAGUGGGAGGUCGUGAGUUCGACUCACAAUAGACUCGUUGUAGCAUUCCAGUUAUUUGUUGGAUCAAAAAAAAAAAAAUUAAACCCAAAAACCUAAGAUCUGACAAUUGCUUUGUUUGAUGUUAUUUCUUUAUGCAAUGGAUUGAACUUAGAGCUUUAAUUUGGUAAUGUAAUGAAUUUAUUUCAUGUUUUUAGUAUGUCUUUUAUGUACAAGAGAUAUUUACCGUAUCGGGUCUUAAGUUUUUGGGACUUUCUGUGUCGCCAUGUCGGUGUCGGUGUUGGUGUCAGUGUUGGUGCCGGUGUCGGUGCAAUGUAGUAAGUAGGGUUUCAAAGCAUUUCAAAUUCAAAGAACUAGGCACCCUUUAGCCACGAUUCCUGGUGCUGUAGGACAACUAGCCAAAGAAAAAUGUAAUGAAUUUAUUUUAUGUUUUUAGUAUGUCUUUUAUGUACAAGAGAUAUUAACCGUACCGGGUCUUAAGUUUUUGGGACUUUCUGUGUGGCCAUGUCAGUGUCGGUGUCAGUGUUGGUACCAGUGUCGAUAUCGGUGCAAUGUAGUAAGUAGGGUUUCAAAGCAUUUCAAAUUCAAAGAACUGGGCACCCUUUAGCCACGACUCCUGGUGCUGUAGGACAACUAGCCAAAGGAAAAUGAUCUUAUAUUGGUCAAACCCCACCAUUCCGGGCCGAUUAUGUUCUUGGACUGAAGAGUACGUGAAGUAUAGAAGAACAGCCAUGGAGGCCACUCAAGCAUCCAAACCAGCCGAUAGGAUAUAGUUAUACCUAGCCCACCAUGCCUUACAGUUUCUGUACACAUAGAAGUUGAAGAAAACUCCAAUUGCAUGCCAACCAUGAUGAGUAGUUGACAGCUCUAGCAGGUGGCAUGUCACUUCCUGCUUCUAGGAUUAGAGGCAUGUUUAUGAGCUUAAUCCACCUCUUGUUGGGAAAUUUACGUGACAACAACCAAACUGGAACAGCUGCAAGUAAGCCGAUGAGGAAGAACCAGUUCAUCUCAGGGUAGAUGCCUUUGUUAGUGAACAUUCUGAGUGGACCUAUAACCCCCCAUAUGAUUGAGGCAUGUGCAAAUACGUAUAUCAAACUUACGAGGAUGUCUAAAAUUAAAAUACGAGCUGUUCACAAGCUAGACAAGCCGAAUAUAUUCUAGUUCAAGCUCGGCUCGAUUUUUUUGUCGAGCUAAAUAUUAAGCUCAAACUCGGCUGAUUUAUCUUACCAGCACGAUACGAACGAGCUAAAAAAACGAGUCGAACACGUGCAGUUUGAGCUUACUGACUUACAGUGUCCAAAUUGUCGGCCCAAAUUGAUUCCCAGACAGAAAUUGGGCCACACUGUUAGUUCAGCCCGACAGGCCCACUUUCCUCUUCUUUUCUCUCCUCUAUCCCUAAAACCCUGAACCCCAAUUUUGCAAUUGCCUCCCUCUCUGCAAAACCCUAACUUCAAAACCAGUACUAGAGCCUCUCUCCUUCUUCAGAAGACAAAUUGGCAGCGGAGAGAACCCAAAACGAUGUCGUCUGGUAACGAAGACACGACUUCAAGCUCAGAGUCUGAGCAAUCAGAUUCCGCAAACGACACACUGGAUUUCAUAGAGAAGCUCUCAGAUGUGCCCAUGGGGAAGCUACCUCCACACAUCGAUUUCCAGAGGACACGUGUCGAUUGCAAGGCUGACGCUCCCAUUCACGUAAAGUUACCUCCUUUUGUUUCUCAUUUUUACAGUUUUGCAGUAAUAUUUACUACCCCAUUGAUUUGUUUGAGUUCAAAUUUGUGUUGUGAUAGCUUGUUUUGAUAAGAAAGUUGAUUCCUUUAUUGGGUUUGGUUUGAUUUUUUGGUUUUUGUGUUUUUCGGAUUUUGGGUUUUUGCAGACUGAUACAUUUCAGUACUCCGGUGCUUAUGCAUCGAUGGGAGUCGAUAAUAGCUUGUUGGAUAGCUUCUCGAGCAAGUUUAGAGUUGAGGUUAUUCGUCUCGAAAAGGAUGAAAUGGAGUUUGAUAUGAUUGGGAUUGAUCCGGCUAUUGCCAAUGCGUUCAGGAGGAUCCUCAUAGCUGAGGUUUGUGUUGUAAUUUUUCCAUAGAUAGUCGAAAUUUGCGAGUUGUGGGUGUGCUUGAUGAGAAUUCGUAAUAGGUUAAUAUUGUCUGUUGAGUGUAUUCUGUAGCUUGUUGAAGAAAAAAAAAAUAAGUAUACCAAUCAUUUUGAUUACUAUUUUUCUCUUGAGUAAAUUAUUUGAUGGUUGCAAGUAAAAGCAGAAACAGAACGUAAGCUGUUUGACUAUGUGAGUUUUUUGUAGUGUAAUUGAUCUAUCAAGGGUUAAUGUCAGUGUUGCCUAUUAAAGAAAAUUAUGUCCUCACAGCUUCAUUGUUUUUGUUUGUUUUUAUUAGUUAUGUAGUUUAAGGGAGGGGAAAGAUACUUACAUUUUUUCCAUCUAGACCAUUCUGACCUCUGUUAAAAAUAUGUAUCUGCUACUCUUAGUUUGCAAGUAACUCUAGGAUGACUUUUAUGUGUGUUCUCAAGUGCUAUGGAGUUGGACGAAUAGAUAUGUCAAUGAUAAUCCUAAAUUUUCUUAGUUGAUGCAACUGUAGGUUCCCACGAUGGCUAUUGAAAGAGUUCUUAUUGCAAACAAUACAUCAGUAAUCCAAGAUGAAGUCCUUUCCCACAGAUUGGGUCUCAUUCCAAUCAAGGCUGACCCAAGAUUGUUUGAAUUUACAGGUUUGUUUGAUCAUUCUGUUGUUUCUUUUUCUUUUCUUUUUUUUUCUUUUUAAAAAAAAAAUUCUGUUUUGUUGAUCCACUUUAUAUUAUUAAGGUGUUGAGUUUUCCCCUUCAUUUUUUCUUGUUAGAAAAUAAUACGGCAAAUGAAAAGAACACCAUUGUUUUUGGGCUCAAAGUGAGGUGUGAAAAGCAAGGCAAACGAAAGGGACCAAAACGGGAGGGGCAAGAACAAGAUGGACAAACACGUAUCACAGGUAUACUUCUUGUUCUUUAUAGGUGACAUAAAACUACUUUUGAUUUCCUGGCAUGUUUAUAUAUCUUUUGUGGAUGAUUUUCUUCAUGUUGUAAAUAUUUUGUAAUUUGUGAAACAGUCAAGUCAAAAGAUUUGGUUUGGUUGCCAAAUGGGAGUAACUUUACCUUGGAAUCAGACGGUUCAACCUACACAUCAUUUAGUUGCAGCCAGGAUUCCAUGCCAGAAUUUGCCACCAAUCCAGUUGGUCCAACGGAUGGAGAUAUUACAAUUGCUCGACUGGGCCCAGGCCAGGUAACUCUUUUUUACCUCUUUUAUAGGUCUAGUUAUUCUUCAAAAAGCACAUAUAUUGCUUUUGUCAUGUAAUGCGGGGUAUUGAAAACAGCAGUUAACUCCAAAUAUUGUUCGACGGAAUGUGAUUGCAAGUACUUCAAAAGAGCCAAGAGUAGUUUGAUGAAUGUAAAUUCUCAAGCUAUAUGCUAAGUAUUGAACAUGGAGCCAUUUGUUUUUUGACUAAUGUAACUGCAAGUGAGAUGAGAACAGUUCAAUUUAAAUAACAAAUAAUAUUAAUUCAUGACAGACUAGCUAUUGCUAAUUGGCUCAAUUUUUUUUUUUCAACUAAAAUAUAGAUGUAGAAGUUAAUCAUCAGUUGUGGAGAUUAGGGUGGUCACUCAAGAGGGUAGACGAAAAGACUGGUUCAGGUGUUUUUUAUCAUUCUAAAUACUAGUUUCAUUAUGUUUAGCAAGAAAUGUCAGGUCCAUGGUCUGCUUCCAUGUGGUCUCGGGUUCAAACCCCUUCAUUGUAGCUAGGUAUAUUCUAGAGUUUCCUGCCUCCUAGGCAUUGUAGGCAGGAGCCCCCAAUUUUGAGCCCAGGUCUAUAAAGCCAGUCUGGGAUGCCCGGGCAUAUUCUUUUCUAGUAGUCAGGAAAUUUAUUGUAUUGUUCUUUCUUCAUGAACUGACACUGCCUACCUCUUCUUAGGAAAUUGAACUGGAAGCACUUGCUGUUAAGGGAAUUGGCAAAACACAUGCAAAAUGGUCCCCGGUUGCCCCUGCUUGGUACAGAAUGCUUCCUGAGGUAAGGGGAUGUGAUAUUGUGUGAUUGCGUAAAGAAGUAAAGAUCACACAUAAUAAUGAACUUUUGACUGUGUUUAGGUUAUAGUUCUGAAAGAUAUUGAGGAUGAGAUGGCUGAGAAACUUGUGGCAACAUGCCCAGUCAAGGUGUUUGAUAUCGAAGACAUUGGCAAUGGUAACAUGAAUUUCCUACUAUGCAGUAUCGUUACCUGUUUGUACUUGCUCAAAAUACGUUUUCUCUUUUCCAUUUAUUCAUUGGCUUGAUCAAUUAUUUGACCGCUUAUCAGGUAAAAAAAAGGCUACUGUAGCUAGAGCACGAAAAUGCACACUGUGUAGGGAGUGCAUCAGAGAAGGGAAGGGAUGGGAUGAUUCUUUGUCAUUACGACGUGUCAAAGAUCAUUUCAUUUGUAAGUGAUAUGUUGAUUUUUUUACUAGACUAUAAUUUAUAUGGUCCCCUUGAUUUCUGGUUAUUGAUGGGUGUUCUGGAACAGGCUUUAAUCCUAAAAACAUUCAAUUUUGGUGUUUUGAUUUGCAUAUGAUUACUUAAAAAUGUAUAAAAUCUGACUUCAGUACGCGGAUUCUAAUUUCAAUAAACUUCUUUGUGUCGCCCUAGUCUUUUCCAAAUCUUUGACUUGCGUAUUUGAUGAUUGAUUCCAAGCAUUUUUAAAUAUAAUUAUUUGGCUAACAGAUAUAAAUCCACAUACAUGAAAAGUCUAGCCAUUAAUUGAUUUGCUUUGUUCAGUAGACAAAAAGAGGAUAGUUGUUGUAGCUUUGAAUUUAAGAUUUUGUAACAUGGUAUCAAAUGAAUCUGUAGAUGUCAGAAGUUGGAUUUAAAAUUACUUAUGAACUUUGUUUUCUUCAAAAUCAUGUAAGCAGGUAAACUAUUGAGGAGUUAUGUAGGGGGAUCUGAGGAAAGUGUCAAUGUAGUAUAAUUUGUUUCUAUGCCUGUUUUCUGAGUUGUAACUCUCAUUUUUCACUCACAGUUACCAUUGAAUCAACUGGGGUAUUACCACCAGAAGUGCUAUUUACCGAGGCUGUGAAGAUACUUCAAGACAAGUGUGAACGUGCGAUUAAUGAUAUUUGUUGAUGAUGCCUGUAUUUCUUGUGUAGACAGAAACUGAAACAAGAAAAAACUCAUUGUUAUUCUGUUGAGAUCAAGAGUUUACAUGCUAAUAUCAGUAUCAAAUGUGUGUUUCGAUUGGGCCUGCUUUUGUAUUCAACCCCAUAGUCUUGAUUUUUUUUUUUUUUUUUUUUUUUUUUUUACCCCAAUCAUAGUAUUUUUCCAAAUUCAAACUAUCUUGGUGGACGGGGAGACUAAUUUCAAGAAAAUGGGGACCUUGAUACAGUAGUUGAUAUGGUCUGAUAUUUUUGAGAUGCCAUUGGGGAACUCCUGGCAUGUCCUCGUCAACUCCCUCCCAACAACCCUGUCAACGUUGUCAAGGCAACAACAUAGUGAAGACCAACUAUCAUGUAUGUAUCAACUAUAUUAUUCUCCCAAAACGAGUUCAGGUUUGUUAGAUUCUGCUACUCAUCAAUACCACUCAUGCUAAUGGGUUAAGCUAGCUAUACAUGUGUGCAACAGCAUGUAAACAGAGGCAAUUCUUUUUGUUCAACUAGUAAUGCCUUGUGUUCUUGUUCAUUCAGCUGUGCUUUUUGCCUUGUGUUCUUGUUCAUUCCGCUGUGCUUUUUGUUCUUAGUCUACUCGGACACAAGGUCUCCGCAUGUCUCCUUGGCCACAUGAAUAUUUUUCUUCUAUUGGUAGUUCCUUCACUUCCUUGUAGAGAUAACCAUCGUCACUAACACAUCAAAGCUCAAACACAAUUAAUGACUGCAGUUGGGGUGUUGGGCAACAUAACUUUGUUUUGUUCCCCUCUAUGCAAAUUCCACUCUUCUUCUCUUCUUCUCUUCUCUCUCCAACUCAUCCUUUCUUCUGAAUCUGAUGGUACAAAACCUCUUUUCUGCCCUGUGUGCUUCAUAUCAGUGAUGCCCUUUUGAAGUUGCAACAAAGAAGGAAAUAUCACCCCUGUCCGUAAAUGGAAAAACAUGUAAAGCACAACACAUUAAGGAAUAACAAAGUUCCAUCAAAAUAAGAACAAGGAAUGUAAGUGUUUAUCUACUGCAGAUUAACUUCCACCUAUACAAUGUCAAACAUUUGUGUAAACAUUACUACAUUAUUAAAGGUAUCUACACUGAACCCAACUCACCAUAAAAUUCUUUGAUGCUGGCCCUCAUUUCGUAAAUCAACAUGGUGGUCUCCAUCCGGAUAAUCUGGUAAUCCAUCACAUUACCACAGCCAAAUGAGAUAACAAACAAAAUGAAUAUAUUUAAGUAGAUGGAAUAACACAUGAUGAAUAAUUUAAAAUUGAAAUAUUGGACUUCAAGAUUAAGAAACAUGUCCAAAAAAAGGCCUUCACAGAAAGUUAACAUUUUUGCAAAGAAAGAAUGAGAGGGGAGGAAGAUGAACUUGAUGAUGGGAUAAAUUGAUUACAAAAACUCAAAUUAGAUUUGGACAUUAUUACAUUCUCUCACUAGUUAACAUCUCUCAUCUCUUCAACUCUACCCCUCUUUCAUUAAUUAGAGAAACAACGGAACACAAAACAAACGAAAUCUUCAGAUAAUACAUAAAAUUCAAUUAGAUAAGAGACCAUGCCACUUAAAUCAUCAGAAUUCUAAGCAAGCCAAGGGCCCAGCAACAUGGCAAUCCGUCCAUGAAUAAAAAUAUUCAGUCAUGUACACAAAUGUGCUAAAAAUUGGAGUGGAACAAGGAAUUGAUAUUGUGUUUCAAUGGUGGACUUACAAACAGGAUUGACAGAACAUCCAAGGUUGCCAAAGGAGCAGCACUGCAGCAUCAGACUGUAUCUUUAAGCCAUGCUAAUAAUACAGGAUCCACUGUACCCUUCAACAAUAAAUCAGCAAUCAACUCCAUAGUCGAUGCAUCUGCAGAGAAACCCCUCUCACACAUUUCUAGAAUAAGUCCCGUAGCCCUUGACGACUCAUUGUUAUUGAAAAAACCUUGGAUGAUUGUGUUAUAGGUACAAUCAUCUGGAGAACAGCCUUUCUCCUCCAUUUCUGUCAACAACUUUUCAGCUUCACUUAAAAGGCCACCUUCACAAAGUCCACUGAUCAUUAUGGUAUAUGUCCAAACAUCAGGUUGAAUAUGCUUUGAUGACAAACCAGAGAAGACAUUUAUUGCAGAAUCCAUUUCUCCAGCUUUGCACAAACCUUCAAUGAUAAUGUUGUAGGUUACAAUAUCUAGUUCCAACUUCUUCCCUUCCAUCUCUCUAAGCAGUUCCAGUGCCGUAGAAAGUUGUUGGUUGUUACAAAGGCCAUCAAGUAAAACAGCGUAAGUUUGAACAUUUGGAAGUUGGCCACCACAAUGCAUCUCAGAGAACAACUUUUGGGCAUCUUGCAUCCUCCCCACUUUGCAAAAUCCGUCAAUAAGAGUGGUAUAGGUGAUGGUGUCUGGAACCAGCUCCCAACAAUUCAUUCUCUUGAAAACCUUAUAAGCCUGAUCGACCGUUUUACUCUUGCAAUAUCCGUUUAUCAAUAUAUUACAACUACAAACAUCAACUAUGGAACCCUUCUGAACCAUUAGAUCAAAUACUUGUUUCGCCUCAUUCAUCUCUCCUCGCAAACAGUAACCGUCCAUAAGCGAAUUGUACGUAACCACAGUAGGUUCGAUAUGUCUUUGAAACAUGAUGUCAAUCACACUUUGGGCUUCCACAACCUUCCCUUCCUUACAGAUUGUAUCAACCAAGACAUUGAAGGUGACGACAUCUGGAAAGACACCUUGACUCACCAUAUAAUUCAAACUCACCAUAUAAUUCAACAACCUGAUAGCUUGUUCCCACCGGCCGAAAUCACAAACUCCUUGAAUCAAAGAGGUGUAAGUUUUAACACAUGGAGUAAUACCUCUGCUGAUCAUUUCUGCAAAGAGUUUCAAUGCUUCAUCAUGAGUGUGGCCUUGCAUAGACCGUCAAUGACAGUGUUAUAGGAGACUAUGUCAGGCAUAUAACCGUUUUCUUCCAUCUUACUAAGUAAUUGCAUGGCCGCACUGUUGUUUCCCGUCUUGGAGGAGCCCUUUAUAAGUGUGUUGAAUGUAAACACAUCGGGCUUACAAUGACCUGCCUUACGCAUUUUGUUGAAAAAUCGUGCCGCUUCUUGCACUUGAUUGUCGAGAACAAAGCCGUUGAUUAGAGUGUUAAAGGUAAUAACAUUUGGUUGAAGACCCAAUUUGAAGAACUGACCCAAGACAGAUAAGCCAAACAGCAAUCUAUUCAAAUGGCAAUAGCAGUUGAUGAGAAUAGCGAGAGUAUAAUAAUCAGGAGCAAUUCCGAUCAGACCUAUCUUUCUACUCAAAGCGAUGACUGCAGAAUAUUGUUUGAAUUUGACAAGUUGAGUCAAGAUUUGAUUGAAAGGGAUAACAGGAGGCAGAGGACGCGAGUGAAGCAUUUCGUCGAACACCUUCAAGGCAUCGUCAACAUCACUCACUCUGGGUCGUUUUCCUAUCUUGGUUUCUCUCAAUUUACUCACUCUGGGCACUGAAGGCGGGUGAGGAUCUCUCACAGACUCUGGGUAUUGGGUAUGUUUAGAUUUGGUUGGGUUUGAGGAUUUAGAAUGAAACAAAGCCAAGUAAUUGUUAACAGCCAAGAGCACAAGAGAAGAGUGAAGUAAUGGCAUAUUUCUUGUUCUGCUGCAAUGAAAACAAGAAGAAGCAGCAGUUGCUCGGAUCAUCUUCAGCAUCUUUCUUUGUUUUUUGAGAGUCUCAGUUGUCUGCAAAGAUAAAUUUGCUGAUGUCUAUUUUAGUAUUUUAGCAGAGAGAAGAGGAGGGAUCAAACUACGACUUAAAUUUCAAUAUAAAAAAAAUUAAACGACUUAUGGUCAUUACUUAUUAACCAUAAGUCGAACUCACGAACUUUACUCACCGACUAAUGUUGGAUUAGGCACCCUUUUUCCAUAAUGGUGUUCAGUGGAUAAUCAAAACAGAGAAUCUGAAAUGCGUGGAUUUGCAAUGUGGGAUCAUGACUAAUGUCGUUUGAGCAAUUGAUGGGGAAUUUCAUAAGGCAAUCUGUUUCGAUUCUUGCGGCAAGUGUUUUUGUUGGUUAACAUCUUUGUUUGAAUUUGAAGAGUUCCAAAGGAGAUUCUUGACCUAUUAAACUUCAUCCCUUGACAUCUUUGAGUCUAUUUCUAUUUUCUACAAGCGCAAAGGUAUAAAAUUAGAAUAGAUAAGACUGAUUAGCAUCUUAUACUGAUUAACAACUGUGUCUGCAUAUGAUUACUCUACCUCGAGUUAAAGAUUGACUAAACUUUGUAUGAAAUGUAGCGUACGGGGGGUUACAUACGAGGAGUUUAACCUAAUUCCUUUUGCCCUUUCCUCUUCUUCGUCCGACUACCUCCCAACCAUCUUCUGCUUCAUCUGCCUGCUUGGUCUGUGGCUCUCUUUGCAUGAGACUCUGAUUUGUCCACAAUCAUGUUUGUUGAAUCAUCUUCAUUCAUGCCAGCAUCAUCGUCCUCAUCGCUAUCUUCAUCAUCAUCCACAUCCGGGCAUGAGUAAGGAAGAUAAAGAGUUUACUGAUAUGUAAAAUAUUAUCAUAAACUUGAUCAUUACUUAAUUUUGAGCACUCUCCUAAACAAGAUAUACCAAAUACCAAUAUCCACAUCCACAGGAAUUCUUCAACAGAAAGAUCUGGCAAACUCAAAGAACUAUCAUAACUCUUGAGGGCACAGGGUUCUAAUAAAACUUACCUGUUUGACAUGAGUAGGAACUCUUCGACUGUUGGCUUCCCUUAAGCUUUCAAUCGACUUGAAAUUGCGAUCCAAACAUUCUCCAUGCAUAAUCAUUAUUUUUUUAGCAACCUGUGCAAAAUCAGAAGCCAAUUAGAAGUUAUAAACACAGGAAAGAAAAAACAGCUGGUCUGAAAUUUCAUCACUCAUAUCCCCUAUUACAGAUUCCCUUGCCCACUCAUUAGAAUUAAAAUUACUAUCUGACCAUUCUGCAUGCAUAAAUUAUGAACUUUCCGACUACUUGUGCAAAUCCAAAGGCAAAAAUAAACCAUAAAGCUGCCAGUACAAAAUUGCAUCGCAGAUGUCAACCAGCCUUAAGCUCUCAAUAGACUUGAAAUACAAUCUACACAUUCUCCUAGCAUUCCAUAAGCAUAUUCAUUAACUCCACAGCUAACUUCAUAAAAAAUCCACAAAAGAAAGGACGAAAAGGAGAACUAUCCUGUUCAGAGAAUGAAAGAGUUCGAGUUUCUAAAGACGACUGAUUACAAGGUCUCACAAAUCUCCUUAAUGGUUCCUCAUUUUAGGGGAAGCAGAUGACUCUCUGUUUCCCACCACAAGCAUAUCAUUAAGUUUACAACAUUUCUUCCUAAUACAAUUCAUCAAGAUACUAUCAGACACUGCAGCAUGCCACCUAAUAAACUGAUCAUAACACUAAUCAUUGUAAGAAAAUUUCACAUAUUUCGGCACAAAAUUGACAAAUUAGGUAGUGCAAUCCGGAGAAAUUGAGUUAAAGAUUCGGCACAAAAAUCGAAAUUUACACGAGACAAAUUUGAGGAGAUUAAGAUUACCGGUGGAGUGAUUGACCCAGGACACGAUAUCGGAGAAAGAGUUGCUCAGCUUUUUGGCGCGAGUCACGGCCGCCACACUGUAACUCGACGGCCAAUUGAAGCGCCGACCAGCUGCCACCUGGACAGAACUAAUCCGCUUCUUGGAAGGCCGCCGCGGUCGCCGCCGUCAGCUUUCUCUCUGGCUCCAUAUUCAGGGCUCUGUGAUGGAACCCGUUCUCUUUACCUCACCUUGUUCUUUAAUAGACUACAACUACGGAAAAGAGGGAAAACAGUAAAAUUAAAGAGUUUGCAUUUCAUUGAUGAUCCAAAUGCAGAAGAAGCUACAACAUAUAAGGAAAUCUUUUGCAACAACAAUGCAACACGUGGGACAGGGGACCGCCACUACACAAGAGGAGACAAACUAAUUCAAAUGAGAACAGCUUGGAGUUUCAGUUGGAAAGAAGACAAGUUUGCAACUGGUAAUCUGGGGUUGUUGUUGUUGAGCUUCAAUACCAUCAUUCAGAAGUUGUCCAGAGAUAUUUUGAAGAAGGAGUGGGCUGAUGUGGUGAUUGGGCGGUAUGGCCUUGGUCUUAACAAGUCCUCCCCCUUUGAAAGCAAGCUUCUCCUCAAGCUUGGAAGGUGGGAAACUUUUUCAUGAUAGAGUAAGCCUCUUCCCACGUGGCAUCAUCAGCUGGGAGCCCUGCCCAAACCACUAACCAUUCUGUAACUGAACGUCUUUUCUUCUUGACGAUGUGCAUAUCCACCACGCGCUCUGGUUCCCAGGUGAGAGCGCCACUAUUGUCAAACUGAGGAAGUGUGGUGGCGACCGGUGUCUGAUCUCCAAUCCGGCACUUAAGCAAAGACACAUGGAAGAUGGGGUGGAUCUUGGAGUUGGCAGGCAAGCUGAGUUUGUAGGCGACCUUCCCGAUUCGUGCAGCGAUCUGGAAUGGUCCAUAGAAACGAGGAGCAAGCUUGUGGGCUGGACGGCGGACCACAGAUUGUAGGCGGUAUGGGUGCAAUUUGAGGAAGACCAAGUCACCCUCGAUAAAGUCGCGCUCAGUCCUCUUCUUAUCAGAGUGUUGCUUCAUCCGGUUUUGGGCCGAAUGUAUGUGGCUCUUCAAGGUUGCAAGCAGAGAGUCGCGGUUUUUCAAAUUCUUGUCCACGGAGCCGACUGAGGUUGAGCCCGGAAGAUAGCGGGUGAUAGCAGGGGAUGGGUAACCGUAUACCGCCUCGAAUGGAGUCAUUUUGAUGGUGGCAUGAUAGGUGGAAUUGUACCACCACUCUGCCCAGUGGAGGAGGUUCGCCCAAUUGGUUGGUUUGUCAUUGAUGAAACACCGGAGGUAGUGUUCUAGUGUGCGAUUUAGCACCUCUGAUUGGCCAUCGGUUUUGUGGGUGAUAGGCGGAGCUGCGACAAAGUUGGGUGCCUUGGAGCUUGAAGAAGUGCUCCCAGAAUUGGCUGAUGAAGAUGCGGUCACGAUCGCUGACGAUGAAACGAGGCAUGCCAUGUAGGCGGAAGACCUCUCUGGUGAACGUUUCGGCAAUUUGGGCUGCUGUGUACAGCGAUGAAGUGAGCUUGUUUUGAUAGCCUGUCAAUAACUACCAGGAUGGAAGUUUUGCCCUCUGAGACCGGUAACCUAUCUAUAAAGUCCAUCGCGAUGUCAACCCAAAUGUUCUCGUGUCACGUCUCCCGACCUUUAAAUUUUUACCUUAUUUAUCAACUUGGUUAUAAUAAGAAUUUUACUGUCUCCGUCAAUGAAGUUAUAGUAUAAUUGGUCCUUAGUGGGAUUGUGGGGGACGAUUGUUUCGGAGAGUGAUUCGUAGGAGGAAAAUAUGACGACGGUAAAAAUAGUAAAUUUUAGCUGGUAAAAGAUAAUUUUUAAUUCGGGUAUUAUUUUUCGGGGUGUUUUAUUUUGGAUUUGGGUUGUAUAAGGGUGUUGGACCGGGCCAAGAGGUGGUCAAAGCCCAGCCCUCUCUUUUUUUCUUUCUCUUCUCUUCUUCUCAUGGUCUCCCUAGCUCCCCCCCCCCCCCCACCCCCGAGCUCCCUCUCCCCGGCGAACUUCCGGUCGUCCGCCUGCCGCCGUCCGGCCGUUCGCCGCCGCUCCGAUCCCGUUCGGUUGCCCUCCGACCCAACUACAUCCCUGGACCGGUGACAGCCACCCUAGCGCCGCCGUGAAAGAGUUCUCUCGCCUAGAACCUCGGGCUGCCCAAAGUCCUCCAUCGUCGGAACUCCCUCCUCCGGCCACCAAUUCGGGCAAGCUUGGUAUGGUUUUGAAGAUCUCCAACCCAGUUGCCUUGCCCUAGAAGGACUCGGUCCAGUUUGCUUCAGGUGAGGAGAACCGGUGAGUGGAAGCUCUAGGGCUUUUUGUGUUGUUUUCGUUUGAUUGACCUAGUUAGGCUUGGAUUUUGGGUUUGUGCUAGUUAGGAAAGUUGUAGAGCUUGAUGAGAGGAAGAUGUUGUCAAAAUUUCAUAGGAAUUGGAUGUCGCCGGUGCCACCGCUGUUUGGGAGAUUUUUAGGGUUUUAAAUGUGGAAUAUUAAGGGGAGUAUAUUGAUGUGAGUUAUGGAAUUUUCGGAUGAGUUUUGGAUAGGUUUGUGAAUUUCCGAAGUUUGGUAUUUUUGGCGGUUAUUAAUGUAGAAUCCGGCCGUAGGAUUUAAGUCAUUAAUCUGUGGAAGGUUGAUUUAAGGCUGCUGGUAUGUUCGGUGAAGUUUGAGUCAUUUUAAGUUAAGAAUGGCGAAGUUGGGCAAUGAUGAGUGUGUGGGAGGCUCACGUUUAAUUUUGCCCAUUGUGUUUAAUUAUUGGAUUUUUAGUGGGAAAUUAAUUAUAUAUUUGGAACAGGACGAGGGGAGACCCGAGCAGAGGAAGCCUCGGAGCGUCAUCAGGCUUAGGCCUAAUUUGUGAGUGGACCUUUGUGUUAAAUUGAAAAGCAUGCGAUGAAUUAAUCUGUUGAUCAUUUAUUUCUUUUCCUGAGAUUUAUUUCUUUCUCUGAUAUUUGGCAAUUUUCCUCCUUUGGAGAGAUCCCGAAAAUGAGAUUUUCGGCGGAUAUGUUUAUGGAUAUUAUGAGUAUAGUAUGUAUAUAAAUGUUAGCUAGCCAUACGUGCUUGGUCAGUCAUAAUGAGGUAAAAUGUCAUUAUGACGUGACGUGAGUGUUGAACACUAGCGUCAUAGCCCUAUAUGAACACUAAUUUCUUUUCUGGUUUAUUUAGGUUUUCAUAUAGGGAGUCCACGCGUAUAUAAAUACACCGUCCUCUUCGGUCAUAAUGAGGAAAAAUACCAUUAUGGCGCAACGUGAGCGGUAGACGCCAACGUUGUAGCCUUGUAUGAAUUUCUAUUUUUUUCUAAAUUAUUUCUAGGAUUCAUACAAGGAGUCUGAUGGGUGUAAAUACAUACGAAUAUAUGAUUAUAUAUAAUUUAGCCUGAGAGGCUCCAUUUUAUUUGAGUUAGUGACUAGCCAGAGCUAGUCGAGGAAUUGCCAGUUUAUGAGUUGAACGCUUUUGAACUGCCGCAUGUAGUAUAUUUUCUUUGGAAAUUAAAAUGGGGAAGCAUAAAUAUUUUUAUUAAUUUAUUUUUAUCCACUCACUCUAAAGUUAUUAAAUGUUUUCUCUUGGGCCAUUCGUUUUAAAAUGCCCAGUCUGCAGAGUUCGGGUUAGUUCUAGUAGGAGGCGAGGCAUAGUCACCCGUAUUUCCACCACUUUUCACUAGUAGGUUACCUGUUUAACCUACUUGUGUUUUUCUUGCUUCCUCUAGUGUCUAAUAGCUCUGAUUUUCCCUUGGGGAUAUUGUAUAAUAUUAUUUCGGUUGUGAGCGAAGGCAUGUUGACAUUUUAGAAUAUUUGUUGGAGGAUUUAUGUUAUCUUUUUGGAUAAUUAUAUUUGAUGUUUGCAUAAUGUUAUGUUGUUGUUGGUGGUGGUUAUAUUCGGGGAGCACGUAGGCUCUAGGAGUUAAGGUGGGAUUGAAUUUUUUUGGGAGUGUUUGCAGGUUUUCUUUGGGAAAAGUUGUUCAUUUUUAAGGGAGGUUAUGCCGAAAUUUCGGUAAUAUCUUCCUUGGAGGUGGUCCCCACACGACUUACUCCGGGUUUCAGGGUGAAAUUCGGGGUGGGUCGUGUCAUCUCAGGCACUGGUAGGGGUUGUAAGAGACCGGGAGGGUGUACGGCUUCGUAAUUGUUGCGUUGGCAGUGGUCGCAACAAGCAACGUAGCUUUUCAUGUCACGGUGCAUUUCGGGCCAAGCAAAGUUCCUAGAGAGGCGCUUGAAGGUGCGUAGGUAGCCGGAAUGACCUACGGUCAAUGCUGAGUGAAAGUCAUGUAGAAUCUUGCUCCUCCAAUCGGUGCUUUGGGGUACAAACAGCCGGUUCUUGUAAAGGAGGUGGCCAUCUAGCAGGGAGAACCCUUUUCUCGUAGGUUCUUGUUUCUCCAAGACUGUGAUGAUGACACUGGCCUCGAGAUCAGUUUUGCAGGCUUUUGUGAUGGCGGUGAUGUUGUCAGCGAUUGGUGAUGAGAAGGCCUGUAUAGCAAGGAACUCAUGCCUGUGGGAAAGGAUAUCUGGCAUAGUAUUAAGAUGGCCGGCUCGGUACUGGACACGAAAGUUAUAUCCCAAGAGUUUAGACAUCCACCGGUGUUGAGCAGGGGUGUUGAUUCGCUGGGUGAACAUGUGCUGAAGUGGCUGGUGAUCGGUGAGGAUGGUAAAGGAAUGCCCAAGCAGGUAUGGUCGCCAUUUUUCCACUGCAAACUAUACUGCAAUCAUCUCUUUCUCAUAGGUUGACAGAGCUUGGUUUUUUGGUGAUAGACACUUACUGAGGAAUGCCACCAGAUGUUUGUGUUGGGAGAGAACUGCCCCGAUGCCCAAUCCACUAGCGUCGGUUUCAAUGAAGAACUCUUCUCCAAAAUUUGGAAGUGUAAGGACCGGUGCAGAGGUUUUGGCGUUCUUGAGUGCAAUGAAGGCAGCCUUUGAAUUGGGUGUCUACAUAAAAUUUCCAGUCUUGAGCAUGUCAUUAAGUGGUUUUGCAAUGAGCCAUAAUGCUUCACAAACCGACGAUAAUACCCUAUGAGACCCAAAAAGCCACGUAGAGCCUUGAUGGACUUGGGUUUUGGCCACUGCAUGAUGCAUUGAAUUUUACUUGUAUCCAUAGCCACUCCUUGUGCCAAAAUUGUAUGCCCAAAUAGUUGACACUUGGCUGAGCAAAAGUGCACUUGGAAAGCUUCACAUAUAGUUUGUGGAGAUGUAGCAAUUGAAGCACCUCUUCAAGGUGGAUUAAAUGAGAAGCAAGGUCUUUGCUAUAAACCAAAAUAUCAUCAAAAAAUACCAACACGUGCUUCCGAAGCAAGGCACGAAAAAUAUGAUUCAUAAGAGCUUGGAAAGUUGAAGUGGCAUUGGAUAAGCCAAAGGGCAUUACCAUGAACUCAUAAUGGCCGUCGUGAGUGCGGAAUGCGGUUUUGUGGAUGUCGUCGGCACUCAUCCGGAUUUGAUGAUAUCUGGAACGAAGGUCUAGCUUGGAAAAAACGGUGGCACCGUGUAACUCAUCCAACAAUUCGUCGACUACAGGAAUGGGGAAACGGUCUUUGAUGGUGACUGCAUUCAAGUCGCAGUAGUCUACGCAAAACCUCCACCCUUCAUCCUUCUUGCGCACCAACAAGACCGGGGAUGAAAAAGGGUUGGAACUGGGCCGAAUCAACCCUUGCUUCAACAUGUCAGCAACUUGGGCUUCCAACUCUUUUUUCUGUGAAUGGGCAUAGCGGUAGGGCCUAACGCUAAUUGGGUCAGAGUUGGGUAAGAGAGGGACUUUAUGGUCCAUGGCUUGAGAAGGGGGAAGGCCUGUAGAGUUUUCAAACAGGUGGGGGUAUUUUUGUAAGAGGUCUGUGAUUUGAGGGUGGUGUAUGGUGGUGGUAAUCUUUGGUGAUAUAGAGCAGAGGAGACUGUGUGCUUCAAGGUGUUCAGGAGAGAUGAGUUUUAAGAUAUCGGCAUCAGGAAUUGGUUUGGUUGGGUGAGCGGUGAUGCCGCGCAGCACGUGGCCUUGACCGUCAGCGACAAAGACCAUGAUUUUGUCGAGGAAAUGCCACCCAAUGAAACCCAAGGUGUCCAACCAUUGAGCGCCGAGUACCAAAUCGCAGCCAGCUACGGGUAGAAGGAGAAAGGAGCUUGUGAAGCUAUACCCUUGAGAGUUGAUUGUGAUGUUGUGAGCCUGUCCCGAGGGCGUGAGGGUAUGGCCGGAGGCAGUGGUGAAUUGCAUGGCUGCCGAAGGUUCUAUGGGAACACCUAACUGGUUAACCACCGCCGGGUUUAGGAAAUUCAUUAUGGAGCCGCAAUCGAUGAAGAUAUCAAUUGGUAUGUCACCUACCGAGCCUUUCAAUCUCAUCAUAUCACUGAGUGAGGUGUUGGUGAUUUUGUGGAGUGGAAAGAUAUGGUUUGGCUCCUCAAUGUGCUCUUCAGCGGUAUCACAGAAGGUAUUGGAGGUAGUAUUGUCUGGGUUGGUUUCGUCUGGAGGCUGGUGGUAAUCAAUAAUUGCCAUGAAGGGUUGACGACAAACGUGGUGUUCAUCCCACUUGUCAUCACAAUUGAAACAGAGACCCUUAGCUCGACGUUCACGCUGCUCCGGUGUCGAGAGGUGGCGAAAUGGGGUGGGUCUUUGAGGGUGAGUGGUAGUGGUAGUGAGGUAGGGCCGAGGUGGGAGAGUUUCAGUAGGUGGUGGUUUGAAGGUGGUUGUGCUGGUGGGGUUGUGGUAUGUGAAAUUGGUUCUGGGUAUGGAGAAAGACGGAGGCCGAGGUCGAAAUGGGUUGGGUGGCCGAAGAGCGUUAUUGCGAGUUUCGUAAUACUUGGCCAAUCUUUGUGCUUCGGCAAGGGUGGGGGGUCGCAUGGCCUUGACAACAUGAAAGAGCUCAGGGUGGAGACCCUCAAUGAAAUGUGAAUGAGUUCGCUCUCAAGCCAGUCAGGGGAACGGCAAGAGAGCUUGGUGAAGGCCACAAUGAACUCGUCUGUUGGAGAUAGGCAAGCAUGCCUUUGAAAUCAGAGCUACUUCUUGCUCCAAGACGAGCAAGGAGAGCAGUGACAAACACAUCCUAAGUGGGAUUGGGGUGGCGGAGUUCGUAGGCGUUCAUCCACACCGAGGCAUCGGGGCCGAAGUGAGUCACCGCUGUUUGGACCUUGUCUUGGUGCGGAACAUGGUUGGUGCGUAAGUAGCGCUCGGCAAUGGCUAGCCAGCCAAUAACAUCAUCACCGUUGAAUCGAGGUAGAUCGAACUAGGGGGGUCUGUAAUGGGGUGGUUCAGGUGGGGGUGGGUAGUAAUAGUGAUGGUUAGGAGGUGGUAGUUGGUGAGGAGGUUGGCCCCUGUGGGUCUGAAGAGGUGGUGGUGAGUUGGUUGUAGGUUGAGGGAAGGCUGAGAGGGUGGAAAGGACCCAAAUGAGAUUGUUGAGGGGGGUGGGGUCUGAAGAGGUGGUGGUGAGUUGGUUGUAGGUUGAGGGAAGGCUGAGAGAGUGGAAAGGACCCAAAUGAGAUUGUUGAGGGGGGUGGGUGUAUUGGGGCUCAUAGAGUGUGAGAGGGCCAGGCGUGUUGGUGUUCGGGGAGGGGGGGGGCAAGGGAAGAGUAUUGAUACCUUAAGGUUUGUUAAGAUGGGUUGGGGGCAGAGGUGGAGGGGCCUGCAGCAGUGGGGUGUGAUGGUGUAGGGGCAGAUGGUUGAGAUCCCCAGUGGUUGAGAAUAUGGUUUUGGAAGGCUGCAAAUUGAUGGCUCAUGAGAGUUUGACUGCGGUGGAUGGCAUCGAUGGUGUUGUGGAGCACCUCGUUUUGAGAUUGGAGGGUUUCAUUAUGGGAUUGGAGGCCAUCUAUGGCGGCUUGAAAGGUUGUGAGGUGGUCUGUUGUAAUGGUGAAUGAGGCGGUUGAGCUAUUUUAGGGUGGGAGGGUUAUGUUUUGGGUUGUGGGAAGGGGAGGCACAACCCCACUCGCGUUUGCCGAUGACGGUUGCCGGACUUGGUUGCCAUGCAUCAGGUCUAGUCUCUGAUACCAGAUAAUAGACUACAACUAUGGAAAAGAGGGAAAACAGUAAAAUUAAAGAGUUUGCAUUUCAUUGAUGAUCCAAAUGCAGAAGAAGCUACAACAUAUAAGGAAAUCUCUUGUAACAACAAUGUAACACGUGGCACAGGGGACCGCCACUACACAAGAGGAGACAAACUAACUUAAAUGAGAACAGCUUGAAGUUUCAGUUGAAAAGAAGACAAGUUUGCAACUGGUAAUCUGGGGUUGUUGUGGUUGAGCUUCAAUACCAUCAUUCAGAAGUUGUCCAGAGAUAUUUUGAAGGAGUGGGCUGAUGUGGUGAUUAGGCUUAGGUAUGGGUGUUAGACCGUAAUUUACACAUAUUUUCAUUCCCCUAAAUAUUGAAUUUGCCUUGUUUUUUAGUUCAUUUUAGCUUUCACUAAAUCAUUUUCCAUUUAUCUAGGAAUAUUGCAAGAGUGAUGGAAACAUGCAUUUUUGGCAUUAAUAUGGAGAAUCGGAGCUAGAAAGAAUAACGGUCCAAUGUGGAGCAAGACAUAGAUUUCCAGAUUCCGACGAACCACCACUAUUGGCGGCACAAAUGGGGGCUCAACACCACUUUUGGUGGUGCCAUACCUUUUUCGAUCACCAUGAAGGAGGAACAAAGAUGACUAAGGAGAUUGAGUAAUACAAUUGCCUCUACCCUAUAAUCCUUUGGAUAAUAGGCAUCACUAUACACACAUUUUCCUACUCUACUCUACUCUACUCUCUCAUGAUUAUGUUCCUCUUUCUCCUCCCUAACACUCAAUCUCCCUAGCUAGCUUUAUUGACUUUUGUGCUAGCUCUUUGCUUUUUCUUCCUUUGCUUCAUCCGGAUGGGAGAAGAUUAGCUUCUCCUCUUUCCCUUAUUUCUUCUAUUUAAUACUUUCCCUCUCUCAUUACACACACCAUCCACCCAUUCACUCCUUUCUCUACCUUUUUCUCUCUUUUCCACCACAAACCUCCUUCUCCUUCUCCCAAAAUCCAAAUCCAUCCUCUUCCUUCCCCAAUCUACUCCAUCUCCUCCAUCACCACCACCAUCUCUUACCCAAACCUCCAUUAACACCACCACCAAUACACUAUUUCUCCAUUCUCUUAUCUAUACCAUUUUCUCCAUCCACUCCACCUAUUCACUCAAAGCAUAGAUCAAGCUUCACCAUCUCUUAUCAUCAAACAUCAAGAGCAAGAAGGAGAGGAAAUCACCAUCAUCACCACCACUACCAAGACGUGAGCUUGGGGAUCAAUCAACACACUACUAAGCCAACUCUCUCCCUUAAACUCUAGAUCUAUUUUGAUGUUUAAUUUGAUUAUGAAGUUUGUUUAUGUAAUUAUGAGUGAGUAGUACUUUGUGGGGUUAGGGUUGAAAGCCCUAACCAAUCUUGUAUGGAUUGAUGAUAUAUUAUAAUUUGAUGUAAUUUUAGUUAACAUUCCUACAUGCUAGUUCAAGAGUUGAAUGCAUUUGUUUAGAAUUUACCACUUUAAGUAUGUGAGUUUGUCAUGACAUGAUAAUGUUUAGAGCUUGGUAACCUUUGAAUGUUAAAGCAUGAAACAAUUCGAAUCCUAACUUCAUUCAUCCAUUAUCCCGCUAGUUUAGUUUAGAGUAAUUUAGUUUACAUUUGAGCAUUUAGUUUAGUUUAGUUCACAACCUCAAAAACCCAAAAAUCAAAUCACUACUUCCACAAUGCACAUACUCACCAUGAGCCUAGAUUUCCUUAUGUUUAGGUUUGUGAUUGUACAUUUCCAUAUUCUAGCUCUCUUGAGGUUAACACCCUAGCUAGUGAAAAGAAUCCAAUCCUCGUGGGUUCGACAACCUUUCUUAAAUCUCUAUACUAUUACUUGUACCCCUUAUACUUGAGGGUGGCUUUUUGGCUAACAAUGGGCUUGGUCUUAACAUUCUUCUACAAUAGCUUCCUUCUUUCACCGCAGUAGACGUCCUUCUAUAUCAGACGUACAUAGCAUGUAGUUUAGGAGCAGCAGAGUAGCCUUCAUCUUCAUGUAGUGUAAACUGUAAAGGGCUAAACCCAGAUUGUAGUGGUUUAGGCCCAGUUGUAGGUAGGAAGUUCUAGAUAGUUAUAACUUAAGAUUAAAUUAAUUCACCCCCUCAAACUUUAUCUCUAAAAUCAGUUUGAUUUGAUCCUCGAACUUUUUUCUUAAUCAGGAUGAUCCUUAUACUUUCAAUUUACAUCAAUCGUCUUCGAAUUUCGAAAUUGACUGUAAACAUGACAUCACAAGCUGAGUUGACCAUGACAUGAGGACUCACUUAUCAGAAUUUGACCUAAAAUUUGGAUAAAAUGUCUUACCUACCCUCUUUAUGUUAAACUCUAACCCCCGAAACUCAAAUCCUUUCGUAGGUGUACUCAAUUGAUUAUCAGCUCAACCACACCCUCCCAUCUCCAACAGGUACACUUCUAUACCAUUUGUUUAUGUCCUACACCUUCACUUUCAAAACCACACACAUCUAGAACACUAGAUUUUGCUAGAAACUCAAUGAUAAGACAUAUCCAACCCGCAAAAGCCUCAUAAACCCAAAUAAAAACCAAAAUAUAAAGCAACCAAUGCAUUCAUAUGAACACAAAAAAGAAAAAAAUUGAAUGAGAUGGAAGAAAGAAAAAUAGAAAUUAGAAUCUGAAAUUGAAGUGGUGAAAAGCCUUUUCGUUAUUGCUAGCCCCUUUUCUUUAUCUUUCUUCUUAGAAGUCCCUCUCCACCCAACACUUCCUUCUUAGCAGAUCCUCUCCACCCCCAGCAUAGAGUAUACACCGCCACCAAUCCUUGUGAAGAUGAAUAAGAAAUCUUAGAUCAAGUCAACAAUUCAUGGAUCAAGUCGGAAGAGCUUAGCCUUCUCCUCUUACUCGAGAUUGAUUGACAUCAAAAAAGGCACAAAAAGAGAAGAGGGGUCAUCGGAGUAAAUGACUAGAGAAAUAUAUAUAUUUUUUUUAACAGGAAGAGAAAUAUAGAGAUUAGAGAGGAAGAGAAUUAUAAUUAUUUUUUUGAUAAUGAGUUUAUUAUUAAGGUUUAAUAUGUGUAAAUGUCAAAUAUACCUUCCUGAGAGGGUCAAAAUUUGAAAAAUAGGCCCUUAUGUCGGAGCCAACUCAGCAUGUGACGUCAUGGUUAGAGUCAAAUUCAAAAUUUGGAGACGACUGAUAAAAGUAUAGGGAUCAUCUUGAUUAAAAAAAAAAGUUCAGGGACCAGACUGAUUUUAGAGCUAAAGUUUGAGAAGGUAAACUCAAUUUAAUCCUAUAACUUAUAAGUUAUAAACGGUUAUUCUCCUGAAUUUAUUUAUUUAUUGGAUUAAAUUCAGUUUACCCCCUCAAUGUUUGGGUCUAAAAUCAAUUCACUCCUUGAUCUUUUUUUUUUAAUCAUGAUGAUCCUUAUACUUCUAAUUUUCAUCACACAAGUCCAAAAAUCAAAUUUUUUCCGAACAUGACGUCACAAGCCAACUUUGCACCAACAACAUGACCCACAAGAAGGGCAUAUAGACAUUUUUAAUUGAAAAGAUUAAAAAAAAAUAAUCCCCAAAAAGAUGCACCUCUCCCUCUCUCUCUCCGAGAUCUAUCGCUUCAGUAGUCGAGUAUUAUUGGAACACGAUGACACCAUUUCGGGGAGAGGGGACUGGUUGUUUAGAUGGACACUCUAGAUGGGAGCAACCCAACCCUGAAUGGCCUUGUCACCUACUCGGGCCUUCAACACUGCCACUCCCAUCUCAGCACCCUUAUAAAUCUUAUUAGAAGAAGCGGCGGUGGAAGCUCAAGGAAGAUCAAGGCAGUCGAGAAUUUCAUUUUUGUUUUCUUGCUUCGGUUGAACAUUGGGUUGUGAUGGUAUGUGUAUGGGUAUGUUUAUUCAUGCGAGAGGCAUGUUUAGGCAUCUCAAAAUCAGUUUGGAAUUCGACAAGCUCUUUCCAAAUUGGGUCAAAUUGAAACCAGAGAAGGGGGCUCAAAUUUGUGGGAGUUGCUGUUGUUGUUUACCAUGGCAGGUUAGCUUUGAGUAGUAACAAGCAUCAAUCUUUGAGCUAUGGUGAUUGCUAGAAUAUGUUUUACUACAUGUUUUGAUAAUCUUAUUCUAAGUUUUGAGUUUUAAUGAUGAAGAAGAUAAAGAAGAAGUAGAUUGGGGUUUGAUUUGGAAGAAGAAGAGGUGGAACUGGAAAGUCGAACAGAAUGAAGUUUAGAUUUGAUUUUGUUCCAAACAGAGGGUAAUUUGGACAUUCUAUCCUUAUUAAGGUCUAAAAAUCAAAAAAGUAGGUCAUGCUGUUUAUGCCAUGUCAUUUUGUGACAUCAUGUUUGGAGUAAAAUAUGAAUUCUGGACUUGUGUGAUGAAAAUUAGAAGUACAAGAACCAUCAUGAUUAAAAAAAAGAUCAGGGACUGAACUGAUUUUAGACCCAAACAUUGAGGGGGUAAACUGAAUUUAAUCCUUAUUUAUUUAUUUAUUUAUUUGAGAAAAGGAACAUGGAUCGAACAAAAUCAUAAAGUUACAUCAGUCUAAACUCUAAAGAGUUUCGAAUAGCCAUUGUGGUCCUUCUUCAACCCAAACUUGAAAUGCAAGAAACAAAAGUGUGUAUCUGACAAGCCUAUGUGUUGUCUGAUUACAUUUCUUUGGCCAAUAAUUACAUGAAACUAAAGGAAAGAAUUAAAACAUAGAUUUGACUUCAUGAAUAAGCAUUCCUUCCACAAACCAAUCCUCGACAUCCUUAUCAAAAGCAUCAAUGACAGAGAGAGCAUCUGAUUCUAAAAUAAUUUGUGAAGGCUGGAAACCAGAUUAAACUAGUACCUCCGAUCCCGUAGCAGUGAUUCUCCUGAUUUGUACGGAUGAAUAAAGAAUAGUUUGUAUUAAUUUUUUUUAAAAAGUAAAACUUUAUAUAAUAUCAACCAACGUUACAACCAUGAGAGAUAAAACAAGUCCUCACACUCCUCCCUAUCAACACCAGUGAUUACAAUGACCAUGAACUGAAAUGGUCCAAAUGUAACAUACCCUAACCUAAUUCAGAAGCCUCGAUACCUCCUGACAACCAACCUUAAUUAGAAACAACUCUCCCAAGCACUAUACACCAAAACCGCCAUCAUAUAUGUAGAGUCAACCUUCCAUUACAUUGACAAUAAGAAAACACCAACGUUAAAACUGAUAGUCCCUGGACCUGACACCACAAACAUGGCCCUACCAACACGACCAAAACGACACAAACCUAUCAAAACCACAAACACUCGCCUAGAGAGGAGGGAUCACAAACAAAAGCCACCAAAACAAAUAAAAACCACACAAAAAAAAAAUCAAGAAAAAAACCAGACUAGGCCCAAACAGAACCCAGGUCCAAACAAUACCCCUUGGACCUCGAAGAGCAUGCCACCUCGAUUCCUGGCCCAAACUGUUGUUGAUCGAUGUCUGAUCGCAGCUCCGCCAUCUUGCCGCCAAUCAAGGAGCUUCAUCCUCCAAAAUCCACCGCAAAAAAACAAACAUGACCCAUAUCAAGGAAUUCGAUUCGAGUACGUCAACGUCGCGAAGCUUUACCCAUCUCAUCGCAUCGCCGCUCCAACCCACUGCCUCGCUAGCCUGGUCUGAACAGUACGACACUCUAUAUUGACGACAAAGUCUUUCCACCGGAGCACAACCUCACUGCAAGUCUGCAACACAUAACAACCGAACAACGACUUGGUCCGCACCUAAGAAAAGUCUCCCUUUCUCGUUCCACUGCCACCAUCUUGCAAGGUUAGACCACCAAAUGGCCGCCUUCAACUCUCGUCCGACCACUCUGUAGGAUGGAAUGGAAAACCGUUUUUAGAAACCCUAAAUGAGGACGUGUUUACGGUGUGUUUUUUCGUGAGUGUCAAAGAACAGUUUGUAUUGUUUCAUUGCUUCUUCUUUUUUUUCUUUUUUUUUUAAAUUAUAUAUAUAUAUAUUAAAUAACUAGCACACACCCUACAUAUGUCGUGAGGUUUGAACUCGUGACCUCAAAGUUGUAAGUUAAACUCCUUAACUCACCAAGCCACGACUCACCGACAAAAUUGUAUUGUUUCAUUGCUUCUUUGCAUUUUCCUUUUCUUGUAACAGAUUGAUCCUAACAUAAAGGUUUGAUCUUUUUGAGUCAAGUUUGGGUUUUGAUGAAAAUUUGAGGAUACCUGACACCCACUUCCAAGAGAAUAUCUAACCCUGAUGACCGAGUGAGCUGUCAUUUUGGGCCGGAAGCAAUUUAGGCAUGGCCUAUUUUAAGGGAUGUUUUUCAGAAGCUCGGGCUCGAACCAAUAACCUCCUAAUACUAAGAGAAUCUUCUCAGUGUCCGCCCCACUUGCAACCUAACAUGUUUUCAUUAGACCAACAUUAUUGAGUCGAAUUUAAGUCAUCUUCCUUUAAAGAAUUAGGGUGGGUUAAAACUUUUUUCUUUUUUAAAGGAGGUUUAAAAUUUUAUUUAUUUUAAUGGCCCUAAACUCAAAAUAUUCUUCUUUUUGGACCUCUGUUUUUCUUUGCUGUUGUUUUUCAUUUCUUCCAAUCCUUUACUAGUUUUUUUACUUUUAAUUCAUCCUUAUUGUAUAUGUUGAUUGUUUUAGUUUUAUGUCAACUAUCUCAAACAAGUUAGUCGGUGUCAAUUCGGCAAAUAAAAAGUUGAAAUUGUAAGCAUGAUAGCAAUGCAAGUAUAAUGCUCUAGUUAUUAAUCAUUACAGUAUAGUAUAUAGGGGUGCAGAGUAAUACGUCACAAAAACUAGAGGAUCUUGGCUUUAUUCAAGACAAUACAAGGGAGGGAAUAUAGUUCCGGAAGUAGAGCCCUUCAAAAAAAAUCACAACUUGCCAUCUAACAAAUCAUUUACAUGUAACAUGUGAAAAAUGUACAUGAGAAAGGGUGAUCAUCUCAUUUCAUAAUGUUCAGCUUCACAUACAAGGAGAGAAGAGUAACUUUCAUGAGUGAUUUGUUAAAGUUUUCAUCAUGUUUAUGGAUCAUGAGUUGUGCCAUUUCGGAUGCAAUAAGUUACUUUUUUUUUCCUAUAUGUAAUAUAGUGAACUAGAUCUAUAAAACAUUUAGAGGUCUUUUUCUUUUUUUGAAAUGGGGAUGUCAAUCCAUACAUUAAUAAUGUAGAGGAACAACAAAAACACGAUUCGUCAUUACAGUGUCACAUCCCGACCCUUAAAUUUUUACCUUAUUUACUAGCUUGAUUAUAAUAAGAAUUUUACCGUCUCCGUCAUUGAGUUAAUAGUUUAAUUGGUCCCUAGAGGGGUUUCGGGGACGAUUAUGUGCAGAUGAUUAUUCGUAGAAGGAAAAUAUGACGACGGUAAAAAUAGUAAAUUUUAGCUAGUAAAAGGUAAUUUUUAUUCGGGUAUUAUUUUUUCGGGGUGUUUUAUUUUGGAGUGGGUUGAUAUAUGAGUAUUGGACCGGUUUGGAGAGGCCCAAACCCAUCUCCCUCUUUUUCUCUUCUCCCUCUCUCCCGGUUUUCCUCCCGAGCCCCUCCCCCUGCCGGAAACUUCUGGCUGUCCGCCCUCCGCCAUCCGGCCACCAUCUGCCGCCGCAUCGGUCUCGUUUGAUCGGUCUCCAACCCAGCAUCUUCCCUGGCCCGGUGACAGCUCCCCUAGCGCCGCCGUGAGUGAGGAACGACGCCCGAAGCCGUUGGAAGCCGUGGUGGUUCCCUCGCCGGAGCUCCUUCCUCUGGCCACUAAAACCGGCGAUCCUUAGCUCGUUUUGUAGCCCUCCUCCCGUGCAGCAACCCCUCCAAAGAGCUCACCCUCUCUUGAGCUAGGUAAGGAGAAAUGUGGAGUUGAAAUUUCUAGGGCUUUUAGGAUAUUUUUAGUCGAUUACCCUAGUUAGGCUUGGAAUUGGUGUUUGUGCUAGUUAAGAGAGUUGUAGAGCAUGAUGAGAGGAUUAUUCUGUCAAAAUUUCAUAGGCAUUGGAGGUCGCCGAAAUCGGCCUCCGGCCGCCGCUGCCGGCGCCGGAGCUGUUUGGGAGAUUUUAAUGUUUUUAAAUUUGGAAUAUUAAGGGGAGUUUAUUGGAGUGAGUUAUGGAAUUUUUGGAUGAGUUUUGGAUAGGUUUGUGAAUUUCCUAAGUUUGGUAUUUUGGCGGUGAUUUAAUGUAAAAUCCGGCCGUUGGAUUAAAGUUGUUUAAACUGUGGGAAGGUGUAGUUACUGCUGCUGGUUCUAGGGUUGAAAUGUGGACCAUUUCGAAGUUAGGCAAUGGUUAAUUUUGCUCUCGGUUAAUUUUGCCUAUUUUGCGUAAAUAUUGGAAUUUCGGACUGGGAAAUUAAUAUUAUUUUUGGAUCAGGUCGUGAGGAGGCUUGAGCUGACGAGGCCCCAGAUCGACAUCAGGCUUAGGCCUAAUUUGUGAGUGGACUUUUAUUUUAAAUAAUGUGCAUGCGAAAUAAUUUAUGUGGUUAGAGAAUAACCGAAAUUGAGAAUUUCGGUGAGUAUGUAUAUAUAUCCAUAUUUGGAUGAUUAUGAGAAUAAUAUGUAUAUGAGGGAAUGCUAGCUAGCUAUACGUGCUUUUCCACCAUACUGAGGUAAAAUUCCAUUAUGGUGCGACGUGAGCGUUAGACGCAAUCGUCGUAGCCCUAUAUAAAUAUAAUAAUUUAUAUAGGGGAUAUGCGCGUAUAUAUAUAUUUAUACACCGUCUUUUCCACUAUAAUGAGGUAAAAUGUCAUUAUAGUGCGACGUGAGCGUUAGACGCAAGCGUCGUAGCCUUGUGUGAAUUUUCUAUUUGUCUUUGUUGUUUCAAGAAAAUUCAUACAAUGGAUAUGACGAGUGUAAUACAUACAUAUUUUAUGUUAGCCUGAGAGGCUCUUAUUUUUGAAGUGUUGGUGACUAGCGCGGCUAGUCACGUUUCGGUAAAUUUUUAAAAGCUUUUGAGCUUGUUGCAUGCUGUUAAUUAUUUUUCUCAGAAGUUAAUUUGGGAAGCAUAAAGAUUUAUUUUCUUUUAAAAUUUAUUUUUGUCCACUCACUCUAACGUGUUUCAAAUGUCUUCCCCUGGGCUCUUUGUUUUAAAAUGCCCAGUCUGCAGAGUUCGGUUUAGAUCUAGUAGGAGGCGAGGAAUAGUCACCAGUUUUUCCGCCAGUUUUCAUCAGUAGGUUACCUGUUUAACCUACUAGUGUUUUCUUGCUUCUGCUAGUGUCUAGUAGCUCUGAAUACUUUGGGAUUAUUGUAUAUUAUUUCAGUAGUGUGCUCGGUCGGUUGACUUCAUGUUUAGAAUUUCUGAAGGAUAAGAUUUGCUGUUUUUAGCUGGAUAAGUAUGUGACGUUUGGACGUGCUGUAAUAAGAGUAAAUUUGAAUUUUUCGAGUUAGGGUUGUCCAUUUUCAAGGGAGGUUUUAUCAAUUUUUACGGUAAAUUUUCCUUAGAAGUGGUCCCCGCAUGACUUACUCCGGGUUUCAGGGUGAAAUUCGGGGUGGGUCGUGUCAUACAGACUACGUAAAAAUUAAACUAUGCAAUCGUCAUUGCAGACUACGUAAAAAUUGAACCAUGCAAAACUACCUAGCAAGUCUAAGCAAUCUAAACCAUAACCUAAAAAACUCCUAGUAACCAUGACAUGUUAGCAAGCUAACUUAUUCUAAAUCAUCCAUAACUACCCUACGUAGAGGGAGUCUCCCCGAACGGAGAACCAAUAGAUGUUGAGCUUGGCUCCUCCACCUCAACAGUCCCACUGCAACCAGAUCCUUCACCACCUGAACUGUCACCCAAAAGCAUAAUUUUGUGUGCACCAAGGCUCAUUUUUCCUUACCUUCUUUGCUCAUCUUCCAUUCCAUGGGUUAGAGGCCUUUUUCUUCAUUCUCUUUUACAAAGUCUUGGUAUGUUUAUAAGGAGCAAUAUCCACAUAAUUUAGUUGAAUUGAGGCCCCCCCUUUUGAACAUGCUAUCAUUCUAACAUUCAUUAACAUUUCCUAAUACAUAAACUCAACCCUAACUCAUGAUUGUGUUGGAAAUGAAAUUCCAAGAUCUAACUAAUGUAUUAAACAAGCGAUCUUAAUAAUCCAUCAAACUAAACGUCACAGGCUUACUUGUUUCGCUCCUAAUUUCACUGAUCGAUCCAUGUAAUUUUUUUUUAUCUCUAAAGGAGUUCUACAUGUUCAUAUUUGUUUACCAUUUAUUAAACAGAUCUUGAUGGAUUGACAAGUAAAUGACCAAUUCUUUUUCGCAAACUAUAUUCAAUUUGUUGUAUUUUUUAUGAGUCUCAAUUCGAUUUAUCUAAUUGUAUAAGAACCGACAGUCCAAUUUUGAUCAUCACCUCAUAUUUUGUUUUUAAUAUAUAUUUUUGGAUCAUCACCUCAUUAAUUGGCACCUUCUCUUGGACCAUUUGCCUAUAACGACCAAGGUUUAUCAACAACUAAAUUUACAGACCAUAAUUUAGUUUUGGACCACUAAAUGGUUGGGGAAGGUCACUUAAUGGCUUUAUUUCUUCUUUAAAGUGGGACUAGUGGACAAGUGAGAAGGGACAUGCAUAGUGAUCUCCUACGGCUCAAAGCCUUAUUGAGGAAAACCCAAAACCCCAAAGUAUGAGGGGACAUUGUGGAGCCAUAGGAGGGUCCAUCCAUUGAUUCAGACCCUUGAAUUUGGGACAAAAUACAUUGAAAUAAUUGAACCUAAAAAUAAAAAAAACCAAUAAUGAAAAGCCUAAACCCAAAAAGCCUCAAACUUUAGCUGUUUGGCUUUGACUCCUCUCCCUCACACUCUCCCCAUCAAAGACUCAAAGUAUAUAUCAAUACAUUGUAGUGUGUAGCCCACAGACGACAAUGAGAGACACACCCAAGUUUUUCAGUNNNNNNNNNNNNNNNNNNNNCUUCUCUCUCUCUCUCUCUCUCUCUCUCUCUCUCUCUCCACACAUUUCAGGCCUUAAAAAAAAAACUCUCAGUCUCACACACACUGCUCUAUUUCUUUCUCUUCUUUUAUCUCUCUCCACAGUUGUGACUUGUGAGUGCUCUCUCUCUCUUCUCUGCUAAAGCAAACCACCGUCAAAGUUCUGAUCUUUGAGAACCCAUCUCUCCCUGGCUCACUCAAGCAGGUACCCUUUUUGGGCUUCCCUUUUUCUCUGCACUUUUAACUGGUCAUGUGAUUUGCUUGGUGGGUUUUUGCUUCUGUAUCUUGGUUUUUAGCAUCUGGGUCUUUGUGUGUUUACUCCCAUUUCAUGAUGAUGUUGUUCUGUAAGUGGGUUUGGUAGUGUUUCUGUUAGUUGUUUACUAAAUAUUAGAUUUUGAUUUACUGCAAAGCAUAGAUUUAGUUCUUUGUUAUUUUUGUGUUUCAUCAUAUAAAGGAUGCUUGCAUUGAUUUGGGUUUUGUGAUUUGCAUAUGGAUCAAGUUGAUACAGUAUUGAUUUUCAUGUUUGUCAUUCUUUUGGGAUUUUUUUUUACUGUAUCAUGCAUCUGCUGCAUAGGAGUGAAUUUUCUGUUUUUUUGUAGAAGUUACCUUGCAAUUGUUGGAAUUGAAGAUGAGAUUGAUUUGGAUUGUCAAUGGAGGGAGUCACUUAAUGGAGUUGGGGGUUGAGUGCUGGCUUUGUUCAGUUUGAUCUGUUCUAGCAAGUCUGGUUUCUGUGAAGGUCUCGGAAUCUGGCUCCGGAUAAUUGAAGGGAAAUAAUGGGUAGUCGCAUAGAAGAAGGAAAUUCGCGCAGACCUCCACCUUUACAGAUUUCAAAGACAAGUAAAUCAGAGCCGGUAACUCCAAAAAAAAUGCCCAGCAAUCUGCAACCAGCUGUAUCGAAGCAGGUUUCUGGAGAAGCACUCGAAGAGAGGAAGCUUAAGACUCAGCAGGAUUCUGCCAAAUAUUUAGCUGCUAAGUUAGAAUCAAGUUUAUCAAUGGGUGGUCCAACUCAGGUGCCAGCCAAUGUGGGCCUUGCAGUGAGUGAGACCGGUAAUUUUCCAGAUGGUGGUGGCAAUCAAGUAAAGAGAACAUUAGAAAAUGGUAAUAGCUCAGCAAAAGUCAGCGAUGGGGCAAGCAGUCUUGCCAAGACUAGUGGAAGUGCCAAAAUUAGUGAUCGAGCUGAGUUUGUUGAGAGCGGGAAGAGCAGUAUUUGUAGAGGUAGCACAAGCACUGAUGUGAGUGAUGAAAGUACUUGUAGCAGCUUUAGUAGCGCUAUCAACAAACCUCACAAGGCAAAUGACAUUCAUUGGGAAGCCAUCCAGGCUGUCCGUGCAAGGGAUAGUGUAUUUGGUUUAGGCCAUUUCAGACUUCUGAAGAAGUUGGGCUGUGGGGAUAUUGGAAGUGUCUAUCUUUCAGAGUUGAGUGGAACAAAAUGUUAUUUUGCAAUGAAGGUCAUGGACAAAGCAUCUUUGGCUAAUCGUAAGAAACUUCUUCGGGCUCAGACAGAGAGAGAAAUACUUCAGUGUUUGGACCAUCCUUUUCUUCCAACCCUAUACACCCAUUUUGAAACAGAAAAGUAUUCAUGCCUGGUGAUGGAAUUCUGCCCUGGAGGUGACCUGCACACACUUCGGCAGAGGCAACCAGGAAAGUACUUUAGUGAACAAGCAGUGAAGUAAGUAUUCUUCCUACUCAUACAUUUUAUAUAAUUCAAAACGUGGCAAAUAAUCUCCACUAUUCAGUUUGAGAAUUUGUGGUUUACAUUGCUUUUAUUGUGUGAAUAUUAUCUUCCAAGCUUGGUUUACUACAUUGACAUAUUUCUAUUAGAAGGAUACCUCUCUGUGUUAUCAUGCAGCAUUGAAGUUUCAUCUUUGUAGUAUGAGUAUUGAAUAUUGAAUGAUCUAGACUCAAUCAAGCCGACAUGCUAAAAUGAUGCACAUAUGCCCCCAAACACACACUGAUAUAGAAACUUUUGCUGUAUCUGGUACACUUGGGGUUGUUUCCGGGUUGCUGAUGUUGACUCUUAAGCAUUAUGGAACACCUUUCUGGUGUUAAAAUAUUAAAAAUGAUAGGUGUACUUUUUUUCACAGCUGCAAUGUUCAGUCCUGCUCACCUUAUUGCAAAGAAAUAAGCUUGAAAUUGUUAUUUGAUACUCAUGGUCAUUACUGUUAUGUUUGUCCAUACAGGUUCUAUGUAGCAGAGGUUCUCCUUGCACUGGAAUAUCUUCACAUGCUUGGGAUUGUUUAUCGUGACCUCAAGCCGGAGAAUGUCCUUGUAAGAGAUGAUGGACACAUAAUGCUUUCAGACUUUGAUCUUUCCCUGCGCUGUGUUGUCAGCCCAACUCUAGUCAAGUCUUCAGUUCCUGAGUCUGAUGCCUUGCGAAAGAACCCAGUUUACUGUGUGCAACCGACCUGCAUUGAGCCCUCAUGUAUUCAGCCAUCAUGUGUGGUGCCUACAACAUGUUUCUCCCCUCGUUUCUUUUCAAGUAAAUCCAAAAAAGACCGAAAACCCAAGAAUGAAAUGGGAAACCAAGUCAGCCCAUUGCCAGAACUUAUUGCUGAGCCAACCAAUGCUCGCUCGAUGUCAUUUGUUGGGACUCAUGAGUAUUUGGCACCAGAAAUUAUCAAAGGUGAAGGCCAUGGCAGUGCUGUUGAUUGGUGGACUUUUGGGAUUUUCCUGUAUGAGCUAUUGUUCGGUAAGACCCCUUUCAAGGGAUCAGGGAAUCGAGCCACUCUGUUCAAUGUUGUUGGUCAACCACUGAGAUUCCCAGAGUCCCCAGUGGUCAGCUUCUCAGCAAGAGAUCUGAUAAGGGGCUUACUAGUGAAAGAACCGCAGCAUAGGCUGGCAUACAAGCGUGGAGCAACUGAGAUUAAACAACAUCCCUUCUUUGAAGGUGUCAAUUGGGCAUUGAUUAGAUGUGCAACCCCACCUGAUAUCCCAAAGCCAGUCGAGUUUGAGCGGCUAUCAGCCCCCGUAAUGUCAUCUAGCGAUAAAGCUACUGCUGCUGCCUCUCAUCCAGACCAAAACAAUUAUCUGGAAUUCGAUUUCUUUUAAUUAUUUUCAGAACUGGUAUGCCAUUUUCUUUUCUUUAUUGAGAUGUAGAGUUUCUGAAUAUGUUGAUCUUGUGGAAUUUAGAGUUUGUUUUUACCUUCAUAACAAUCAUAUGUUUGGUGUUGUUAUAAACAGAUAUUUGUAUUGCAGCUCAAAGGUUGUUGCUGUGUCCAAAAUGUGGAUCCUGGUUCUAUCUUUGAUAUGAUAAUAACAGUAUAUUACAUUGAAAAUGGCCCAAGAGAUGUUCAUCCAGCCCUUUUUUUCUUAUACAAGAGACUAAAGAGAAAGCCUAGGAAAUGUUCACAACUUCUUUGCAUUAACUCUAUGGUGUGCUAGAAUCUGAGCUUAUUUGGUUUCCAGGUAAGAACAAGACCCAUGAAGAAUGUGACUUCUAGAGUUUAGUUGUUUGAAUUCAAAAUUCAAGUACGUACACUGGAGCUUCCCAAAUGUCUCACAAACACGACUAUUAUGAGCUAUUAUGAGUAGCCAUUUUCGUAAGCAAAUUCUCUUGCUCAACGUGGACCUAGGGUCAAACAUAUUCAGGUGAGGAGGUCAACUUUUUUUUUUUGGCAAAUGAGGAGGUCAACUUUGACGGUUCUCGUAUCAGUAAUUUUGGGGUCCAAGGUGUUCUAGGAUAUUCUGUAACUUUCUAGAUAUUCUUUAUGUGUGUCUUGGCUUUAUGCCAAUAGGAUAUGUAAUUAGACUAGAUCUAUGUAUUCAUAUCUUUACCAUAUUGGUAUUGUGUAAUUCCCUAUAUAAAGAGCUCCUAUCAAUGAAUAAGAUGAUGAUUCUCUUGUUAUCUCUCAUUUUCUACACUUUAUACUUCAUCACGUUAUCGUGCACUUUGUUCUAACCCUAGAGCCAAUUGCCCACCAUUUGUUUUCCAAACCCUAAAAUCGGGCAGCCUUGUUUUUCCCGAUUUCCGACCAAAAUUCCGAUUGCCUUCCGCCGGAAUUUUAUAUCCCCAGAAAGCUCUCUCCGUCCCGGAUCCAACGCCGCCGACCUCAUCCUGAGAACCGGCCGGAAAGUCACCGAACCGGCAGCCGGAAAAUUCUAGACCGCCGCCGCUAUCGACCACCGGUUCACCAUCUUCCCUUGCUCCGUUCAACCUGAAUUUUUGACAGCAGCUUCCUCAUCCAGAGCUACUCCUUCUAUCAAAUUUUCAGCCCCAAAUUCGAAGUAUAAGUAGGCAAAACGUUGUUUCUCCUCUCGGCAGCCUCUAGAAACCAAAGAUUUCAAGAUUACUCAUCUUCCAAGGAAACCAGAAAUGUAUGUUUUGAAACCUUAAACUUUUCCAAGUUCAAUAACUCGGGGAGGAUAAAAUCCUUUCCUCCCUUCUCCAUCUCCAUUCUAUGCUUGGGAUUUUAUGUGUGCAGGUACCAAAAAUCCCGGAAUUUUAUUUGCGGGUCAAGAGUGUGUUUGAUCACUCUUGCUUCCUUGUCCGGGUUGUGUAUGAUCAACCCCGACCUUUCUCCGGAUUGUGUUUGAUCAAUCCGAGGCCUUUUCCGAAUUGUGUUUGAUCAAUUCGCGGCUUUUUCCGGAUUGUGUAUGAUCAAUCCGAAGGACAAACCAUUAAAAUCAUUAUUUGUGACCUCUAUCGAGUCUCAUAACAACUUGGUUUUGUAUGCAAGAGCAAUGUAACAUUCUGUUCAUUGAGUUUUUGACGUACUCGAUACCUAAGGCGAAUCUUCGCUUGGUAUCUAUGGAACCUUUCACUGGAAAGGAUUAAACCACAUAUUUUGACCCCCAGGCUAACAAGCCUAGAUGCNNNNNNNNNNNNNNNNNNNNNNNNNNNNNNNNNNNNNNNNNNNNNNNNNNNNNNNNNNNNNNNNNNNNNNNNNNNNNNNNNNNNNNNNNNNNNNNNNNNNNNNNNNNNNNNNNNNNNNNNNNNNNNNNNNNNNNNNNNNNNNNNNNNNNNNNNNNNNNNNNNNNNNNNNNNNNNNNNNNNNNNNNNNNNNNNNNNNNNNNNNNNNNNNNNNNNNNNNNNNNNNNNNNNNNNNNNNNNNNNNNNNNNNNNNNNNNNNNNNNNNNNNNNNNNNNNNNNNNNNNNNNNNNNNNNNNNNNNNNNNNNNNNNNNNNNNNNNNNNNNNNNNNNNNNNNNNNNNNNNNNNNNNNNNNNNNNNNNNNNNNNNNNNNNNNNNNNNNNNNNNNNNNNNNNNNNNNNNNUAAAAACCGGAAAAUUAUCAUCAUGAUCUAAUCCUCUAGGUCCUCUGAGUUAGUUUAUGUUCAUGUCAGGGAGCUUUUUGCUAACUAGUCAUGGAGUUUACGACCUUAGAAUGACCGAAAGGACUUGGUUUUGAUCAUACACACGUCACUUGUGGCUAAGGCAAAAGCCUACACGCCACUUGCAAGCUUCACAGCUUCGCACAUGCCAAUUCUGCGAAAAACAGCAAUCUGUCCCUUCUGGACAGUCAACUUCGUUUGAGCUUUGUGAACAGCUCCAGACGAACCAGACAGUGAGCUUUAUAUCAUUAGAAAGCUCUACGAGUCUAGUUUUCAGAAAAUUUUUCGGUUCAUCCAUAUCUAUUUUAACGAAGAAGUUAUGGCUGUUUUAGUGCGCAAAGGUCAUUCUGGGCGGAAAUUUUUAUGCACUCUCGAGAUUGCAGCUUUUUGUAGCUUCGUUCAAUCCUUCUAAAUGGUUCAAGUGGAACUAUUUACUCUCUUAUCUACUCCAUUUUGUAGAUCUGUCUCAUCGAGACAUUGAGUGCUUCGCAGAUAGUGGAACUAUCCACAACAUUCUAAGGAACUGACAACUAUCUUUGGAUUUUGUGCCUUUGUAAAUCUUCUGUGACUAUAAUGAUUGAAUCAUACCGAUCAUUCAAAGACGCGGUUUAGCUUGAAUCUUGAUGCCUCAUGGCACCAUGAUUAAUGUCACAGAUACCCUCUAUACAUUGAGAGGCAAUCAAACCAUAUUGAGCUUUAAAGACAUUCCUGCUAAUAGUUUUCAUUUGAAAACACAUUGUGAGAAUGAACAAGAAUUCUUUUGUGUAUACCUUCUCAUGAAUGCGGACUGAAGCGCAUCUUGGAGAAAUUCAUGAGUCAAUCUAGUGGACUGUAUGUCACUAUGAUUCGAAUAUCGAAUCCCAUGUUGUCGCCAAACAUGAUAUUUGGGACAUUGACUCAUAUAGGCUUUGGUUUGACCAAAUUGGUCAACCUGGAAGAGAUAAUGGUCCAAAUUUUGAGAAAUUCUCAUGGACAUCCAUUCUUCCGCUCAAAACGAAGACAUUCGAGAUCUAGCAUCACCAUGAAGCAUGGUGGUGACCCGGGGGACAUUGACGUCACCCGAACACGACUCCAACUUCCUGGAGGUCGUACGGUCAAUUCCUCAAGCAAUUGAGGUGCACCGGCCUUUCCUCGAUGUCGCAUUGGCCCUCUGCAAUGCUCAUUACUCGUUUUGAAAGCCUAUUGUUUAGCUAAAUUAGGAGUGAGACCCUCCUACGCUAAAUAACACAAAAGUGAACAUUCUAUUCUUACAUAAAAUUAUGUAGAUAGAUACAACCAACUUGCGGACACCUUUUAUGACACGACCCACCCCGAAUUUCACCCUGAAACCCGGAGUAAGUCGUGCGGGGACCACCUCCAAAGAAAAUUUACCGAAAAGAUUGGUAAAACCUCCCUUGAAGAUGGACAACCCUAACCCGAAAAAUCUCCAAUUCACACACUUACUACAGCACUUCCAAAAAUAUCACACAAUUAUCCAGCUAAAUAAAGGCAAAUAUUAUUCUUCAGCAAUUCUAAACAUAAAGUCAACCGACCGAGCACACCACCGGAAUAAUAUACAAUAAUCCCAAAGUAUUCAGAGCUACUAGACACUAGCGGAAGCAAGAAAACACUAGUAGGUUAAAUAGGUAACCUACUGAUGAAAACUGGCGGAAAAGCGGGUAACUAUGCCUCGUCUCCUACUAGGUCCAACCUGAACUUUGCAGACUGGGCAAUUUAAAACGAAGAGCCCAGGGGAAAACAUGUGGAAACAGUUAGAGUGAGUGGACAAAACAAAAUAAAUUAAAUAAAAAUAUUUCUUUAUGCUUCCCCAAUUUAAUUUCCAAAUAAAAUAAUACUGCAUGCAAUCGCUCAAAAGCGCUUAACUCAAAAACUGGCAACUUCACGACCAGCACCGGCUAGUCUCCAAAACUUAAUAAAAUACAGCCUCUCAGGCUAAAUUAUAUAUAAACAUAUAUAAGUAUAUGUAUUUACACUCGUCAGACUCCUUGUAUGAAUUCUAAGAACAAAUUAGAAAAAUAGAAAUUCAUACAAGGCUACUACGUUUGCGUCUAACGCUCACGUCACACCAUAAUGGAAUUGUACCUCAGUAUGACGGAAAAGGCACGAGUGUAUAUACGUGUGGACUCCCUAUAUGAAAACCUAAAUAAACCAAAUAAAAAAAUAGUUUUCAUAUAGGGCUACUACGCUUGUGUCUAACACUCACGUCACACCAUAAUGGUAUUUUACCUCAUUAUGGCGGAUCAGCACGUAUGGCUAGCUAGCAUUUACAUAUACAUACUAUCAUCAUAAACAUCCAAUAACAUAUCCACCGAAAUCUCAUUUUCGGGAUCNNNNNNNNNNNNNNNNNNNNUAUAUACGUGUGGACUCCCUAUAUGAAAACCUAAAUAAACCAAAUAAAAAAAAAUAAGUUUUCUAUAUAGGGCUACUACGCUUGUGUCUAACACUCACGUCACACCAUAAUGGUAUUUUACCUCAUUAUGGCGGAUCAGCACGUAUGGCUAGCUAGCAUUUACAUAUACAUACUAUCAUCAUAAACAUCCAAUAAACAUAUCCACCGAAAAUCUCAUUUUCGGGAUCUCUCCAAAGGAGGAAAUUGCCAAAUAUCCGAGAAAUAAAUAAAUCUCAGGAAAAGAAUUAAAUGAUCAACAGAUAAUUCAUCGCAUACUUUUCAAUUAAAAUAAAGGUCCACUCACAAAUUAGGCCUAAGCCUGAUGACGCUCCGAGGCUUCCUCUGCUCGGGCCUCCUCUCGUCCUGUUCCAAAUAUAUAAUUAAUUCCCACCAAAAAACCAAUAUUUAAACAAAAUGGGCAAAAUUAAACGUGAGCCUCCCACACACUCAUCGUUGCCCAAAUUCGCCAUUCUUAACUCAAUACAGCUCAAACUUCGCCGAACAUACCGGCAGCCGUAAAAACAACUUUCCACAGAAUACGACUUAAAUCCUACGGCCGGAUUCUACAUUAAUUAACCGCCAAAAUACCAAACUUCGAAAAUUCACAAAUCUAUCUAAAACUCAUCCAAAAAUUCCAUAACUCACUUCAAUAAACUCCCCUUAAUAUUCCACAUUUAAAAACAUAAAAAAUCUCCCAACCGGCGGCGGCCGGAGGCCAAUUUUGGCGACCUCUAAAACCUAUGAAAUUUUGACAGAAUAAUCUUCUCAUCAUGCUCUACAACUUUCCUGACCAGCACAAACCCAAAAUCCAAGCCUAACUAGGGCAAUCGAACACAAACACCUAAAAGCCCUAUAAAUUUCAACUCCACAUUUCUCCUUACCUAGCUCAAGAGAGGGAGAGUCCUUUUAGGGCAAGGCUGCUGGGUUGGAGGGCUACAAAACCGUACCAAGCUUGCCCGGAUUGGUGGCCGGAGGAGGGAGUUCCGGCGAAAAGCUUCCCGACGUUUCCGGCGGGUUUUCUCCUCUUCCGGCGGGUUAGAGGCUCGGGGGCUAGGCCGGGGAGGGAGAGGAGGAGAUGGGGGUCCGAACUGGGGUGGAGCGGCGGCCGAUGGCUGGCCGGACGGCGGCAGCUGGUGGCUGGGAGCUUCCGGUGGAGAGAGAGCACGGGAGGGAGAAGGAAGAGAAAAGAGAGAAGAAGAGAAAGGGAGGAAAUGGGUUGGGCCUCCCAACCGGUCCAACCUUAUAUCAACCCAACUCAAAAAAUAAAACACCCCGAAAAAUAAUACCCGAAUAAAAUUACCUUUUACUAGCUAAAAUUUACCAUUUUUACCGUCGUCAUAUUUUCCUCUUAUGAAUAAUCCUCCGCACAUAAUCAUCCCCGAAACCCCUCUAGGGACCAAUUAAACUAUUAACUCAAUGACGGAGACGGUAAAAUUCUGAUUAUAAACCAGCUAGUAAAUAAGGUAAAAAAUAUAAGAGUCGGGAUGUGACAAUUCUUUUCGGUAAAUUUUCCUUGGAGGUGGUCCCCGCACGACUUACUCCGGGUUUCAGGGUGAAAUUCGGGGUGGGUCGUGUCAUUUUAUGCUUUAUGGUGUUGGUUGAAGUGUUAGCACACUGGUCACGUGUUAGCACACUGGUCACGUGUUACACUAUUAUCUGCUGCUUAUGCUGCAUAUACUUCUACGGGCUAACUACCCAUUAUUUAAAGAAGUUUAUUGGGAUAUAAGUUGAAGUGUCAUGUACCCCAUGUUCACACGCAAUACGGUCUCACCGAGGCUACGACCAAGCAACUUUAGCUUGUCGCUCGAAUAUUAUUGAUGCGCACCAACCUUUCUAUUGCGUCUUAGGGCUAUGCAAUAUUUGCAUGCAGCUUUACUAUUCGUCUACAAUCCACCAUCAUUGAAUAUUUUUGUACUACAGCUCGUGACUGUGUACCAGGAUUGCAAUCCUUGAGCUCAAACAAGAUUGAAACGGAUCUCCAAUCCUUGAGCUCAACUAGAUGUUUAUUCUAAGUGCCAAAUCGCACUGCCACUGCGCACAAUGAUGGGUCAUUUAAGAUGAAUAAGUAUUUAGGUUGGAUGUAAACCUCCACCUAUAAAUCCGCAUAUGUAGAAACCUUGUCAGGCAAUCUCAUUCACCGCUAAAUUGCGGAUUGUCACUUUGAUGAGACAAUAUUCCCGCCGUUAGGAGGAGAUAAGAACACAAGUGUUCAAGUGGAAAGACGUGAAUUGUCGUGGUUUGUCCCCACUAAGUCUCAUCUUGAUCCCAAAUGCUUAAAGUGUUAAAGUGACGAGAUCACAUGCUGCAAAUAUGUCUGCAAGGAUUGAUGUCCCAUCAAGAGGACAUGACGCGACCAAAAGGUGUUGGUCUUGACGCCAUCACCAUGGAUGGUGAUAUAGUGACGCCAUAUAAUGGCAAAAUUAGUGUCACAAGGCCGUGUGGCUCCCCAAAAGGAGGGAGGCCCUUAGGUUCGAUAUUUUCUCGCACUAGGAAGAAAGCGAGCUUGGCACAACCUGAUCCAUUGAUCAGUGAUACUCAUAUCUGUCUCAUGAAGUCUGAAUUGUGAUUAUCGUUGGGGGACGCCUCAAUGUCAAAUCCAAUCCAUAUAGAGAUCUCUACAAAGUAUUACACUAGUGUACAUGAGGACGUGGGAUAAUGAGUCUACUAUCGAACCACCUUUCGUUGAUGGAUAUCAACUUAGUUGAUUGGCCUAAUGGAAAGAUGUGAUCCAGCAUUAACAAAGAGAUAGGUCCUUGGGCAGGUGAUGCCGACACCGCAAGCUAAACCCUAUCAACUAUGCCUUUGUUAGAUAGCGUAGUGAGAAAAAGAGCUUAGACUCAUCUUAUGGCGUAAGGUCUCUCACUAACACGCACUGGGAUCGACUACGAUGAGAUAUGCUCUCGUAAUGGAUGUCAUUGAACUCCACUACUUUGUCAGUUUGGUAGUUUCCGAAUAACUGAACAAGCAGCCUAUGAAUGUGGUCAUAAUAACAUCUCUACGGGAUCAGAGAUAUGCAUGAAGGUCUUGAAUAGACUUCAUUCAUCCAAAUCAAGUGGCUUCAGACCACAGGUUCAUGCGUUUACUAAAUGUAUUGAAACGCACAUGGACUCUACUUGAUUUGGAAGGGAUAUGGUGAAUUAUGCCUUUGCGUGUUCAUUCCGGAUUUACAUGGACUCUUGAUGGAUCAAGAGAUGCCAAUAUGUAUCAACAUCUGAAGAAAAAGAUCUUGAGAAGACACAGUCUCGAUAAGACACUCGAUGACUGUAUUGAUGAUGAUUUUCCAUCAAUCGGCUUAGGCACUUUAUAACUAAUGAGGCCUACAUAUACUUCCAUGAUUAGUCAAGGUCUUACUCUAAAGAGAGAUCCGUUGUUUUGUCUAAAGCAAUAUGACAAAUAUAUGUUAAGAGAUGGAGUUCACAUCUAAGUACAAUUAGACGCAUCAAUGUACUCAACACAAUACGAAAGACUUGACAUCUCAUUCGCUAUGAAAAGUUGUAAAGCUAAGUGUAGCUAUGCGCCCACGCAAUGCCAAUGUAAUGGCAGUAACUCCUUUUUCAAUACUUAAUGGUAUGAAAGGUUGAGGCUUAUUCUAUCCCUACAUAAGAAAGACACAUCAAUAGCGAAAUCAGAAUCUGCCAAGUUUCGUAGGUCAAGCUCCACGGGACUUACAGGAAACCUCACUCACUGGAAUAUGGUAAAAUUGGUACCAUUGGAAAGGUCUAUGUGUCUACUUUCUAGGAACACCAACCAUUUGAUCAUACCUAUCAUAUUGAGUGAGUUAUGGCCGUUUUCGUAAAGUAGGACGAAUCUGUCCGAGAAUCUGAUUUUGGCAAAACAGUCAACUUCGACCGGACAUUUUGAAUAGCUCCUGACGAACCAGAAUGUGUGUAAUAUAUGGUUGGAAAGCAAAAUGUGUCUAGUUUCCAAAACCAUUUACGGUUCGUUCAUAUGUAUUUCCUAGAGGAAGUUAUGACUGUUCUAGUAACUGAAGGUCAUGCUGCGCGGAAAUCUGAUUUCCUGCACGAACUUAUGUCUUGAGUUCACAAGCGGCCUUCUCCUCAAGAUCUAAGUGUAAAAGAUCAUUUGAGGACAAUACGGCAUGAUUUAGUUAAUCAUUGCCUAAUGCCACAUUUGAAAACAUGUUAAAGAGNNNNNNNNNNNNNNNNNNNNNNNNNNNNNNNNNNNNNNNNNNNCGUUGUACUCUUUUCUUCCUACGAUCAAGGUUCAGUUUUCUCCCACAGGGUUUUGUGACUUGACGAGGUUUUGACGAGGCAACAGAUCAGCACUAUCGGCAUAUCAGCGCGCAGCACAAGGGGGAGUGUUCUAGGAUAUUCUGUAUCUUUCUAGAUAUUCUUUAUGUGUGCCUUGGCCUUAUGCCAAUAGGAUAUGUAAUUAGACUAGAUCUAUGUAUUCAUAUCCUUACCAUAUUGGUAUUGUGUAAUUCCCUAUAUAAAGAGCUCCUAUCAAUGAAUAAGAUGAUGAUUCUCUUGUUAUCUCUCAUUCUCUACACUUUAUACUUCAUCACAAGGAUAUAUUUUCUGUUAAAUAGUUUGCGUUGAUCAGAUUUUUAUCAAAAGUCUGGUACUGUUUGGUUCAGUGGCAUAAGUCUCUCUUUGUAAAUGAGAGGUCGUAAGUUCGACUCACAAUAGACUCGUUAUAGCAUAGUAGUUGUUUAUUUGAUGUAAAAAAUAAUAAUUCAUCAAAGGGAUAUAUAUCUAGUUGUGUUCUUUUCUUUGAUAAAUGAGGUCAUUUUUUUAUAUAGUUUAGCAAACAAUACAAUUACGAUACAUCUAUAAAGGGUCGUUAAAAAAAGUGGUUACAUGGAGCACAAGUAAAUGAUAAUAUGCUCUCAUGUGUUGACAUUAUUUCAAAUGAACUUAUUUCACAUACCAUGUGUUUAAAAAACAUUGUUGGUGUCUUGACAAAAUUUCCCAAUAUCCUAUUUCAUAGCAGUAUUCUCCUGACCAGCGUCGGCGAGUGUUGUGACAGGAACCUCCGCUUCGUUGUCUGACAUCGAUCCAGGCUCGACCAGGCUUUGAUGCUACCUAACGCAACGGGAAAUACGGGGGGCUAACAAGCGUUAAACCCUAGAAACAAUGGAGAGCUUACAAGCGUAAACUCAUAAAUAGAACUCUGGAAUUUACCAGAAAAUUAUAGAAAAUCUCUUAAGUUUGAUUGAUAACAAUAUGAUUGAUGAAUUGAAUCUAUCCACUUCUGAAAGCCAAUCAAGAAACUCUUCAACUUGUAAAUUUCCAUAGAAGAAAGAUAUGUCUGCUUGUUAUUAGCAUUUAAGGACAUGCCAAGUAAGGAUUUUUUUUCUUUAGGUUUUCUCCGAACUUUUCUUGUCUUUGCAACAUAACAACUUUUUGCCUCAACAUUUCACUUCUCGACCAUGUCUGAAGAGGUUUCAUCUCGUUUUGUCGCUGCCUUAGAUAUCAAGGACAAUGGGAAAGUGGCGUUUGGCGCCACAAGUGCUCAUGUUAUCUCACCACAUUCAUACAUGGUGGUAACGUCACUGACUGUGUAAAAACAAAAGCAUGAAGCCCAUGGCUAUGAUUGAGACGUUUGCCGCAGUUUGCAUAACAGCCUUCAUAUGAGGGUUCAUGGGAUUAGUACAUUCUUUAUUUCACCGAGGCCAAGGUUCGUCGACAUGUCUCGAAGUGAGGGUCAUGGUUCUUUGGUUGUUCUAUGUUUGUUGUGGCUGAGUGUGAUGGUCUAAGUGAUGCUUCAUGUGUCUCGAUCGUCACUUUUCCAGUGUGGGUGGAGGUUUUUGGACUGCCGCUGGCUUGCAGACCUUGUGGAAUUGGUAGGUGUUACGCCUGGAAAAGUAGAGCAGCUUUAUAAGGUUGAAAUCGGUCGAGGAACGAGAGCUAGGGUUCAUCUCACUCAUCAUAUUUCUGAUCAGGUAAAGCAUGCCCACCCUCCUUUGGCCUUCAAGUUUGGUACUAUGCUUCUCACUUUCAAAUACAAGAAGACGUUCAAGUUUUCCAAGACUUGUGGUUUUUGGAGCAUAUUGUUCUGUGGUGUAAGGGACCUCCGGGUCAGGUGAUUAGAGAGGAGGUUGAUACGGUGACGUUUGUGGUUAGUUUGGGUGUAGGAGCUACAAACCCUAAACCGAACAGUAUAAAACCCUAGUUUCUGGGGACUUAAUUCCGGAUAGGGGUGUUCCUAGAUUGCAAGGUGUUGGUAGUCCUUUUUAGAUGGAGGGGCUAAUCCAUUUCAAAAUGGGUCGACUUUCACUUUUCCCCUUCUAGGUGUCCCGGCGUCAGACUCGACUUCACAGUUGGCUAAGUUUCGAUCUCUAAGGAUGCAGCUGCCCCUAGAGAAGUGGCUAUGGUAGAGGCAAUUUCCAUGUCCAAACUUAAGGGUUUUUUUUUUUUUUUUUUUUUUUUUUAUUUUUUUUUUUUUUGAAUACAAGGGCUAGAUUGAUAGCUCUUACGCCAUAACCAUUAACAAAACCUCAGAAUACAAAAGGAGAGGGGGACAUUGUGCCUAAAUCCUAUACUGUAAGAACACCCUAAAAUAAUAUUAUGCAUAUCUACAAAAUCUAUGCAUUCUAACAAAACCUCAGAAUACAAAAGGGGAGGGGGACAUUGUGCCUAAACCCCAUAUUGUAAGAACACCCUAAAAUAAUAUUAGGCAUGUCUACAAAAUCUAUGCAUUCUAACAAGCAUCAUUUAACAAAGAGUGCAUCAUUAGCUACUCCAUUUGCUUUAUAAUUUUAACAACAUACCGGAAAACUAUUACUCAUACAGAGCUAUAAGUUACUAUAUAUGUCUAUCAGUUUUCCGGCUAUGAUGCCACUGGAAAUUACCAGUGACCCUAAGUUUCAUCUUGCCACUUAAAGACUACGACCAUUUGAAAAAGGAAGAAACUCGCCACCUCAUUAGAGCAAACAUGGUUCGAUGCGUGCACUUACUAGGACAUAGCCCACCAGUAUCCAGUAUCACUGAAAAACAAUAAGACAAAAACCAAAAAAUAAACCUAGUAGGGCAUAGCACGUCCUCUGUCACCCAUAAGAAAAUGGUGACUUAUUUCAACAAUUAACCAAAGUAAAACUAAGAAGGUAAAAAACUUAAUUAAAAUAAUAGUAAAUACCCAAGUUCGGCAUGUAAGCCAAAUCCAGGCCCAGGCCCAAAUACCUCAUAGCCCAAGCCAAGAGCAAACAUUGUUAGCGUGCUCUUGCCGCCGUCUCGCAGAUGUAGGCCACGACGUUCAGUUACGAGGACAUACUCGUCAUUCCGGCCAAGCACCGCUUGUCUCUUCUUUCAUCCGUCGUCUCCAUCCCGCCAGCGAGCAUCAACAUGGUAUUUGUUAUGGUCUUUGAUUGUUUUAGUAACGUGUUCGUGGUGGUGUUUUGGUACAGGAGGUGCUACCUCUAGAGCUUAAUUUCAUGGAAAAUGGUCCUUCCACAUGAAGAUGACAUGUUGAAAGUGUCACAUGCAAAGAAAUACAAGGCGGCAAGGCCUUUAGGGUUCAAGAACAAGCAAAAGAUGGAGGAUAUUCAUCCAUGGAAGCUUGAUGUCACUGCCUUGGUUCCUAAUAAAAAGCAAAGAGGAGCUUAGGGGUGCGUAUGACGCAAUUGCCUAUUUUCAACACCCUAGGAUACAAUUUAGGGUUUGUGGAGGUUGGUUGUGUUUUUGUGGAUUAUUUUAGAAAACUUUUUACUACCGAUGGUUCUGAUAUGAAUAAAGGUAUUUUAAGUGAAGUGGAGGGGAGAGUAUCGCUGGAACAAGCAGAAAAACUGUCUAGACCCUACACUAGAGGGGAGCUUGAAGUGACAUUGAAGGAGAUGGGUCCAACAAAAGCUCCAGGGUCGGAUGGAAUGCCUCCGAUUUUUUAUCAAAAUUACUGGCUUACUGUUGGUGAUGAGGUUGUUGGGCGUUGCUUGAAUUUUCUGAAUGGUCAAGGGACGGUACGAGAUUUAAACCAUACUUUGAUUGCCUUGAUUCCAAAAGUGCCAAGCCAGAAGAGGUAACUGAGUAUCGACCCAUAAGCUUAUGCAAUGUGGUUUAUAAGUUAAUCUCAAAAGUCCUAGCAAACAGAAUUAAGCAUGUGUUAUCUGGAGCGAUUUCGGUCUCCCAAAGUGCUUUUGUCCUAGGAAGGUUAAUUCAUGACAAUGUGAUUGCUGCCUUCAAAACAAUUCACAACUUGAAGAAAAGGGGAAAAAAAAAGUAGACAAAAGGUUGCUGUCAAACUUGAUAUGGCAAAGGCAUAUGAUCGUGUGGAAUGGGUGUUUUUGAAAAGGAUGAUGUCGGCUAUGGGGUUUCCACAGAGGUUCUGCUAAUUGGUAAUGGAAUGUGUGAGAUCGGUUUCUUACUCUAUACUGAUCCAAGACAAGCCUUUUGGUCGUAUUGUUCCUUCUAGGGGGCUUCGACAAGGUGAUCCCAUCUCUCCAUAUUUGUUUCUUUUGGUGGCUGAAGGUUUUUCUUCUAGCUCUUUUGAGGUGUGCAGAGAAGUCGAAAUACAUUCAUGGGGUGACUAUUGCACGGGGAGCACCAUCAGUUUCUCAUCUUUUCUUCGCAGAUGACAGUCUUCUGUUUUGUGAUGCAUCAAUCCGCGAGUGCCAAAAAUUGAAGGAGGUUUUUGGGGCAUAUGAAAGAGCCUCAGGACAGAAAAUGAGUGUUGAGAAGUCAGUUAUGUGCUUCAGUCUUAGAACUCUAGAAUUUAUUAAAGAAGCUUGUAGUGUGGCUCUAGAUAUGAACAUAGUUCCAUGUCAUGAACGUUACCUUGGGUUGCCAACAAUGACGGGGAAGAGUAAAAAGAAACUGUUCAAGGUUUGGUUGAUAGGGUUUGGAAGAGAGUUCAGGGAUGGGAAGGAAAGUUACUUUCAAAGGGGGGUAAUGAGGUGCUUAUAAAGGCGGUUGCUCAGAUUAUACCUACAAACAUGAUGAGUGUCUUUCAACUUCCUGUGGGCGUAUGUGAGGAGAUUAGCAGGCACCUAGCCAAAUUUUGGUGGGGGAAACCUGGUGGGAAAUGUAUUCAUUGGAGGAAGUGGGAUGCUCUUUGUGUCCCAAAGAGCCAAGGAGGAUUGGGUUUUAGGGAGUUUCAAAAUUUCAUUAAAACAUUAGUUGCUAAAAUUGGUUGGAGGUUGAUAUGUGACGAGUCUUCUUUGGUGAGUAGAAUGCUCAAAGAGAGAUAUUUUUGCAAUAAGUCAUUCCUUGAAGCUGAAACCAGGAAAAAUCCUUCAAGUAUCUAGAGGGCAGUGAUUUGGGGAAAGGAGUUGUUGUUAAAAGGGCUGAGAUAGCGGGUGAGUGAUGGCAGUUGCAUUCGGGUUUUUCAGGACCCUUGGGUUCUAGGGAUUCCAAAAUUCAAAGUCACAUGGAAGAGUGGACUUGAUUGGAAUUUGACUGUAGCUGAGCUUAUUACUUCUUCUGGGGGCUGGAAUAUAGAGCGGUUAGACCAAUUUGGUACUCUUCCAAAAGUUAAUGCUAUAUUAUCAAUACCUCUAGCUCAUACUGGCAGUAGAGAUAAGAUGAUAUGGAACCACAAUCGUAAUGGAAAAUUCUUGAUUAGAAGUGCUUAUUGGUUGGCAAUGAAGGAGAGUCAUCAACUGCCCCAAAAUGUUUCAGAUCAUUAGAAACACUUGUGGAAGCUAAAGGUGCCAUCUAAAAUCAGUCACUUCUUAUGGAAAUGUUUGAAAGGGUUUGUGCCAUGUAUGUCAGCAUUAUAUCAGCCAUAUAUGGUAGAUUCUCCUAUGUGUCUGAGGUGCCAACUAUCUCAAGAAACGCCCUUGCACGCGACAUUCUUGUGUCCAUUGAAUGUAGCAGUGUUGGAGAAGGUGAGCUUUUUCCCAAAGUUGGAUCCGGGUCUAGUAGUGCCAUUUGCUGAGUUUUUUGAUCAUGCUCUUUCUAUUUUAACCUUGGAUGAAAUGAAACUGCUGGUAAUUCUAUUACGGGGUAAUUGGAAUGAACGAAACUUGUUUACCCAUGGUGAGAAUCCUAGGCCCCUGGAGGUGCUUUAUGAGCAAGGUGUGUUACUAUGGAAAAGUUUAUUAGAGGUGCAAUCAAAGAAAAAUACACACAAUGGUAGCAACAAUAGUUCCAACAGUGGGAGGUGGCAUCCACCGAAUCCAGGUACAUUUAAAUUAAACUGUGAUGCAUCUGUUAUUGAUGAUGGAAAUUGUGUUGGUGUUGGGGCUGUGCUAAGGAACAAUUCUGGUGAGGUGGUGGUGGUGGUGGGAGAGAGAGUUGUGGGUAGGCUUAGGCUUGUGCUGCUAAAUUGUUUACGUUGAUUAAAGGCCUGGAGAUGGUGAUUCAAGGAGGAUGGCCUUUGGAGAUGGUUUAAACGGAUUGCCUUGAACCUAUGAGGUUAGUAAAUGGGAGGCUGAUUGUUUUCCUGAAGAAGGUGUGUUGGUUGAAAAGAUUAGAAUGCUAUUAGCUUCUAUCAAUGUUGGUGAGAUUCAGUAUGUUUCUAGAAAAGCUAAUAUGGUAGCUGAUUCUAUUUCAAAGUUUGUAGCCUGAUUGCAGGGGCGUUAUUCAUGGUUAGAGGUUGGGCCUGAUUGACUCAUGGAUAUCAUUGGUAAUGACAGACCGGUGACUUGUUCGAGUAGGAGAGAUGAGAGUGGGGAAGUUGCUUCCACCACCGAUAAUUCCUAAGCGUUGUAAUUCUAUUUUUUUUGUUUGAAUAAAAUUUUGAUGUUUUCUCCUCAAAAAAAGAUACAAUUUUUGUUUUGAAACAAAAGUGACACUUGAGAUCUGUUUUGGUUAUUAAGUGGGAUAAAACCUUCAGAGAGAUAUUAACUUUUUUUUAUCCUUUUAAAAUAAGUGAUGUGACUAAUUGCUACAUAAGUACAUGUGUGAAAAAUAGAUAAUAAAAAGAGGAGAAGUAGACACAAAAUAUUAGAAGGGCUAGAGAUGAUGAAGGAGAAAAGAUUGUUCAAAUGCAGUACGGCUUAUCAAAUAAGCCUUAUAUUUGCAUAAGGUAUUUUAGUAGAGAAGAUUCAGACUCUUCUGGAAGAGCUUGAUAUUAUAUCAAGCAUACGACGCUAAAUAACAUUAAAACUGCUCGUGCAAUUGCAGAGGAGUAGUUCUUGUAUCCCUAGCAUGUGGGGAGAUAAGUGAGGCUACAUCGGGUCAUUCUCCAUUUAUGUCAUCUUUGAUUUUAUUUGAUACAAGUUCCCUUGAUUCUCAAAAAAGCAAAGAAAACAAAAAAACCCAAAUUAUGUCUCAAAAUUACUGCGUAAGAAGUUUGGUGAGGAAUAUUGAAGUCACAUCUAAUACAUGUGAAAGAUCCACAUCAAGAUUUGCCAAAAAAUAAAAACACAAAAGAAAGAGUUCUUAAGAAAAUAAAAUAGACUAUGGAAAUAAGAAAAGGCACCGGACACAUGGGGACAUUCUUGCCAUAUACAAGUUUGAUCCUUUCAAAUAAUUGUGGGAUAAGCUACAAAAUUCAGCAUCUAUUCUAUGUUGAAUUAGGGGUCACCGUGUCUCUUGUUUAGUAGUAAUUUAACCAUGUCAUAAUUACAAGGGAAAAAGACCAUUUGCACAAAAUAGAAAAGGUCAAACUCCAUUUCAAUGAUAAUCUUUUUUAUUAGCCCAUUUGAAUACAAGGUACUUAUUUUAAGCCCAAAUACACAAAUCUUUAUUAAAAUAUAAUAAAACGAUAUUUUAAAAGACUUUUUUACCCUUAACCUUUAUUUAAAGAGGAAAAAUGAAAAAGAAGAAAUGAAGACUUUCCCGGAAGCACACCGGACACUGGCCGCCGGAUUCCGGUCACCGGUCGUUGGAAAAUUGAUGGUGAUCGGAAAAUCGCCGGAGACGCCGGAGUCUCACUGGAUUUUUUUGAAAAAAAUGUCACCGAAACCCACCGGAUUUUGCCGAAAGCAUACCGGCAAAAAAUGAAGUUUACUACCCCUAGUAAACUUUUACUGGGGGUAGUAAACUUGCAAAACAAUAGCUCCAAUGCCAUAAUUCACAUUGAAAAGGAAAAAAAUCAACUUAGAUGCGAAAAAAUGAAGUUUACUACCCCUAGUAAACUUUUACUGGGGGUAGUAAACUUGCAAAACAGUAGUUCCGAUGUCAUAAUUCACAUUGAAAAUGAGAAAAAAUCAACUUAGAUGCGAAAAAAUGAAGUUUACUACCCCUAGUAAACUUUUACUGGGGGUAGUAAACUUACAAAACAGUAGCUCCAAUGCCAUAAUUCACAUUAAAAAGGAGAAAAAUCAACUUAGAUGGGAAAAAAUAAAGUUUACUGAGGGUAGUAAACUUUUACUUAAAUUUACUACCCCUAGUAAACUUCUACUGAAGAUAGUAAACUUGCAAAACGGUAUCUACAAAUGCCAUAAUACACAUUAAAAUGGAGAAAAAUCAACUUAGAUGCGAAAAAAUAAAAUUUACUGGGGUAGUAAAUUUUUUACUAAAGUUUACUACCCCUAGUAAACUUCUAAUGGGAGCAGUUAACUUGUAAACAGUAUCUCCAAAUGCCAUAAUACACAAUAAAACAAAGGAAAAAUCAACUUAAUUACGAAAAAACAAAAUUUACUGGGGGUAGUAAAUUAGUAAAACCAAUGAACUCAUACUAUUCAAUCCGAAACUAUUCAAACAUACAUCCUUGGUAAGAAACCAAAUGAUUCCAAAUUCAAAUCACAUUUGCGGUUGAAACUUGAGGAUCAUGGAGAUUCAAAUCAUACGAAAAUACAAAUCACAUGAAAAUUGAGGAUUGUUCCUGAGGAGCCUGCCAAUUUGAUCGUCCUGAUCUCCAACGCCGGCAACCGAGGAUUCUGGUUCAGAAUCAAAAGUGAAUCGGAUUUUCCUUCCAAGCAAAUCUGAAUCCACUAAAUCUGUACAUCACGAUGAACAAUUUGACCAUCGGAAGAGGAAACAGAGCUUACCGGGAGGUUUACAUGACGGUCGACGGCGAGCUGGUCGGGUCGGAGGUGCCGUUUCCGAUGGUGUUCACCAACGAGAUGAAUCCAGAGAUUGUUGCAAGCGAGAGGCCCGGUCGUCGAGGAAGAUGGUGACGGUGUAGUGCCGAUGCUCCUUGCUCGAGGGCGUCGGUGGCGACGCUGUCUUCCACCAUGGAAGUUCGUUGAGGUGAGAGAGAGGAAGAGAGAGGAGAGAUGAGAGAUGAGUGAGAAGUGAUCGGGAAAGAAGAUAAGAAAGGAGUGGUGGGAAUAGAACAGUGGGUAUAAAUGUAUUUUCCUUAUGAAUAAUUGAGAUGGGCAUUGGGAAAAGAUUAUCAUUGUUGUGGGUAAUAAAUCUUUAAAAUUAGUAUCAUUAAGGCAUUUACUCUAAUUACAAAUUAAUACUAACAGAUCAAUUCAUUUCAAAAAUAGUUUUUAAGAAACUAUGAAAAAACAAUAUAUCUGACAAUCAAGGAUAAGUUCCUUCACAAUCUUCUUAAAUACGAGCAAGGCUCGUAUAAGCUAGCCAUAUUUUUCCCUAAUCAUACUCAUACUCUGAGGUGACGGUCCGUGUUGAAGGGGAAAGACAAGAUGAUGUCCUCUAGCUAAUGUUUGAAAUGUUGAAUGUCAUGAAACCAUGGUCUUGGGGGCCUUGAGUCAAAAAAAAAAUAUGCUGCAUUUUGCACCUUGCUAAAAUGCUAAUAGUUUAAGGUAAUAGUGAGAACAAGAACAACUCCACCCAAAGUCCACAUAUUCUCUCUUUUUCUCUCUCUAGCUAGCUGCCUCUUGUUUUGUUUCCUUGAUGAAACUCACAUCAUCACAUGGUUGCUUGGUCAAAAUUUGGCAUCUUGGCACUACAUUGUGAUCUCCAUGUGUGCCCAUGUUUAUUUUUGAUUUAUCACAUAAUAAAGAAAAAAUGGACCACUAUUUUGAAUGAGAUAAAGUCAAGUCAUGAGGGAAAUCAUAUUUACAAGCUAAAUUAUUUCUACCACAUUUAUGACUUCAGGAAAUCAAUUUUGAGAUUAUAGUGGAUUAGCUAGAUUUUUUGUUGUUGUUGGGUUGGGGGGGGGGGGGGGGGGGGGGUUAACAGAAUGCUUAGGUUGGUAUGUUUUGAGAAAUUUGGAUUCUUCAAAGAUUAGAGAAAGUUAUUCCCUUAUCUUUUGCUUCAGGAAGUUAUACACAAUUUGCAACAACGAAGGAAUAGAUAAAAGGUAAGAAAAUUUAAUAUAUUAAGGUAUUUGAGCUUGAAGUACUGAUAAUAUAUUAAUGUUUCGUCUUAUAUUUACUUGUAAAUUUGAAUAUUCUCUUACACAAUGCAUUUAAUUGGAAAGAAAAUAUUAUCGUUAUAAGUCGGAACGAUGCUAAAAGAUGACUACAACAUUUUACUAACAAAGUUACCAUUUUACAUUUUACUUGAUAUGGUAGAUGCAUGAAAAUAACUGCGAAACUAUUGGUACCCCUGUUUUCACCAUGAUGUUAAUUGUUAAACCAAUCUGACCAAAACCAUUAACAGAUCACAUGACAUGCAAACAAACCAAAAAAAGGAAGAAAACAAAUCAGUAGGUCUGUAAAUGUCGAAUAAAAUAUCUUUCCUGUUUCAAAAAUUUUCCCUAUUUUUUCACCGCUGAAUAAUUUUGAAUAUCUAUAAUAAUGAUGAUAUUAAACCAUUGCCUUAAAAAAGCUUCAGUCAUAGUUUGAGGUGCUCAGAAAAGGGUACCCAAAACUGUGUUAAAGGGACACCUCUCUCUCUCUCUCUACUAAAGGUCCUCUCUUUAUUUUUCUCUCUAGUAUUUGGUGAAUCAGGUUCCUAAGGUUUUGUAGUUUAGAGAGCACUUGAAAAGUUGGGGGAGGGAGAGAGAUAGACUCAAGAGUGAAACUUCAAACUUGAACUAUAAUUUGCAGUCUUUCUUUAUGUUUAAAUAUCUGCAAAGGGAACCGACAGAAGAGAAGAUGGGAAUUCCUGAUCCAGAAGCGAUCAAGCAGUUUCAGUUGUUAAUGGAGGAAGGUAGAGUUUUGAAAACCCAUUUCAGAUAUGUCAAUGGAUCAUAGUCUUGUAUGAUCUAGAACUUGAUCCAUCUUUCUUUUUUGCUUUGUCUUUUUUGCUUUUUUGGACUUUUACAGUUGAUGAGCCGCUGAAGAACACAUUUGAGGUUAGACCCUGUUUCUGUUUCGAGUUUGCUCGAUCUGGAUCGUUUAAAGUUUUGAACUUUUGCGAUUUGCAGCACUAGAUAAUGAAAUCAUUUACUUUACUCAGUUCAGUUGAAUCACUUACCUUUGCUUCUGUUUUGGAAAUUUUGCUUGCUGUGAAUCUUAAAUCAGUUUUCUGGAUUUGAUCUGGGUCUCUGAUGUGUUGCAUUUUGGGUUUUUCCUCAUAUUUUGGGCUGUUAGAUUGAUUGGCUUGAAGUUCAUCUUCUAUGUUUCGAAUCAAUUUGAUCUUGCUAGUAUUUUCGAAAGAGAAACUUUGUUUCUUGCUUUUAUUGAGGGGCAAGUAUGAAUCCUGGCUGUGAUCGGCAUGUUGGACUUUAUCAAGUGUUAACUUUCUGUUUGUUGAUAAUGUCAACUUAAUUGGUUGAAUUGACGAACCUAUAAGGUUGGUGUAGACUUUACUUGAAUUCAACCUUACUGCAGUACACUGGGUGCAAUGUAUGUGCUGCUACACUUGGCUAUGCAUUAUGAAGUCCCUUGGUUUUGGAAAUAUAGGAGAAUAAUGCUUUCUAUAAUUUAUAUACGUGUGUAUACACAUCUCCAACUAAUCAGCAUCCAAGAGAGAAAAAAGCAAGCAAAAGGGAAAAAUCGUAGAGAUGUCAUACUUUAAGACAAUAUAGUUGGCAGUGGAAUGUUUUUGUCGAGGAUAAAUUCUUAAAAGUUGGUCAUUUGGUUUUUAUAAUUUAUUACCUGUACAAGUGGAAUGUACCUUAAAAUCUAAAUACUGCCUCUUCAUUUCAGAAUGUGCACCAAGGGUAUCCCGAUGAGACAUUUGUGCGGUUUCUUAAAGCGAGGGACUGGAAUGUCGGCAAAGCCCACAAAAUGGUUAGAUUAUUAAGUUUCCUCGAUAAAUGCAACAAGUUUGUCAUCUAUGCUAUGGUUUGCUUUACUAACAAUGCUUAAAUUGUUCCAGUUGGUUGACUGUUUGCAAUGGAGAAUAGACAGUGAAAUUGACAAUAUAUUGGCGGUGAGUUUUUUUUUAUUAGGAAAUUAUUGGGUAAACAUAUAUCUUGUGACCAAUCAUGUGUAACUCAAAUGUUUGUCAGUUUGAUAUUCUCUUGAAUUUUUGUAUUUAGAAUGUUUCAAACAGAGAUAUCUUUCUAUAAAAGUUGGUGAGUUAAAUCUGAAAGGUUUUUAAGAGCACAUAUGUUUUGUUAAUCAUGAAUCUCGAUAUGCCCUCUAAGAAGUCUUUAAGGUUUUGUUAUAACUUUUGUUUGCAGAUCUGAUAUGUUUUGCUAGUUAUUGAAAUGUAGAAGCAUGACAGUUGCACCUGGCGAAAAUCUCUACUUUCAGUUGCAUUCAGAGAGCAUACGUUAUUGUUUGGAUGUUAGGUCCAGUAGCCACUAGCCACAACUGGUUGAACUUUUAGGCAGUGUGGAAAUCUGGACACACAUGUUAGAGAGAAAUCUAUCAUUGGUUAGAGGGGAUAUGACAUCUAGUUUAGACGCGUCUAGUUUAUAGGAAUUAGUUAUACUGUUGAUUAUGCUAUGUCCAUUCUCCUUCUGAAUGUCAUAUUGUGGAUUGAUACUUGACACAGUGUGGAGCAGUAACUCUAUAUAAUGUGGCGACUAAUGUUUUUUUUUGGUAAAUACAGAAACCAAUCAUACCUACUGAUUUGUACAGAGCAGUGCGAGAUUCUCAGCUUUUGGGACUGUCUGGUUACUCAAAAGAGGUAUUUCCUGAUACAAUUUGUCAUGCCUUCUAUUUCUUCCAUUAUACCUUGCCACAUCCACCUUGUCUAAAAAAGGGAUGCCCCAGCAUCUGAAUAUUCUUCUUUUUUCUGCAAUAGUUGAUUAGUUUUGGCUCGCUUGGGGUGCUUAAUGUUUAAUUACAAAAUCACUAUAUUUACAUUGUUGCCCUCUUUAUUUCUUCCAGGGUCUUCCUGUCAUUGCUGUUGGUGUUGGGCUCAGCACAUAUGACAAAGCUUCUGUAAGGAUGAUAUUCUUAUAAUGAUGUAACAUAGUACAUUGGUACACUUGAUAUAUAUACAUGGAUAUACAUAGACACAUAUAUUAAUUGUACUACUGGGCUGAGUCUAUAGAUGUAUAUUUAAAGCACAGCGAGGUCCAUGAUUGUAGGCCUUUAUGUUGUAUUACCAUUCUUUCAGUGGUAUUAACUUGUUUGAUUUCAUUAAUGUAGGUAAAUUACUAUGUUCAGUCGCACAUCCAGAUGAAUGAAUACCGAGAUCGUGUAGUUUUAGUAAGUACUUAAGUUUGUCUAAUCAUCUUGCUGACAUGUAAUUUCAUAUGGAGCCUGAUAUUUUUUUUUCUUUUGUUGAAGCCUUCUGCAACAAAGAAGUAUGGCAAAUAUAUUGGAACUUGUGUGAAAGUUUUGGACAUGACUGGCUUAAGGCUGUCGGCGCUUAAUCAUAUUAAGGUAUCCCUAUCUUGAGCUCCUAUCUUGGUCUGUGGCAAGUUUAUGUGGUCAUAUGAUAUUUAUGUUUUUUGGAUUUCUUUUAGGUUUUUACUCUUCUUCACACCACCCACCCCCCCCCCCCCCCCCCGGUCCAAGCCAAAAAAUUCAAAAAACAACAGAACUGUUGACACAAUUUUUUUUCAGUUGUUUUUCCAAGGGCCCAUAUGAUUUGACACUUUCUUUCUGUUGAUGCAGCUAUUGACUGUUACCUCCACAAUCGAUGACUUAAAUUAUCCAGAGAAGACAGAUACAUACUAUAUUGUCAAUGCCCCAUACAUAUUCUCAGCAUGUUGGAAGGUUUGUCUGCCAGAGAAACUCACACUUUGAAAUAAACACAUAGGAACGAGGAAAUCCUGAUGAUGGGUGGUCUGCCAUCCUUGAGGCAGAAGUAUUAAUGUCUACAUUCUUUACAGGUGGUAAAACCUCUUUUGCAAGAAAGGACAAGGAAGAAAAUCCAGGUUCUCCAAGGUUGUGGGAAAGAUGAGUUACUCAAAGUAAGCAUGUUCGUUUAGUUCAAACAUCACCAUUGGCUCCCUAUUCCACUUGUGGCUUGCAAUUUUGGUGCUGUUUAAUACUUUCGUAAUGGAGUACACCUAUAGGUUACCUUGAGCACUCCAAUGCAAUUUUGUUCUUCUCCAGCUGCAUCUGUUUAUCUGCAUCAUCUUCGAUUCUUCGAUGAUGACAAUCUGACCUGGAAAUGUGUGUGCAGAUCAUGGAUUAUUCGUCCCUCCCACAUUUUUGUAGAAAACAGGGUUCUGGAUCAUCUCGGAAUUCGGAGAAUGGACAUACUAGUAACUGUUUCUCCUUGGACCAUGCUUACCAUCAAGAGCUCUACAAUCUUGUUAAGCAGCAAGCAAUGCGCAUGGAGUGUGUGGCACCAAUCAAACAGGGUUCCUUCCAUGUCAAUUUCCCGGAUCCAAACCCAGAUGACGCAGAGAUUGCGAAAACCAUAGAGGCUGAGUUUCACAAGUAUGGAAACCACAAUGGCCUCACCAAGUCACUAAGUGGCCUAAGAUUAAACGGUUCUUGAAUUCCAUUUUUUAACAUGUACAACGGUUAUAAGCGUCUGUAGCCUACAUGAGUACAUGACACUGGUAACAUUUCUAUGAGACCAGAAUGUUGUCAUAUUAAUUUUGUGUAAUAGUCUAUGCUUGCAUCAACUCGAUGCAGAUUCUUUAUGACAAAAGCUAAUCCGGUGUAGUCGGAAGUACCGCCGAUUUUAAUCCUUCUUCCAUGUGUACUGUGUAGGAAACACUAAUCUGUUAUAGAAGCUAAUUCCCACUAGCGUAUUACAGAUUAUUCAAAAGAAAUAUUUAACUUUACCAUCUAGAUGACUGUUUUAUAGUAUAAACUGAUUUUAGGAGACUAGGACUAUAUGAGUUAUGAGGUAGGGAUGGAGGUAUUGUUUAAUACUAGCUGUCAUAAUGUAAAUUCACAGCUAGUUGAAAAUUGAAAUGGAGAAGAUAACGAACUACUCGUAUGCCAAUUAGAUAACGGGCAGCUAUAGAUACCGUCAAUGAGUCUAAACUAAUCGCAAUAAUCGUCAUUUUCUCCGAGCUACUAAUACUUGACCAUUUUAAAUCUUAAAGGUGUCAUAUCAUCUGGUACAAAUGUAACAUUUAAAUCUUAGGUGUGGCCUUUGUGUUUUGCGUUAUACGUUUCUCUGGUAUAGAAUGCAUGGUUGAUUGUAGUUGUAAUUAAAUUGUGGCCUUUGUGUUUUGUUCCUGUUGCCCCUGAUCUUGCUUAUCUAUGAUUAGCAUUACUUUGAACACCGAAUUGGAAUGUAUCAUGGUAUUCAAAUGGAUUGACAACAGAAAGACAAUUAUUGCAGAGCCCUGAGCCCCUGAUUGAAGCUAAAAAGAAAGUGCAGAUUCCCAAAACUACAGAAAGAUGUUGCUGUUGCUUAUAUCUUUUGUUUGGCCACGAUGAAGAAGAAAUAUUCUUGAAGGCUGAAUUCUUUAUCAAUAUGUAGUGAUUUAUGGAUGUAUGUAUUUAUGGAAUGGAAUGUUGAAAUCUGUACUCAAUGUGCCUCAAGUUGCUAUGAUGUGACUAGUUUCCGGAAUGCUCACAAGGUCAAAAUUUCCUUUUUAAAGGCACUAGUUGUUGGAGAAUUGGAAAUGGUUGUCUCACUGAUCUGUGGAAUGACAAAUGGCUGCCAGAAGCUUCAUAUUCCCUUGCAUCACAUUAUGGUCAACAACCUCCAUUGAUGGUCAAUCAGCUCAUUUAGUUGGAUCCUCCCUCUUGAAACUUAAUUCUGUAGCUCAUAUUUUGUCUGUUUCAGACCAAGUGGUAAUUCAGACAAUUCCCCUCAUUGAUUCUGACAAUGAAGAUAAAUUGAUUUGGCCGCAUCAACAAUCAGGUUCUUAUACAGUCCGGUCAGGGUAUCAUUUAGCUCAGGCAGCUGUGACUUCAACUCCUAAAUUAAAAGCUUCUUCUUCACAUUCUGUUACCUCGGCAGUGUGGAAAUGGAUUUGGAACUUACAAACUCUUCCAAAAAUCAAAAUCUUUAUUUGGAAAGCAGUUAGAAAUUUUGUAGCUACAAAAGGAAACUUGCAUUUUCGGCAUAUAUCUCAGUCUUCUUUAUGUCCUAUUUGCAAUGCUUUUCCUGAAACAAUUGAACAUGUUUUGUUUACUUGCCCUUGGGUAGUUUGUGUUUUGUUUGCUCACCCUUUUGGCAUUCAUGUUCAAUGUUCUUAUAUUACUAUGUUGGAUGCUUGGAUUCAGCAACUUAUUAACUUGCGGAGUUCUGUUGCUGAUAUGAAGUUUGUUUGUACACAUAUUUCUUUCUUGCUAUGGAAUAUUUGGAAGCAUCAAUGUGGAUCCAUUUUCAAUCACUUCUCUCCGGAUCCAGUCUCGGUCUCAAAAUUAGCUUCACAGCAAGCAGAUGAAUUUUUAUCAGUUCAGAACAAGCAUCAUCGGAAGAAUUCUCACUUGGUGCUUGUUCCCUCUGCUUCUGAUAAUUAGAUUCCCCCUUCAGUUGGAACUUUAAAGAUUAAUACUGAUGCUACUUGGAGUUCAGAGUCUUUUAGUUGUGGUUUGGUAGCCCUACUUAGAGGCCUCGUUUGGUUUGCGGAAAGGAAAGUAGUUCCUUCAUCUCUCCCAUGGGAAGGGAAAGUGAACGGGAAUGAAAUUUCAAAAGAAGUUUUCAUUCCGAUGUUUGGUAACGNNNNNNNNNNNNNNNNNNNNNNNNNNNNNNNNNNNNNNNNNNNNNNNNNNNNNNNNNNNNNNNNNNNNNNNNNNNNNNNNNNNNNNNNNNNNNNNNNNNNNNNNNNNNNNNNNNNNNNNNNNNNNNNNNNNNNNNNNNNNNNNNNNNNNNNNNNNNNNNNNNNNNNNNNNNNNNNNNNNNNNNNNNNNNNNNNNNNNNNNNNNNNNNNNNNNNNNNNNNNNNNNNNNNNNNNNNNNNNNNNNNNNNNNNNNNNNNNNNNNNNNNNNNNNNNNNNNNNNNNNNNNNNNNNNNNNNNNNNNAAGUCGACAUCUGUUUAGUCUUUGUGGUUUUAUUUUAAUAGUUUUUCAUCCAAAUAAUCCUUAUGGUUUUAUUUUAAUCUGAAUAGUCCUUAAAGUCAUGAUUUUUUUAUCUAAAUAGUCAUUUCGGCAAUUUCCUUUAUCUAAAUAUGCCAUAAGAACUAUUUGGAUGAAAAAUCAUGACUUUAAAAACUAUUCAGAUUAAAAUAAAACCAUAAAGACUAUUUAGAUGAAAAAUCGUGACUUUAAGGAUUAUUCUGAUUAAAAUAAAACCAUAAGGACUAACCAGAUGUCGACUUUAAACCACAAGGACUAUACAAUAUUUUACCCAAAAUAUAAUCAUAACAGAUUACUGAAGAUGGAACCGAUUUCAAUAAAUAAGAAUACAUUGAUAUAUUCACAAGUACAAAUUAUAUAUCCAAAGAAAGAUGAAAGAUAAUUCCAGUAUUUCCGCCCGUUCUUACACAUAUGCACACAUGUAGCCAACCCUUUUCCCUUCUAUAAUCUCCGCACAAAUCUUUCUCUUCUGCUGGGACCUUACCAUUCGAUCUAGUAUCAAAAGCCAUCUUGUAAACUUUGAGGAAACAAGGGGGACUGAAACUCUAACCUAUAAUAUGGUCAAACACAAUAUUGGAGUUGGGUUCAUCUCAAAUGUUUGUAGCAACUGUAAGCAAUACCAACCGACACAGCAGCACAGACAAUAGCCAAAGCUGCAUAUGUAUCUUCCCGCUCCCAGCUCUCAGACCAUGUAGGCAUAGAGCAAAACUUCCGAGCGGAUGCAGCUUUCCCUCUAUGUGAAAGUGGUUUGCUGCUGCUCUUUUUCUUUUCAGAUGUCGCUUGUGUUGCCACCGCAUUUGAAUCAGGACUACUAAUCCUAUCUAUUAACAUAGUGCUCUGGCAGCACGAAUUACUUCCAUUCUCCUGGCAACAGCCUCCAAAUUCAUCUUGAGAUCUGCAUGGACCAGUAUUCAUCCCCCUUACAUUCGUUUGUGUCAGCUCUGUACUAGUUUUCUCCACAUUGGACUCGCCAUUAAGCUGGAGCCUUAAUUCUUGAGAUUUCUUUUGUUGUUCUUCCGAUAAACCCAUUUGACCCCUGAAAUAACACCAUAUAGUUUGUCACUACGUGUCAAAGAACUUACUAACAAGAAACACAUUUAAACAAGAAAAAAAUUUAGCUACUGCAAUUCAGCUAUGAAUAUCCAUCGGUUCAAGAGACUGUUCCCUUCCAUUUUUCAGUUUUCUACUAACAUUUACAUAGCUAACCAGUUUUGGUUAAGGUGCAAAAGAGGAAGUGAGGAGAACUUUGCCUAAGAUCCAAUUGUUAUCAGUAGUCUGAUUUGGAAACAUGAGAAAACGGCUUCCAUAGCAGCCUAGAAAUUAUGACACACAACUAAAACUGAAAAAAGAAAAAGAGAAAAAGGACUACCUCCACAGCCAGUCUACAAUUUCUCCUCUCCCAAUAUGUUGCUCAAGCAAUUGAGGUACAUCUUCUGGAGCAACAUAUCCAUACCUAUGAGAAAUAGAAUGAUCAGAUAGCUCAUAUAUCAUUAUGGUAAAUAAUAGAACUGGAUUACAGUACGAAGCCACUGGAAAUGAGAACCGCAAAAAGAAGAAAAAGUUAAAUGACUUGGGGCACAAACUUCCGUACCAGUGGCCAGUGACUUCUUUGUUGAUACUUGAUCCAAAUAUAAUAACAUUUCCUGCAUACUUAUGCCCCCCAAUGUGAGAACAUGGCCUAACAGACACUUUACCUUGUAGACCAUGCAAAUCUAUCUCUUCUCUGAAUCUACUGAUCAAGGGAGGUCCACAGACUCCACAACGGCGAUCCCUGGACCCAUGAGAACAUACAAAUACGUAUGAACCCCUCAGAGUUUCAGGAGUUCCAGGCAGCCACUCACCAUCCUUCACAAGAACUUCUUCAACGAAUGUGUCAACAUCAAAAUGUGUCAAUCUCCUGCAAUGUUUCCAACCAGUCGGUCAGUAUUAAUUUUAGGGACAACAGACCUCAAGAGAAUAUUAUCUAAAGAAACCCUCAUGUAGCAAGUAAAUGACCUGUAUCUGAUCAUGUCGGGGAAUAUUAAUACAUCACCAUUUGACGUCUCAGUUCCAUCAUGCCCUUCACAUAUUGUUAAGCGAGUCUACAAGAGGAAAGAGAUGAAUCAAUGGAUGAAAAUGAAUCAGCUGAAAUUAUAUAACCACUUCCGGAAAAGACGUGAAAAGGAAAUAAGCUGAGAGUUAUGACAUGCUGUUUCAAGUAACAUGCAAUGCACGGCAAAUAAACACUCUGGCUAUGAGACUUAUCCCCUACCAGAUUUUCAUAGAUUUAUUCAUAACAAAACAGACUGCAUAUCAAUGUACUGAACAACUACCCUUCUAAUGGACGUAUUUGCAGCAUUUCAUAUCCUUAGAAAGAGAGGUAUACUGAAAUAGUAUCUAGACUAGUAUCCCGACCAUCUAUCCUCAUUAUAAUGAUCUGCAAAGGUGAAUGUUGACUAGGAAACUAAUAUGCCAUCAUCUUACAAGCGUAAACCAUGUUUUUGACGUGACCAAGAACAACUAAAAGGAGAAGAAAAAGAAGAAGAUAACUCAAUGUCAUAGAUCUCUCUUGUUGAAAUAAUUAUACUAAACAUCUUGUACUUGGGUCAAAAUCCCCAACUUUCCAUAAUAUCCUGUAACAUGACACAAAUGCAUAGUUUUACUUAUAUCCGUAGUUAUACUCUUUCAAAACGGCUUUUGAUUCAAACACCACAACCAAAAUCAGAAAAAGGAAAAAGAUGCAUUUUCAGAAUCCGAAACACCCUCCUUCAACAACCCUAAAUACCUCAUCAAAAUGAACCUCAAAUCUAAUCGAAUCCAACAUCUAGCAACCUCCAUCAAAGAACAAUCAAGUUUCCAUCACACCAAAAUCACAAAACCACUCCAAAAGGACAUGCUACCAAACCAGUCUUAGAAACCAAGAAAUCCACACAAAACCCACAUUCCAAUCCACCAAAAUUCAAAACAAAGAAACCCACAUUCAAAAGCAAAAACCUUUAAAACCCCCCACAAACAAACCCUAAACCAAAAUCCCCCCAAAAUCGAAAACCCUAAACUUAUAAAGCUCACACCUUUAACAUGAUUCCUCACAAUCCAACCCCUACCCACUUCAAUUCAAUUCCCCACAUUACAACCCCAAACCCUCAUUACCUCUUUCCUCAUAUCACCCCUCCUCGCCAUCACCGCCGCGUACAGCAGCCUCGGCAGCCGAUCAAACUCCGCCGCCUCGAUCCUCGGCGGCCACACCGCCGGGUUCUUGUAGCACAAAAACACAUGCCUCUCGUAAAACUCCACCGUCCCGGCGAGUUGACUCGUCCGGAACUCGGCUCUCAAGAACCCGAACUCCGCCUCGCCGCCGCCGCCGCUGUUGUUGUCGGCCAGGAGGCCCUCGUUCUGGAAGCUCCCGGAGGCGCUGCUGCCGCCGAAGGCGUGGUGCGGGUUCGGGUCAGAAGCGAGCGGGUCGGAUAUGACAAUCGGGGAGGAGGAGGACGACGGGGCGGCGAAUAAUGAGAGGGAAGAAGACGACGCGUCGUAGGUUCGGUCUCUGGCCGCCGUAGCCAUUUUAGAGAGAGAGAGAGAGAGAGAGAGAGAGAGAGAAAGUAAAGGUUUGAGUGAGAGUAUUUGUUGUUGUUUACUUCCAGUGGUAGUGGGAAGGUGGAGAAGUAGGAGUGGGUCUUUCUCUCUUCUCUUUCUCUACUACUACUAGUAGUGAGAAGAAUGGACUUUUGGUUCGACCCCAAGUUUGGGGAAGUUACGACACGUGCUUUUAUUAGGUGUAUUUUUGUACUCUCUCUCUCUCUCCUCCUCAGUUUCUCACACCACCCACACUGCGGUGCUUUAUUACCAUUUUAUGCUUCUACCCUCUGCAGGCAACAUUCAAAGGCUCUCAUGUAUCCGCUUGUCGUUCGAGACAAAAAAAAAAAAAUUCUUCUAACAAGGACUCUUAAAUUGAGGACUAAUCGAAAACUUUUUAGCUUAUCUCACUUCAUGCAUACUACAUCGAAGGUGAGUGUAUGCAUAUAGAUUUUUCAUUUCUAAAGUCCAUUUUGAUAAUUAGAUGGUGUUUUAGAGUAUUGAAAUUUUACAUACAUUUGAGCCGUUAGUGUACUCGGUACUAGCGGCAUUGAACUACUCUGUGACUCUGUAGUGACAUUGAACUACUCAUAUGCGCUUGUCAUUCUAGGAAAGAAUACGACGAGGGUGAGGAGUCCGACGGCAUUGAACUACUCUGUGACUCUGUAGUAAAUGCACUUGAAUGGUUUUCAUUCAAUGCAUAGAUAAAGGGGGGAAAGGGGGGAAGAAUGUGAUGCACAAUGAAGAGUAGGAGAGUCGAGACUACAUUUUCUAAUAACCGAUAAUCCAAGAAUUGUUGCAAUAUACAAAACCACACGCUCUCUCGAGUUACAUACAGCCAAGCUCAUUCAAAGCUUUGUUAAUGCAGACACAGUGACACACCCAAACUUGCUCUAGCCUUCAAUGUUUCAGAGUAGUUCCAUGAUUUGUUACACAUACACACACGUAUCAAAGGGGUCUCUCGCCCGGGAGAUAAGAAGGAGAGCCGCCCUCAAUCUGGUUCCUUUUCCUAUUAAACAUGCCGGUGAGAGUUGGCAAUAGUAUCUUUUUCGACAUAGAUGUCUUUGAUUUCUCCAUCUUCCGGACCUGGACAGUUUUCGUCUGGGGGUUCUGCGUUUGAAUCCUGUAAUGGCGUGGGGAUGAUUCCACUGACGUCUCUGUUUCUGCCAAUAUCCGUGAGGCAGCAUCUGCUGCUUUCUUUUGCUCGCGUUCCCGCCACCUUCGGAGCUCUCCUUCUACUGCCUUUUUGGCUGCUUCAGCCAUUUCAGCCCUCUUUCUAGCCUCCUCAGUUGCAGCCUUCAUAUCUUCAAUCUCCUUCUGGGUUGCCUCUAACCUCUUCAAGGCCUCAUUUUCACUAGCCUUCACAGCUUCCACCUGAGCCAUAGCAGCAGCCACUCUCAUUUCAGCUAAUGUGUCGGACUCCUCAACCUUUCGGCUCAAAGACUCAAAUUCAUCCUUUGAUAUAGUGAUCUGGCCACCAGACUCAGAAGUUGAUGCGCGAGCAGCGUUAGUUCUCUCGGAUAAAGUUCUAAUCUGAUCAAGGGCCCUUUCUUCUGCUGAUUUAGCUUCUUCAGCUUCUUCCAGAGCAACUCUCAGCCUCUUCUCUGCCUCUUUUACAGCGGUUUUGGUACUUUCAGCUUCCUUUUUCAUUUCCUCCGCUUUAAUCUUCAUCUCUUCUGCAUCCCGUCGAGCAUUUUCAAUUUCCAGGGACAGCUGGUUUAGCGUUGCUAUCAUUUCAGUGGAAGCACCUCUAGCUUUAGAUUCUUCAGCUAGGCAUGCUUCAAGCUCAGUCUUUGUUUUCCGCAGUUUGACAUGUAAAUUCCCAGCAAUAGAUUCUGUUUCUGCUUCCUUUUCCUUGAGCUCAGCAUGCUCUUUCUUCACAUUCUCAAUUUCCACCUUAAGCGCCUCAACUAAAAUUCUGAGGCUGCUUUCUUCUUCAACAACUUUAUGCAGUGAAUCCUUAGCAUCAUCCAGCUCCGAAGUGACUGUUCUUACAGAAUCUAAAUCUGAAGCCUUUUCAUUCUCCAUUUGCUUUUGCAGGGCUCCAAUUUCAUUCAACGUUUCAGCAAGUUGUGCUUCAAGAUUUCUGGAAAUUUCUGGAUCAAACUCUUUUUUUAGAGAAAGCACUUUCUUUGCAGAGUCUUCUGCCGUAGCCUUAUAUGCUUGCCUCAGGACAUCCUUUUCGGAAAAUAUUUUUGCUUGCUCUUGCUGGGCUUCCACAGAUGCGAGCUUCACUUGCCCUAUUGAUUCAUGCACAGCUGCAAUUUCCUUAGAGAGCUCACUAACCCUCUCCGCAUUUGCUUUGGCUGCAUCUUCAGCUUCUGCUGCCUGCUUCAGGGCAGCAACUUUUGCUUCUAAAGAUGCAUCACAGUCCUGACGGAUUUUUGUCAACUCUUUCUUUGCAGCAUCAAGUUCAGUAAUUACAUUCAUGUAUUUUGCUCUUUCUGUUUCCAAAUCUUGCUUCCAAGCACCAUCAGUUCCAGCUAGGUUCCCACAGUUUGCUUCUUUGAGUUGCUUGGCCCGAUUUUUUGCAGCUUCUGAUGCCUUUACUGCAGAUUCUUUAGAUUCACCAAGAGAUGUCAGCUUCUUAGUCAGCUCUUCACGAGUUACCUUGGCCUUUGCAAGCUCCAUAAGUGCUUGGGCUUUAGUAGUUUCAGCAUUCAUUAGUUGUUCCUUCAACUUGUUCAAUUCUUUCUGGACCAGGUGAAGCUGUGUCUCGUUGGCUAUCACUCGCUGCAUUGAAAACAACAAGUGUUAACAGCUUCCCACAAGAAAAAUCUGGAUAUUUUUAAAAGUAUCGGCAUUAACUAAAAAGUCGCUAUGAUUUUGAGUUGAACGAGACUAUAUCAUUCAUAUCCAUAAAAACAAACUACGAAUUCUUUCAAGCAGCAGGUUCCAUCUCAAUAACUUUUAUAGACAGCUGAAAAUAUUAUGAGUUGUAACUAUUUGGGUGGGAAGGAAGCUGCAUACAUGCCCUUAAAUCCACAAAGAAAAACUUGAGCACGGAAUGAUCUUAACACUUCUUUUACUUUAACAACAAUUGUUUUCUAGUUCUUCUUCAAAAAUGGACAAAAAGUUGCUUUAAUUAAUGUGACAACAGGAUUAGCCAAGUUGCAAAUGCUUGCCAAUUUAAAAUAUAGAUGUCACAUUAUGUGGUGUACAAAUACCUCUGCUGACUGAGGCUUUGUCUUCCUAAUGGCAGGUUUCUCUCCAGAGCCAGAGAACGCACCCUCGCCAAAUAGUGAUACAGCAUCUUUAACGGAUUGGAAUGGUGCCCUAGUGUCAAUCUCUCCCACCUCCACUUUAGGACUAGGAGAGUUUGUGGCACUCUUGUGGUCUUUUGCAACCAUACUGCUCUGUUUAUUGUAAUACCUCUGAUCCUGGUUUUCUGAAAAAGUAAUAGAAUAACACUUUAAAAUGUAAUCCAAUGAAAAGGAGCAAGGAUAAUCGCCAAUUGCUACCAACAACACGUCUCAGCCUACCAAACAUACAAUUUACCCAACCCUCAUUUAGCAUUCAUACAAACAACACAGGCAAGACACAUGCAUCAUAGGAUAUGAUUAGAAGGCUAAAACGGCAGACACAAAUUCCCACUAACCCAAACUACAUUGACACUAUGAAAUUUGCAUAGACUCUCACUCUAUGGUUGGAGAUGACAACAUUUGAUACUGAAAAUCCAUGUGAAAUUGGAAUAUAAACUAGUACUGGGCCUUGUCAAACCUCUUGCACCUUUUAUACUUCGUUAAGAAACCAAACAGGAAAGUUGAAACACCAGAAAGAAAUCAUGACUCAAUUCUACAGAAGCAUUUUCAUAAUGCACACUCACAACUAAGCAAGGUAAAGAAGAAUAUGAUAGCCUCAGUGUUUAAUAAGUUCUCUUCCUCACAUUACACCCAAUUCUACCCCACAGUCUCACUACCAUUUCUAUUCAACUCAUAAACAGCACAAAGGCCACCACCAAAGAGUUCAAGGCCACCCAACACCACCAUAUAAGGUUUAACAACUGCUAACUGCAAAAAGGUUAACGGCACAAGGAAAAAGCUGAGUAAGCUCAAACAAAUCAACCCAACAGCACAUUUUGCCAGUAGCAUUUCCCAGAACUAGUUCUCGAAGUUUAACAAACAACAGCAAAGCACAACACACUUUAUACCCGAAAAUGAAACAGAGAGAAAGAAAAGGAGCCAAUUCAAUUUUCAAAGGACAAUAUAACACGGCUAGUCUACGCUUCACCAACACCUAGUUCUCAAAUAUUCAUAUGAAAAACUAUAAAUAUUCAGCCGAACUCUUUAAUCAUGAGACACACACCUUUUCUAUGACAGCAAAUCCUUCAAGAAAAUGGUCCCAAAAAAAUGAUUCACCAACAUUAAUAAUGAAAACUCAAGCACUCAUACAAUUCAAUUCCAAAAACACUAAAAUAAGAAAGCACCUAAAUAAUCAAAAACCCAGAUUUCUUACUACCCACAACAGUAAAUCAGACUCAUAAUGCAACCAAUCAGUGCCAUCAAACAAAGCCCCCCAAAAAAAAGGUAAAAACUUGAAACCAAGAAAAGGGUAAAAAUUUCUUACUCAGAAACCCUAAUCAAAGCCACAAAAUUCACACAACCGCAAACCCUAAAAGCUCGAAACCGGAGCUCCAGUCGGACCAGACCCAAAAACAAGAGUGACCAUGUUCACCGAUCGUCUUGUUCUGACAAAAAGACACAGACCCUUUGAAAUUGUCGACCGGAAAAGCAAAACCCACCGAUCAAAUCCCUCAAUCGCCAAGAAAGACUCGAGCUUUCUCGGCAAAGAUUGCUUUUUUAUCUGUGCAAGAAAACUGAGAGGGAAAAAGGAGCAAUCUUUGAGGGCUUGGAUUAUGAAAUGGGUCUUUGGCUGGACAACAGAAGCGGGUAGAGAGAGAGAGAGUGUUGUAGAGAGAGAAAGAGAGAGGUUUGAAAAUUCGAAAGCUGGUUGGAGACAAAGUUUAUAUCAGACUGACUUGGUGCUGAGAAAAGGAGAGAGAGAUGGGAGCAGAAUCCCGUGGAAUAUCUUGUCGUUACCUGUGCUCUCUUAAUGUGGUUUCCUGGUAGGACAUUUUUGCCCUUCGUGGCGAGUCCGGUAAAACCGAAAAUCGAAAAACUAAUGGACUUAGAACCGGACUUAAUCGUACUAAAACUUGACAUAUUUUCGUUUGUUCAAAUCGAACCGAGCUCAUCUGAACUCGACUUGGCUCUAAUUUUUGAAAACGAAUCGUUUUAGAUAUAUGUCACGAUCUUUCUAAAAUUCGAUUAAAUAUGUCGGUAAACUCUAGAAAAAAAAAAAUUAGAGUUCUAGUAAUAUCGUGUUAUUACGUGAUCUAUAUAUAAGUUUUCUUACUAUAUCUAUUGUUGUAGCAUUACAAACAUUAUAUACCUAAAACAAAUCGAAGAAUAUAUUGGCCGUCAUAUUUGAAGAUACGGUUGCUCGAUGCAAUAAGUGACACCACUCGAUAGCUACUAGCUCACUAAAUCGAGAACCUAGAAAACAAUGGUUCCCAAAACCAAAUCAAAUGACAAAAACUCAAAAUUUUGAGCUCAAAAUAAUGAACUAAACUAUUGUACCUUGCAGACCAUUUUGCCCAUCUUGAAAGAAGUACAAUGGUUUGAAGCAACCGAUGAUGGGAGCAUUGUACAAGUGGCACCGUCCAAAAGAGAAAGAGACGGCUUUAGUUGGCUUGUGAAAAUGGGAUUGUGGAUAGGCCUUUUGCAGUUUUGCCUUUUAGUUGUUUUCUUUCUAGUUCAUCUGCUCAAAUGUCACACCAUUAUUUAGUCUUUUUUCUCAUAUGAUGUGGAUGUGGGGUUUUGGAUAAAUAUCUUAUUUGUGGUUGACCUGAAAAUUGACUAGCAUCAUGGGCAUGCAUAUUCAAGGGACUUUCAGCGUUAGAGCAAUAGAAAUUAAUCUUUUGCUGAAUUUCGAUAAAAUUGAAAUGUUUUUAACUAUAUGUUGCAACACAAUAUAUAGUCACUUUGAUCGAUUCGUGAUUUGAACGCGGGUUGGGUAAGAUUGUGUUUUUUUUUUUUUUUUGAAAGGCAUUGUGAUUGUAUGUACUUAUUUAUAACCUAAUUAAAUUCAGACAUUAAUAAGGAUAACCAUAUUGGUCCAACAUGACUGAUGUAACUGUCCAAAAAUCAUAUUAUUAGUUAAGACAUGAAAUAAAUUCCAAGAAAAUAAUUCCAACACGUCCAGAUAUUAGUUGUGGGCAACUACUAAAGGUAACGGAAAGAAGAACAAUUUAAUUGGGCCAACAAGAAGAGGCGUCAUUUUCAUUUCAAAAGAAAAAAAAAAACAACAGCAGCUAAGGGCUUUAUGAACGCAUGGGCUGUUUUGGGGUAAAACUAACUAGGUAGAUUUUUUACCUUUGAGUAUGGACGUGGUUCAGCUUUCACCAGCACGGGCGAACAUGUUUAUACCAAUGCAAAUGAGCAAUGUAUUCAACUAUUCAUACAACAAACGAAAUUAUGAUGUUGUUAUUCAAAUUUACCCGUGAUCUUAUUUCGUGAUAAAAUUUAUUUCCGAGCCUCCUAAACAAGUAAACGUCAUAUAACAAUGAGUCUUGUGUAUGUUUGGCGAAAACAUAUAAUGGGAAUUGUGGUUAAAUUCAUCUAAUACAACUGCUCCUACAAUUAACUUAUUUUUCUCUAGUGACACACUACCACAUAUGGUUUGAACUUUGAAGGGUCGAUGGCAUAGGGUUUAGCACUUUAGGCCUUUAGGGCUUCUUGUGGAGUUGUUUGUGAUGGUGUAUCCUGCUUCGGCCCAUAUUCCUUUUUGGGUUGGCAUUUAUUACCUCGGUCCAUAUCUUCUUUGGUUACAUGUAUUUGCUUUUGGCCCAUAUAUUUUUACUUGCCCAAAUCAAAUUUUUGGAGGCCCAAAAUUUUGACACACCCAAAUCGAAUCUAUAACUGAAGCUUCUUUUUUUUCUUUUUUUCUUUUUUUGGGUCUGAUAUCACUCUGAAAGUCUGAAGCUUUCACAAAGCGGUUAGAGUCGACACGUUGGCUGCUGACGUGACACGUGGACGGUUUUCUAUAUUCUUAUGAUAAGAACUGGAGCCCUAGGCCCUAGCUACAUAACACGUACGUAACUACGUACUCCCUCGACUUUCAGUAAGCUUCAACAAAAAUGGCAAGCAUCAAAGAAGAAAACAACCUCCACCACGGGGCACCAUCAGAAGGGUUAGAGCGAGCAAACGGACCACCUGAAGUGGUGGCAGAAGUUACCGGCGGGCUGUUGCAGUCGCAGCGCGAUCGAUUUUGUGAGACAACAGAGCAUAGAGUGGGGAAUGAUAGCGAUGAUGGCUCGGCUGAUGUUGCCGACUGUUGCGGUUCGAGCCAGCAAGCAGACCACUUCAAAUGUGUCCACGCGGUCACUGAGCGAUCCAAAUGAAUCAAAUGAUCGAUGGCCUAUAUAUGAGGGUGAUCGAGGGUGAGAUAUUUAGCUCGAUGUGGUGUUGCUAGCUCAUCCCACAUAUACAUGUCUUUGUUAUUCACUUAUUUGUAUGUUCUUUUGUGUUCGAUAUCUUUUGGUUCGAGUCUUAAUUUCCAGCCCUACUAUACGACAUACGUGUUGUAGUUGUAUGAGAUAUGUACCCACCAAGAUGUUAAUUUACUGUACUUUCUUACCAAAUUAUACGUUGUACCAUAAGUUCUUGAUCAUUGACUCCUUGUAUAUCAAAGUUCCAAAUAAUUGAAAGUAUGAAAAUUAACAUGGUCCUGCAUAUCCAUCUUUCAUUAUCGAUAUGAUUUGUGUUUUGACUAAUAUUUAUUAGGUAUCAAUACGAAUACGACUCAUGUUUUGAGAUUAUUUGAGUGUCUUAAUGUUUUAAGAUUAUUUGAGUGUUCAGACAUAAGAUAUACAAUUCGGGUUCUAAUUAACAUAAGAUAUUAUUUGUGUUUUACAACUACUGGUAGUAAGAUGUUAUUUUCUAUAAUUGAAAUAGUUUAGGUGUUCGGUUAUAUAUAAAAUAUACCAACGUGAAGUGUUAUUUAUAAUUACGGUAUUACCGGUACAAUUCGUAUUAAACAUUGGGACAUAAAUCGAGUUAUAUGGAGUAGUAGCUUGCCAGGGUUUGGUUUUGAAGACAUAUGUAUGUGAUUUUGCAGUGUGUUUGAACAUAAUAGUCGAUCUGGUGCUUUCCGGCAUCUUGAAGUUGUGACCGGUACCGGACGGUCUUCUCUAACUUUGAAAGUUUGAAUGAUAGAUGACAGAGGAGACAAAAACUAUACCCUCUCGAUCAGAGCUAGGGUCCCCACUCCAUAUCAGGCUUAUCAGCCGCUUAUGACGUCGGGAUUAAAAUCCUUGGCUGGCCAGAUCGAGAACUGACUUUGACCACCUCGUCGGUUUGUAUUUUUGUCCCGAAACGGAUUAGAAUAUAGUUGCCGGUCGGAAUCAUGCUCUUUGUUGUGAUCUACUGUCGACUUGAUUAUUAAGAGUCACCUUCAUUCGCAUGGACAUAUUCGCUUUGGCCCGACCAACAUAUAUGCGCCACUAGAAACAGUAUGAUUGGCUUUGCCAUAGAAAAAAAAAAAUAUUUGAUCAGAUCUCGAAUUCUCCAUCCCAUUUAAAAUUUGUAAUACACUACUCGGGUCAUAUAGUCUAUGUUCGUGAUGUUUUCUACUACAAGAUUAUCAUCACGUAAGAUAUAACACUAAUUAUCAGAUGUAAAAGUUAAAAGAGUUAUAAAGAAAAACAUUUUAGACAACUCAAGAUUAGCAACAAAGUCUUAGACGUCGAAGCUACCGAGUAUUCAUCUUGCCACACACGACUUUUAAGGAGUUGGCCGGUGACCUUCAUGUGCAAAAACGCAUGUCGCAAAGUUUGUCUCUGUAUAGACCUGGUUUUCUCACCCGUGUUACGGAAAUCAUUUUUGCUGUCUGUCACUAGGGUACAAUGGGCGGUGAGUUUUGAUGAUACAUGCUAGAGGUUGUAUUCGAUGUUGCAUAUGCAAUAUUUCUUCAACGUACAAAGAUACCUUAACCGGAAAACGUCAUACAGUUACUCGAAAUUAUAGCUUUCCUUUCUCAUUUCUUACCAUAUUGUCUUUCUCUUUCUGAACAAGACCAAGGAAUCAUGUGGAGGUGCUGUAACCUCUGGCUACCUGAUCUACACGACACCUUACAUUCUUGAAGUAACUCUGAUCGUUAGUAGGCCGCCAUUAUAAAUAUAUAUCCAGUUAUCCAUAAUCCAUUGUUUAUUAAUUCAGUGGAGGUACGUUGUUGGAUGUGUAGUUAUGCUUGGUUUGACACAGGACAACAUAUUAGCCUCUACUUUCGUUUUCUGCCUCUACCUUCGUUUAUAUAUGUGUAGCUACACAUACACAGUGAGAGAGAGGGAGAGAGAGAGAGAUGGGGAAGAAGGAAGGUGGAGAAGGAGAAGAGGGUAGUACUACUACUCUUCCUUUGUUUGAGAGCAAAGCAGCGAGAUAUAGAGGUGCUUAUAGGGCUUUUGCAGCAACUAUAUUUGUGGGUGUGUGUUUGAUAUGGGUGUACAGACUAGUAAACAUCCCAAAAGCUGGAGAGAGAGGAAGAUGGGCUUGGAUCGGUAUGAUCAUAGCCGACGUCUUGUUCGGUCUGUACUGGAUCACCACUCAGUCUGUUCGCUGGACUGUCACUUAUCGUCAACCUCUCAAGAACAGACUCUCACAGAGGUUUACUAGCUUCUUAUAUAUAUUGAUCUUCUAGUUCAUACAUACGAAUGGUAGUGUAAAACAGUAACCAGUAUUAGAAAGGAUUUGUCUGAAAGAAAAGAAGAACAAGUUAAGUUUGCAUUCGUAUAGAGAAGUGACAUUUCUGUGUGAAGUAUGCUUAAAAUUUCAAAAUUUACCUGAGACUUUGAGUUGCUUACUUUGGGUUUAUAGAAAUCUUUGUUUGUGUUAUGCAGAUAUGAGGACAAGUUACCAGGUGUUGAUGUGUUUAUAUGCACUGCAGACCCGAAAAUGGAGCCGCCAAGUUUAGUGAUUAACACUGUGUUAUCAGUUCUGUCCUGCAAUUUCCCAUCUGAGAAGUUGAGCGUUUAUCUUUCUGAUGAUGGCGGUUCUGAGAUUACUUUCUAUGCUCUUUUGGAGGCGUCUCGGUUCUCGAAGUAUUGGAUACCCUUUUGCAAGAAGUUCAAGGUUGAACCGAGGGCACCGGAGGCCUACUUUGCCCUGCAUUCUGAUGUUCAUGACAUCAAGUAUGGUCAAGAAUGGCUUGACAUGAAGGUCAGUACUGUCAUCUGUGAAACUAGAAGAACAAGGUUAAUGUUUUCACUUCUUUGAUUUUGUUGAAAGAAUGACUAAUUGAUUCACAUUUGUAUGAUGUUGAAGAAACUUUAUGAUGAAAUGAAAAAUCGGAUCGAUUCUGUUGUUGAAAGUGGCAAGAUACCAGAAGAAACAAGGAUUCAACACAAAGGGUUCUCAGAAUGGAACCUUAAGGUAGCAAAGAAUGAUCAUCACUCAAUUGUGCAGGUAUAAAAUUCUUGAAUGAAUUGAUCUUAAUUUGUCAGUUUUUGUCAGUCCUGUAUUUGUUUCAUUGCUCUGCCUCUGAUUUCUGUUGAAGAUUAUAAGUGAUGGAAGAGAUACAAAUGCCGUGGACAAUGAUGGAUGCCGAUUACCAACCAUCGUGUACAUGUCAAGAGAGAAGAGACCCCAACAGCCACACAACUUCAAAGCUGGAGCCAUGAAUGCACUGGUUAGCUUUAGCUUUCUUUGCUUAUUCCAAGUGUCAAGUGGUUUUAACUUGAAAUUUGCAAGUAACAUGUAACUGAAAAGGCAAUUUCCUUUCUAUAGUUGAGAGUAUCAUCACAGAUGAGCAACGCGCCCUUUAUUCUCAACUUGGACUGUGACAUGUACGCAAACAACGCAGCCGCAAUACGAGAGGCACUCUGCUUCUUCCUUGAUGAAAAGACUGGCCACGAGACAGCUUAUGUGCAACAUCCGCAGAACAACAACAAUUUGACCAAGAAUGAUAUCUAUGGAAAUGCUUGCUAUGUAACUAAUGCGGUGAGUUAUGUAGACCAUGGCUCUAACUGCCUAUUUCCUUUCAAGUUAGGACUAAUAAAAGUAAGCUGAAGAUCUUGCACUUAAACUAACAAAUUCUGAUUUAUGGAACAAGAUUGAACUGGCCGCUUUAGGUGGAUAUGGAGCGGCCUUGUAUUGUGGCACUGGAUGUUUCCAUCGAAGAGAGUGUCUUUGUGGGAAGAAGUAUUCAAAGGGUUAUAGAGAAAAAUGGGACAUUGAGGACCAGAAGAAUACUAUUGAUAAAAGUAUCCUAGAACUGGAAGAAUCUGCAAAACCACUUAUCGAUUGUAGCUACGAAAAGGGCAGUCAAUGGGGAAAAGAGGUCUCUUUCUCUGUUUCUCUCUUUUCUGUCACAAAUUCUAAACGUAAUGACUAAUGAUGAAAUAUUUGUUAUGGCUACAGAUGGGACUGAUCUAUGGAUGCCCUGUCGAAGAUAUUGUUACUGGUUUGGCAAUACAAUGCAGGGGUUGGAAAUCAGUUUAUUACAAUCCAGAAAGGCCUUCCUUUGUUGGUGUUGCUCCAAACACCCUAGAGAUAGCACUUGUUCAACAGAAGAGGUGGUCUGAGGGAAUGUUUCAGGUAUUUUUCUCCAAGUAUUGCCCUUUCAUAUAUGGACAUGGGAAGAUACACUUUGGUGCCCAAAUGGGAUACUGCAUCUACCUUCUAUGGGCUCCAGUUUCAUUCCCAACUAUGUAUUAUGCAAUUGUUCCUCCUCUUUGCUUGCUACAUGGCAUUCCCUUGUUCCCCAAGGUACCUCUUCUCACUCUUUUAUCUUGAUGAACAUAAGAUUUGUUUAGCCAAUUGAGCAUCAGAAUUUAAGGGCGGAUUCUAACAUGAAACAGUAAUGCAAAAUGAAUUUAAGCCAAUUCAACACUAGCUGUGGUGUUUAAAAUGGGAAAUUUUAAUUUAUCUUUCAGGUUUCAAGCCUAUGGUUUCUAGCAUUUGCUUAUGUUUUUGUAGCAAAGAAUGCAUACAGCAUAGUUGAAUUUGUGAUGUGUGGGGGUAAACUGCAAGCAUGGUGGAACUUACAAAGAAUGUGGCUGAUCCGGCGAAUUACUUCUUACUUCUUUGCCUUCUUCGACACCAUAAAGACACAAUUAGGGCUAUCUGAAACACACUUUGCCCUCACCGAUAAGGUUGUCACCGAGGAUGUGUUAAAGAGGUACGAGCAAGAGAUUAUGGAGUUUGGAAGCUCAAGCAUUAUGUACACUGUAUUGACAACAACGGCAUUGCUGAGCUUGGUAAGCUUAGUUUGGGGGACAAAGAGGGUUGUGAUGGAUUUAGAGUUGAAGGCCUUAGACCAGUUCAUCAGUCAAGUUAUUCUUUGUGGCAUAUUGGUUUUGAUCAAUGUACCAGUGUAUGAAGCUCUCUUCUUUCGCAGUGAUAAGGGCCACAUACCAUCCUCUGUCAUGUACAAAUCUGUUUUUGUGCUCUCAUUGGCAUGCUUGAUGCCUAUAUAGUAGGAAAGCUUGCGCAAAGAUUGAAUAAUAAUCAUGGUGCAAAUGAGCAUUCCCCUUUCGGGUAAUAUCCUUAAUAUUCCUAGACUAUUUUUUAUUUUAUUAUUUUGUUCAAAGAAUUGAACAUUUCGAAGAUUAACUUUUGAGUCCUUGUUUUAGUUCAACCUCGAUCAUUUCGCAGUUCCUAGCUCCUCAAAAUUUAGACCGUAAAUUUAUUCUUAGAGCAUGUUAUAUUUAGGUUGAAUCGAACUUCAAAAGACAAAUCUGGCAACUCUAUUUGAGUUUGAUUAAAAGAAGUUUGAUAUUUGAUUUGGAGGAAAAAUGUAGGACUUUUGAAGAUACCCAAACGGUCUAAUUUAUUUCAACCUCUAUUUUUUUUUUUAGAGAAUUGAAAUUUACAUUCCUAUUUUUACAAUCCACACUCAUUUCAUUCCGUUUUUUAGUAACUUAAGUAUUGUCUUUAGUAUGUGUUUUGUCUUAUAUAAAAACUUUAUACUAAAAAAAAGAAAAGAAUAGUGUGGAUUGUAAAAGAAUGAGUGCAAAUUUAAUUUUUCUUUAUUUUUUUAAUUUUUAUAUAUACAUUUAGGUAAAGAACCCUAUUGUGUUUUUAGGCUAAAUAAUAUCACCAUGAAGUGAUGAACUAUAGCAGUGUGGUAACUGGUAGUUGAUGCAUGUAUCAAUCAACCAAACCAAGCAAAAUAGGCAAACUGGUUGCCUGGUUGGUUAUGGCCGGAAACAGAACGCAAUCAAAGGUGAUGCAUGGAUGAUAUCAUAGAGAGCUAAGUCGAUCAAACCUUGUGGGCAGUUGACAACCAGAUCAAAUUGAUUUCAUAAGGGAUGACAAUUAUAGAACCCCUUUUGGAAUAAACUUUCAAAUAUUGAAUAUUCAAACCAAUAAAGCAGAAAUGGACAAAAUGCAAGAGUGCUACCUGAGUUUGAUUCAGACAUACACUAAAAUAGUUUAAUGUAAUUAUUAAUAUAUUUCUCAGAUAUGAUAAAGAUAUAGCAGCCAUAAAAGAACAAAGAAGAUGAAAAGAUUCCUUACUGAACCAUGCCAAAUGUCAUUGUCAUUGACAUAUAUGCUCAAACAAGUAUAUAUAUGAUAUAUGUCCCUGAGAUAAAAACAGAAAAGCUGAGAAAGACAGAACAGAGAGAUCUGAAUUGGAUAGAUAUGGGAGAGGGAGGGAUCAAUUCACCAUUGUUUGAGACGAAGAGGGCCGAGGGUAUAGUUCUGUAUAGGCUUUUUGCUGCGUCUAUUUUCGUGGGUAUAUGUUUGAUUUGGGUUUACAGAGUGAGUCACAUACCAAAAGCUGGAGAAGAUGGAAGGUUUGGUUGGAUGGGUCUGCUGGCUGCUGAGUUAUGGUUCGGGUUUUACUGGCUCCUCACUCAAGUCUCUCGGUGGAACCGCGUGUAUCGGCACACCUUCAAGGACAGGCUCUCGCAGAGGUACGUUUAGCAAUCAUGUCGAUGUUAUAAUUAGGAAAAGUGUUAGAAUGUACUUUUAGGCAUAUCAAUGACACUAUAUGUAAUGAGAUUGCAAAUCAGUUUCAUAAGUUGGGGUACGUAGUAAUACUAUGAAUGCUAUAAAUUGGUUCUCAUUCUCUGGAACAGAUAUGAGGAAGAGUUGCCGGGAGUGGACAUAUUCGUGUGCACGGCGGAUCCAACUAUAGAGCCGCCGAUAAUGGUUAUAAACACUGUUUUAUCAGUAAUGGCUUAUGAUUACCCACCGGAGAAGCUCAGUGUGUACCUGUCCGAUGAUGGUGGAUCGGAACUUACAUGCUAUGCUCUAUUGAAAGCUGCGGAGUUUGCUAAGCAUUGGAUACCAUAUUGCAAGAAGUACAAUGUGGAGCCAAGGUCACCUGCAGCUUAUUUUGCCUCACAGGCUUCUGAUAAUGCAGGGGAUCUCACUCUCAUCAAGGUACUAAUUGUUAAUAAGUCGUUGACUCCUUAUAAUGGGGUCUAAAUCAGAGUUGGUCAUAUAUAUCAUGCUGCGAGAUUCCAAUGUCCCAAUUUCGAAAGGAUAAGAUAAACAUAGUGUCCACAGUUUAAAAGUCAACAAUUAUUUGCUUUUAUUUAUUUUUAUUAUUUCAAUCAAAACAAUUAUUUCUUUUUGAAAAUGGGAUGGGUUUUGGACAAAGAAAAGACUAAUGUUAGACAAACCAUUUAUUUACGGGAAAUUUUUACUAUAUUAUAUGGUAUAACAUGCAUUUAAAAUGUGAACCAUCAGAUCGUCUUAAUUUUUAAAAUGCUAAACGAUUCGACGGUUCACAGCUAAGAUGCAUGCUAUACCAUACGAUACAGCAGCCAAACCCCUAUUUAUGUGUCUCACCACUCUCACCUACCUUGUGCUGAUGUUUCACAUGCAUGCACGUCAUAUGCUAUGAUUAUUUUUUUGAAAAAUAAAUAAAUAAUUUGAUCACCAUCCAGCGUAUUGUAGUGAAAGUUGUCAAAUCUGCCAUAUAUGCUACCACAUGUACAUGUGGUAACCAAGAAAUUAAUGAUUACUUAAAGAAUUAAUUAUCAAUUCCAAUACUUCAUGAAAUAUUGAAAUUGAUAUGAACUAUAGAGUUAUUUAAACGUUUGUCAGUGAAAAAAGUACUUGAUCAUUUUUUUUUUCUUUUAAAAACUUUUUAAUAAUAACUCACACACCCUAUAUAUGUCGUGAGGUUUGAACCCAUCACUUGAGAAAGUAUAUAACUAGUCAACCUUCACAUUGGUAAGAACUUAAAUGUAGAAGCUUCAUACCCAAGUUCAAAUUCCACCGACAAUGAUUGGAGUUCAAUUUCAAUAUAUUUUUGAUGGUUAAGGAGAAAAAAACGUUUUUACAUGUGCCCCCAUCACUGAUGAGUCUUUGAACCUAGAAAGCCUUUGAUUAAGCCAUGUGAUUUCAAUAGAAAAAAAGAGUAUAUAUAAGUAGUCAAAUUGAUAGACCAAUUGGUAACAUUUGAAGAAUGCAUGUGUUUAUAACUGUGAUAUGUUUGCUUAUGAUUGCCUUCCUAUUGGUAACAUAUGAUUGCUUAUGUUUAUAACAGAGAUUAUACAAAGACAUGGAGAAUAAAAUCGAAAGUGCAGUGAAGUUAGGCAGCAUUUCUGAAGAAGUACGAUCAAAACACAAAUGCUUUUCUCAGUGGAAUGCGUAUUUAUCUCCACGAGACCAUGACACCAUUCUACAAGUAUGGAUCUAUAUCUCAAUUUACUGAUCAUCAUAAGUCAAAUAAUUUAGAGAAUCAACUUGAUAACAUUAGCUAGAUAUUUACUCCAAUGUAGAUCGUAAUUGAUGGGAGAGACCCAAAUGCCAGAGAUGUUGAAGGGUGUGGAUUGCCAACCUUAGUGUAUUUGGCUCGCGAAAAGAGACCUCAACAUCACCAUAACUUCAAAGCUGGUUCUAUGAAUGCACUGGUAUGCUGCACAUCUCUUGAUAGAAUUCUGUUAGAUAGAGGAGUCUUUGAUAUAACAAUAAUUUUCAUCGUUCAUUGUUUGUUAUGGUGAUCCUUAACUUGUGCAGAUUAGAGUAUCUUCAAACAUUAGCAAUGGGAAGGUUAUUCUUAACGUAGACUGUGACAUGUAUUCAAACAACUCCACGGCCAUAAGGGAUGCACUCUGCUUCUUAAUGGAUGAAGAGAAAGGCCAUGAGAUUGCAUUCGUACAGUUCCCACAGAAUUUUGAAAACGUUACCAAGAAUGACCUAUAUAGUAGUUCACUACGAGUAAUCAGUGAGGUAUGCAUUUGUUUGCAGUCAUUAAUGAAUGAUGCUAUAGUUAACUGAACUUAUUUAAUUUAACUAUGCUGAAAAAUUUGGAUCUCUUUGUUUUGGGUAUCAACUGAAGGUGGAAUUUCAUGGUUUGGAUGGUUAUGGUGGUCCUUUAUACGUUGGAAGUGGAUGCGUUCACAGAAGAGAUACUCUAUGUGGGAGAAAGUUCAGCAAAGGAUGUAAGAGUGAAAUGAAGUGGGAGAAUAGGAAAGGAGAAGAAACAAGCAUUCCUAAAUUGGAAGAAAGUUCAAAAAGACUAGCAAGUUGUACAUUUGAAGUGAACACUCAAUGGGGAAAAGAGGUCUUCUGUUCUCUUUCUCGUUGUCACACGCACACACAUUAUCAAGUGCAUAAUAAGUUGACAUUUGAGCCUGAUCAGUUCUUAUAAUUUGCAGAUGGGUUUGAAAUAUGGGUGUCCGGUUGAAGAUGUGAUUACGGGGUUAUCUAUCCAAUGCCGCGGAUGGAAAUCUGUGUACUGCAAUCCAACAAGGAAAGCUUUUCUAGGAGUAGCUCCAACUACACUGCCUCAAACACUUGUGCAGCACAAGAGAUGGUCAGAAGGUGAUUUUCAGAUUUUGGUUUCUAAGUACAGCCCUGCAUUGUAUGGGCAUGGAAAGAUAAGUUUAGGCCUUCAACUUGGUUAUUGCUGCUACUGCUUGUGGGCACCAAACUGCUUGGCAACACUAUUUUACACUAUUCUCCCUUCACUUUACCUUCUCAAAGGCAUUUCAGUAUUCCCACAGGUAAUGGGAGAUCCUCGAUCUGUCAAUUCUUUCUAAUUUGUCACAAUGAAACGAGAUAGAGAUUACUAUAUGUAAUAAUGGGGUUUUGUUUUGUGGAAUUAGAUCACAAGUCCCUGGUUCAUACCAUUUGCGUAUGUGAUAAUUGCCAAGUACACUUGGAGCUUUGGGGAGUUCAUGUGGUCUGGUGGCACAAUGUUGGGAUGGUGGAAUGACCAAAGAAUAUGGCUAUACAAAAGAACAAGCUCCUACCUAUUUGCCUUUAUCGAUACGAUUCUGCACUAUCUGGGUUACUCGGAUUCAGGCUUUGUAAUAACAGCCAAGGUGGCCGAUGAAGAUGUGUCACAAAGGUACGAGAAAGAGAUUAUGGAAUUUGGAGCCUCUUCUCCAAUGUUCGUCAUAUUAGCAACAGUUGCAUUGCUCAAUUUGUACUGCCUUGCUGGGUUUCUUAAGGAAGCAAUCGCUAGAAAUGGCACUGUUGGAGUUUACGAGACGAUGGCUUUGCAAAUUCUUCUAUGUGGUGUUUUGAUUGUCAUCAACCUGCCUUUGUAUGAAGCUCUUUGCUUGAGGAAGGACAAUGGAAAAAUGCCGAGUUCUGUGGUAUUUAAAUCGAUGGCGUUUGUUGCAUUAUCUUGUGUAUGUAGUAAACUUCUUAAUAAUUAGAAAGAAAAAACAAUCCUUGCUAAAUAAUCAUAAAACGAUCUAUAUUAUUCAAUCUUUCUCACUCUUGCAUAUAUUGUGUGUCACAAUAAGUUCAUCAUAAGUCGAAUUUCCAUUUUCUAGUUUGUUCUGAGUUGCUCUCUAUGUUCUAUCAAUUAUCAAAGUUAAUUAAUUGAUAUGCAUAUGCAUGUAGCUAGAUUUGCUGAUUUAGCUUCUUUUCUACUUAUUUGCUUCACAACAUCUACAAAAUAUAUAAUUGAAGUAAAUGACUCGAAAAAAUAUUGAACCAGCUAAAAAAAAAAAAUUAUAAUUUUACAUUUGUGCUAAUUGUAGAACUUUCUAGAAAUUAUACUAGGACUGAGAAGCGGCUCUAGCUUGUGUCUUAUAACGGGUCUCAAAUCGAGCCAAUAUAUCUACAUUCUUAGUAUAAAGCAUGAGAAGCAUCUCACAUAGCUUUAAUAUAGAACCUUGAAACAUAUACAAGCAAAUCCAGCAAAUGCCAUCGACUUAAAUGCCACAGAGCUCGGCAGCUUGCCCUUGUCCUUCCUUAGGUAUAGGGCUCCGUAUAACGGUAGGUUAAUGGCAAUGAAAACCACACAUAGAAGAAUCUGCAAGCACAUUGUCUCAUAAACGUCUGCAAAACCAUUCAUUCCAGUAAUUGCUGCCUUCACAACCCAAGCAAAGCAGUACAGAUUGAGCAAUGCAAGUGUUGCCAGCACUGUAAACAUCGGAGACGAGCUCCCGAAUUCCAUGAUCUCUUUCUCAUAUCGUUCGGACACGUCUUCAUCGGCAACUUUGGCUGUUAUUACAAAUGCUGAAUUGCUGUAUCCGAGGUAGUGUACAAUAGUGUCGAUGAAGGCAAAUAGGUAUGAGGAUGUUCUCUGGUAAAGCCAUAUACGUUGGUCGUUCCACCAACCUAAGCUCGUGCCUCCACACCACCGAUACUCCACGAAGCUCCCAAUGUUCUUAGCAAUUAUCACAUAUGCAAAUGGUAUGAUCCAUCUGCUGGAAAUCUAAUCCGACAAGAAAAAAAAUCCAUAUUAAAGCCGUACGUUAAAGAUAACGCAUGCAUGAAAAGUUACUAGUAACAUGUAAUUUUGUGAGAUGAACUAUACCUGGGGAAAUAAGGACGUGCCUCUAAGAAGGUAAAGUGAAGGAAGGGUGGCGUAUAUUACUGUUGCCCAGCAAUUAGCAGCCCAUAAAUUGUAGCGAAGGUAUCCCAGUUUAUGGCCUAAACUAAGCUUUCUAUGGCCACACCAUACAACAUUGUCCUUAGAAAGCGUAAUCUGAAGGUUGCCUUCCCCCCAUCUCUUAUGCAUCACAAGUGCCUGAAGCAAGGUGGUAGGAGCUAAUCCUAAGAAAGCUUUCCUUGUUGGAUUGUAAUUCACUGAUUUCCAUCCUCGGCAUUGGAUUGAUAGUCCUGUUAUCACAUCCUCAACUGUACACCCAUAUUUCAAACCCAUCUGCAGAUUAUAAAGAUUUUGUCUCAACUUAAAACGAGUAUAUAUUCCUAAAUACACAUUAAAUUUUAAAUGGGAAUUUUCUUGGAAUAUAAAAACAUACAUGAGUUAUAAGUGAAAAUGAACACACACACACACACAGAUAUAUAUAGUAUAUAUAUAUAUAUAUAUAUAUAUAUAUAUAUAUAUAUGAGAAUACCUCUUUUCCCCAUUGUGUGUUCUCCUCAAAUGUACAACUCGCAAGUCUCUUUGAACUUUGUUCUAAUUCAUGAAUGCCAAAGUACUCUCUUUUGUUACCAUCCCAUUUCAUCUCACUCUUAUUCACCUUGCUGAAUUUCUUCCCAGAAAGAGUGUCUCUUCUGUGAAAACAUCCAGUUCCAAUAUAUAACAUCCCCCAAUAAGCAUCCAGACCAUGAAGUUCCACCUUCAUGUAAAUGCCAAAACACAUAUAAUCGCAAAAUUUUGAUUCUAAUAUUUCCAUCAGCCUAUAAUAACAUUGUCUACUCUGUGGUACUCACCUCGGUAAUUACUCGCAAUGAAGCGUAUAAUUCAUUCUUAGUAAGGUUAUCGAAAUUCUGGGGGAACUGUACGUAAGCAAUCUCAUGGCCUUGUUCUUCAUCCAACAAGAAGCAGAGUGCAUCCCUUAUGGCCUUGGAGUUGUUUGAAUACAUGUCACAGUCUACAUUCAGAAUCAACUUUCCAUUGCUAAUAUUUGACGAUACCCUAAUCUGCAAAUUGCGAAGGAUCGCAUCUGUACGUUAUCUAAACCCUAUAGGCACACAGUGAAACUCACACAUAUCUUGUAAAUGUAAUAUGUUGUUUACCAGAGCAUUCAUAGCACCAGCUUUGAAGUUAUGGUGAAUCUGGGGUCUCUUCUCCCGAGCCAAAUACACCAAAGUUGGCAACACACACCCUUCAACAUCUCUUGCAUUUGGGUCUCUCCCGUCAAUUACUAUCUGGGAGAAAAGUUCAUCGACUAAUUUAAACAUCUGGUACUAAUUAAACACCCAGUCAUAUAUAUGAUCACUUAACAUUAAAGAACUCAAAUGGAAAUGUCAUACUUGAAGAAUGGUGUCAUGGUCACGUUUUGAUGAAUAUGAAUCCCACUGAGAAAAGCCUUUAUGUUUUGAUCUUACUUCUUCCGGAAUCCGGCCUAGCUUCACUGCAUUUUCAACUUUUGUUGCCAUGUCCUCGUAUAGUUUCUGCAUCAAUAUUAUUUGGUGACAUGAGAGCUUAAGUAUGUUGUAAGCAUUGUAAGACCAAAAGAAGAAGAAGAACAAAAGUAGUUACAAAUGCAACACAAAAUAAAACAAGAUAUAAUGGAGUAAGAAAUGUUAAUUUCGUGUUCAUUUGGUUGUUACGAAUCCAAUUUUGCCAUGAUGUACACCCAAAAUUUUCCCACCGGCCGGUAAUUUAUAACAGAGGCUUACUGUUUCCAUUUCACUCCGAUCACUAACAGACCCUAUUGGUCAGUCCCUAAUGGCGAAUGGGGAAGAUUGUAGUACCUUUUAAAGGUAGGUCUUUAGGUGGAUAUGCUGGUGGGUUAAAGUUUGGAUCAAGGUGUAUAGUCUAGGCUAGCCAGACGUUUUUGUUACGAGUCAUUGUUCAAUGUGUAGUCGGCGACCGUGCGCACUAAAAAUUGUAACAGGUGAUCUUCAAAUCUCUUGUUUUGACUGAAUGAGGUCGUAUACGAUAUCUUCGACCAAUGGAGUUCAUCCACUCUCAUAAGAAAAAAAAAAAAAAAAAAAAAACAAAAGAUGACAGGCUUGACAACUUCGAGGAUAAUUACUAAGCAACUUCCGGCUACUAAACGACUAGCAUGCAAUAGAUCUAACAUUAAGACAUGUCUAGUGAACAAAAAAUCCAUUCUUACCUACGAUCGAAUAUAUAAAAUUAACAGAAGAGGUUAAGACAUGCCUCACUUGAUCGAUGACCAUAUAUUUCUUUCAAAAUUUCUUAAUCAAUGGUGAACAAAUUAAGAAAAUAUCAACAUCAAGACAUCGCUACUCUUAUGUCCAAGUCUCCAAGACACUUUAAUUGACUCCAUCCAUCAUCAUAUGGAUCCAGAUGAUUCUACUUGGAGCAGUUUACUUGUCGUCUAAAUUGGACAACCUAUGCCAUUUAUGCUCUCCACAAAAAAUCUCUGCUGCGCGCAGGGACCUAAUGGAAAUGUGUAUGUCAUCGCUGACCUAAUUAUCACUUUAAUCUUAACCAUGCAUAAUUGCUGAUUAGAGUUGUUGUUUCUUCGACGUGUAAAUAUACGAUAUCAUAUAGAGGGUCAAAAUCUAUCUACACGACGGUCUCAUUAUAUAAUUCUAGAACUGAGAUGACAUUGUGUACAUACAUGACGUGCAUACAAGAAUUUCCAAUUAAGCAUUAACCAAACAGACUUCUUUUAUUUCUUUACACUUUGAUUAUGGAAGACUUUAUGAUAUGGAUAAAAUCGUAAAAUAAUAAUUACCUUAAUGAGCGCCAAAUCAGCAGCCUUUUUCUGAUUCUGGCUUUCAUCAUCAACUGCAUCAGAAUCUAUCGAGACAAAAUAAGCAAAUGGUGAUCUCGGCUCCACACUGUACUUCUUGCAAUAGGGUAUCCAGUACUUGGCAAACUCAGCAGCUUCCAGAAAAGCAUAGUACGUAAAUUCUGAGCCUCCAUCGUCAGAGAGAUACACGCUGAGCUUCUCCGGCGGAUAGUCAUAAGACAUGACCGAUAGAACAGUGUUCAUCACCAUCAUCGGCGGCUCUAUGAUCGGAUCCGCGGUGCACACGAAUAUGUCCACCCCCGGCAACUCAUUCUCAUAUCUGUUAAGUAACACACGCGAAGUUAAACGAUACGAAGAUCAUCAUUACGAAAGAAGUUAGGUUAGAGCUAGAUUAAGCUAACAGUAUAUAUAACAUGUUAUGUUGUUAAACUAUAGAUACAGAUCAUUCAUAUAUAACAGUGAAUACAGAUACCUUUCAGAGAGUCUGUCCUUGAAGGUAUGCCGGAAGGUGCGGCUCCACCGAAGAGCUUGAGUGAUGACCCAGUAAAAACUGAACCAUAACUCAGCGGCGAACAACAACAUCCAACCAAAUCUUCCAUUUUCUCCAGCUCUUGGUAUAUGAGUCACUCUAUAAGCCCAAAUCAAACAUAUACCAACAGAUACAGACACUGCAGAAAACCUAUAGAAGACUGUUCCCUUUGCCUUCGUUGUCUCAAACAGUGGUAAAUGUCUUUCCUCUCCCAUUUUUGAGCCAACUCUGAUUGCUCAAGCUUUCUUUCUCUAGUGGAGAUGAUUUAAUAUAUAGGGAAGGACCCCGGACCAGGUCUUGCUUUCUAUUAUAAAAACCAAUUAACUUUGAAGCUAAUGCAUGCGUCCCGCGAACGCAACUUUGAUGUAAUGCUACCUUUCACAUCUCUGAUGUGUAUUACAAAACAAACAAGUUACAUGCAUAACUAGCUACUAUGAAAGUAUUGCAGCCAUAUGCACUUGGGUAGUAGUAAGAGUUUGGUGGUCUUUGACCUAUUGCUGAAUAAAAGAUUUCUUUUUUGGUCAGAAAAUAAAAGAUCAUUUACAAGCAGAUGAAACUGUCAUUCCAAUACAAGUUAGCUGAAACUGAAUAUGAUCUUAUCUUACAUUGUGCAUAACUAGUUAAGAAUCGUUCAAUGACAAGUUCGGCCUGAUAUUUUACUUUGUAGUCUGAAUUAUUCCCUCAUCUUUGUCAUAUAUAUUUGAAACAUAAACAAGCAAAUCCAGCAAAUGUCAUCGACUUCAAUGCUACAGAGCUCGGCAGCUUUCCCUUGUCCUUCCUUAGGUAUGGGGCUUCGUACAAGGGUAGGUUAAUGACAAUCAAAACCACACAUAGGAGAAUCUGCAAGCACAUUGUCUCAUAAACUUCUCCAAUACCCUUUUUUCCAGUGAUUGCUACCUUCAAAAACCAAGCAAAGCAGUACAGAUUGAGCAAUGCAAGCGUUGCCAGCACGGUGAACAUUGGAGACGAGCUCCCGAAUUCCAUGAUCUCUUUCUCGUAUCGUUCGGACACGUCUUCAUCGGCAACCUUGGCUGUUAUUACAAAUGCUGAACUGCUGUAUCCGAGGUAGUGUACAAUGGUGUCAAUGAAGGCAAAUAGGUAAGAGGUUGUUCUCUGGUAAAGCCAUAUACGUUGGUCGUUCCACCAACCUAAGCUCGUGCCUCCACACCACCGAUACUCCACAAAGCUCCCAAUGUUCUUAGCAAUUAUAACAUAUGCAAAUGGUAUAAUCCAUCGGCUUGAAAUCUAAUCCGACAAGAAAAAAACCAAUUUUAAGAAAAGCCGUACGUGAAAUAUAUUGCAUGCAUAAGAAGUAAUUAGAAACAUGUAAUUCGUGGGAUGAACUAUACCUGGGGAAAUAAGGAUUUGCCUCUAAGGAGGUAAAGUGAAGGAAGAGUGGAGUAAAUUAGUGUUGCCCAGCAGUUAGCAGCCCAUAAGUUGAAGCGAAGGUAUCCCAGUUGAUGGCCUAAACUAAGCUUUCCAUGGCCAUACCAUAGAACACAGUACUUAGAUAGCGUAAUCUGAAGGUUGCCUUCUGCCCAUCUCUUAUACAUCACAAGUGCCUGAAGCAAUGUGGUUGGAGCUAAUCCUAAGAAAGCUUUCCUUGUUGGAUUGUAAUACACUGAUUUCCAUCCUCGGCAUUGGAUUGAUAGUCCUGUUAUCACAUCUUCAACCGGACACCCAUAUUUCACACCCAUCUACAAAUUAUAAAGAUUUAAUUUGUAUAAAUGAUGUAUAAGUAAAUAUGAACAUAAUAUGUAAGUGUAAUUGAUAGAGAGAAUAUACCUCUUUUCCCCAUUGUGUGUUUUCUUCAAAUGUACAACUCGCAAGACUUUUUGAACUUUGUUCUAAUAUAUGAAUGCCAAUUUCUUCUCUUUUGUUUUUCUCCCAUUUCAUCUCACUCUUAUUUUCCUUGCUGAAUUUCUUCCCACAAAGAGUUUCUCUUCUGUGAAAGCAUCCAGUUCCAAUAUAUAACAUCCCCCAGUAAGUAUCCAGACCAUGACAUUCCACCUUCAUGUAUAUGCCAAAACAAUAACUGAAGUUCAAAUAAUAAGAUAUAAAUUGAAGAAUAAUGCUAAGUGAACCAUAUUAAUUUUGAUUAUAAUAUUUCAAUCUGCAGCAUAUAAUAUGUCCACGAACAUAAUCAACUCACCCUGUUAAUUACUCGCAAUGAAGCGUAUAAUUCAUUCUUAGUAAGGUUAUCGAAAUUCUGCGGAAACUGUACGUAAGCAAUCUCAUGGCCUUGUUCUUCAUCCAUGAAGAAGCAGAGUGCAUCCCUUAUGGCCUUGGAGUUGUUUGCAUACAUGUCACAGUCUACAUUAAGAAGUAACUUCCCAUUGCUAAUAUUUGACGAUACCCUAAUCUGUGAAUGCAAAGGAUCGCAUCUGUUAUCUAAACCCUACAGGUACACACACACACACAUAUAUAUAUCCUGUAAAUUUAGUAUGUUGUUUACCAGAGCAUUCAUAGCACCAGCUUUGAAGUUAUGGUGAAUCUGAGGUCUUUUCUCCCGAGCCAAAUACACCAAAGUUGGCAACGCACACCCUUCAACAUCUCUUGCAUUUGGGUCUCUCCCCUCAAUUACUAUCUGGGAGAAAAGUUCAUCCACUAAUAUUAACAUCUGGUACUAAUUAAACACCCAGUCAUAUAUAUGAUCAGUUAACAUUAAAGAAUUCAAAUGGAAUGUCAUACUUGAAGAAUUGUGUCAUGGUCACGUUUUGAAGAGUACGAGUCCCACUGAGAAAAACGUUUAUGUUUUGAUCUUACUUCUUCCGGAAUCCGGCCUAGCUUCACUGCAUUUUCAACUUUUGUUGCCAUGUCCUCGUAUAGUUUCUGCAUCAAUAUUAUUUGGAGACAUGAGAGCUUAAGUAUGUAUUAAGCAUUAAUGUAAAACCAAAAGAAGAAGAAAAAGAAGUAGUUACAAAUGCAACACAAAAUAAAACAAGAUAUAACGGAGUAAGAAAUGUUUCUUGUUGUUUUGGUUGUUGCACGUACUGCUUAAUCCAAUUUUGCCAUGAUGUACACAGUACACCCAAAAUUUUCCCACCGGUAAUUUAUAACUGAGGCUUACUGUUUCCAUUUCACACCGAUCAUUAACAGUCCCUAUUCUUACCUACGAAUGAGGUCGAGACAUGCCUCGCUUGAUCGAUGACCAUAUAUUUCUUUCAAAAUUUCUUAAUCAAUGGUGAACAAAAAGAAGAAAUCAACCGGGACCUGACAAUACAUCGCUACGCUGAUGUCCAAGUCUCCAAGACACUUUAAUUGACUCCAUCCAUCAUCAUAUGGAUCCUGAUGAUUCUACUUGGAGCAUUCUACUUGUCGUCUAAAUUGGACAACCUAUGCCAUUUAUGCUCUCCACAAAAAAUCUCUGCUGCAGGGACCUAAAGGAAAUGUGUAUGCCUGACCCAAUAUUAAUUAUCGCUUUAAUCUUAACCAUGCAUAAUUAAUUAUCAGAGUCUUUGUCUCUUCGACGUGUAAAUAUACGAUACCAUAUGGAUAUAAUCUAUGACUUUACUACAUAUACAUGAUGGUCUCGUUAUAUAAUUCUAGGACUGAGAUGACAUCAUAUACAUGCACGGCAUACAUACAAGAAUUUCCAAUUAUUAAUCAUUAACCAAACACUUUUGCAUGACUUUACUUAUUUCUUCACAGUUUGAUUAUGGAAGACUUUAUGAUAUGGAUGAAAUCAUAAAAUAAUAAUUACCUUAAUGAGCACCAAAUCAGCAGCUUGUUUCUGAUUCUGGCUUUCACCAUCAACUGCAUCAGAAUCUAUCGAGACAAAAUAAGCAAAUGGUGAUCUCGGCUCCACACUGUACUUCUUGCAAUAGGGUAUCCAGUGCUUGGCAAACUCAGUAGCUUCCAGAAAAGCAUAGUACGUAAAUUCUGAGCCUCCAUCGUCAGAGAGAUACACGCUGAGCUUCUCCGGCGGAUAGUCAUAAGACAUGACCGAUAGAACAGUGUUCAUCACCAUCAUCGGCGGCUCUAUGAUCGGAUCCGCGGUGCACACGAAUAUGUCCACCCCCGGCAACUCAUUCUCAUAUCUGUUUAAGUAAUUUCACUUGAGUUAAAACUACAUGCGAAGUUCACAAUGAAGAACAUCAUCACGAAAGAAGUAAACUUAGAGCUAAAGCUAAUACGAAAACAAUAUAGCAUGUUAUGUUGUUAAACUAUCGAUAUAUAUAUAUAUAUAUAUAUAUAUAUCUUUCGGAGAGCCUGUCCUUGAAGGUAUGCCUGUAGGUGCGGCUCCAACGAAGCGCUUGAGUGAUGAACCAGUAAAAACUGAACCAUAACUCAGCGGCGAACAACAACAUCCAGCCAAAUCUUCCAUCUUCUCCAGCUUUUGGUAUGUGAGUCACUCUAUAAACCCAAAUCAAACAUAUACCAACAGAUACUGACAAUGCAGAAAACCUAUAGAAUACUUUUCCCUUUGCCUUCGUUGUCUCAAACAGUGGUGAAUGUCUUUCCUCUCCCAUUUUUGAGCUAACUAUGAUUGCUCAAUUGCUUUCUUUCUCUAGUUGGAACGAUUUAAUAUAGUGGGAAGGACCCUGGACCAUGGUGCAUGUUGCUUAAUUUCAUUUAUAGAUACCAAUUCCCCCAUCCCUUUGCAACUAAUGCAUGCGCCUCACGAACGUAGUAUUGAUCUCCGUUAGGUGGUGGUCCUUGACCUAUUGCUGAAGAAAACAGUGUUUAGAAGAAGAUGAAUAUCUGUCAUUCCAAUGAAACAUCAGGCUGUUUAGAUCGAAAGGAUUGGUGUCGACCACAUUAAUUCCCAAAUUUUGACAACCUUUCUUUGCUUUUGGAUAUUUUCUUUCGCAGGCUUGAGUAUAUUGUUUGAAUGACGAUUGAGUUUGGACUGUUUGGUGUAAGAGAUUAACUUAUACUUGGACGAGAUGCAUGCAAUGUUGAUUUUAUUCAAGAAUUGUUGUUUGUGAUGUGAGACUGGUGAGAGAGCACACACUUAUGCUAAAAACAUUAUUAGACAACGACGAUUCAUAACUGUUCUUCUGACUGAAAAGCAUAUGUCGUUUGAUGGACGGUGCCGUGUGAUUGAGAUAACUGUAUUUCAUUCAUGAAUAAAGGAUACAAAACUAGAGAGCAAGCUAGAUUAUAUUUUCCAAAUGUUCAUUACAUAAAUUUGAAACAUAAACAAGCAAAUCCAGCAAAUGCCAUGGACCUAAUUGCUACAGAGCUCGGCAGCUUCCCCUUGUCCUUCCUUAGGUAUAGCGCUUCGUAUAACGGUUGGUUAAUGACAAUCAAAACCACACAUAGAAGAAUCUGCAAGAACAUUGCCUCAUAAACUUCUGCAAUGCCCUUUGUUCCAGUGAUUGCUUCCUUCACAAACCAGGCAAAGCAGUAUAAAUUGAGCAAUGCAACGGUCGCUAGCACAACGAACAUUGGAGACGAGCUCCCGAAUUUGCCAGUAUAAAUCUGCAAGCACAUUGUCUCAUAAACUAAAAAUUUUUAGAGCUAAAAGUUUCCUCCUAAUGAUUUACAUACAAAUUAUUUAUAAUUCAUUAAAAAAAAUAAUUAUAUAACAUCCAUGAAUCUAAUGUUACUUUNNNNNNNNNNNNNNNNNNNNCUAUCACGAAUGUCGAGCGAUAAGCUGCCGCAAGGACGGCAUUUGAGUGGGGUCAGUGUGGUUUACGAUGUGGAUGUUAGGCGGCCCGGGGAGUUUCAGCCGCAGCUGGAAGUUAGGUCGACGAUUACGAACUAUGAUCCUCAGCUGGUGUUGGGCCGCCAAAUAGCGGUGAAUAAGUCGUAUAUAUGACUGUGGAUUGAAACAGGGGGAUAUUCGGGUUUUGAAUAACCACACCGGAUUGGAAUGUUUGCUUCGAGCUCAUACACAGGUAAAUUGAUUUUCCUUGUAGUUAUUUACUUUAUCUCGUCGAUGAUUGUUAUAUGUCGUUGGCCUAAUCGAUGUGUUGUUCUGUCAGAGGGUCACAGACAUGGCUUUCUUUGCCGAGGAUGUUCACCUUUUGGCUAGGUAGCUUUUUUGUCCAUGCUUAAUACUUUUCAUCGUCUGGUUUGGUUCUGCAUUAUCUGACAUAAUUUUCUGCAGUGUGAGUGUAGAAGGACGGCGUUUUGUGUGGAAAAUAUCUGAAGGUCUGGAUGAAGGAGGUACGCCACAAAUCAAAGGAAAGAUUGUUAUUGCCAUUCAAAUAGUUGAUGAGGGGGGAGCUGUUCAUCCAAGAGUUUGUUGGCACUGUUCUAAACAAGUAAAUGAUUCUGUUAAUGCUAUUUUCAAUAGAAGAAUUAUAACUUAAUGCUUUUGAUGUCUGUUGGUCUUGAAGUGGUUGAUUGAUUUAUCUUUUGUCUUAUAUACUCGCAGGAGGUUUUGUUUGUUGGGGUUGGGAAGCGUGUUCUACGAAUUGAUACUACUAAAGUUGCAAAGUAUGGAGUCCCUUCUGCUGAGGAUCCUAUCAAAUGUCCUGUUGAAAAACUCAUUGAUGGGGUUCAAUUUGUUGGUGAACAUGAUGGAGAGGUGACAGAUGUAUCAAUGUGCCAAGGGAUGACUACCACCCGGCUGGUUUCUGCUUCCAUGGAUGGAACUGUAAGCUUCUUCCCGUUUUGCUGACUUUGUUUGGUAAACUGCAAUCUUCACCAUUUGCCUUUUCUACAUAUUUCCUUUCGUCAAGUAGUGAAACUUAAGUGCGAUUUUCAUCAGAGUUGGGUGGGAACAUUUGGCCCCUGCUUGCCCUUUUACAUCUAAAUGGAUAGUUUUUUCUCCUUUUCUUUCGGUGAAAUAGGGAUAAUCUUAUGGCUACAAAAAAAUCUGUGUUGGCUAAUCGGCUUCUAUGCUUCAGGGAGUUUGCGAUGAAUUAGGAUAAAUUAUUUGGUCUAGUCCUUCAAAUCCCUUUUAAUGUGGUACAGCACAUGAAAUGGCUAUGGCAGAUAAACUUUUACUUUUCUCAAUUAUAAGGAAAAAGUGAAGAGAAAGUACUGUAAGAGAUUUUAAGAGUGGAAGCUGUUUAACUUUGCAGUGAGUUUGUCAAUUUCUCUAACCUUAGUACAUAGUAUGAUCGAUACUAUUUAGGAAUGGUUCACGCAGUUUCAAAUUAAUUCAUUGGGCCGUCUUCAUCAUGAACAAUACAAAAAUUAUUUCUGAACAGGUUUAAGUAUGUUAUAUUCUCACACAUGCCAUAUAUGCAUGUAUAAUUAUUUCCUAAAUUGUUGAUUGAUAAAAGUUUUCUGAGUCGUAUACUUGGUUGAUACAGAUAAAGAUCUGGGAAGAUCGCAAGUCACAACCACUUAUAGUACUGAGACCCUAUGAUGGCCUUCCUGUUUAUUCGUCUAUAUUUACGACAGCUCCCAACAAACCAGAUCACAUCAUACUUGAAACAGUGGUAAGUGAUCGUUGAUUUAUUUACAUAGUACCAAAAGGUGUUGCCUGUCCUAGUGUGCUGAAGUGUAAUUAUACAGGGUCCACUUAAUCGGGAAGUGAAGAUCUGGUCCUCAGCAACUGAAGUGCUUACCAGUGAUGAUGAGUCAUGGAAAUGUACCCAGACCUUAGAGCUCUGCUCAACCUCGAGUUGAGGAUGCGUUCUUUAAUCAAGUCAUAACAGUGUCACAAGCUGGCCUUCUUUUACUUGCAAAUGCUAAGAAGAAUGCCAUAUAUGCCGUGCACAUAGACUUUGGUGGUGAGCCAGCAGCUACACGCCUACACACAUGGAUUAUAUAGCAGAAUUUACUGUUACAAUGCCUAUUUUGAGCUUUACGGGGACAAGUAUAUCUCCUCAUGGUAAACAAAUCGUUCAGGUUUAUUGUGUCCAGACGCAAGCCAUUCAACAGUAUGCUUUGGACUUAUCGAAGUGCUUACCUCCCCCGUUGGAAAAUACAGAUACAGUUGACAGCAACACUGAGUUGGAAUUACAACGUCAAAUUGACGCCAUGCAGGAUGAGAUGAAUCAGGUGAGUGCUUAAGAAUUUGGAAUUUCAAUUAUCUUGCACAUGUGUAUGGCGCUCCAACUAUUUUCAGCUUAACUUAGUGAAGUAGGUCUAGUAUCUUCUCCAAAAUUAUGCUACUGCCGUUUAAGUCGAUCUUCAAGUUAUUUAUUAUUUGGUGAACUGGUAUAUCAAUAUGAUCUUUCUUGUCCCAUUUCACCAGCCUAUAUCAUGGAAAAGGUUCUCUGUUUGGACGUUUUAUGGAUGUGUUUUGUGUAAUCAAACCUUUUUUUCUUGUCCAUUAUCCUUUCUGUUAACUAUGGCUUUUCAUCAUAUGCGCAGCUGGAGAUUAUGCAAACAAAAUUGCAAACAGAAUUGCAAGAGUGGAAGAAGGCUAGAAAGGACAAUACUGAUGCUCUGCAGGCUCGGGUUAGAGAAGAGAUUUCAAAGAUUGAGAAAUUAUGGCGAGAACGUAUUCAACAAGGAACUGUAGAACGCACGGACUUUCCGGUCUUGUUAGAUAAAAUGGUGAAAAAAGAAAUAGCUGCUCUUGGAUCAGCUAUAGAAACAAAAAUUAUUUUGGCUAUAUCUGAUUGCUUUCAGGUAAGAAUUUAGAUGAUCUGGCCUUUUCUUUGAGGUAUUUGGCUUUAAUUAUCUAAUUGAUGCGUGUGCUGCAGAAAUUGGAGAAAUCAGUCAACUCAAAUCUUGAAGAUACUGUACGCAGUGUGCUGCAGAAAUUGGAGGAAUCAGUCAACUCAAAUAUUGAAGCUACUGUACGCAGCCAAAUCCAGUUGGAUUGUCAAACUCUGGGUAACCAAGCUCGGCAAGGUGAUGGUGCCAGCAUGUCUGAACCACUUGCUCAGCUUCAUUAUGUAGAGGAAGAUCAGGAACAUUCUGGAAAAGAUGUAUCUGGGUCGGCUACUGCCACAACCACGUCGCAACUACAAACACCAAAUGCAAUGUCAAGAAAACAGGAAUGGAAGAAUAUGCAAGCAUCAUGUCCAUCUUCCCCGUCACCAGGUGUGCUCAACUCAGUAGAGUCCUCCAAUGAAGCAGGUGGGAGUUCAAGUCCCCCCUCUGGAGAAGCUGCAGUCCCUCACAUUAUGUCCAUGCAGGCUAUAAUGAAUAAGGUGAGUGCAGUCAAAUUUGGGCAUUUAAUUAUCUUGCACUUGUCUACUCGCACGCGCCAAUUAUUUUCAGCUUAACUUAGUAAAGCAGGCUUAGUAUCUUCUCCAAAAUUAUGCUACUGCCAUUUAAGUCGGUCUUCAAGUCAUUUAUUGGUGAACUGGUAUAUUAAUUACUAUGUUCUUUUGUGUCCCAUUUCACCUGCUUAUAUCAUGCGAAGAGCAAAAGGUUCUAUGUUUGCAUGUGUUGUGGUUGUGUUUGUAAGUGUUUGUGUGUAACCAAACCUUGUUUUCUUGUCCAUUAUCCUUUCUGUUAACUAUGGCUUUUCAUCAUAUGUGCAGAUAUUGGAAAUACAAAGAGAAGAAUAUCUAUGGCAUAUUAAAGAGGCAGCUGUCAUUAAUGAGGAAAUGAAAAGAUUAGAAGAAGAAGAAGCUGAGCAUAAAAAGAAGAAGGAAGAAUCUAAGCAUGAAAAGAAGAAGAAAAUUGCACAAGACGACGAAGUAUCUAGUGUGCUCAAUCUUCCUAUCAUGUUCAAAUAUCCAACCAUCCAAUAACUCCCCCUGAGACUUUAAUGGAAGCUUCUCCCUCUGAAAGUACAAGUACAUGGGCAGCUAAUGGAACUGGUUGGUGGUAAACCUGAACUACUUGAGGGGGAUGCGAGAAUCCAAGAUGUGCUUGUUAACAGUGGUGUGGGUAAUCCUGAGGUAGAAGUCAAAGUUGUGGGGAAGCAGGAUCUACCCAAAUUGAUGAAUAUGGCUCCCAACGGGAACUCCAAAAUGCUGGUUCAAAAGUUCUACGUUGUUUAUUAUUAACAAUUAUCCAAAGUACUAAUUUAUUGAUGACAGGUUAAGAAUUUCUAGACCUUCAUGAUCAUUUUCUUAUUGCUUGUAAUGACUGGAUGUACUGAUCGGAGAGGAUUCAGUGCACAUACUUGCACUGCACCAACCAGAUCAACCAAACGAUGGUUAGUGACAAAAAAAAAAAUAACAAAUUGCAGUAAAACCCAGGAACUGCAGUAAAGAAAUCGAACUGGCUCUGCCCACCUCCCCGUCCCCAAAACCCAGUCUCUCCAUCCUCCGUCGUCCAAAGAGCCCGCCAAGGUCUGGAUGGUCAACUUCUUCUUCUUCUCCUCCGCCGUAGCCCUCAUCAUCAAGGCCGAGAGCGACCGCACGAAGAUUACGAACAUCAGGAAUGGAUAGGAAACCCAAACCCCAGAUCUACGAUUCUUGAGAAAUCAUUCAAAAUUGCAUCAGUUGCUUCCCAUUGCUUCCAUUGAAGCUCUAAAUCCACUAAUAGAUUCACAUCAGAACCCCAUGGCCGCCACAACUCAUCUUGACAAACGUCGGAUACAGAUUAGGCAUCUCGGGUGUAUCGUAGUAUUGUAUUUAGACCCGUAAAAAAUGGACCGGAUCUUGAUUCGGACCCGCUCCGGAUCCGUGGUUUUUAAAUGGGUUUAGAACGAAAAUUAAACCCGUUGGUCCGUUAAGGACUCGGAUCCGUUAACCCAUUUAUUAAACGGAUCGGAUACGGAUCAAGGUUGAUCCGAUCCGUUAAGGACCCGGAUCCGUUUUAAAAUAAUUAAAUAAUAUUUUUAUAAAUAUAAUAUUAUUGAUAAAUAUUAAACAAUAUAAUAAUUAUUUGAAUAACCUAAACGUCUAAAUUGCGUCUAAAGUAUGAUUAUUUGAUGAAAUUGAAGGUUACUGAUAUGUAUGUUAUUUUUAUGCUCUUUGCUAAAUACAUUGGAGUGUUCUAGAAUAUUCUGUAUCUUUCGAGAUAUUCUUUAUGUGUGUCUUGGCCAUAUGCCAAGAGGAUAUGUAGUUAGACUAGAUCUAUGUAUUUAUAUUCUUACCAUAUUGGUAUUGUGUAAUUCCUUAUAUAAAGGACUCCUAUCAAUGAAUAAGAUGAUGAUUCUCUAGCUAUCUCUCUGUCUCUACACUUUAUACUUCAUCACGUUAUCAUGCACUUUGUUCUAACCCUAGAACUAAUAGCCCACCAUUUUUUUUUCCAAACCCUAAAAACCAAAACCGGAGGUUCUCGGCCCUGCCGCUACCGCCGCCGCAGUCGCUUCCCGGCCGUCCACUCCGCUGCUUUCUUUUCAUCCGAUCAAGCAUCUAAGUGUUUACGGUAUGUUUAUUUUACAACCCUAAAACUCUUCCAAGUUUAAUAACCUCGAGGGAGAUAAAGUGCUUUCUCCCCUUCUUCUACUCCAUUCUAUGCUUGGGUCGAUGUAUUUGAAGGUACCAAAAAUCCCGGAAUUUUAUUCGCGGGUCAAGAGUGUGUUGGAUCACUCUUGUUUCCUUGUCCGGGUUGUGUAUGAUCAACCCUGACCUAUCACUGGAUUGUGUUUGAUCAAUCCGAGGCCUUUUCCGAAUUGUGUUUGAUCAAUUCGCGGCUUUUCCAGAUUGUGUAUGAUCAAUCCGAAUGACAAACCAUUAAAAGCAUUGUUUGUGACCUCUAUCGAGUCUCAUAACAGCUUGGUUUUGUAUGCAAGAGCAAUGUAACAUUCUGCUCCUUUGAGUUUUGACGUACUCGAUGCCUAAGGCGAAUCUUUGCUUGGUAUCUGUGGAACCUUUCAUUGGAAAGGAUUAAACCACAUGUUUUGACCCCCAGGCUAACAAGCCUAGAUGCCGAGAUUUCACAUCUCAUGCGCUUAAAGUCUUUGAUGCGCCACAUCGACAAAAGCCUUCAAUGGCAAUCUGUGCAAAAAGUAAUGACCACAAAGUACUGUGGAAUGCACUCAUGGAGCGUUUCUCGAAACGUUCAUAUAACUCUACUUGUUGAGUUAUUAGUCAAGUGGAUUGCUUACCACCUUAAUUGACUAUAUAUUGUCGAUGAUCUUUUGUGGCAUCAUGAUCCAUAAUCUUUAGCGGAUUCGAUCAUCAUCAAGUUCUCUAAGUCCUCCAAGUUGGUUUGGAAUUACCAACGAAACUUGAUUUUGAUCAUACAAAUGGGAAUUUUAUAUACGCUAAUGUGAUAAACUUAUUUGGGAUUAUCCCCUAAUGUGGGGACAAUAAUAUGGGUCAUGACAACGGCAGAAAACGUCGUGCCGAUGUCUAGAAAAGAGGGGGAGGUGUCGCCGGCUCUAAUAGCGACACUCCCGGUCUAGACACCAUUUUGUCAAAACUACUCACAUCAGCUCAUGACAAUGCAACCGUUGUGGAUCUUUGGAUCACUGGUUCAAGAUUGUCCAGCUUCUUCAAAUUGUGAAUGCAUACAAAAAGGUACAGAAAAUCAAUAUGAGGACAAGAACGUCAUCCUCAUGAUCGCGAAUUUUGAAGAUUCAGAUCCUGCUCUAGCUACCCCUGACUUUGACUUCAUCGGCUAGACAUUGAUUUUCGUUUCAAGCUAUAUGUACUAAGGCGUUGUAUCGACGUCCUUCGUCUAUUUUUGACCUCGAUGUACUCACAUCGGCAAGAUGUACAUUUUUACAUCGUCCUUAGAAGUAUGACAUAUUUACAAUCUACAUGGUUAGAUUGUGCCAUUUUGGUCUCUUCCAAGUGAAGAUGACGCACGGCCUUGCAUCCUCAAGAAGGAUCGCUAACGUGUUUCAGGUUAAGUCUUCUACCCUUUAGCGGAUUUUCCAUCAUCAAUUGUUCAACUAGGCUCAUCCAAGCUCAGUGUGAUGUCUUAGAAUUGUCCGAAAUUAAGGAGAUAGUGGUUUCAAGUGUGCCUCGCACUACCGACCCUCCACGGACAUGCUUGGUCAUACUGACUUGGAGUUACCGAAAGCUUUUGAUUUUGGAUCCCCCUACGCUAUUAAACCAAUUGCCGUCUUGCAAAAGCCGUUGAAGACUUAUCAAAACCGAAAAAUUAUCAUCAUGAUCGAAUCCUCUAGGUCCUUUGAGUUAGUUUAUGUUCAUGUCAGGGAGCUUUUACUAACUAGUCAUGGAGUUUACGACCUUAGAACGACUGAAAGGACUUGAUUUUGAUCAUACACCCGUCACUUUUGGCUAAGGCAAAAGCCUACACGCCACCUGCAAGCUUCACAGCUUCCCACAUGCCAAUUCUGCGAAAAACAGCAAUUUGUCCCUUCUGGACAGUCAACUUCGUUUGAGCUUUGUGAACAGCUCCGGACGAACCAGACAGUGAGCUUUAUAUCAUUGGAAAGCUCUACGAGUCUAGUUUUUAGAACUUUUCGCGGUUUGUCCAUAUCUAUUUUAAUGAAGAAGUUAUGGUUGUUUUAGUGCGCAAAGGUCAUUCUGCGCGAAAAUUUUUAUGCACUCUCGGGAUUGCAGCUUUUCGUAGCUUCUUUCAAUCCUUCUAAAGUACAAGUGGAACUAUUAACUAGCCUAUCUACUCCUUCUUGUAGAUAUGUCUCAUUGAGACAUUGAGUGCUUCGCAGAUAGUGGAACUAUCCAUAACAUUCUAAGGAACCGGCAACUAUCUUUGGAUUUUGUGCCUUUGUAAAUCUUCUGUGACUACAAUGAUUGAAUCAUACCGGUCAUUCAAGGACGCGGUUUAGCUUAAAUCUUGAUGCCUCAUGGCACCAUGAUCAAUGUCACAGAUACCCUCUACGCAUUGAGAGGCAAUCGAACCAUAUUGAGCUUUAAAAACAUUCCUGCUAAUAGUUUUCAUUUGAAAACACAUUGUGAGAAUGAACAAGAAUUCUUUUAUGUAUACCUUCUCAUGAAUGCGGACUAAAGCGCAUCUUAGAGAAAUUCAUGAGUCAAUCUAGUGGAUUGUAUGUCACUACGAUUCGAAUAUCGAAUCCCAUGUUGUCGCCAAACAUGAUAUUUGGGACACCAACUCAUAUAGGCUUUGGUUUGACCAAAUUGGUCAACCUGGAAGAGAUACAAUGGUCCAAAUUUUGAGAAAUUCUCAUGGACAUCCAUUCUUCCGCUCAAAACGAAGACAUUCGAGAUCUAGCAUGGGGGACAUUGACGUCACCCGAACACGACUCCAACUUCUUAGAGGUCGUCCGGUCAAUUCCUCAAGCAAUUGAGGUGCACCGGCCUUCCCUUGAUGUCGCAUUGGCCCCCUGCAAUGCUCAUUGCUUGUUUUGAAAGCCUAUUCUUUAGCUAAAUUAGGAGUGAGACCCUCCUACGCUAAAUAACACAAAAGUGAACAUUCUAUUCUUACAUCAAACUAUGUAGAUAGAUACAACCAACUUGCGGACACAUUUUUAUGCUUUAUGGUUUGGUUGAAAUGUUAACACACUGGUCACGUGUUUCAUUAUUAUCUACUGCUUAUGCUGCUUAUACUUCUACGGGCUCACUAUCCAUUCUUUAAAGAAGUUUAUCGGGAUGUAAAUUGAAGUGUCCUAUACCCCAUGUUCACACGCAAUACGGUCUCACCGAGGCUACGACCAAGCAAUUUUAGCUUGUCGCUCGAAUAUUAUUGAUGCGCACCAAUCUUUCUAUUGCGUCUUGGGGCUAUGCAAUAUUUGCAUGCAGCUUUACUAUUCAUCUACGACCCACCAUCAUUGAAUAUUGUUGUACUACAGCUCGUGACUGUGUACUAGGAUUGACACGAAAUUGCAAUCCUUGAGCUCGACAGGAUUGAAACGGAUCUCCAAUCCUUGAGCUUAGCUAGAUGUUUAUUCUAGGUGCCAAAUUGCACUGCCACUGCGCACAAUGAUGGGUCAUUUGAGAUGAAUAAAUAUUUAGGUUGGAUGUGAAUCUCCACCUAUAAUCCGCAUAUGUAGAAACCUUGCCAAGCAAUAUCUUUCACCGCUAUAUUGCGGAUGGUCACUUUGAUGAGACAAUAUUCCCGCCGUUAGGGGGAGAUAAGAACACAAGUGUUCAAGUGGAACGACGUGAAUUGUCGUGGUUUGUCCCCACUAAGUCUCAUCUUGAUCCCAAACGCUUAAAAUGUUAAAGUGACGAGAUCACAUGCUGCAAAUAUGUUUGCAAGGAUUGAUGUCCCAUCAAGAGGACAUGGCGUGACCAAAAUGUGUUGGUCUUGACGCCAUCACCAUGGAUGGUGAUAUAGUGACGCCUUAUAGUGGCAAAAUUGGUGUCACAAGGCCGUGUGGCUCCCCAAAAGGAGGGAGACCCUUAGGUUCGAUACUUUCUCGCACUAGGAAGAAAACAAGCUUGGCACAACCUGAUCCAUUGAUCAGUGAUACUCAAACCGUCUCAUGAAGUCUGAAUUGUGAUUAUCGUUAGGGGACGCCUCAAUGUCAAAUCCAAUCCAUAUAGAGAUCUCUACAAGUAUUACACUAGUGUACAUGAGGACGUGGGAUAAUGAGUCUACUAUCGAACCACCUUUCGUAGAUGGAUAUUAACUUAGUUGAUUGGCCUAACGGAAAGAUGCGAUCUAGCAUUAACAAAGGGAUAGGUCCUUGGGUAGGUGAUGCCGACACCGCAAGCUAAACCUUAUCAACUAUACAUUUGUUAGAUAGCGUAGGGAGAACAAGAGUUUAGACUCACCUUAUGGCGUAAGGUCUCUCACUAUCACGCACUGGGAUCGACUACGAUGAGAUAUGCUCUCGUAAUGGAUGUCAUUGAACUCCACUACUUUGUCAGUUUGGUAGUUUCCGAAUAACUGAACAUGCAGCCUAUGAAUGUGGUCAUAAUAACAUCUCUAUGGGAUCAGAGAUAUAUAUGAAGCUCUUAAACGGACUUCAUUCAUCCGAAUCAAGUGGCUCCAAACCACAUGAGCAUGCGUUUGCUAAAUGUAUUGAAACGCACAUGGACUCUACUUGAUUUGGAAGGGAUAUGGUGAAUUAUGCCUUUGCGUGUUCAUUCCGGAUUUACAUGGAUUCUUGAUGGAUCAAGAGAUGCCAAUAUGUAUCAACAUCCGAAGAAAAAGAUCUUGGGAAGACACGGUCUCGAUAAGGGACUCGAUGACUGUAUUGAUAAUGAUUUUCCAUCAAUCGGCUUAGGCGCUCUAUAACUAGUGAGGCCUACAUAUACUCCCAUGAUUAGUUAAGGUCUUUGCUCUAAAGAGAGAUCCGUUGUUUUGUCUAAAGCAAGAUGACAAAUAUGUGUUAAGAGAUGGAGUUCCCAUGUAAGUACAAUAAUACGCAUCAAUGUACUCAACACAAUACAAAAGACUUGACAUCUCAUUUGCUACGAAAAGUUGUAAAGCUAAGUGUAGUUAUGCGCCCACGCAAUGUUAAUGUAAUGGCAGUAACUUCUUUUUUAAUACUUAAUGGUAUGAAAGGUUGAGGCUUAUUCUAUCCCUACAUAAGAAAGACACAUCAAUAGCGAAAUCAGAAUCUGCCAAGUUUCGUAGGUCAAGCUCCACGAGACCUACAGGAAACCUCACUCACUGGAAAAUGGUGAACUUGGUACUAUUGGAAAGAUCUAUGUGUCUACUUUCCAGGACAACAACCAUUUGAUCAUACCUAUCAUAUUGAGUGAGUUAUGGCCGUUUUCGUAUAGUAGGAUGAAUCUGUCCGAGAAUCUAAUUUUUGCAAAACAGUCAACUUCGACGGGACUUUGUGAAUAGAUCCUGACGAACCAGAACGUAUGUAAUAUACGGUUGGAAAGCUAAAUAAGUCUAGUUUCCAAAACCGUUUACGGUUCGUUCAUAUGUAUUUCCUAGAGGAAGUUACCACUGUUCUAGUAACUGAAGGUCAUGCUGCGCGGAAAUCUGAUUUCCUGCACGAACUUAUGUUUUUAGUUCACAAGCGGCCUUCUCCUCAAGAUCUAAGUGUAAAAGAUCAUUUUAGGACAAUACGACAUGAUUUAGUUAAUAAUUUCCUAAUGCCAUAUUUGAAGACAUGUUAAAAAGCAUUGACAUGCUAAGUUGUUGAAACUUCCGUGAUUAGUAAGAAUCAGGAAGAGCCCUAUGAUCGAUGUAAAGAUCAGGGGGAGGUGCGAACUUCGGGGGGAGUCUAGCACAUACAUACAUGUCACUAUCAAAUGUGAAGGAUGCGUUGUACUCUUUUUCUCCUACGAUCAAGGUUUAGUUUUUCUCCCACAGAGUUUUUGUGACUUGACUAGGUUUUUGACGAGGCAACAGAUCAGCACCAUCGGCAUAUCAGCGCGCGGCACAAGGGGGAGUGUUCUAAGAUAUUCUGUAUCUUUCUAGAUAUUCUUUAUGUGUGUCUUGGCCUUAUGCCAAUAAGAUAUGUAGUUAGACUAGAUCUAUGUAUUUAUAUCCUUACCAUAUUGAUAUUGUGUAAUUCCUUAUAUAAAGGACUCAUAUCAAUGAAAUAGAUGAUGAUUCUCUAGCUAUCUCUCUGUCUCUACACUUUAUACUUCAUCAUGGAGGUCUAAUAUUUUGAAUAUAUUAGUUUAUUGUUAAGGAGUAUUUUGGCAUGUAAUUCAAUUUUUAAUGUAAACCUUUAUUUUGUUAUAAUAUUUCAUUAAUGUUUCAUAUAAAAAUUUAUGAUAAAAUUAAGAUAUUAUUAUUUAAAAUUUGAAAAUAUUUAUUAUUAUAAAUGGAUCGGAUUAACGGGUCGGGUAUCCGUUAACCCGCCAGAUCCGGAUUUGGAUCUAGCUAUCAAAGAUCUGGCGGGUAACGGGUUGGAUCUGGAUCCAAAAUUUCUAUUAAGGAUCUGGAUCUGGAUCUAGGUCGAUCCGCUCCAGAUCCGGUCCAUUUACAGGUCUAAUUGUAUUGUAGCUUAGUAUUUAGAUUUUUUUUUUUAUCAUAUAUUACAACUUCGUAAGUCGAACUCACAACCUCUUAUUUACUAAUAAGAGAUUAUGCCGCUAGACCAAAUGAUACUAGACUAGUAUUUAGGGUUUUAGAUUUAAUAAGAAAUGUUGCAUUUAUGCAUAUUUAAAUAUUUUGGAUACUCAUAGAUCUUAAAACCUAAAUUUCUAAGGAUUUUUAGAACCAAAUGAUUAACUAGUAUGGAUUCUCAUAAAUUCGAUAAACAUUUUAUGAAUUCAUCAAAUAUAAAUAUGUAACUUAAGUAGAUAAAAAAGUUUAACAUGAAAACUUCUCAAAUUAAGCUUUGUAUUACAUAUUAUGGAGAAGGAAUAAAGGAUUCUUGUUGAUAUGAGAUCAUUUUAAAAAGCCCUCGGACCUUUUUAUUUUUUUAUUUUUAUAAUUAAAGACAAUUUUAUCAUUCAUAAUCAAGUAGAGGUUACAAAGUGAUUCGAUCCGCCGUUUUGUGUUCAGAGGGUGAAUAUAUCAUUGAAGUCACUCAUGGGUAGUACCCUAGCCAUGAGGCACAAAAAGUGUUGAGGUUCCUAAAAACAAGAAAUUAUGGUAAAUAGAUAUUACAAGGUUAAAAGGCAUUAAAAAACCCUAGCCCAAGUUAAUAAGCCCAAAAGCAGUCUCAUGGGAAAAGGCCCAACUCAGGCCCAUCAAGAAAGGAUUGGUCCGGCCCAGAUCACCAUCUCCACCACGCCUCAGCCGCAUGUGUUGUGCCAGCGUAGUGUUGCUGCCCACGACACAUCUCUAUCCACAUCUCGCAAUCGUGCCUGCAAACUACUUCCUUAUCAAGAACCAAUGCUGCUAGAGUCUCACAAGCCACCGUCACUAUAGCCUCCUGCCUUAAGUCCAACAGCGCCCGCCAUCGAUUCAAAGACCCCGGACGCUCAAAACGGUGGCACCAUAGCACAGAAGCACAAUCUCGACACCUAGAGAUAACACCGCGGAUCAAGAGAAGGUUUGGGGUUUAUGGCUUCUCUCACGGCGCUAGUGAAAAGCUCAUAGGCUUGUGUGAAAACACGGUAAAAAAUCAUGAUUAUUUUGUAAUGUUGUAUGUGACAACCAACCUACUAAUAAAAUAUUCUUGUUGAUCAUUUUGGAAAGCUCAAAGAUAUAUAUAUAUAUAUAUAUAUAUAUAUAUAUAUUUUGGACUAAAGACAGUUUUAUCAUUCAUAAUUCAUAAUCAAGUAUUUCCUUUCUUCCAUUUUCGAGCCAACUCUUAUCGCUCUCAGAUCUAAUCUCAUCAUGAUUCUCAGACGUUUGUUUUCCUUUGCUCCUCAAGAUCUUCAAACCACAAACACAACUCUUCUUCUCUUCUGUCUUGUCAUGCCAUUGAAGGAUUUGUACCCAUUUGCAACCACCUCUUUAGAAUUCAGUUUUCUUUGCUGAGAUCUUCUUUGGUUUGGUUGUAGUUACUCUUCUAUGCGAGAUUGUCUCGUAAUUGGUCAUUUGGAGAAUGCAUGGCGGCUUCGGCUGUAUCCUCACCUUUGCAGACCACUCUUGGUUCUCUCAUGCUCGCAUCUUCCGGCGAAGCUUUGGUGGUGACAGAUCUUCCAUGGCGACAUCAAGACAGAUGUGAAGAAAAAGUUUUGAUUAGGGUUUGUACCUUUUGGGCUGCUUAAGCCUUUAUGUUUGUUGUUUGUUUUAUUUAGUUGUUUUACUCUUGUCUUGAUUCCCUAAGAAUCUGACUUUGAAAAACUUGUUCUGGGUCUGCCAUGGCUUUGUUUGGGCCUCUAUUUGUCUUGUGGCUUUUAUGAUAACUUGUUUCACGAUCGACCAAAAAAAAAAAAAACGCCUGUCGCUCUGGUUUUCUUUCUGUAGUUGAAAUGAUUUAAUACACUGGGAAGGACCCAGGCCCAUGGUGUACGUUGCUUUCAUUUAUAGAUACAACCAAGUCCCCAACACCCCCAUACCUUUGUAACUAACUAAUGCAUGCUCCCCACGAACGUACCCUUCGAUGUAAUGCAACCUUCACAUCUCUGAGGUGAACUACAAAUUAAGCUAAUAGAUUACAUAUAACUAGGUAGUAGGAAAAUGUUGCAGCCAUAUAUAUGUACUUGGAUUGUUGGAAAGUGUAUUUUGCCGUUUAAUUACAAUUGAUCCGUUAGGAUAUUAGAAUAGAUGUGCUAGAUAUUGUAUCAUAUUGUAAUAGAUAUACUAGGGAUUACUAGCUGUAGUUACCCUAUUAGUUUCUUAUCUUGUUGGAGACUAAUCUUGCUGUACAAGGCUACGAUGUAUAUAUUGUUGCAUAUCAAUGUAAAGUUAUUCAUUCUGCCAUAUUAUACUUUUCUAUAUGGAUAUGUUUUUUUCAUUUUCUUUAGUCAAUAGUAGCAAGUGUUGCUGAAGAAAAUGUUCUAUAUUGAAGAAGAUGAAUCUGUCAUUCCAAUUAAACAUCAGGCAGAUUGAAAGGAACUGUGUCGACGACAUCAGGCUAUCUGUCAUUCCCAUAUUUUGACAACCUUUCUUUGCGUCUGGAUAUCUUCCUUCUUCAGGUCUACGAUAGAGUUAACUUAAUUAUAACUUGGUCGAUACGUAAUGUUGAUUUUAUUCAAGAACUGUUGUUUGUGAUUUGAGAGAGCACAUAAAGAAAAUAAUCGAGAGAAUCGAAAUAACUGUAUUUCAUUCAUGAAUAAACGAUACAAAACAUAGAGAGCUAGAUUAUAUUUUCCAAAUGAACAAUGUUCAUUACAUAAAUUUGAAACAUAAACAAGCAAAUCCAGCAAAUGCCAUUGACCUAAUUGCUACAGAGCUGGGAAGCUUCCCCUUGUCCUUCCUUAGGUAUAGCGCUUCGUAUAACGGUUGGUUAAUGACAAUCAAAACCACACAUAGAAGAAUCUGCAAGAACAUUGCCUCAUAAACUUCUGCAAUGCCCUUUGUUCCAGUGAUUGCUUCCUUCACAAACCAGGCAAAGCAGUAUAAAUUGAGCAAUGCAAGUGUUGCCAGCACGACGAACAUUGGAGACGAGCUCCCGAAUUCCAUGAUCUCUUUCUCAUAUCGUUCGGACACAUCUUCAUCGGACACCUUCGCUGUUAUUACAAAUCCUGAAUCAGUGUAUCCAAGGUUGUGUACAAUGGUGUCGAUGAAGGCAAAGAGGUAGGAGGUUGUUCUCUGGUAAAGCCAUAUACGUUGUUCGUUCCACCAACCUAAGCUCGUUCCUCCACACCACCGAUACUCCACGAAGCUCCCAAUGUUCUUAGCAAUUAUAACAUACGCAUAUGGUAUGAUCCAUCGGCUUGAAAUCUAAUCCCACAAGACAAAACUUGUAAUCAGAAACAUGCAUGCAUGUAAAUUGUGACAAAUUAUAAUGAGAACUAUAUAUACCUGAGGAAACAAGGAUGUGCCUCUAAGGAGGCAAAGUGAAGGGAGAAUCGAGUAGAUUAGUGUUGCCCAACAAUUAGCUGCCCAUAGGUUGUAGCGAAGGUAUCCAAGUUGAUGGCCUAAACUAAUCUUUCCGUGGCCAUACCAUAAGACAUUGAACUUAGAGAGAGUAAUCUGAAGGUUCCCCUCAGACCAUCUCUUAUGCAUCACAAGUGCAUGAAGCAAUGUGGUUGGAGCUAAUCCUAAGAAAGCUUUUCUUGUUGGAUUGCAAUGCACUGAUUUCCAUCCUCGGCAUUGGAUCGAUAACCCCGUUAUCACAUCUUCGACGGGACUCCCAUAUUUCAGACCCAUCUGCAGAACAUUAAGAUUUCUUUGCUCAAUUUUGAGUACUGCUACAUUUUGAAAUAUGUGUGUGGUGCGUUAAUAGAGAGUGGGAUACCUCUUUUCCCCCAUAGAGUGCUCUCUUCAAAUGUACAACUUGCAAGACUCUUUGAUGUUUCUUAUAAUUCAUGAAUGGCGAUUUCUUCUCUUCUUUCUUUAUCCCAUUUCCUCAUUUCACUCUUACAUCCCUUGAUACAUUUCUUCCCACAAAGAGUUUCUCUUCUGUGAAAGCAGCCACUUCCAAUAUAAAACAUCCCCCAAUAAUUAUCCAGACCAUGGCCUUCCACCUUCAUGCAGUAUAUACCAAAACAAUAAGAAGUCCAAUAAAUGAUAUGAUAUGAAACAGUUAAUCGAAAAUUUUGCUUAUAAUAUCUCCAUGAUCAUAUAUAUAACUCACCUCAGUAAGAACUCGUAAUGAAGCGUAUAAUUCAUUCUUAGUAAGGUUGUCGAAAUUCUGCGGGAACUGUACGUAUGCAAUCUCAUGGCCUUGUUCUUCAUCCAUCAAGAAGCAAAGUGCGUCCCUUAUGGCCAUGGAGUUGUUCGAAUACAUGUCACAGUCUACAUUAAGAAGUAACUUCCCAUUGCUAAUGCUCGAUGAUACCCUAAUCUGCAUAAUGACUUGUCAUCUGUAUAUGUACAAAUUUGUGAUCGUUUAUUUGUAUGAUUGCAGUUGAAUUCCUCACCAGUGCAUUCAUAGCGCCAGCUUUGAAGUUAUGGUGAAAUUGGGGUCUCUUCUCGCGAGCUAAAUACACCAAAGUUGGCAACACACGCCCUUCGACAUCUCUUGCAUUUGGGUCUCUCCCAUCAAUUACUAUCUGCGAGAAAAGUUCAAUAUAUGAACUAAUUUAAAUAGGGAAGUGAAAUCCAUACUCUCUAAAUUGUAAUCCACACUCCCACCUUUCAUUUUUUAUAACUUAAAUUUUGUCUUUAAUGACUUAAUUUUUGUCUUUUUAUGAAAAUGAUGACUAAAAAUAAAAAGUGGGAGUAUGGAUUACAAUCUGUUGAGUGUGGAUUUUACAUCCCUCUAAACAUCUAGCACUAAAGUGAGUUAUUUAAUUAGUUAAUACUUGAUAUAAAUUAAAAUAUCAAAUUCUCAUACGUACUUGAAGAAUUGUGUCAUGGUCACGUUUUGAUGAAUAUGAGUCCCACUGAGAAAAACCAUUACGUUUUGAUCUUACUUCUUCCGGAAUCCGGCCUAGCUUCACUGCAUUUUCAAUUUUUGUUGCCAUGUCCUCGUAUAGUUUCUUGCAUCAAUAUUAUUUGGUUGUACAUGAGAGCUUAAGUAUGUAGUAAGACAUUGUAAGACCAAAAGAAGAAGAAGAAAAAAAGUAGUUACAAAUGCAACACAAAAUAAAACAAGAUAUAACGGAGUAAGAAAUGUUUCUUGUUCUUUUGGUGUUACACUGCUUAAUCCAAUUUUGCAGUGUUUUGAACGUACUUCUUCUGAAACGCGGCCUAGCUUUAGUGUGUUUUUGUCUUUUUUGAUUCUAUUCUCCAUGUUCUCGUAUAAUUCCUACAACAAUAAUUUGAUGACAAGAGAAGCUCAAUUUGUAAAUAUGAAUAGGGGUUCUCAAAAACAAUUUUCUAUAAAAACAAAAAAGAAAAAGAAAAAAGGAAGCUCAUCAAUUAUUCCACGACCAAAUAAUUAACAGUACCAUGCAUGCAUGAGAGAAUCGAAAAAAAUGUGUGAGAACUGAGAAAUGGAGAUAAGCAAUAAUUAGCAGGUAACUCUAAGCUAGUUGAUUCAAAAGAAAUAACCAUGCAUGCUUCUCCAUUUUACCACUCUGAUUAUGAUUAAUUACUAUUCCACAAAGACAUCCAUAUUAUAUUUAUAAACGUCAUAGUCAUAUGUUAGUUACUAUAUUUUGAUCAUGACCAAAUUGGAUCCGACCAACUUAUCUCAUUCUUCAUUUGCAUGAAUAAAAUAUGAUAAAGAAAGUAUAACCUCGAUGAAGCCAAAUCACCAGCCUGAUUCUGAUUUUGACCACCAACUGCAUCAGAAGCUGUUGAGACGAAAUAAGCAGCCGGCGACCUUGGUUCCACACUGUACUCCUUGCAAUAGGGUAUCCAGUGCUUAGCAAACUCAGCUGCUUCCAGUAGAGCAUAGUACGUUAGCUCUGAGCCGCCAUCAUCGGAGAGAUACACGCUGAGCUUCUCUGGUGGGUAGUCGUAAGCCAUGACGGACAAGACAGUGUUCAUCACCAUCAUCAGCGGCUCUAUGAUCGGAUCAGCUGUGCACACGAAUAUGUCCACCCCCGGCAACUCUUUCUCAUAUCUUAAUUUUCCAAUUUAAUUUACACACCCUCAUAAGAAAACCACCUUAAUUAUUACUUUGUAAACUCUGUGAAUCUUGGAAUUAAGUGCAUACCUUUGAGAAAGCCUGUCCUUGAAGGUGUGCCUGUAGACGAGGCUCCACCGAGCGGCCUGAGUGACGAACCAGUAAAAACUGAACCAUAACUCGGCAGCGAACAAGCACAUCCAGCCAUAUCUUCCAUCUUCUUCAGCUUUUGGUAUGUGAGUUGCUCUAUAUACCCAUAUCAAACAUAUACCAACAAAAACAGACACUGCAAAUAGUGAAUUCUGGACUCUUUAGAGUUGGUCUACUCGUAGUGUGAGACAAUGAUUCGAAAAUCUGGUAGACCAUGUUUAUAAAACAGGUAGGUUUGUGUUCGUAAACAGGUAGACCAUUUUGUCUUACAAAAAAAGUAGACCCUUUCUCGUAAAUAAGCUGACCAGGCUUCGUAAACAGGUAGACCUCUCAAGAAUUCUUCAAGUGUGUGUGAAUUCUGGACACUUUAGUGUUGGUCUACACGUAGUAUGAGUCAAUGAUUCGGAAACCUGGUACACCAUGUUUACAAAACAUGUAGGUUAGUGUUCGUAAACAGGUAGACCAUUUUGUCUCACAAAAAAAGUAGACCCGUACUCGUAAAUAAGCAGACCAAGCUUCGUAAACAGGUAGACCUCUCAAGAAUUUUUCAAGUGUGUGUGAAUUCUGGACUCUUUAGAGUUGGUCUACUCGUAGUUUGAGACAAUGAUUCGAAUAGCUUGUACACCAUUUUCGCAAAACACGUAGGUUAGUCUUUGUAAACAAGUAGACCAUUUUGAUCUCGUUCUCUUUUAAUCCUGACCAUUGAUUCCUUCUUUGAAAACCCAACCAAGGUCAAAUGACCCAAGUCGGGUCAAGCACUCCUCUCUCGCGUACAACGAGAGCUGAGAAGCUCUCCGUCCUCGGCCGUCUUCUCCGAUGCUGCCCGGCCGACUCUGGCCACCAUUCUCCACAAAACCACCACCAAAUUUCUUCUCUCUUUCCCCUCUACAUAACCCAGCAUGUGAAUCGCACAUACUGAUUCAAAGACAAAUCUACGGCGAGAAGCUUCGACUGUGUCGUCUGUUUCCGUCGUCUCCGGCGACGACUUGGCCUCGAACUGGCAUAUUCGAACUUUUCCCUUCAUUCUCUGCACCCUAGUGCCCGGCCUUAAUCCCUCGAAUCUUUUACAAAUCUUAAUAACCCCUUUACUGUUGGUUUUGAGUUUUCCGGCGAGCUGCUGCGGUGAUGCCGACGAGGCUUUCUGGCGUUCUCUACUUCUUCUGAUGACCUAGGUCGACUUCAGAGGUGUUAAGCAGUGGUAAGUGACUUCGUAGCUACUGAGCAGGGUUGCUGUGUUUUCCGGUGUGUUUUUGAGAGAGAGAGAGAGAGAGAGAGAGAGAGAGAGAGAGAGAGAGAGAGAGAGAGAGAGAGAGAGAGAGAGAGAGAGAGAGAGAGAGAGAGAGAGAGAGAGAGAGAGAGAGAGAGAGAGACGAGAGAGUAGAAGAGAGAGAGAGAGAGAGAGACGAGAGAGAGAGAGAGAGAAGAGAGAGAGAGAGAGAGAGAGAGAGAGAGAGAGAGAGAGAGNGUAAAAAUAANAGAUACUAAAAUAAAAAAAACUUAACAGAGUUAGUGAGUUAGUUAACGGAGUUAGUGAGUCAGCUAACAGAGUUAAUGCCACCUAGACGAGGUAUGCAUACCCCAAGGCGUGCAAGGGGAUCCUUGACCUAUUGCUGAAUAAAAGAUUUCUUUUUUGGUCAGAAAAUAAAAGAUCAUUUACAAGCAGAUGAAACUGUCAUUCCAAUACAAGUUAGCUAAAACUGAGUAUGAUCUUAUCUUACAUUGCGCAUAACUAGUUGAGAAUCGUUCAAUGACAAGUUCGGAUAUUUUACUUUGUAGUCUGAAUUAUUCCCUCAUCUUUGUUAUAUAAAUUUGAAACAUAAACAAGCAAAUCCAGCAAAUGUCAUUGACUUCAAUGCUACAGAGCUCGGCAGCUUGCCCUUGUCCUUCCUUAGGUAUAGGGCUUCUGAUAGUCGCAUAUUUGUGCGACUUUUAUCAUGCUAAUUAUUCUUAUUACUUAGUUAUUUUGUGAUGUUUUCCUAUUUUUAAUUAACUUUAUUUGUUUUUAGGUGUUUUAAAGUCAAACAAAGAAAAGGAGCUAAUUGGGCUUAAUUAGGAUCCCUAAUCCUAGUUGGACUGGUGAUGGACGUGACAAAUAGGUUCACUAACCUAUUUAUACAAGGGAGCAGCCAAACAAGAAAGGGGGGAACAGAACAGAGAGAAAGAGAAAAAAAACAGAAGAGAGAAAGGAGGGGCCGAACAAGAGGGAGAAGAAAAAGACAAGGGAGAAAGAAAAAGAAAAGAAAGAGAAGAGAGGAAGGAGAGAAAAGAAUACGAUNNNNNNNNNNNNNNNNNNNNNNNNNNGGCUACCGACAUUGACCUUAGAUUCUUUGUUGCUACUCAAACGUUCUUAGAUCUUUAUGAUUUCAGUUAUUUUGGUCUAGAUACCGACAUUUCAUAGAUCAAUUAAUCGGGAAUAUAGUUAAGUCGAUACCGACAUUUCACUUAACAUGGCAAGUAAGAGAACGUAAUACGGUUAAUGACCUAACGACAUUGGCUUAACUGUGAGUGCAUUCAUCUUUAGUCAUUGACAUUGUUUUGGGGUGAUUGAAGCGUAUCUAGUGGUGGAGAGAAGUUCCUAGCUAUUGUUUCUCUCAUAUUUACAUCCAUAUUCACUUUUUAAUAUUCUGUUUUCAGCAGUACUUCUGUUUUAUCUAUUUUUGUUCACCAAUCAACCCAACUCCGAAUACCCUCAAAAUUUGUGUGGUAGUCCGCCACUGUGUCUAGUUACUGUGUAUUUAAUUUCAUAAUUUUUGGUUGAGUCUAGAUUAGCUAAUUAAUUAGGUUUCUGCUCCUAGGUCGAGUCUGCCAGAUUUCUGGUUUACGCGUCUGUUUGUGUUUCUUGUGUGUUUAAGUCUUAGUAUCACCAAUCCUCUGCGGGUAAUGACCCCUAUUUGCUGUUUACUACAUUGAUAUAAUUGAUUUGAUAAUAGGGUAUCUUUGUAGGUGCUUUUGCGCCUAUCAGCUUCGUAUAACGGUAGGUUAAUGGCAAUGAAAACCACACAUAGGAGAAUCUGCAAGCACAUUGUCUCAUAAACGUCUGCAAAACCAUUCAUUCCAGUAAUUGCUGCCUUCACAACCCAAGCAAAGCAGUACAGAUUGAGCAAUGCAAGUGUUGCCAGCACUGUAAACAUCGGAGACGAGCUCCCAAAUUCCAUGAUCUCUUUCUCAUAUCGUUCGGACACGUCUUCAUCGGCAACCUUGGCUGUUAUUACAAAUGCUGAAUUUCUGUAUCCGAGGUAGUGUACAAUAGUGUCGAUGAAGGCAAAUAGGUAUGACGAUGUUCUCUGGUAAAGCCAUAUACGUUGGUCGUUCCACCAACCUAAGCUAGUGCCUCCACACCACCGAUACUCCACGAAGCUCCCAAUGUGCUUAGCAAUUAUCACAUAUGCAAAUGGUAUGAUCCAUCUGCUGGAAAUCUAAUCCGACAAGAAAAAAAAAUCCAUAUUAAGAAAGAAAAAAAAUCCAUAUUAAGAAAGAAAAGCCGUACGUUAAAGAUAACGCAUGCAUGAAAAGUUACUAGUAACAUGUAAUUUUGUGAGAUGGACUAUACCUGGGGAAAUAAGGACGUGCCUCUAAGAAGGUAAAGUGAAGGAAGGGUGGCGUAUAUUAGUGUUGCCCAGCAAUUAGCAGCCCAUAAAUUGAAGCGAAGGUAUCCCAGUUUAUGGCCUAAACUAAGCUUUCUAUGGCCACACCAUACAACAUUGUCCUUAGAAAGCGUAAUCUGAAGGUUGCCUUCCGCCCAUCUCUUAUACAUCACAAGUGCCUGAAGCAAGGUGGUAGGAGCUAAUCCUAAGAAAGCUUUCCUUGUUGGAUUGUAAUUCACUGAUUUCCAUCCUCGGCAUUGGAUUGAUAGUCCUGUUAUCACAUCCUCAACUGUACACCCAUAUUUCAAACCCAUCUGCAGAUUAUAGAGAUUUUGUCUCAACUUAAAAUGAGUAUAUAUUCCUAAAUAUACAUUAAAUUUUAAAUGGGAAUUUUCUUGGAAUGUAAAAACAUAUGAUUUAUAAGUGAAUAUGAACACACACACAUAUAUAUAUAUAUAUAUAUACACACACACGAAAACGAUAGAGAGAGCACGUCCGCAAUCUCCUUAAAGUGCGCACGUCCCUCCGUUUGCCACCGGACGGCGCCGACGACGGCGCACCUCCACCCCAGCGGACUCCAGCAGCGUCCCCAACCAUUUUUUCUCCCCGGCGAGUCCACCGAAUUCCAGUUUCCGGCGAGAUCAACUUUAUUUGAAGUUUUGGGUGAUCUCGCCGGAAAACUGGAAUUCAGCGGACUCACCGGGGAGGGAAAGUGAUCAGGAACGCUGUUGGAGUCCGCUGGGGUGGAGGCACACCAUCGUCGGCGCCGGGCAGUGGCGAACGGAGGGACGUGCGCUCUUUAAGGACAGUGCGGACGUGCGCUCCACAUCCGGCCUGUAUAUAUGUGUGUGUGUGUACACGUUUGAUUGAUAGAGAGAAUACCUCUUUUCCCCAUUGUGUGUUCUCCUCAAAUGUACAACUCGCAAGUCUCUUUGAACUUUGUUCUAAUUCAUGAAUGCCAAUGUACUCUCUUUUGUUAUCCUCCCAUUUCAUCUCACUCUUAUUCACCUUGCUGAAUUUCUUCCCAGAAAGAGUGUCUCUUCUGUGGAAGCAUCCGGUUCCAAUAUAUGGCAUCCCCCAAUAAGUAUCCAGACCAUGAAAUUCCACCUUCAUGUAAAUGCCAAAACACAUAUAAUCGCAAAAUUUUGAUUCUAAUAUUUCCAUCAGCCUAUAAUAACAUUGUCUACUCAGUGGUACUCACCUCGGUAAUUACUCGCAAUGAAGCGUAUAAUUCAUUCUUAGUAAGGUUAUCGAAAUUCUGGGGGAACUGUACGUAAGCAAUCUCAUGGCCUUGUUCUUCAUCCAUCAAGAAGCAGAGUGCAUCCCUUAUGGCCUUGGAGUUGUUUGAAUACAUGUCACAGUCUACAUUAAGAAGUAACUUCCCAUUGCUAAUAUUUGACGAUACCCUAAUCUGUGAAUGCAAAGGAUCGCAUCUGUUAUCUAAACCCUACAGGUACACACACACACACACAUAUAUAUAUCCUGUAAAUUUAGUAUGUUGUUUACCAGAGCAUUCAUAGCACCAGCUUUGAAGUUAUGGUGAAUCUGGGGUCUCUUCUCCCGAGCCAAAUACACCAAAGUUGGCAACACACACCCUUCAACAUCUCUUGCAUUUGGGUCUCUCCCGUCAAUUACUAUCUGGGAGAAAAGUUCAUGGACUAAUUUAAACAUCUUGGUACUAAUUAAACACCCAGUCAUAUAUAUGAUCAGUUAACAUUAAAGAAUUCAAAUGGAAUGUCAUACUUGAAGAAUGGUGUCAUGGUCACGUUUUGAAGAGUAUGAGUCCCACUGAGAAAAACCUUUAUGUUUUGAUCUUACUUCUUCCGGAAUCCGACCUAGCUUCACUGCAUUUUCAACUUUCGUUGCCAUGCCCUCGUAUAGUUUCUGCAUCAAUAUUAUUUGGUGACAUGAGAGUUUAUGUAUUAAGCAUUAAUGUAAAACCAAAAGAAGAAGAAAAAGAAGUAGUUACAAAUGCAACACAAAAUAAAAAUCAAGAUAUAAUGGAGUAAGAAAUAUUUCUUGUUCUUUUUGUUGUUGCACUGCUUAAUCCAAUUUUGCCAUGAUGUACACCCAAAAUUUUCCCACCGGUAAUUUAUAACCGAGGCUUACUGUUUCCAUUUCACACCGAUCAUUAACAGUCCCUAUUCUUACCUACGAAUGUGGUCGAGACAUGCCUCACUUGAUCGAUGACCAUAUAUUUCUUUCAAAAUUUCUUAAUCAAUGGUGAACAAAAAGAAGAAAUCAACCGGGACCUGACAAUACAUCGCUACUACUCUUAUGUCCAAGUCUCCAAGACACUUUAAUUGACUCCAUCCAUCAUCAUAUGGAUCCAGAUGAUUCUACUUGGAGCAUUCUACUUGUCGUCUAAAUUGGACAACCUAUGCCAUUUAUGCUCUCCACAAAAAAUCUCUGCUGCAGGGACCUAAUGGAAAUGUGUACGCCCUGGUUGACCCAAUAUUAAUUAUCGUUUUAAUCUUAAUCAUGCAUAAUUAAUUAUCAGAGUCAUUAUCUCUUCGACGUGUAAAUAUACGAUACCAUAUGGAGGGUUACAAUCUAUGACUUAACUACAUAUACACGACGGUCUCAUUAUAUAAUUCUAGGAUUGACGGUCUCAUUAUAUAAUUCUAGGAUUGGGAUUACAUCGUGUACAUGCACAGCACAGCGUGUGAAUAUAAGAAUUUCUAAUUAAUCAUUAACCAAACACUUUUGCAUGACUUUUCUUAUUUCUUCACACUUUGAUUAUGGAAGACUUUAUGAUAUGGAUAAAAUCAUAAAAUAAUAAUUACCUUAAUGAGCGCUAAAUCAGCAGCCUUUUUCUGAUUCUGGCUUUCAUCAUCAACUGCAUCAGAAUCUAUCGAGACAAAAUAAGCAAAUGGUGAUCUCGGCUCCAUACUGUACUCCUUGCAAUAGGGUAUCCAAUACUUGGCAAACUCAGCAGCUUCCAGAAAAGCAUAGUACGUAAAUUCUGAGCCUCCAUCGUCAGAGAGAUACACGCUGAGCUUCUCCGGCGGAUAGUCAUAAGACAUGACCGAUAGAACAGUGUUCAUCACCAUCAUCGGCGGCUCUAUGAUCGGAUCCGCGGUGCACACGAAUAUGUCCACCCCCGGCAACUCAUUCUCAUAUCUGUUAAGUAAUUUCACGUGAGUUAAAAUACAUGCGAAGUUCACAAUGAAGAUCAUCAUCACGAAAGAAGUAAACUUAGAGCUAAAGCUAAUACGAAAACAAUAUAGCAUGUUAUGUUGUUAAUCUAUCGAUAUGGAUGUUUUUUUCGAUGUAUGUACCUUUCGGAGAGUCUGUCCUUGAAGGUAUGCCUGUAGGUGCGGCUCCAACGAAGCGCUUGAGUGAUGAACCAGUAAAAACUGAACCAUAACUCAGCGGCGAACAACAACAUCCAGCCAAAUCUUCCAUCUUCUCCAGCUUUUGGUAUGUGAGUCACUCUAUAAACCCAAAUCAAACAUAUACCAACAGAUACUGACACUGCAGAAAACCUAUAGAAUACUUUUCCCUUUGCCUUCGUUGUCUCAAACAGUGGUGAAUGUCUUUCCUCUCCCAUUUUUGAGCUAACUAUGAUUGCUCAAUUGCUUUCUUUCUCUAGUUGGAAUGAUUUAAUAUAGUGGGAAGGACCCUGGACCAUGGUGCAUGCAUGUUGCUUAAUUUCAUUUAUAGAUCAUACCAACUCCCCCAUCCCUUUGCAACUAAUGCAUGCGCCCCACGAACGUAGCUUUGAUGUAAUGCAACCCUUCACGUACGUACAGGUGGUGGUCCUUGACCUAUUGCUGAAGAAAACAGUGUAUAGAAGAAGAUGAAUAUCUGUCAUUCCAAUGAAACAUCAGGCUGUUUAGAUCGAAAGGAUUGGUGUCGACUAUAUUAAUUCCCAAAUUUUGACAACCUUUCUUUGCUUUUGGAUAUUUUCCUUUCGCAUGCUUGAGUAUAUUGUUUGAAAGACGAUAGAGUUGGGACUGUUUGGUGUUAGAGAUUUACUUAUACUUGGACGAGAUGUAAUGUUGAUUUUAUUCUUUUGUGAUGUGAGACUGGUGAGAGAGCACACACUUAUGCUAAAAACAUUAUUAGACGACGACGAUGCAUAACUGUUCUUCUGACUGAAAAGCAUAUCUCGUUUGAUGGACGGUGCCGUGUGAUUGAGAUAACUGUAUUUCAUUCAUGAAUAAAGGAUACAAAACAUAGAGAGCAAGCUAGAUUAUAUUUUCCAAAUGUUCAUUACAUAAAUUUGAAACAUAAACAAGCAAAUCCAGCAAAUGCCAUGGACCUAAUUGCUACAGAGCUCGGCAGCUUCCCCUUGUCCUUCCUUAGGUAUAGCGCUUCGUAUAACGGUUGGUUAAUGACAAUCAAAACCACACAUAGAAGAAUCUGCAAGAACAUUGCCUCAUAAACUUCUGCAAUGCCCUUUGUUCCAGUGAUUGCUUCCUUCACAAACCAGGCAAAGCAGUAUAAAUUGAGCAAUGCAACGGUCGCUAGCACAACGAACAUUGGAGACGAGCUCCCGAAUUUGCCAGUAUAAAUCUGCAAGCACAUUGUCUCAUAAACUAAAAAUUUUUAGAGCUAAAAGUUUCCUCCUAAUGAUUUACAUACAAAUUAUUUAUAAUUCAUUAAAAAAAAUAUUAUAUAACAUCCAUGAAUCUAAUGUUACUUUCAUUUUAAAUAUAUUAUUUUACUUAAUUAAAUAUUUCGAACAAUCAAACUAAAAUAGUUUUGUUUUAACUAAAAUGGUAUACGAUUUUUAAUAUGUGAUAUGUUGAACUGAUUUGACAUGUCAAAUAUAUGAUUGAGGCCCAAAAUCUCGCUCGGGCCCUUGUACUAUACGUCCCUGCAUGGAGAUGCAAAACCCAGAAUGUUGGAGCCCUCCUCUACUACAUACAGCGCUAGUCAUACCCCUCUCAAAAAGCGUCUCACUAUAUUGGGUCUCCCCCAAAACCCUAACACUAAUCUCAACUCCGCCGCCUUCCCUAUCACGAAUGUCGAGCGAUAAGCUGCCGCAAGGACGGCAUUUGAGUGGGGUCAGUGUGGUUUACGAUGUGGAUGUUAGGCGGCCCGGGGAGUUUCAGCCGCAGCUGGGAGUUAGGUCGACGAUUACGAACUAUGAUCCUCAGCCGGUGUUGGGCCGCCAAAUUGCGGUGAAUAAGUCGUAUAUAUGCUGUGGAUUGAAACAGGGGAAUAUUCGGGUUUUGAAUAACCACACCGGAUUGGAAUGUUUGCUUCGAGCUCAUACACAGGUAAAUUGAUUUUUCCUUGUAGUUAUUUGCUUUAUCUCGUCGAUGAUUGGUAUAUGUCGUUGGCCUAAUCGAUGUGUUGUUCUGUCAGAGGGUCACAGACAUGGCUUUCUUUGCCGAGGAUGUUCACCUUUUGGCUAGGUAGCUUUUUUGUCCAUGCUUAAUACUUUUCAUCGUCUGUUGGUUCUGCAUUAUCUGACAUAAUUUUCUGCAGUGUGAGUGUAGAAGGACGGCGUUUUGUGUGGAAAAUAUCUGAAGGUCUGGAUGAAGGAGGUACGCCACAAAUCAAAGGAAAGAUUGUUAUUGCCAUUCAAAUAGUUGAUGAGGGGGGAGCUGUUCAUCCAAGAGUUUGUUGGCACUGUUCUAAACAAGUAAAUGAUUCUGUUAAUGCUAUUUUCAAUAGAAGAAUUAUAACUUAAUGCUUUUGAUGUCUGUUGGUCUUGAAGUGGUUGAUUGAUUUAUCUUUUGUCUUAUAUACUCGCAGGAGGUUUUGUUUGUUGGGUUGGGAAGCGUGUUCUACGAAUUGAUACUACUAAAGUUGCAAAGUGUGGAGUCCCUUCUGCUGAGGAUCCUAUCAAAUGUCCUGUUGAAAAACUCAUUGAUGGGGUUCAAUUUGUUGGUGAACAUGAUGGAGAGGUGACAGAUUUAUCAAUGUGCCAAGGGAUGAUUACCACCCGGCUGGUUUCUGCUUCUAUGGAUGGAACUGUAAGCUUCUUCCCAUUUUGCUGGCUUUGUUUGGUAAACUGCAAUCUUCACCAUUUGCCUUUUCUACAUAUUUCCUUUGGUCAAGUAAGUAGUGAAGUGCGAUUUUCAUCAGAGUUGGGUGGGAACAUUUGGCCCCUGCUUGCCCUUUUACAUCUACAUGGAUAGUUUUUUCUCCUUUUCUUUCAGUGAAAUAGGGAUAAUCUUAUGGCUACAAAAAAAUCUGUGUUGGCUAAUCCGGCUUCUACUUUAUGCUUCAGGGAGUUUGGUAUGAAUUAGGAUAGAUUAUUUGGUCUAGUCCUUCAAAUCCCUUUUAAUGUGGUAAAAAGGACUAAGAGAUUUUAAGAGUGGAAGCUGUUUAACUUUGUAGUGAGUUUGUCAAUUUCUCUAACCUUAGUACAUAGUAUGAUCGAUACUAUUUAGGAAUGGUUCACGCAGUUUCAAAUUAAUUCAUUGGGCCUUCUUCAUCAUGAACAAUACAAAAAUUAUUUCUGAACAGGUUUAAGUAUGUUAUAUUCUCACACAUGCCAUAUAUGCAUGUAUAAUUAUUUCCUAAAUUGUUGAUUGAUAAAAGUUUUCUGAGUCGUAUACUUGGUUGAUACAGAUAAAGAUCUGGGAAGAUCGCAAGUCACAACCACUUCUAGUACUGAGACCCUAUGAUGGCCUUCCUGUUUAUUCGUCUAUAUUUAUGACAGCUCCCAACAAACCAGAUCACAUCAUACUUGUAACAGUGGUAAGUGAUCGUUGAUUUAUUUACAUAGUACCAAAAGGUGUUUUCUGUCCUAGUGUGCUGAAGUGUAAUUAUACAGGGCCCACUUAAUCGGGAAGUGAAGAUCUGGUCCUCAGCAACUGAAGUGCUUAGCAGUGAUGAUGAGUCAUGGAAAUGUACCCAGACCUUGUUAAAGAGCUCUGCUCAACCUCGAGUUGAGGAUGCGUUCUUUAAUCAAGUCAUAGCAUUGUCACAAGCUGGCCUUCUUUUACUUGCAAAUGCUAAGAAGAAUGCCAUAUAUGCCGUGCACAUAGACUUUAGUGGUGAGCCAGCAGCUACACACAUGGAUUACAUAGCAGAAUUUACUGUUACAAUGCCUAUUUUGAGCUUUACGGGGACAAGUAUAUCUCCUCAUGGUGAACAAAUCGUUCAGGUUUAUUGUGUCCAGACACAAGCCAUUCAACAGUAUGCUUUGGACUUAUCGAAGUGCUUACCUCCCCCGUUGGAAAAUACAGAUACAGUUGACAGCAACACUGAGUUGGAAUUCCAACGUCAAAUUGACGCCAUGCAGGAUGAGAUGAAUCAGGUGAGUGCUGAUUCAGAUUCAGACAUAUACCAACAGAUACAGAACACUGCAGAAAACCUAUAGAAGACUGUUCCCCAUUGUCUCAUAAAUUAAAAAAAUUUAGAGCUAAAAAUUUCCUCUAAAUGAUUUACAUAUAAAUUAUUUAUAAUUCGUUCAAAAAAAAAAUUAUAUAACAUCCAUGAAUCUAAUAUUACUUUCAUUUUAUACAUAUUUUACUUAAUUAAAUAGUUUUGUUUUAGUUAAAAUGAUAUACGAGUUUUAAUAUAUAAUGUGUUCAGAUGAUAUGACAUGCCAAAUAAGAUUAAGGCCCAAAAUCUCGCUUGGCCUUGUACCGUACGUCCCUGCAUGGAGAUGCAAAAACCCAGAAUGUUGGAGUUAGUGGACCAACAGUAUCUUCCUUCCUCCACUACAUUACAGCCGCGCUAGUCAUGCCCCUCUCAAAAAACGUCUCACUAUAUUGGGUCUCCCCCAAAACCCUAACACUAAUCUCAACUCCGCCGCCUUCUCUAUCACGAAUGUCGAGCGAUAAGCUGCCGCAAGGACGGCAUUUGAGUGGGGUCAGUGAGGUUUACGAUGUGGAUGUUAGGUUGUCCGGGAGCUUUCAGCCGCAGGAGCUGGAAGUUAAGACCAUUACGUUCUAUGAUUCGGAUCCUCAGCCGGUGUUGGGCCGCCAAAUUGCGGUGAAUAAGUCGUAUAUAUGCUAUGGAUUGAAGCUGGGGAUUAUUCGGGUUAUGAAUAAGAAUAACCAGUCCGGAUUGAAACUUCGAACUCUUACACAGGUAAAUUGAUUUUUCCUUAUAGUUACUGUGAGUUGGAUAUUUUCUUUAUCUCGUCGAUGAUUGUUAUAUGUUGUUGGCCUUUUCGAUGUGUUGUUCUGUCAGAGGGUCACAGACAUGGCUUUCUUUGCCGAGGAUGUUCACCUUUUGGCUAGGUAGCUUUUUUGUCCAUGCUUAUUACUUUUCAUCGUCUGGUUUGGUUCUGCAUUAUCUGACGUCAUAAUUUUCUGCAGUGUGAGUGUAGAAGGACGGCUUUUUGUGUGGAAAAUUUCUGAAGGUCUGGAUGAAGGAGGUACGCCACAAAUCACAGGAAAGAUUGUUAUUGCCAUUCAAAUAGUUGAUGAGGGGGAAGCUGUUCAUCCAAGAGUUUGUUGGCACUGUUCUAAACAAGUAAAUGCUUCUGUUAUUGCUAUUUUCAAUAGAAGAAUUACAACUUAAUGCUUUUGAUGUCUGUUGGUGAAGUGGUUGAUUGAUUUAUCUUUUGUCUUGUAUACUCGCAGGAGAUUUUGUUUGUUGGGGUGGGGAAGCGUGUUCUACGAAUUGAUACUACUAAAGUUGCAAAGUGUGGAGUCCCUUCUGCUGAGGAUCCUAUCAAAUGUCCUGUUGAAAAACUCAUUGAUGGGGUUCAAUUUGUUGGUGAACAUGAUGGAGAGGUGACAGAUUUAUCAAUGUGCCAAGGGAUGACUACCACCCGGCUGGUUUCUGCUUCUAUGGAUGGAACUGUAAGCUUCUUCCCAUUUUGCUGACUUUGUUUGGUAAACUGCAAUCUUCACCAUUUGCCUUUUCUACAUAUUUCCUUUGGUCAAGUAAGUAGUGAAACUUAACUGCGAUUUUCAUCAGAGUUGGGUGGGAACAUUUGGCCCCUGCUUGCCCUUUUACAUCUAUAUAGAUAGUUUUUUCUCCUCUUCUUUCAGUGAAAUAGUCUUAUGGCUACAAAAAAAAAUCUGUGUUGGCUAAUCCGGCUUCUAUUUUAUACUUCAGGGAGUUUGGUAUGAAUUAGGAUAAAUUAUUUGGUCUAGUUCUUCAAAUCCCUUUUAAUGUGGUACAGCACAUGAAAUGGCUAUGGCAGAUGAACUUUUACUUUUCUCAAUUAUAAGGAAAAAGUGAAGAAAAAGUACUGUAAAAGAUUUUAAGAGUGGAAGCUGUUUAACUUUGCAGGGAGUUUGUCAAUUUCUCUAUACUUAGUACAUAGUUUGACACUAUUUAGGAAUGGUUCACGCAAUUUCAAUUUCAUUCACUGGGCCUCCAUCAUGAACAAUACAAAAAUUUGUUCUGAACUGGUUUAAGUAGGUUAUCAACUAGUUUAUGAUUCUUACUUGACUGAAUUGUUUGUCAGUUGUAUGGAUCCAGUAUAGGUUUGAGUAAAAAAAAAAAAAACAUGUGGAAAUUUUAUUUUUUUUUAAAUCUUUUUUUUUNNNNNNNNNNNNNNNNNNNNUUUUCUUUUUUUUUUUUUGGUGUGCCAAUCGACACCCUCAUAAUUUGGGUUUCUGAAAUCGUUUCCUGCCGCAUACUGCAUUGGUGGGUAAGUUAUACAUCAUUUAUGGAACAACUAGGGUUCAUGUAUAUUUAUUUAUUUUGAAAUUGUAAUUUUAUCUUUGUUUAGAGUUGGUCAUGGGUUCUAAUACAUGAGCAUGUUCUGGCAAAUAUAUACAGACACCCUCACACAUUCCAUAUAGGCAUGUAUAAUUAUUUCCUAAAUUGUUGAUUGAUAAAAGUUUUCUGAGUCGUAUACUUGGUUGAUACAGAUAAAGAUCUGGGAUGAUCGCAAGACACAACCACUUAUAGUACUGAGACCCUAUGGUGGCCUUCCUGUUUAUUCGUCUAUAUUUAUGACAGCUCCCAACAAACCAGAUCACAUCAUACUUGUAACAGUGGUAAGUGAUCGUUGAUUUAUUUACAUAGUACCAAAAGGUGUUGUCUGUCCUAGUGUGCUGAAGUGUAAUUAUACAGGGCCCACUUAAUCGGGAAGUGAAGAUCUGGUCCUCAGCAACUGAAGUGCUUACCAGUGAUGAUGAAUCAUGGAAAUGUACCCAGACCUUAGAGUUAAAGAGCUCUGCUCAACCUCGAGUUGAGGAUGCAUUCUUUAAUCAAGUCAUAGCAUUGUCACAAGCUGGCCUUCUUUUACUUGCAAAUGCUAAGAAGGAGGCCAUAUAUGCCGUGCACAUAGACUUUGGUGGUGAGCCAGCAGCUACACACAUGGAUUACAUAGUAGAAUUUACUGUUGCAAUGCCUGUUUUGAGCUUUACGGGGACAAGUAUAUCUCCUCAUGGUGAACAAAUCGUUCAGGUUUAUGGUAUCUUUACGGGGACAAGUAUAUCUCCUCAUGGUGAACAAAUCGUUCAGGUUUAUUGUGUCCAGACACGAGCCAUUCAACAGUAUGAUUUGGACAUAUCGAAGUGUUUACCUCCCCCGCUGGUGAUGUCAACUAAUUCAGCAUCGAGACCUGGGAAACUGCCUGGUAUAAGAAGCCUGACAGAUGGCACCCAUAGUGGUGACCAACAAGUUAAUGAGUACUCGAUUGACAACAACACUGGGGGGGAUGCAAAUUUCCAUGAAGUGGUUGAUAACAGUGAUGAGGGUAAUCCUGAGUUAAAAGUCAACACUGCAGUUCUUCAAAUUAAGGCCAUGCGGGAUGAGAUGGAUCAGGUGAGUGCUGAAGAAUUUGGAAUUUCAAUUAUCUUGCACCUGUGUUUGGCACACUAACUAUUUUCAGCUUAACUCAGUGAAGCAGACCUAGUAUCUUCUCUAAAAUUAUGCUACUGCCGUUUAAGUCGAUCUUCAAGUUAUUUAUUAUUUGGUGAACUGGUAUAUCAAUAUGAUCUUUCUUGUCCCAUUUCGCCUGCCUAUAUCAUGGGAUGAGCAAAAGGUUCUAUGUUUGGAUGUUUUAUGGUUGUGUUUUGUGUAAUCAAACCUUUUUUCUUGUCCAUUAUUUUUUCUGUUAACUAUGGCUUUUCAUCAUAUGCGCAGCUGGAGAUUAAGCAAAAAGACUUGCAAAAAGAAUUGCAAGAGCAUAUGACAAUGAGGAAGAAGGCCAUAAAAGACAAUGCUGAUGCUCUGCAGUUGGCUUUAUCCAAUUGCUUUCAGAAAUUGGAGAAAUCAGUCCUUGAAGCUACUGUACACAGGCAAAUCCAGUUGGAUUUUGAAAAUCCGGGUAACCAAUCUCUUCGGGUAUGUUUAAGGCUCCUAGUAAUUUUUUUGCAUUUGUGAUUUAAAUAUCAACAGGCGAUUGAUUUGGUUUAGUGAACCUUUCAACUAGUUAUAUGUGUGACCUUUUCAUAUAGGAUGCUCUCAAGUCUAGCAUAGAAGCUUCAAUGGUACCUGCUAUUGAAAAGUCAUGUGAUGCCAUGUAUCAGAAAGUAAUUGCUAAAUUACAGACUGCCGAGCAGCAGCAUUUUGAGUCUGUGCAUUCACCUUUGGCCAAUUCUAUAAGGGUGUGUAUGCUUAUACUCAGUCCUUUUUCUCUUUUAAUAGUUUAAUUAUUGACAAAAUCUUCUUCGCUUAUGCUUUCACUGGUUGUUAUCUUUCUUGGAAUGGGAAAAUUUCUAGCUUUGCUUUCUAUUGUGUGCUCUAGGUUCACUAUGGUGUACGGUUCUAUCUGCAAGUAGGUGUGACAUUCCAUUGUGUUGUAUUUUACAGGACAUUAUUAAGUCCGUAUCAUCAACUACUCAAUUCCUAAGCACAGAACUGGCUGGUGGCCACCGCUAUUUAUUGGAUCUCGUAGUUGGAGGGGGAAAUUUAAGUGCGGUAAAUCCCCUAGGCAGUCAAGUAACCGGUGGUUUCCACGAGAAGGUUUGCUCUAUCUUAGGUUUGUUCAUCUGAUGACUCCUUAUUUGGCUGUGUUGAUCUCAAGAAGCAUUUGGUAUAUGCAUGAUAGGUUGAGGUUUCAUUGGAUCCAAGAGAGGAGCUGCGAAGGUUGGUGCUUGAAAGCAAGUAUGAGGUCGCUUUCAGGAGUGCUCUACAAAGAAAUGAUAUUGGCAUUGUAUAUUGGUUAUGUCAUGAGGUAUGAUUUGAUGAUCUUUUGGUGGUUAUUAUCUAAAGUGGUGAUGGAUUGUCAGUUUGAUAAUUGUUUUCAACAUUUUCCAGGUUAAUCUUCAUGGCAUACUGCAACAUUCUCUUCUGAGCCAAGAAAUACUUUUUCCACUCUUCCAACAGCUGGCCUAUGGUUUCAACAUUGAUCCAAUCGUUGAUGCAUGGAUGAGAGAUGUGGCAAUCGCCAUGAACCAGACUUUUGCUAUUCAUGGAAAAGAGAGAGUUCUUCAAGUACUGCAUGAGCUAUGUCACUUGCCUGCGGUCUCCAACGUCGAUCGAGGUAGGAUUACUGAUCUCAUGGAUUUCAUAGACAACAUCUGAAGUCUAUUGCUCGUUGUGCAGCAUCUUUGUCACGCUUUGAGUCAGAAUAUGGCACAAACCAUCCUGUGUUAAGCACUAUAUAUCCCUAUCAAACCCUUCUGUUUUGCCUGUUCAACAAUGUCUGAUUAAGUCUUUGAUUAAACAGUGCACAUAGUAGUGAGUAGUGAUGACAUGAAAAUCUUUUAGCAUAGGGAUGUAGUCAUGUUUAUGGAUCACCUCAAAUUUCUCUUUGUACACUUUCAUGGCGGCGGCGUGAGCUAGAAGUAGGUGAUGUGUCACUAAAUAUGGCUCUCUCCCUGAAUCGCCACCGGUGCAUUUAGGGUUUUGCCAAGCAGAACAUCUGCCCCGGUCGCAUAACCACUGACGCUGUAGGUAAGUGGCUCAUUUAGUGUAGUCCAGUGCUUGACUUUAUCACCAAAUUCUUUGUAGCAGAGCUCUGCAAAGUCUUGGAAAUGAUUCCUGCACAUUCCAUAUAUAAGAACAAUGAUCAGAAUGAAAUGCUAGUUAUGACCAAAAACUACUAAUGAAUGAACAUCCAGCAUCCUGAUCUUUUGCAAAGCUUGUCCAAUUUUUCGCGACCAUUUUUAAAUACGUAAAUGUUUUUCUUUCCAACUAACGCUAGGUAACUGACAUUUCUGGGUACAGGCUGUAUCACAAAGUAUGUUGAUGUGCUACAUCAUUUGCCGCUUAAGGUGGAAUCUGAAAUAGUUGUUCACUUUACAUUAUUCUUUCCCCGGUCACUUUUGUGGUAUCUGUUUUUACUUUGGGGAACUAGACGUACACAAUUUGAGGGCUUAGGAAGCCACCGAAUUCCUCUCUAAAGCUUGUAGCGUAUCCCAAUGGAAGAGUGUGACGAAGGGCUUUAGACCUGCAUUCAAUUUUUUUGCGAAUGAGGAAAAGAACGGAGGAUAUGUGCAAGUUAUCAUUCUAUAUAUGGAUAAGCUCAUGAGAUCUACCAUUGGCUUGAAGCUCGUUGAGGAGAUUCUUAUAAUAUGUGAUCCCUUCCUGGUUAGCACCACCACUUAGCUUUCCCUCUGAUCAAUAUAUAUAAUUAUCAUGAUCCAAAUUAGUUACUUCAGUCGAAGAAUAUAGAAAAGAGUGGUGUGUCCGUUGUAAUCAAUCAAUUUGAUGAUCUUACUUGGUAACAACUUAGACCAUAAGAUUGAGAAUGUAAGCAUCCCAGCCCAUAUCCUUAAGCAUCUUCACAUCUUCCUAUAUGGAGAAUUAUGAAAAAAGAAUAAUCAUUUGAUCUUAUAUAUAAUAAGCAUGUAAGAAAACCUUGUUGAUGUUCCUUUAAUGUACUCGAUAACGUACCUUGUACCGAUGACAUUGAUCAGUUGCCACAUCUCCACUGCUAUGGUCCUUCAUCUUCUCUGAUAUAUUUCACCCCGAACCAAAACAAAGAAGAAAUUUUAGAAAGCAGAAGAGAAUAUAGUUUCUCCUCAUAUCAGUCAUGAAUCUAUUUAUCGAUCUAUCGGAGUAUCGGACACCAAGCGCAAGUAACAUUUGAGUUUCUAUGCAAGUAUUUUGGAGUAAGAGAUCACCUGGAUACUUGUGAGCAAAGGCGUCCCAUACACAUGGUCCUGUACCACCUUGUCUUGGUUUGCAGCCCCCUCGAACUAAAAAUAGAACACAAUUAUAUCAAAUUCAGCCAUGUAUGAUUGACCAUCGAUCUCCUGCAGGUGUACUACGCACAUUAAUUCAGAGAAAUCAGAACCUAAAGGAUACCUGGUAUGCCGCGGAAGCUGUCUCGAACACGAAACCUGCCGGAAAAUUGCUCCGGCUGAAGGAAGUAUAAUUACGUGACUUCUUUUGGGGUGAAGCUUUCCGGCUACUAUGUCCAUUUAUCCCUGUACUGCUAAGAACAAGUAGGAGGCCAAAGAGAACGCCUAACCGGAGAGCCAUAGUUAUUUGGGAUAGAGCAAUUUGAAAUCCAUCUAUGUCAACUUCGGGAAUUAAUAUACGUAGUCCUCCUUCUUGUUCAACAGAAGCGGUCAAUGCUCAAGGAUUUAGUUGCGAAAUCGAUGAAACGGGUGGAUGGUAGUUUGAACGUCCAAUGAAGUGUCACUAAUUCCUCGAUUUGAUUUGUUGCACUUGAACCGAUUAUAUAUUACUAACUGUCACGUUCGUUAGUGAUCAAAAAAAUCAAACUACGGUAAAAACCAAGCAACUACAGUAAAAAGAUCAAACCCAGCGUCCCUCCAUCCUCCCUGCUCCAAAACAUUGCUCCCCCGAAACCCAGCCUCUGAGCCAUAAGCUACAUGAGGCCUCAUGGUGCUGCGUUGCUAAAUGUUCAUUAUUUGAUUAGAUCUCAAAGGUUCCCCAAGUUCCCUUGCUCCCAAGAUUUAUACUCCUAGUCUCUCCCCCAAGAACAUCAGCCAAAGUCUCUGAUGUCCCCUCCGCAGCUGCCCCUCGUCAUCAUGGCACCUAGGGGGAAAGUCGUGGUCCGCGGCCGACGAAGAGGCUCGAAUCAUCGGUCACGGUUUCCAGACCCGUACCUAAAUAGAGUUUUAAGAGUCGAUAGAUUAGGGUCCGGAGCCUUAAAGGGCCCAAAAUUUUCUUUUUUCUUUCUGUGAUCAUAUUAGUUUAGUUAAAAACAACAAAAAAUAAUUAAAAGCAUCCAAUUAGGGUGGUGUUAAAUUACAAAAGCAAAAAAUGAAUAUAAAAAUAAAAUCUUACCCUUAUAUUACUAUUAUUAGUUGCUAUUUUAGAAAAAAUGAGCAGUCUAAGUAAGAGAUUUGUUGUAUUAAUAUGAUUUUUAAUAUAAAUAGAAUUUCUAUUGUUUUUUUAGGUUAGAUUUUGAGUUUAUAGUUUUAGUCUGUGAAAGUUUUUGUGUGUUUCUUAAAAAGAGAAAAUAAAAUUGAAUGAAUACUAUAUUUUGAGGGCCAAAAUUUGAAAGUUCGACUCAGGUCUAAAAAUCUCAGGUCUGGGCCUAACGUUUUCAGGUCGACGAGUCGUCGAUCUAGGUUGAAGAAUGAAGAGGCUCAUUAUGAACAGAUCUGAUCAUGGAUAAACUGAACGGUCCAGAUCACCCAUGUGAUUUUCUAGUUUUCUUAAAUUAUUUUAAUAUCUAAAAAUUACUAAAAAUAGUUUCGUAUAUCCGAAGGGUGCUUCUAAAUGUAUCCGGCAAAUUACUAAUUAUACCAACACUUCAAUUUUUGUCACACAUUUUCCUAAAUUGCCCCUUUAUCUAUUUACACUCAGCAAAUCUUCAAAACAUCAUACCCAACACCUCUCUCUGUCUCUCUCUCUCUUCUAUUACCAGAAUUUUGUUUCAUGAACAAUACAAUGAUUUGGAGGUAAAGCAAACACAAUUUAUUAAGGAAUAAUUGAUUUGAGGCAUAAAUUCACAAAGAGAAGAAGAGGAAGAAAUAGUGUGGGAGAUGCAAGAGUGCUUGAAUUUCUCAAUCCAGCAUCGACCACAAUUCUAUUUCUAAAGCUUUACAAAUCUGGGUCAAGAGCCUUAAUCAUGAAUUCAGUUUCUCCUUAAUUACAUUCUCUAUCGAAGUUUUUCGUUGUGAUCUCAUAUUCGGAUGUUCCUAUGCGGUGAUGGUAAUUAUAAUCUUUUGUGAAAACAAGAUUUUCAAAUGCUUUGUUGAGGAUUAUUUCAUAUAUNNNNNNNNNNNNNNNNNNNNUGAGAUUGAUAUCUUCUGAUACUUUGUCAAGCAAGAGCUAACGUUUCUUGGUUGGAUUAUUGUAAUUGCCUCUAGAAUUCUAAUGGAAAGGACCCAGUUAAUCCAAUGUAUUUAACCGAGCCCUAAACCCAUUAAUUGAAGUGAGAAUGAGACCACAAAGUAAAAAUGGUUCUUGAAACAACCUCAAGUGCUGGGUAAUGGAAGAGAGAGAAAGAGAGCAACGUUGAUAACCGAAGAGCAGAAAGAGAGAGUUGCUGCUGGGCGUGUAAAUAAGGGCAAAUUUAGAAUUAAAUGACAACUUUUUAGUUGCUCGGUAUAUUUAGGUAUUUGUUGGGUAUAUUUAGCAACACUCUAUCCGAAAAUUCUACGGAAACACCCAUGAACUCGUGAUAUUGUGUACUUCACAACCGAAUGCUUAAAUCUUGUGAAAAACUCUAGUGUGUUAUCGUUAGUCUAGAGCGCUUGUUUAGCUACUGUCAUUGUAAAUUCUUGAACUUUCCAGAACUCACAUACUAAUUUAUCUCUAUCCCUGACUUCAUGGUCAAGCAACUAAAAAAAAAGGUUAACAAAAAAGCGAUGUAAAAACAAUGAUGGAUUGGGUCUCUUUCUUAAUAGUGUACUUAUUAUUGAUUGAGCAACGUAUUAUUCAUGGGUCUUAUGCAAUUAACGACAGCAACGUAUAUGUCUUUCCUUUUAUUUCAUUAGGAUCAAAAUGAUUUCUUGUUGCCCUUAAUAAUAUGGUCUAAUUCUAUUUAAAAAAUAAUAAUAUGGUCUAAUUUCCUUCCGACAAAUUUUACCGCAUCUAAGGACAAUUUAUUUAUAAUUAAGGAUUAAAUUCAGUUUGCCCCUUCAUACUUUAGGUCAAUAAUCAGUUUGGUCACAUAUCUUUUUUUUUAAUAACGUUGGUCCUUGAAGUUCUAUUUCAUAUCAGUUUGGUCCAAUUUUUAAAUUACCCCCUUACUAUGACGUCAUGCGCUGAGUUGUCCGCGACACAAGGACCCACAAGACUAUAAAAAUAGCUUAUAAAAAUAUUUUCAGAGCCAAAAAAAUUACAACCCUCGGUAAAAGUCCAACCCUUCAACUCUUACGAGCCGUUUGGUACGCUAGACAAGAUUAGAACAGGAUUUGAAAUUGGAUUAACUAGAUUAGAUUAGAUUAGGAUACUAACCAAUCUUGCAUUUGUGUAGCUAGACUGGGAAUUGGAUAAGAUUUUAGAAAAAGAAGAAAAAAGUCAGAGACUCGUCGAUGAAACUAAUACGAAGAACACCUCCACCGAUGUCUCCUCCGGCGACAUGAGAUUUCGGCGACGCGAAGGAAACAGUGAGAGUGAGAUUGAAAUAAAACUUCAGCUACUCGCCAGAAAGGCUGAAGACGACGACAAUUUUGUAAUCAAUCUCAGAUCUGAUCCUUCACUUUGUUGACUCCAGACCAAAAUCAAUCUCGGAUUAGGAUCAUGAUUAUACAGUCAUUCACGGCAGCCCUCAAGGACGUGGUGGCUGCGGCGACCAGGGAGGUCUUGUAACGACGGCAAUCAGGAAGGACGAUGUUAUGAAUUAGAGGGUCUUCUUUGAUCAAGCUAGGCAUGUGUGAGAGUUAGAAAAGCCACGUGAAUAACAUGUGCUGCUGUGAGAUAUUUUGCAAUUAGGGUUUUGUGCCAAGUUAGAUGUUUGACGUGUGGCAAGAUCUGAAUGCUCCAUUGCCGCAGUAAAUGAAUGAAUAUUUUGCAUCUAUUUUGAAUUCUAUUUCUUUUUCUGUUCUUAGUUUUAGCAAGGGUUCCAGAUCCCUAUUAUCUGGUAUCAGAGCCUCUCGGUUCUGAGGGCGCUAUGGUAAACAAGAAGAACACUGGGGGGGGGGUCAUCAUCCUCAAGGUUCUGGUGAGCUGCAGACUACUUUCAAUGUGUACCAGGAGUCCUUCAACUCAUUUCGGAAGGAAAUGAUGGAGGAAUUUCGAGCCAUUAAGUUAUCCUCAGCUGCUGCUGCUGAUAAGCUCGACUCAUCACUUCUCAAGUUUGGUUCCUUACCUCCAUCUACAGGAACACCACUUCUAGCAGCACAGUUGCAAUUGGGAGCUUCAACAAGAGCUACCACCACCACAACUGCUGUUGUUGAGGGCGGUAGUCAUUCUAAGCCAAACUCCUAAGAUCCUUUGUUUUUAGACUCUUCUAAUUCUGAUAUACAUGAGUCUAGUGAUGACUGUGAGGUGUUACUUGAGUUUUAUACUAGUAAGCCUAUUAUCACAAAUUCUGCUGGGAUUGUGAUGAACCCUCUUAAUGUGAGCAAGGUGAGUACUAGUGGAAGGAAGUUUGAGAAGGGAGAGUCCAGUGGAAAGGAUAAGGCUGGUCUUGGAGACACUCACAAACGUCCUCCACCAAAAACUCAGUUUUUUCAACACAGCAAUUUUGGUACCCAGCCCUUUAACCAUUCUUAUGGUUCCUAUAACACAAACUCACAACAAGUUUAUACAGGUGUUGGUCAAGGUUUUCCAACAUCCCAUUCUGUUGCUCAGAACUUUACAGGCCAAAAUUUUGCUUCGCCAAACUAUAGUCUCAUGCCAAACUUUACUCAAUACAACCCAUACACCACAAAUUUUGCACCCAACUAUGGCCCCAACCCUUUUGCAAUGCAACAUAGUGGGUACCAUAGCCAAAAUUUUGUCCAAAUGUCUAACCCUCAAUAUACAGUGGCCACUACCCCCACACCCUUACAGCAAUACCCCUAUACUAUAGGACCAUGCACAGCUCAACAACAACCACCCAGUAGUAACAGUUUUGAUCCUAACUUGCCUACUAUGAGACAAAUGAAGUUGGAGUUGCCUAAUUUCAGUGGGGGAGAUCCGGUGGAAUGGCUGAGCAAGGUGGAGCAGUACUUUGAGUUCUACCAAAUUCCAGAGGAAAGGAAGUUGCCCAUUGCUACUAUGUACCUCACAGAGAGAGCUGCAGACAGAUGGUUCAUGUUUAGACAUGAGUUCUCUCAAACUUGGGAAGGGUUACAAGAUUUGUUGAUGAGAGAAUUCAGUGGCCAUAAUGGGAUUGAUUAUCAUGCUGCAUUGGCGAGAAUGUCACAUAAUGGCUCAGUGGAGCAAUUCAUGGAUCAGUUUACUAAGCUUUCAAGGAGAGCUCCUGGCUUUACACCGCAACUCCUCUUGUCUUGUUUCUUAGGGGGACUGAAGAGUAACAUAAGAGCAGAUGUCAAGGCACUUAGACCAAAAAGUUUGUAUGAAGCAUGUGAGCUUGCUAAGAUUUUCGAAGAAAGAGAGCUGCAAAAUAGGGGGCAGUUGAGGAAUGUUUAUCCUCCUAGGCCUGCCACUACCCAAAAUGCAGUCCCAAGAAUCAAUGUUAACCAACCAGUACGAGCUCCACAACCAGUGGGUCUUGCAAGACCACAAGCCGCUCCUGCAGUUGGGAAUAAUGCUGGAGGCAACAGACGAUUGACUCAGGCCGAAUACCAAGAAAGGAGGGCAAGGAACCAAUGUUUCUUCUGUGAUGAACUCUUCAGACCUGGUCACAACUGCCGGAGAGGCCAACCUUUGAUGGUGAUUGAGGUAAUGCAGGAGGAAAUUGAUCUACAUGAACCAAACAACAAUGGGGAGGUAGAACAUGGGCACCCUGUAGUUGAGGAAGACGUGGACACAGGACUUGAGGUCCAUCUGAAUUCGAUGGGAGAUGACUCCAACAGCAACACCAUGCAAUUAAAGGGUUUCUGCAGCAAGAAGAAGAUCCAUGUUUUGGUGGACUUAGGGGCCUCCCACAAUUUUGUGCACCCGACAUUAUUAAAAAAUGUGAAGGCAGAAGUACAGGAGAUUAGGACAAUCAGAGUCAAACUAGCUGGUGGAGAAAUCAUGACAACUAACAAAAUGGCAAGAUUAGAGGUAAAUCUGCAAGGUUACCUUUUUCUUGCUAACUAUUAUGUGUUGCCUAUUUCGGGGUGUGAAAUUAUUUUGGGGCUAGUUGGUUGAAAACCUUGGGAGAUAUCAUUUGGAAUUUUGAGAGCAUGCAAAUGAAGUUUUUUGUUGGGAGUCAAUGGUAUAUGUUGCAAGGGGAGACAGAAGCUACAACAGCAGUGGUAAGUUGCAAGAAAAUGACCAGGCUGCUCAGAAAGGAAAGGGAAGCAAUUGUGGUACAAAUUAACAAUGCAUUCCAAACCCCUUCUAGUCCAGUAGUCCCAACACCUAUCCAGAAUCUCAAGUCUCAGUAUGCUGAGCUUUUUGAAACCCCUAACAAGUUACCACCUUCCAGGAAGCAUGAUCACAAAAUAGAGCUUCUACCUAACACCCCAGCAGUAAAUGUGAGGCCUUAUAGGUAUCCUCAUUUUCAGAAAGGGGAGAUUGAGAAAAUUAUCCAAGAAUUGCUGGACAGUGGAGUCAUUAGGCCAAGUGUGAGCCCUUUCUCUUCCCCUGUGAUAUUGGUUAAGAAGAAGGAUGGAAGCUGGAGACUAUGUGUGGACUACCGCAGCCUAAAUGCUGUAACUGUGAAGGAUAGGUACCCCAUUCCAAUGGUUGAUGAGUUAAUUGAUGAAGUUCAUGGGGCCACCAUUUUUUCUAAGUUAGAUCUCAGGUCUGGAUACCACCAAAUAAGGGUGAGAGAAGAAGACGUAGAAAAAACUGCUUUUAGAACUCAUUCUGGGCACUAUGAGUUCUUAGUUAUGCCUUUUGGGUUAACUAAUGCUCCUUCCACCUUUCAAUCAAUGAUGAAUGAGGUUCUCAGAGAACUUUUGAGGAAGUGUGUACUUGUUUUCUUUGAUGACAUCUUAAUCUUCAGUCCUUCAAUGGAAGAACAUUUGAAACAUUUGGAAAUGGUGUUUAAGAAAUUGUUACAGCACUCUCUGAAGGUAAAGGAGAGUAAGUGUUCUUUUGGGGUGCAACAAGUGGAAUACCUAGGGCAUAUUGUAAGUGGAGCAGGAGUGGCAGUUGAUCCGGCCAAAAUUGCAUGUAUUCAGCAAUGGUCUCAACCAAGGAAUAUUAAAGAGCUAAGAGGCUUCUUAGGGUUAGCAGGGUACUACAGAAAGUUUGUGAGGGGAUUUGGGAUCAUCGCAAAACCGUUAACAGAAAUGCUCACGAAGAAUGCUUUUCAUUGGAAUGAGAAAGGGGUACAAGCUUUUGCUGAUCUGAAGAAGGCUCUAGUAACAGCUCCAGUUCUGGCAAUACCUGACUUUACUAAGGAGUUUGUAAUUGAAUGUGAUGCAUCUGAUCAGGGCAUAGGAGCUGUUUUGUCACAAGAGGGCCACCCAAUUGCAUUCAUGAGUAAAGCUCUAGCUCAAAGGCACCUUGCACUCUCUGUCUAUGAUAAAGAGAUGCUAGCAGUAGUAGCUGCAGUUCAGCAUUGGAGACCUUACAUCCUGGGCCGCCAUUUCAAAAUUUACACUGAUCACAAAACUAUAGAGCACUUUCUCAACCAGAGGAUUACAACACCAUCUCAACAGAAAUGGUUGCUUAAGCUGAUGGGAUAUGACUAUAGUAUUCAUUACAAGGCAGGCAAGAACAAUGCAGUCCCGGAUGCACUUUCGAGAUAUUCGAACUUAGCUGCCAUGACUGGAGUGUCACAACCUGUGCAUACUUUUGUGAGGGAAAUACAAGAAGCUUGCACAAGAGAUACAGAAGCUAAGGAGAUUGUUGCAAAGCUGAAGGUGGAUCCUAAUAGCCAAUCCCACUAUUCCCUUGUCAAUGAACAUCUGCUGUAUAGAAACAAAAUUUAUGUGCCGGAGAUAGAUGAUUGGAGAAAAAGGAUCAUAGCCGAGUUUCAUGAAGGGGUGAGUGGAGGACAUGCUGGUAGGCUGAGAUCUUAUAAGAGAGUUGGAAGAAAUUUUACAUGGCCUAAGAUGCAAUCGGAUGUCAAGAAAUUUGUGGCAGAAUGUGAAGUGUGUCAAAGGAAUCACUAUGAAACAAUACUUCCACCGGGACUUUUACAACCUCUUUCUAUACCUGAGAGAGCUUGGAGUGAGAUUUCUAUGGACUUCAUUGAUGGACUGCCAAAAUCAGAAGGUAAAACUACUGUUUGGGUAAUUGUUGAUAAACUCACGAAGUAUGCCCAUUUCAUACCUUUGGCACACCCAUAUACUGCUGCAACCUUGGCGCAGAUUUUUGUAAAAGAGAUUUUCAAAUUGCAUGGGAUGCCUGAUAACAUCAUAUCAGAUAGAGAUCCCAUUUUUAUGAGUCUUUUCUGGGAGGCAUUUUUUGCGCUGCAAGGAACUAAGCUCAGUAAGUCUUCAGCCUACCACCCCCAGUCGGAUGGGCAAACAGAAAACCUGAAUAGAACCCUUGAGCAGUAUUUGAGAUGUGUAGUGGGAGAAAAACCACAAGAUUGGGUGAAGUGUUUGGCUUGGGCUGAGUGGUGGUACAACUCUGCGUACCAUACAGCCAUUGCAAUGUCACCUUUUGAGGCUCGGUAUGGUUACCCUCCUCCUCCUGUCAUACCUUAUAUCCCUGGAUCUACAGUUAUAGCACAAGCUGAUGAGCAACUGAGGAAGAGAGAAGAGUUGCUGGCGCUGCUGAAAAGGAAUCUGCAGCGAGCUCAAGCACGAAUGAAGCAUUUUCAUGACAAGAGGCACACUGAGAGAAGUUUUGAAGUUGGGGACAUGGUAUAUCUGAAGCUGCAACCCUACAAGCAACAUUCUAUGCAGAGGGGUGUUUUCAACAAACUAUCUGCAAGAUAUUAUGGUCCAUUUGAAGUGCUAGAGAAAAUUGGCUCAGUAGCAUAUAAGUUAAAGCUGCCACCCACUGCAAGAAUUCACAAUGUGUUCCAUGUAUCCCUCUUGAAGAAGAAACUUGGAGACCAGACCCCUGUUUUGGCCGAUCUACCUCCAAUAAUUGAUCCAACUAAUCCCAAGUGGGCACCAGCAGCUGUAUUUGGGCGAAGAAUGGUAAAGAAAGCAGGUGCAGCAGCCACACAAUGGUUGGUACACUGGAUAGGCACUACCCCGGAGGAAGCUACUUGGGAAUUUGCUGAAGAAAUGCAGCGCAGGUUUCCAGAAUUUGAUCCAGAAACUUGAGGACAAGUUUCAACAGAAGGGGGAAGUAAUGUUAUGAAUUAGAGGGUCUUCUUUGAUCAAGCUAGGCAUGUGUGAGAGUUAGAAAAGCCACGUGAAUAACAUGUGCUGCUGUGAGAUAUUUUGCAAUUAGGGUUUUGUGCCAAGUUAGAUGUUUGACGUGUGGCAAGAUCUGAAUGCUCCAUUGUGAGUAUAUAUGUCUGAAUGUAAGCUUGCUGCCGCAGUAAAUGAAUGAAUAUUUUGCAUCUAUUUUGAAUUCUAUUUCUUUUUCUGUUCUUAGUUUUAGCAAGGGUUCCAGAUCCCUAUUAGACGACAUCGACCACGGCGGUCAUGAUUGAUGAGAUAAGGAGGCUUCAAUGAGGCCGGUUGACGACGGGCGAGGUCGAUUAACGGUGGCUAAGGUUGGUUGGUCUCAACUCUCAACCCAUCUUGGACUGGAAUCAAUUCUAAUUGUCUUCUUCGUUUCGUUCACCAAGAAAUAAAUAGAGAAAAGGAGAUGCAGAUAUAUGCAUCUCAUGAACCCAGGACUAGGGUCAUCAUUCAUCAGAUUGCUAUUCUUGCUUCAUGAACCUAAAGCUUCUUGCUUUCUCUUUCCUCUCCCUCUUCUUCUUCCUCCGCCGUUGUUGGCCUCACCCCUUAGCUCCCUCUCCAGCCACCGGCACCGUGCAUCAACCCGAAUGGUAACCAUGUGGGUCUCGAUAUUGAAAGCUUGAAUCCGAUCAAUCCCGCCAACCAAGAUGUGGAUUUGAGGAUUGGAACGGCAAUUAUGGCCCUGAUUUGCAGAUAUAAGGUUGUUUUUAUUGAAUGAAAAAAUUGCUUUCUCUAUGGAAGAGAAGAUAAAAUGGGGAGAAUACUGGGAAGUAAAAGGAAAGACGUGGAGUCUUUAUUUAUUUAUUUUUUUUUCUUGGACCAAACUGAAACUAGGUCCUUGUGUCGCGGAUAACUUAGCGCAUGACAUCAUGAUAAGAAGGGCAAUUCAAAAAUUAGACCAACACUACCAGAAGAAAGGCUUUAGCCGACGAAAAAAAAAAACCAGGCCGACGAAGAUUUUUUCGUCGGCUAAGUUAAAUUUUCGUCGGCUAAAGUUCACAAACUAUGGCCGACGAAAUAUUUAAAAGUUUAGCCGACGAAAUUAAUAUGUCGUCGGCUAAAGUGCUUUAUAUUUGCGGAUCUGGACAACAGCAGCUCAUCUAGGAAAAAAAACGGGAGAAGAAAAAACGGGAGAAAAAGUUUGGGUGUUGUCGAAAUCUGUCCAUAAUUAGUUUGUGGAGCCAUAUAUAGGUACGUAUAUGUAUAUAUAUGUUGAUUAAUUGAGUUUUAUUUGAGUUGAUCAAUUUUAAGUGUGAUUGAGUUUAUUGAUUUUGAUUGUGAUUGAGUUGAUUAAUUUUGAGUACGUUGGAUGUAUAUAUAUAUGUGUUGAUCGAUUUGGUUGAUGAUUUGAAUUGAUAAUAUAUAUGAAUUAAUUUGUUGUUAAUAAAUAGUAGAUAUAUAUAUAUAUGUUAAUUAAUUUAUAAUAUUAUUGUGUUGAUAUGGUAUGAAGUUGUUGAUGAUAUAUAUGAGUUCAUGAUGAUUUUGUAAUGAUGUUGAUAUAUAAUAUUGUUAAAAGUCGUUGGCUAAACCAGUCUUAGCCGACGAAAAAUACUUGAAGUCGUCGGCUAAAAGAACUUAUAGCCGACGAAAUACACUAAUAUUUCGUCGGCUUUAUUAAUUUUUUUUUAUUAUUACAUACUAUAGCUGACGAAAAAUACUAGACAUCGUCGGCUAAAAUAACUUAUAGCCGACGAAAUACCCUAANNNNNNNNNNNNNNNNNNNNNNNNNNNNNNNNNNNNNNNNNNNNNNNNNNNNNNNNNNNNNNNNNNNNNNNNNNNNNNNNNNNNNNNNNNNNNNNNNNNNNNNNNNNNNNNNNNNNNNNNNNNNNNNNNNNNNNNNNNNNNNNNNNNNNNNNNNNNNNNNNNNNNNNNNNNNNNNNNNNNNNNNNNNNNNNNNNNNNNNNNNNNNNNNNNNNNNNNNNNNNNNNNNNNNNNNNNNNNNNNNNNNNNNNNNNNNNNNNNNNNNNNNNNNNNNNNNNNNNNNNNNNNNNNNNNNNNNNNNNNNNNNNNNNNNNNNNNNNNNNNNNNNNNNNNNNNNNNNNNNNNNNNNNNNNNNNNNNNNNNNNNNNNNNNNNNNNNNNNNNNNNNNNNNNNNNNNNNNNNNNNNNNNNNNNNNNNNNNNNNNNNNNNNNNNNNNNNNNNNNNNNNNNNNNNNNNNNNNNNNNNNNNNNNNNNNNNNNNNNNNNNNNNNNNNNNNNNNNNNNNNNNNNNNNNNNNNNNNNNNNNNNNNNNNNNNNNNNNNNNNNNNNNNNNNNNNNNNNNNNNNNNNNNNNNNNNNNNNNNNNNNNNNNNNNNNNNNNNNNNNNNNNNNNNNNNNNNNNNNNNNNNNNNNNNNNNNNNNNNNNNNNNNNNNNNNNNNNNNNNNNNNNNNNNNNNNNNNNNNNNNNNNNNNNNNNNNNNNNNNNNNNNNNNNNNNNNNNNNNNNNNNNNNNNNNNNNNNNNNNNNNNNNNNNNNNNNNNNNNNNNNNNNNNNNNNNNNNNNNNNNNNNNNNNNNNNNNNNNNNNNNNNNNNNNNNNNNNNNNNNNNNNNNNNNNNNNNNNNNNNNNNNNNNNNNNNNNNNNNNNNNNNNNNNNNNNNNNNNNNNNNNNNNNNNNNNNNNNNNNNNNNNNNNNNNNNNNNNNNNNNNNNNNNNNNNNNNNNNNNNNNNNNNNNNNNNNNNNNNNNNNNNNNNNNNNNNNNNNNNNNNNNNNNNNNNNNNNNNNNNNNNNNNNNNNNNNNNNNNNNNNNNNNNNNNNNNNNNNNNNNNNNNNNNNNNNNNNNNNNNNNNNNNNNNNNNNNNNNNNNNNNNNNNNNNNNNNNNNNNNNNNNNNNNNNNNNNNNNNNNNNNNNNNNNNNNNNNNNNNNNNNNNNNNNNNNNNNNNNNNNNNNNNNNNNNNNNNNNNNNNNNNNNNNNNNNNNNNNNNNNNNNNNNNNNNNNNNNNNNNNNNNNNNNNNNNNNNNNNNNNNNNNNNNNNNNNNNNNNNNNNNNNNNNNNNNNNNNNNNNNNNNNNNNNNNNNNNNNNNNNNNNNNNNNNNNNNNNNNNNNNNNNNNNNNNNNNNNNNNNNNNNNNNNNNNNNNNNNNNNNNNNNNNNNNNNNNNNNNNNNNNNNNNNNNNNNNNNNNNNNNNNNNNNNNNNNNNNNNNNNNNNNNNNNNNNNNNNNNNNNNNNNNNNNNNNNNNNNNNNNNNNNNNNNNNNNNNNNNNNNNNNNNNNNNNNNNNNNNNNNNNNNNNNNNNNNNNNNNNNNNNNNNNNNNNNNNNNNNNNNNNNNNNNNNNNNNNNNNNNNNNNNNNNNNNNNNNNNNNNNNNNNNNNNNNNNNNNNNNNNNNNNNNNNNNNNNNNNNNNNNNNNNNNNNNNNNNNNNNNNNNNNNNNNNNNNNNNNNNNNNNNNNNNNNNNNNNNNNNNNNNNNNNNNNNNNNNNNNNNNNNNNNNNNNNNNNNNNNNNNNNNNNNNNNNNNNNNNNNNNNNNNNNNNNNNNNNNNNNNNNNNNNNNNNNNNNNNNNNNNNNNNNNNNNNNNNNNNNNNNNNNNNNNNNNNNNNNNNNNNNNNNNNNNNNNNNNNNNNNNNNNNNNNNNNNNNNNNNNNNNNNNNNNNNNNNNNNNNNNNNNNNNNNNNNNNNNNNNNNNNNNNNNNNNNNNNNNNNNNNNNNNNNNNNNNNNNNNNNNNNNNNNNNNNNNNNNNNNNNNNNNNNNNNNNNNNNNNNNNNNNNNNNNNNNNNNNNNNNNNNNNNNNNNNNNNNNNNNNNNNNNNNNNNNNNNNNNNNNNNNNNNNNNNNNNNNNNNNNNNNNNNNNNNNNNNNNNNNNNNNNNNNNNNNNNNNNNNNNNNNNNNNNNNNNNNNNNNNNNNNNNNNNNNNNNNNNNNNNNNNNNNNNNNNNNNNNNNNNNNNNNNNNNNNNNNNNNNNNNNNNNNNNNNNNNNNNNNNNNNNNNNNNNNNNNNNNNNNNNNNNNNNNNNNNNNNNNNNNNNNNNNNNNNNNNNNNNNNNNNNNNNNNNNNNNNNNNNNNNNNNNNNNNNNNNNNNNNNNNNNNNNNNNNNNNNNNNNNNNNNNNNNNNNNNNNNNNNNNNNNNNNNNNNNNNNNNNNNNNNNNNNNNNNNNNNNNNNNNNNNNNNNNNNNNNNNNNNNNNNNNNNNNNNNNNNNNNNNNNNNNNNNNNNNNNNNNNNNNNNNNNNNNNNNNNNNNNNNNNNNNNNNNNNNNNNNNNNNNNNNNNNNNNNNNNNNNNNNNNNNNNNNNNNNNNNNNNNNNNNNNNNNNNNNNNNNNNNNNNNNNNNNNNNNNNNNNNNNNNNNNNNNNNNNNNNNNNNNNNNNNNNNNNNNNNNNNNNNNNNNNNNNNNNNNNNNNNNNNNNNNNNNNNNNNNNNNNNNNNNNNNNNNNNNNNNNNNNNNNNNNNNNNNNNNNNNNNNNNNNNNNNNNNNNNNNNNNNNNNNNNNNNNNNNNNNNNNNNNNNNNNNNNNNNNNNNNNNNNNNNNNNNNNNNNNNNNNNNNNNNNNNNNNNNNNNNNNNNNNNNNNNNNNNNNNNNNNNNNNNNNNNNNNNNNNNNNNNNNNNNNNNNNNNNNNNNNNNNNNNNNNNNNNNNNNNNNNNNNNNNNNNNNNNNNNNNNNNNNNNNNNNNNNNNNNNNNNNNNNNNNNNNNNNNNNNNNNNNNNNNNNNNNNNNNNNNNNNNNNNNNNNNNNNNNNNNNNNNNNNNNNNNNNNNNNNNNNNNNNNNNNNNNNNNNNNNNNNNNNNNNNNNNNNNNNNNNNNNNNNNNNNNNNNNNNNNNNNNNNNNNNNNNNNNNNNNNNNNNNNNNNNNNNNNNNNNNNNNNNNNNNNNNNNNNNNNNNNNNNNNNNNNNNNNNNNNNNNNNNNNNNNNNNNNNNNNNNNNNNNNNNNNNNNNNNNNNNNNNNNNNNNNNNNNNNNNNNNNNNNNNNNNNNNNNNNNNNNNNNNNNNNNNNNNNNNNNNNNNNNNNNNNNNNNNNNNNNNNNNNNNNNNNNNNNNNNNNNNNNNNNNNNNNNNNNNNNNNNNNNNNNNNNNNNNNNNNNNNNNNNNNNNNNNNNNNNNNNNNNNNNNNNNNNNNNNNNNNNNNNNNNNNNNNNNNNNNNNNNNNNNNNNNNNNNNNNNNNNNNNNNNNNNNNNNNNNNNNNNNNNNNNNNNNNNNNNNNNNNNNNNNNNNNNNNNNNNNNNNNNNNNNNNNNNNNNNNNNNNNNNNNNNNNNNNNNNNNNNNNNNNNNNNNNNNNNNNNNNNNNNNNNNNNNNNNNNNNNNNNNNNNNNNNNNNNNNNNNNNNNNNNNNNNNNNNNNNNNNNNNNNNNNNNNNNNNNNNNNNNNNNNNNNNNNNNNNNNNNNNNNNNNNNNNNNNNNNNNNNNNNNNNNNNNNNNNNNNNNNNNNNNNNNNNNNNNNNNNNNNNNNNNNNNNNNNNNNNNNNNNNNNNNNNNNNNNNNNNNNNNNNNNNNNNNNNNNNNNNNNNNNNNNNNNNNNNNNNNNNNNNNNNNNNNNNNNNNNNNNNNNNNNNNNNNNNNNNNNNNNNNNNNNNNNNNNNNNNNNNNNNNNNNNNNNNNNNNNNNNNNNNNNNNNNNNNNNNNNNNNNNNNNNNNNNNNNNNNNNNNNNNNNNNNNNNNNNNNNNNNNNNNNNNNNNNNNNNNNNNNNNNNNNNNNNNNNNNNNNNNNNNNNNNNNNNNNNNNNNNNNNNNNNNNNNNNNNNNNNNNNNNNNNNNNNNNNNNNNNNNNNNNNNNNNNNNNNNNNNNNNNNNNNNNNNNNNNNNNNNNNNNNNNNNNNNNNNNNNNNNNNNNNNNNNNNNNNNNNNNNNNNNNNNNNNNNNNNNNNNNNNNNNNNNNNNNNNNNNNNNNNNNNNNNNNNNNNNNNNNNNNNNNNNNNNNNNNNNNNNNNNNNNNNNNNNNNNNNNNNNNNNNNNNNNNNNNNNNNNNNNNNNNNNNNNNNNNNNNNNNNNNNNNNNNNNNNNNNNNNNNNNNNNNNNNNNNNNNNNNNNNNNNNNNNNNNNNNNNNNNNNNNNNNNNNNNNNNNNNNNNNNNNNNNNNNNNNNNNNNNNNNNNNNNNNNNNNNNNNNNNNNNNNNNNNNNNNNNNNNNNNNNNNNNNNNNNNNNNNNNNNNNNNNNNNNNNNNNNNNNNNNNNNNNNNNNNNNNNNNNNNNNNNNNNNNNNNNNNNNNNNNNNNNNNNNNNNNNNNNNNNNNNNNNNNNNNNNNNNNNNNNNNNNNNNNNNNNNNNNNNNNNNNNNNNNNNNNNNNNNNNNNNNNNNNNNNNNNNNNNNNNNNNNNNNNNNNNNNNNNNNNNNNNNNNNNNNNNNNNNNNNNNNNNNNNNNNNNNNNNNNNNNNNNNNNNNNNNNNNNNNNNNNNNNNNNNNNNNNNNNNNNNNNNNNNNNNNNNNNNNNNNNNNNNNNNNNNNNNNNNNNNNNNNNNNNNNNNNNNNNNNNNNNNNNNNNNNNNNNNNNNNNNNNNNNNNNNNNNNNNNNNNNNNNNNNNNNNNNNNNNNNNNNNNNNNNNNNNNNNNNNNNNNNNNNNNNNNNNNNNNNNNNNNNNNNNNNNNNNNNNNNNNNNNNNNNNNNNNNNNNNNNNNNNNNNNNNNNNNNNNNNNNNNNNNNNNNNNNNNNNNNNNNNNNNNNNNNNNNNNNNNNNNNNNNNNNNNNNNNNNNNNNNNNNNNNNNNNNNNNNNNNNNNNNNNNNNNNNNNNNNNNNNNNNNNNNNNNNNNNNNNNNNNNNNNNNNNNNNNNNNNNNNNNNNNNNNNNNNNNNNNNNNNNNNNNNNNNNNNNNNNNNNNNNNNNNNNNNNNNNNNNNNNNNNNNNNNNNNNNNNNNNNNNNNNNNNNNNNNNNNNNNNNNNNNNNNNNNNNNNNNNNNNNNNNNNNNNNNNNNNNNNNNNNNNNNNNNNNNNNNNNNNNNNNNNNNNNNNNNNNNNNNNNNNNNNNNNNNNNNNNNNNNNNNNNNNNNNNNNNNNNNNNNNNNNNNNNNNNNNNNNNNNNNNNNNNNNNNNNNNNNNNNNNNNNNNNNNNNNNNNNNNNNNNNNNNNNNNNNNNNNNNNNNNNNNNNNNNNNNNNNNNNNNNNNNNNNNNNNNNNNNNNNNNNNNNNNNNNNNNNNNNNNNNNNNNNNNNNNNNNNNNNNNNNNNNNNNNNNNNNNNNNNNNNNNNNNNNNNNNNNNNNNNNNNNNNNNNNNNNNNNNNNNNNNNNNNNNNNNNNNNNNNNNNNNNNNNNNNNNNNNNNNNNNNNNNNNNNNNNNNNNNNNNNNNNNNNNNNNNNNNNNNNNNNNNNNNNNNNNNNNNNNNNNNNNNNNNNNNNNNNNNNNNNNNNNNNNNNNNNNNNNNNNNNNNNNNNNNNNNNNNNNNNNNNNNNNNNNNNNNNNNNNNNNNNNNNNNNNNNNNNNNNNNNNNNNNNNNNNNNNNNNNNNNNNNNNNNNNNNNNNNNNNNNNNNNNNNNNNNNNNNNNNNNNNNNNNNNNNNNNNNNNNNNNNNNNNNNNNNNNNNNNNNNNNNNNNNNNNNNNNNNNNNNNNNNNNNNNNNNNNNNNNNNNNNNNNNNNNNNNNNNNNNNNNNNNNNNNNNNNNNNNNNNNNNNNNNNNNNNNNNNNNNNNNNNNNNNNNNNNNNNNNNNNNNNNNNNNNNNNNNNNNNNNNNNNNNNNNNNNNNNNNNNNNNNNNNNNNNNNNNNNNNNNNNNNNNNNNNNNNNNNNNNNNNNNNNNNNNNNNNNNNNNNNNNNNNNNNNNNNNNNNNNNNNNNNNNNNNNNNNNNNNNNNNNNNNNNNNNNNNNNNNNNNNNNNNNNNNNNNNNNNNNNNNNNNNNNNNNNNNNNNNNNNNNNNNNNNNNNNNNNNNNNNNNNNNNNNNNNNNNNNNNNNNNNNNNNNNNNNNNNNNNNNNNNNNNNNNNNNNNNNNNNNNNNNNNNNNNNNNNNNNNNNNNNNNNNNNNNNNNNNNNNNNNNNNNNNNNNNNNNNNNNNNNNNNNNNNNNNNNNNNNNNNNNNNNNNNNNNNNNNNNNNNNNNNNNNNNNNNNNNNNNNNNNNNNNNNNNNNNNNNNNNNNNNNNNNNNNNNNNNNNNNNNNNNNNNNNNNNNNNNNNNNNNNNNNNNNNNNNNNNNNNNNNNNNNNNNNNNNNNNNNNNNNNNNNNNNNNNNNNNNNNNNNNNNNNNNNNNNNNNNNNNNNNNNNNNNNNNNNNNNNNNNNNNNNNNNNNNNNNNNNNNNNNNNNNNNNNNNNNNNNNNNNNNNNNNNNNNNNNNNNNNNNNNNNNNNNNNNNNNNNNNNNNNNNNNNNNNNNNNNNNNNNNNNNNNNNNNNNNNNNNNNNNNNNNNNNNNNNNNNNNNNNNNNNNNNNNNNNNNNNNNNNNNNNNNNNNNNNNNNNNNNNNNNNNNNNNNNNNNNNNNNNNNNNNNNNNNNNNNNNNNNNNNNNNNNNNNNNNNNNNNNNNNNNNNNNNNNNNNNNNNNNNNNNNNNNNNNNNNNNNNNNNNNNNNNNNNNNNNNNNNNNNNNNNNNNNNNNNNNNNNNNNNNNNNNNNNNNNNNNNNNNNNNNNNNNNNNNNNNNNNNNNNNNNNNNNNNNNNNNNNNNNNNNNNNNNNNNNNNNNNNNNNNNNNNNNNNNNNNNNNNNNNNNNNNNNNNNNNNNNNNNNNNNNNNNNNNNNNNNNNNNNNNNNNNNNNNNNNNNNNNNNNNNNNNNNNNNNNNNNNNNNNNNNNNNNNNNNNNNNNNNNNNNNNNNNNNNNNNNNNNNNNNNNNNNNNNNNNNNNNNNNNNNNNNNNNNNNNNNNNNNNNNNNNNNNNNNNNNNNNNNNNNNNNNNNNNNNNNNNNNNNNNNNNNNNNNNNNNNNNNNNNNNNNNNNNNNNNNNNNNNNNNNNNNNNNNNNNNNNNNNNNNNNNNNNNNNNNNNNNNNNNNNNNNNNNNNNNNNNNNNNNNNNNNNNNNNNNNNNNNNNNNNNNNNNNNNNNNNNNNNNNNNNNNNNNNNNNNNNNNNNNNNNNNNNNNNNNNNNNNNNNNNNNNNNNNNNNNNNNNNNNNNNNNNNNNNNNNNNNNNNNNNNNNNNNNNNNNNNNNNNNNNNNNNNNNNNNNNNNNNNNNNNNNNNNNNNNNNNNNNNNNNNNNNNNNNNNNNNNNNNNNNNNNNNNNNNNNNNNNNNNNNNNNNNNNNNNNNNNNNNNNNNNNNNNNNNNNNNNNNNNNNNNNNNNNNNNNNNNNNNNNNNNNNNNNNNNNNNNNNNNNNNNNNNNNNNNNNNNNNNNNNNNNNNNNNNNNNNNNNNNNNNNNNNNNNNNNNNNNNNNNNNNNNNNNNNNNNNNNNNNNNNNNNNNNNNNNNNNNNNNNNNNNNNNNNNNNNNNNNNNNNNNNNNNNNNNNNNNNNNNNNNNNNNNNNNNNNNNNNNNNNNNNNNNNNNNNNNNNNNNNNNNNNNNNNNNNNNNNNNNNNNNNNNNNNNNNNNNNNNNNNNNNNNNNNNUGCGGACCUAUUGGACUACGCACGGGAACGCACGUUCUGCUACCCCUGCUGAGUUCCAGUACAGAGAGUACGAGUGGCGUUGGCUUCUGACAUUAGAAUUCAACAACCCUCGUAAACAGGUAUUUAAAUAAAUUAAUUAGUUAAUUUAUCAUUAAGUACGUGCGUUUUAAAAUAUUUUACUAAUAGUUUACUUUUUUCUUUGAAGGCGGUUUCCCGGGUGAACGCUCAGAACCGGCAACGCAACACAAGGAACCAUCAUGCCGGUUCUAGACCGUUCGCUGUCUUCAUGGACGAGGCGGCCAGGGAACAUCCAGAGGUCAACCAGUACGUCUAUACGUACGAGAGGACAUAUCCUGACUCCUAGGAGGAUAUAGUAAGUACUAUUUCUUUUUUACGGAAUUUUUAAUUUUACUUAUAUAUAUGUCAAAAUGUUAAUUAAUAAUUUUUUUCCUAUCCAAUUAGGCAAAGGUGAGGGAGGCUAGUGACGAGGUGAUGAGUGCUAUAGUGAGGGAGACAUGGCCGGACACGCAGGAGGAAGAGAUGUCCGAAGCCAUUUCCCAGAUCGACACUUCAGAUCCGAGGGUUGAGGCGAGGAUCAUGGGCACAGCCUUCCCACCGCGAGAAAACAACUUCUACUGCCGGGGUCUAGGAAAGAAGGGCCAGGGGGUCCUGAAGACCACUCCAGGAUUUCAACGAAAGGCGGGCUCGACCAACAGCAGGACGGCUCAGCUAGAGUCGGAAGUUGAGAGACUACGGGAACAGCAAGCCGCUCAGGCUGCCGCUCAUGCUGCUCAGGCUGCCGCUCAUGCCGCCCAGAUCGCCGAAUAUAGAGCCUUUACUAGAGCCCUACAUGCCGCCCAGCAGGCCCAGCAGCAGCAGAUGUUCCAAUACUUUCAGGAUUUUACAGCUGCCCAGCAACAGGGACUUCCACCUCCGCCCAUGCCUGCGCCUAUAGAGUUACCUCUGCCGUCGCAAUCUCCUCACCAGCAGGCCCGAGAUUCGGAUAUUGAUUUAGACCAUCUAGAUUUUGUGUAGUUGAUACCUUAUAUAGUUUUAUGUGCUUCUUGUUGGUUAUAUAUAUGGAAUUGUUUUGGUGUAUUUUGCAGCUUGCUUGGAAUGGUAAUUUAAGAAUUUCGUGUAUUUUUUUUUUACUGGAAUGGCGUUAUAGCCGACGAAACAUGCCACAAUUCGUCGGCUAUAGUAAUUUUUUUUUUUCCAAAGGGUUUAGCCGACGAAUUAUGGUAUGUUUCGUCGGCUAAACACUACUAAAGCCGACGAAACAGACUCUAUGUCGUCGGCUAUAGUUAUUUUUAAAUAUUUUAAUUAUAUAUUUUAGCCGACGAAACAGAGAUAUUCGUCGGCUAAAGUUUGUCAGUAAAGCCGACGAAUAUUCUCUUCGUCGGCUUAAGUCUGAGAGUAUAGCCGACGACACAGGACGUCGUCGGCUAAAGUCUGGAACAAUAGCCGACAAAAAAUAGUUCGUCGGCUAAAAGCUGGAACAAUAGCCGACGAAAAAUAGUUCGUCGGCUAAAGUCUGGACAAUAGCCGACGAUGGUCUUUAGAUUCGUCGGCUAAAGCCAUCACCGACGACCCNNNNNNNNNNNNNNNNNNNNNNNNNNNNNNNNNNNNNNNNNNNNNNNNNNNNNNNNNNNNNNNNNNNNNNNNNNNNNNNNNNNNNNNNNNNNNNNNNNNNNNNNNNNNNNNNNNNNNNNNNNNNNNNNNNNNNNNNNNNNNNNNNNNNNNNNNNNNNNNNNNNNNNNNNNNNNNNNNNNNNNNNNNNNNNNNNNNNNNNNNNNNNNNNNNNNNNNNNNNNNNNNNNNNNNNNNNNNNNNNNNNNNNNNNNNNNNNNNNNNNNNNNNNNNNNNNNNNNNNNNNNNNNNNNNNNNNNNNNNNNNNNNNNNNNNNNNNNNNNNNNNNNNNNNNNNNNNNNNNNNNNNNNNNNNNNNNNNNNNNNNNNNNNNNNNNNNNNNNNNNNNNNNNNNNNNNNNNNNNNNNNNNNNNNNNNNNNNNNNNNNNNNNNNNNNNNNNNNNNNNNNNNNNNNNNNNNNNNNNNNNNNNNNNNNNNNNNNNNNNNNNNNNNNNNNNNNNNNNNNNNNNNNNNNNNNNNNNNNNNNNNNNNNNNNNNNNNNNNNNNNNNNNNNNNNNNNNNNNNNNNNNNNNNNNNNNNNNNNNNNNNNNNNNNNNNNNNNNNNNNNNNNNNNNNNNNNNNNNNNNNNNNNNNNNNNNNNNNNNNNNNNNNNNNNNNNNNNNNNNNNNNNNNNNNNNNNNNNNNNNNNNNNNNNNNNNNNNNNNNNNNNNNNNNNNNNNNNNNNNNNNNNNNNNNNNNNNNNNNNNNNNNNNNNNNNNNNNNNNNNNNNNNNNNNNNNNNNNNNNNNNNNNNNNNNNNNNNNNNNNNNNNNNNNNNNNNNNNNNNNNNNNNNNNNNNNNNNNNNNNNNNNNNNNNNNNNNNNNNNNNNNNNNNNNNNNNNNNNNNNNNNNNNNNNNNNNNNNNNNNNNNNNNNNNNNNNNNNNNNNNNNNNNNNNNNNNNNNNNNNNNNNNNNNNNNNNNNNNNNNNNNNNNNNNNNNNNNNNNNNNNNNNNNNNNNNNNNNNNNNNNNNNNNNNNNNNNNNNNNNNNNNNNNNNNNNNNNNNNNNNNNNNNNNNNNNNAAAAAAGUAACUAUAUGGUUAAAUGGAGUCAAGUAUAUAAUACUAAAAAUCAUAGCCUUUCCUGAAAUGAAUGGUGAUGUUUUACUAGGCAACAAUUUUAUUUUUGCCUAUUAUCCCAUUCUCCUAGAUACAGGAUAUAUAGCUCUCGAUAUUAACAAUGGAAUCCACAAAAUUCCAUUUUUACCACAGCAUAAGUAUAAAUGUCAUAAAGAUUUCGCGCCAAGCAAGCGUGGUGAUCCAGAAACAAUAGAUCAACUUGACAAACCUGAACCAAGUGAAAAACACUUUGGUAAGACAAAAAUUCAGGUACUUAGUGAAAAACACUGGGUAUACAAAAUUCUAGAAGAAAAUUUUAGUGAAGACCCCUUAAAACUAUGGUCAAAAAGUCCAAGAUAUUGUGCUCUUAAACUUAGAAAUCCUGAUGUAAUCAUAAGGGUCAAACCAAUGAUUUACACAAGACAAGAUAUUAAUGAAUUUGACAUCCAAAUAAAUGAGUUGAAAGAGAAGCAUCUCAUAGAAGAAACUAUGAGUCCACACUAUAGUCCUGCAUUCAUGGUAAGAAACCAUGCAGAGAUUAAGAGAGGAAAAGCUCGUAUGGUAAUAAACUAUAAGCGCUUAAAUGAACAAUUAGAGUUCGAUGGGUAUUUUAUUCCACGAAAAGAUGUUCUGAUCAAUCAAACUAAAGGUGCUAGAAUCUUUAGUAAAUUUGAUUGUAAAUCAGGAUUUUGACAAUUAAAAUUAACAGAGGAGUCAAAACCAUUGACUACGUUUAGUACUCCAUGUGGACACUACCACUGGAAUGUCAUGCCUUUCGGGUUAAACAUAGCCCCUCAGAUUUUUCAAAGAUGGAUGGACAGUAUCUUUAAGGAUCUUAAAGAUUUUUGUGUUGUCUACAUAGACGAUAUUUUAAUUUUCUCUAAAAACAGAGAAGAUCAUAAAAGACAUCUUCAAAUUCUUUGCAGUAAAUUUCAAAAACAUGGAAUUAUACUGUCACCCAAGAAAAUUGACAUAGAACAAGAAUCUAUAGAUUUUCUUGGAAUCACUUUAAACCAUUCAAGAAUAAAACUUCAAGAACAUAUAGUCUCUAAAGUAAGAGACUUUCCUGAAGACCUAACUGAUAAAAAACAGUUACAAAGUUUAUUAGGAAUAUUAAACUAUGGAAGAAAUUUUAUAAAAGGUCUAUCUAAAAAAGAAAUUCCUUUAAUAGAAAAAUUAAAGAAAAAUAAAGAAUUUCACUGGACGGAAAAAGAUAAAAAACUAUUACAACAAAUCAAACAGGAUUUAAAUCAACUUCCUGAAGUUUAUUUCCCAAAACCUGGGGAUAANNNNNNNNNNNNNNNNNNNNNNNNNNNNNNNNNNNNNNNNNNNNNNNNNNNNNNNNNNNNNNNNNNNNNNNNNNNNNNNNNNNNNNNNNNNNNNNNNNNNNNNNNNNNNNNNNNNNNNNNNNNNNNNNNNNNNNNNNNNNNNNNNNNNNNNNNNNNNNNNNNNNNNNNNNNNNNNNNNNNNNNNNNNNNNNNNNNNNNNNNNNNNNNNNNNNNNNNNNNNNNNNNNNNNNNNNNNNNNNNNNNNNNNNNNNNNNNNNNNNNNNNNNNNNNNNNNNNNNNNNNNNNNNNNNNNNNNNNNNNNNNNNNNNNNNNNNNNNNNNNNNNNNNNNNNNNNNNNNNNNNNNNNNNNNNNNNNNNNNNNNNNNNNNNNNNNNNNNNNNNNNNNNNNNNNNNNNNNNNNNNNNNNNNNNNNNNNNNNNNNNNNNNNNNNNNNNNNNNNNNNNNNNNNNNNNNNNNNNNNNNNNNNNNNNNNNNNNNNNNNNNNNNNNNNNNNNNNNNNNNNNNNNNNNNNNNNNNNNNNNNNNNNNNNNNNNNNNNNNNNNNNNNNNNNNNNNNNNNNNNNNNNNNNNNNNNNNNNNNNNNNNNNNNNNNNNNNNNNNNNNNNNNNNNNNNNNNNNNNNNNNNNNNNNNNNNNNNNNNNNNNNNNNNNNNNNNNNNNNNNNNNNNNNNNNNNNNNNNNNNNNNNNNNNNNNNNNNNNNNNNNNNNNNNNNNNNNNNNNNNNNNNNNNNNNNNNNNNNNNNNNNNNNNNNNNNNNNNAUUUUUUGUUCAAUCUUGCUUGUUUUAAUAUUCAAAUUAUAGAGUUGUUGUUCAACACUAUCAUGAUUUAAUUUUUGAUUUUUUGAUAUCAUAUUUAACAUAUCACAGAUAGUAUUUAUUGUACUACUAAGAACAGAAAUAUCAUUUUUGUACUCUCUAGGAAUAUGCAAAGUAUGAUCAUAUUUUUGAUCUUCAUAUAAACAUUCUAAUAACUUUGUUAUAUUAGGUUUUGCCAUUUUUUCUUCAUAGAUGGUACCUAAAACCAGUUCUCUAAGGUGCCUAAAACCGAUUCCCUAAUGCCUCUUAACCAAACCUAGGUUUUUAAUGGCUAUAUCAGGGAUAUGAGCUUUUAGAGAGUAUGAGUUUUUCUACGAAGAAAACUAACUUGUAUUAUGAAACUUAAUUUACAUAGUAAGAAAACUUACUUGAAUGGAAAAGCUUCCGGUAGAGAUUUUAAGAUUUCUCCUUGCUAGAGAUUUCUUCUUGCUAGAGAUUUCUUCUCAAGCUUCAAGAUAGUAGAGAUUAGAAAUUUCUCUUCAAGCUUCUCUUUACUAGAAAAUCUAUACUAGGAAAGCUAUCCUAGGGCUUCACUCUUCAGAAACCAGUAUAGGCUCUGAUACCAAACACAAAAGGAAAGAGAGCAACUAACUAUUUUUAUUGAUGAUCGGGAAACUUCUUACAAGAGGAAUACAAACACAAAAGGAAAGAGAGCAAGGCUUAACAUCUGAUGCCUUCUCUUCAGCAUACUAGCAUGUUUUAUAUAUAUCUAUAUCCAUUUUUUCACCUUUAGUAUUAUGACUAGUCUUUGUCCCGUGCGCUACUGCAAGUAACUUUCGCGUUUUUUUGAAUAGGGGCUAAACGGCUACCCUCAUGCCUUAACCAUUAACGAAACCGCAGAAUACAAGGGGGGGACAUAAAGCCUAAACCCCGUAUUGCAUAAACAACCCGAAAUAAUAUCAUGAGAUAACAAUCCUAUGCAUCCUAACAAGCACCAUUUAGCAAAGAGCGCAUCAUUAAUUACUCCAUUUGCUUUACAAUGUCGGUGACAUACCGGAAAGACAAUGCUCAUGCAGAGCCAUAAAUUGCUAUUUUUAUCAGCUUUCCCACUAUGUUGCCACUGGAAAAUCUUACCAGUGACAUUAAGUCUCAUCCUGCCACUAGGAGGCUGCGACCAUUUGACGAAGCAAGAAACUCGCCGCCUACCCAGAACAGACAUGGUACGCAUGCGGCGCAAGCCGGGACAAACCCACCUCUCCAAACCAAAAGUUGGUCUAGACUUAUUGAAAACAUGAAAUAAAUGGCAGCUAAAUAAACUGAAUAAAUAAAAGCAACAAACAAACUAGCCCAUAUUGGGCCCAACAUCUGAACCCAGGCCCAUGAUCCGUUUAGUUAGCAAAGGUGAUGAUCAAAAAUAACAUCAUAUUUCUAGUAUAGGUGCGGUGCUACAUAUGAUUAUAAGGAGUGCUAAGUUGUAGAGAAGUACAUUAAAUCAUGUAUUGUUAACUAUGUUUACUUGUAGGGUGCACCUCUAGUCCUUCUUGAGAAACAGAUAACAUGAAAACCCAUAAUGAAAGAAGAUCACCAUAUUAAAAUCUAGAAAGAAAAAAAAAGGGUAAAGCGGCUAUUGUCACCCUACAAACCACUUUAUUCACCCCACAUGUGGUUGAUUUAUUAAAAGACCAAAAUAAUCUGAUGUAAAAUUACAACAAGGGACAAUAAGUUGUUAAAAAUUACAAAUUCUUACUUUUUUAUUUUUUUGGAUGAACAUGUACAUACUUCAUAAACCUUAACCCAAAUUUAUCAUAUUCGGUCGUUCUAGGUCUAAAGACGCUACUAUUCAACCUAAAGAUGAGGUGAACUGUUUGCAUUUCUUUUUUUUCUUCUCUUUUUUUCUGUGUUGACGCUUCUGUUUAUCAUUUUACUCAUUAUUUUUCAUGUCGAUUUUGUAUGUAAAUUCUCAUGGAAAAUUAUACCGUAUUUAUAAACGCAUAGAUCAGUUUAAAACACUCAGAAUUAUGGAGUAAUGAAGAAGAGAAUGUAUGGUGAACAAAGUAUAAUUGAGAAAAAUAUAGUUUAGGGAUUGUAAAUGGAUGAAUAAAGUAAAAUUAGGAAAAUGGUAUUUUAGGUAUUAUAUAUAAAUGGGUGAACAAAAUAGACUUAUAAUUAAAAAUAUAUAAAUGGGGUGUGAAGAGAAUGUGGGGUGAGUAAAGUGCUUUGUGGGGUGGCAAUAGACGCACCCAAAAAAAAAUCAAACCAAACAAAGCCUGAAAAAAAUAGCAUUCAACAGCGAAUUUGUUGAAGGCAUACUGAUUAGCAGGGCGUCUGAGAUGGUUUGUCCUGCAAAAGUGUGACAACCUUAAAAUUCAAAAGAUCAAUAAUUUUUCCCAACUUGACAAUUUCACCAAACUUUUGACAUUCCAGGAUAGAUAUAAAAAUAUCUGAUACAGGUGUUAUUACAGCAACAAAGUAGGCCAUAUACCUGUAUAAUAGAUUUAGACUUGGAAUCCCACUUUAUUGAAAACUCUGAUGCUAUAUCUUUCAUCAACUGAACCUUCUUCUCAAUUGUGGGAGACUUUGAAGCUAUAUUCUCAAACAACUAUCAAUUAGAAAUUCAGUCAGUCAGCUUCACAGCAGUUAGCAAUUCAUAAAAUUCCAUCAAAAGCAAGACCAUAAACACUUACCUUUUUAUCCACACAUUAAUAAGAGAAUUCGCUUAUCUCUCUUUGAAUACAUGCCUGAUGUCACGUAACUCCGGUAAAUCAGAUAAUCUUGCUGCACUAGCCAUUAAUGAUGCAACAGCAUCCUUACAUUCCUCAAGGCAUUCUCUGCAAUGACAAAAAUGGAGCAAAGUUAUACUAAGUUAAUCUGUCCUUCUUUUAACUUACUGAUUCCUUUAGCAGGAACUCGAACCAUCUAUCUGAUGCACACUAUUACAUGAAACAAUAAGGUCAAAUUAACAAUCUUUAGUAAUGACAUAAUCAGUUAAAAUUUCAUAUUCCUGACAUAAAUAUCUAUGCAAGAACCUAAUCAAAGUUUCUCCAGCGCGACUUUGCAAUCAUGUUACAACCUGUCCCACACGAAUGGAUGAUGUUAUGUACUACUUUAAUCAUAUCAAAAUGUUUCCCAAUUACUAUCCCCCAUGAUGGCAACUAAAUUCACCUCAUUUCCUUUCUCAUCAAAAGGGACAGCAGAAAUGUCUUUAUCAAAUUUGCAUUAGUAUUUUCCAUUUCAAAUUCCGUCACCAAUUGUUUUUUUUUUUUUUUUACAAAUUUAUAUGUCAUAUAAUAAAUUGAUCAACCAAGUGAGACAUGACAAUCAGAUAACUUAGUAUACUGAUGUAAUGCUAUACUACACCAGCAGCAUAAUGUGAUACCAACAUUACCAAUCAACCAAACUCUCAAUGUGAAUGUACGGACACCUAAUUCUCUUUUGUGGCAUUCUUCAUUACACAACAACAUUUCUACACAUUUAACACACUAUUUGUUAAUAACACACAAAGUGAGUCUGCAAAAGCAAUCAAAGAAGCAACAUUUUUAAAUAUAAUCUAUAUACUUGAUAAAAGUUAUAGUAGUAUAAGCCUUCAAAUAUCUACUCUCAACUUUGCCAAAUGGCUUUCUAAAAACAAACUAUUAUACACCUCCUACCAAAGACAUAUUUACAACUGUUUUAUGAGAAUUUGAAGAAUCAAUAAUAAAAAUGUUACUGCACAAAUACCAUCAUCACAGGUUUUGUCAUGUGAUCUAUAAUUGCAAAAGCAGAUAACUUCAUUGUUAUCAAAUCCACAUACAGAUAACAGGUUUUGCUAUCCUAAACAUUUAUAACACAAAUGGAAAUUAACAACAAUAGAUCAAGCUUUCAACUUUUUCAUUCUUCAUUCUCCUCAACUUUCAAAUAGAACCCAGAACAUAUCAUGACUACAUAAAGAUCAAGGAAUAAGAAAAGCAAACAGUAAAAACCUCAUACUCACCCAUGCAUUUGAAAAUAGCAGAGAACCAAGAUGUAAUAUAACUAAAGCUUUGCAUCUAAACGUGGCCAGCCACCACCAAAACUUUAAAUCCAAGAAGGAGAGAGGCAACUCACAAUCCUGCAAAACAGAUUCAUUAAAUUGGAGCUGGCAUCAGCAAUUCGGCUAAAUUCAUAAGCAAUUACCAAGAAAAAUAAUUACCGACCAAUUUGCAUUUCCAAUGGUUUUUGCUUAUAUGGACCUGAAAGAUGCCAUUGAAAUUGGGAAGCUCUCCUUCGUGAAACAACAGUAGGGUUUGGCUUUUUUGUUUAAUAUGAAACAAAAAAAAAAAAAGUGAAAAGAUUUGCACUUGUCAUGAAGCAAAUGAAGCAAAUAGUAACUGAAAAGUGAUAAGAAACUAACAUUCUACCUCUCUACAUUGACAUCAGUGGAAUACCUUUUCAAAUCAGACCUUUCCCAAAAGCACCAACCAGUUUUUGCAUACUAUAAGCAAUUGAGACAUCACCUGCAGUCCGUGACCAGAACAACGACUUAGAAUUGAAUUCAUUACAAAAAACAGCAGAAAGCAAAGCACUUGGGAGUUGGGGAUCCUAUAGCGAUCACACACAAAACGAAAAAAGAAGAAAAAAAGAAGAAGUGGGUAACAAAAAACCCAUACAUUUUUUUGUUUAAUAUGAAAGGAUUUGAAUAAAACUAUUAUAGAAUAUAUGGGUUCAGUAACAAUCAAGUUCCCAUUGAAAGAGCAAGCGUGUCUGCAAUUAUAUAUGGUUGGCAUAGAAUCCAUCCAAAUACAGGAUUGCAAAAGAAGGCACAUUGGACCACCAUGGCUGCAAAGUAGGGGCAUUAGACAUGAGGCAGGAUGUACAACAACCAAACCAAGAGCCAAUACCAACCCAAAUUGCCAAGCCAGGUAAACCAAUGCACCAGUUCCAUUACCACGCCAGGUAGACCAACGCACCAGUUCCAUUACCACGCCACAACAAAACAGAGGAAAUCAUCACUGCCUACCAAAUUGCAAUCACAAAUGAAACAAACACGAUGCUAAUCAAACGAACACAAUAUGAAGACAGGAAGACUUCAUAAAAGGAAAUUUUGCAGGAAAAUUGUAAAAAUCACAUCAAAGUCAUACAUUCCUACCUGGAAAACAACUGUCGAUCUCCACGCAGCAGAACCCAGAAAACAAAAUCUCCCAGAUGGACGUGACCGGACCCAACCCCAGUUUGACUCUCCCUUCAACGCUUAUGAUCCCUGAAGAAAACGAAGAUAUGCAAUCCAUUAAAAACCAAAUCCAAACCAAAUGAAAAAUCAAAAAGCAAAAUCACACACCAAACCUGUAAACCUUGUAUCUCGAUGACAAAUCAAAAAUCAAAUCGAUGAAAAAUCAAUGAAGCCGAAGAUGAGAUGAAGACAAAAAAUAUACCUUCUCUCGUCUAAAACACCAAUCUACCCAAUUCAAGUACUCAACCCUGUUGAAUUGAUUGAAUUCUCCACCAGAUCUCAACAGAAACAAACCCAGCUAUUCACUGAAAUCAAAUGAAGGAGAGAGAAAAGAAAGAGAGAGAGAGAGAGAGAGAGAGAGAGAGAGAGAGAGAGAGAGAGAGAGAGAGAGNNNNNNNNNNNNNNNNNNNNAAUUCAUGGAAAUCAAAGAGAGUGAAAGAAAAGAAGACACACCCAGAAGGCUCUUGGAAAGAAUCCAGCUACAGCUACAACUACUCCUCCAACUAUCAUAGCCAUAGAGCCAAAUAUAAUUAGAUAGGAGAUCAAAUUUCCACUCCACCCAUUAUCUGUUCAAAAUCAUGGAAAUUAAAACCCAAUUCUUCGUUGAAAUUAAAACCGUUGGUAGAGACGAAGAUAUAGAGGGAUCAGACCAGAAAGAAGAACAUGACGAAGAUCAAAGGAAGAAAAUUUACCACAAAACUCGAAGUGUUGCUUGGUUGGAUAUGGAGGAAAGAAGAAGACAGAAAACUUAGCUAUUUUUUUUUUUUUUUGGGAUUACAAAGGGGGCACUAAGACCCAGAAUAAAAGAGAAAAACUAAACAGCAACUGAAUCACCGGUUCUUUUAACUCUAGGAAUACCAUUCAAAUCAUCAAGAUAAGCAUAAACAACAUGGAUAAGAGGCCCUUUCAGAAUAAUAAGACCAAAAGUAUGGUUGAUGCUUAUUUUAACAAGGGAGUCAGCAGUCAUAUUACACUCUAAAAAUAUGACUGAACUUAAUACUCUCCAUGUUGGAGCUGAGAAACUAGCAACCUGCAAUAAGAGAUCCAAAAGGGAUGGCAAGAGAUAUCAAAAUGCUGAAGAAGGUUCAUGAUGAUGCUAGAGUCAGAUUCAACUUCGAGCUGUGAAGGAAGAACACAAAGCCACGCAGCAGAAGAGGUACAGAUGUCGUGACGUAUUCGGGUGAUGGCAUGACUGGAAAUUCUCUGAUUCACUCAAGGGCAGAAGCGACCCGCAAAAAAUUUCCUUAGGAACAGUAAAGCCGUGCGAGACCUUUUAGUAGAGAGGUAAAAUCUGCAAACUUCUACUAUCACACUAGAGUCUACUAAACCUUCAAUAGAAUCAUUCGGCAUAUAUAUGUUAAGUUAUCAUGUUCAAAUAUGUUUCCAAUUGACUUUUUUGUUCUCCUGCUUUAACUGAGAUGUUGGGUAUGAUAGAAACAACGUUAGUAUGUUUUCUAAUUAUAUGUCUAAAUGGUAGUAUGGCACAUAAUCGAUAUUCUGUGCGGCUAACAAAAAGAAAAAUUGGAAAAAUAUGCAUGUCCCUUUGGCACAGAGAAGAAUUGCUCCAGACAUGUGGAAGAAAUUUAGUCCCACUUUUAUAUGAAGAAAAUAGAUCAAACAGAGAACUAAGACAUCCUAUAGAUAACUUAUUAAUUACUCGUCAAGCGUAGCCUUUUCACACAUGCAGAUAAAGUCAGGGGCGGAGCUUAGUGUAGGUUUGAGAGGGUCCAGACCCCCAUAACAUUCCUAAACAGUCUAAUUAAACUUCUUGUUUUAGCUUAAUUGUAGUUAUCAUUAAGAGCAAGUCUAACAGAUUCCUUAAAUUCUUUAAUUUUCUCUAUUUUAGGGAAUAUGGAGUCAUUUUUCACUCCAACAGCUUCCCUAUCUCAAUCUCUAAAAUAGGGAAAGAGAUGAAAGAGAAGCCUUGCUUCUCUAUAUUUACACAUUCCCUAAAAAUAUUUAGGGAAAGAAUAAUUGAAUGUUACACAUUCUUCAAGGCUUAAAGAUAAGAAAAAAAACAUAAUUUAUUCUAAAAAAUAAACUUUUAAAUUUUUAUACUUAUUAUUAUAUUGUAAUAAAUGAGGAUUGUUGUUGUAAUAAAUAUUUGAAUCUUUAAAAUAGAGAAACUGUUGGAUUUGGUAUACAAAAUUUUUAGAGAUUUUGAGUUUUUUGCUUCCCUAUUAUGUAGAAAAUAUAAGGAAGUUGUUGGACUUGCUCCCCCCCUUGAUUUUUGAACAAUCUAAUUAAGCUUCAUAAUUUACCUUAAUUGUAGUCAUUUCUUGUUAACAAUAAUUGAUAGAUCACCAAUAAAUUAAUGAAAUGAACAAUUGUUUCAAACUUUGAUAGGAAGUUUUCUAUCAAUUCUUUCCCUUUAGGUUAUAUUAUGUUUAUCAUAUCAAAUUUGAAAUAGUUAUUCAUAUAUUUUCCUUCUUUAUCUUUAAAAAGCAUAAUCUAACUUUAUUAUUCAUUUUUCAUAUGCUACCAUUUAUAUUUUAGACCUCCCUAACUCUUGAAUUCUGGCUCCGCCACUAGAUAAAGUCAAUGUAUUUCUGCAUGUAAAAACAUGUAUAGCAAUAAAAGGAAGACACUAUGUAUAAAGUCAAGACAUAAUGCCCAUUUGGUACUAAUUAUUGGGUCUGGUUGCCCAUUCCAAUGAAAAACGUUUUCCAUUGCCCAUUUCAAUUAUUCUUACCAAAAUUACUUUUCUAUCCCUAACCUAACUACCUGAUCUUAUCCCUCCACCUCUCAUUCAAGAUCUACUAUCUCUCUCUCUGUUUUCUCUCUCCUGUCUCUCUCUCUCUCCGCCAUCAUCCUCUAAUCCAGGUCUACUCUGACCUCCAGCAACAAUCGCACGCACGCCUCCGACGAACAGAAGAGUAGUGCGGUAGUCAGAGUCGUGUCGUCGUCGUCCUCUAAUCCAUCAACGUCGUUGUCGUCCUCGACCCGACUGGCAAACGCUGUCGUUUCAGCCGGAUCUAGGACUUCGUCACCGCCUCAUCCCCCUCCUCGCCUCGCCAAUCUAAACCGCAGGAUCUAAGACUUCUUCACCGCCUCUCUCUCUCUCNNNNNNNNNNNNNNNNNNNNCCGCUCUCUCUCUCUCUCUCUCUCUCUCUCUCUCUCUCUCUCUACUUUGUAGUAGUGCUUUGAUAUUGCGUUGUGAAUUGAUUUGAUAUUGUGCUUUCAAUUUUCAUCAAUUAGUUUUGCUUGAUUUAACGUUCACAACAUCAAUUGGUUUCAAUUAUGUUUUCCUGAACCUAAAUCAUGUUUAUCUUAUAGCUAGAAGUUGUUGAUUUUGCUUUAGAUUACAUGUGCACUGAAAUAUACUAAUGCAAUUCAUAAAAGUUACUCGUACUGUUUAGGAAAUGAACUCAAGCAUUGUGAGAAUUAUGUGUUGACUGUGUUUGUUUAACAGACCUUUGUGUAUUCACUUUGUUUUGCUCUUUAUUUUAUUAUAUUUAGUAUGUUUUCGUAACUGUUAUAGUGUUUUUACCAUUAUGUGGUAGUAGUUUUCUCGCACUGUGCAAGUACCUUUAUAUUAGACACUUAUUGUUUUUCCUAUAUUAUGAAUUUGUAGUGACAUAGCCAUGGAUGCACAACCAUAUGCGAGGUGGGGCGUCAUUGGUCAGUUAGCAUGUCCAGUGAGACUCUUUUGGAGGUUUAUGCUGAAAAAUCGAUCGCCGUUGAUCUUGAGGACGACACUUGUUCUUGCUAUCACUAGUAAAUCAACUCAUUCCCAUGUUCACACUCUCUUGCUGCCAUCCAAAAAGUUGGAGAUCAAACUGUAUAUGCAUACAUCGAGUACUUUCACACUUGCCAAAGCUACACUGAGGCGUACGCGCAUGGUAUUCAGCCAAUACCUAAUAUUGACAAGUUCUAUGUGGAUGCACAACUACAUCUGCAAUUGUGUAGCCUCCCUUGGUUAGGAGGUCAUCUGGUCGGCCAAAAUCAGUUCGGAUGAAGUCUUCUGCAAAAGGUGGGAAGAGGGGAGCAAUCAGGUGUGGUCGGUGUGGUCAAUUGGGGCGCCAUAACAAAGCAACAUGAACAACACCAAUCUGAAGCCAUGAGCAUAUGGAGUAUAUUUUUAGAACAUAAGUAGUAUCUUUUGGUUACAGAUAUAGUAGCUUUUGUUUGUAUUGGCGGUAGCUUUUGAUUUACAUCUAAUUAAGGCAUUUGACAACACAAGGAGUAGCAUUCUUUGACACAGAGAGUAGAUUUGGAGUACAUUAGGAGUGGUUUUUACAUCUAGUCGAAGCUUUUUUACUUUGCCGUAGUCACAUUGUGGAACUUUGUUUUAUUCAUAUAGCUUGCUUCAUUAUAUUGACCAUAUUCACGCAUUCAAGUGAUUGUAAAUUUUACUUGUUAUGGUGACGAUUUGAAACCAACUUUGUCGCAUUUUUUAUAGUUUCAGUUUGAAUAUCUUUUUGAGACAUGUUUAGUAUCUUUUGAUAACUGCUAUUGUAGCUUUCUACAAGAAAGGUACGAAAUGUGUAUUCCAUAUUAUGGUUUAGGGUAGCUUUCUGUUUAAGUCGCACAAUAUAAAAGUUAAGUAUGCAAAUCCUGUUUUAACUUCAUAACAAACCUGAAAUGAACAUUCAAAUUAAAAAAAUUUACAAAUACAAGAAAGCUACUACCAAAGUAUAAGAAAACUACUACCAAGGAACAAGAAAGCUACUACUAAGGAACAUAAAAGUUACUACUACAAAAAAUUACUNUAAAAAAAAAAAUUAGAAUUGUUAGUCUUUGUGGUUUGAAGUCGACAUCUGUUUAAUCCUUUUGGUUUUAUUUUAAUCUGAAUAGUCCUUAAAGUCACGAUUUUUCAUCCAAAUAGUUCUUAUGAUUUUAUUUUAAUCUGAAUAGUACUCAAAGUCAUGAUUUUUCAUCCAAAUAGUAAUUCUGACAAUUUUCUCAGUUAAAGGAUGUAAGGAUUAUUUAGAUGAAAAAUUGUGACUUUAAGGACUAUUCAAAUUAAAAUAAAACUAUAAGGACUAUUUGGAUGAAAAAUCGUGACUUUAAGGACUAUUCAAUUUAAAAUAAAACCAUAAUAACUAAACAGAUGUCGACUUUAAAUCAAAAGGACUAUACAAUAUUUUAAUAAAAAAAAAAAGAUCAGAUACAUUAACACAACAAAGACACAUCAUCACAGUUUCACAAGCAAGCUUUUCAUAUUUCACAGUAUCACAGCCAGUAUCACAACAACUACACAGUUGCCCUUCACAAAAUCUACUACCAAUGAAACAGAAAGCUAUAACCAAGGAUACGAAAAGAUACUACAAAUCAAAGAAUACGAAGUUGUUCAAAUAAUCUUGCUGCUCCUUGUUCUGCCCUUUGGAUAAUCAAAGUCUUUUGCUUGUAGUAGUCUUCCUUUUCUUAUUCUUGAUUCGAUCAACCAUUGAAGUUCUCUUAACAUACUUCUUCCUUUUCUUGUUCUUCUUCUCAUUAACUGGUUCCUCUUCAUUAACUGGUUCCUCCUCCUCAUUAGUUGCUUCUUUCUCAUUGUGACAUAAAAUGGGUGUAAACUUGCUCUAUACUGUGUCUUUUUGUUUCUCUCUUCCUCCUUAAUAGUUUCAACCAUUAUAACCUAAGCAACUAUCAAUAACACAUGGAAGAUGAGAGAGAGAGAGAGAGAGAGAGAGAGAGAGAGAGAGAGAGCUGCUUUUUAGAUGAGUGUGUGUGGGUGGAGAAAGUGUGAGUGUGAAUUAGGUUAUGAUGAGAGAUGCGUAAUUAAGUUAAAAGCUAAUAUCUAACAUGAAAAGAUAUUUGGGCUGGACCUAGCUGGAUUAGACUUAUGUAAGUAAAAAUAUUUAAGUAGACUUAUAUAAGAGAAAAUAUCUCAAAUAGAUUUCUACGUAAUUAGCCCGUUAGAAAUCUUACUUAGGCCCAAAAUAGGCUAAGAAUCCAUCACAAGGGCGAGACCGAAAAUUUGAUUAGAAAUCCAUGGUAUAUAAAUACAUUGCUCAUUACCUUCUUUAUUCUUCACCGCCGAAACCCCAAACCCCAAACCCCCACUUCAACUCCACAGCUUCGCGUAUCUUCGGCCAUGGGGUCAGGCAUUUUUUUUUUUUUCUAGCUACUUUCUUUUCAGAUAAGUGAUUCUCUCUUCGUUUGUUUGUUGAAGAUUUUGUUAAGGAUUUGGUGAAGAUGUAUACCUAUCUCUGCGAUUUGCUUCCUAAUUGUUGAAUCGAAGUCUUUGGAUUUGUAUUCUGAGCAUGUUAAUGGUGAUAUCUCUUCGUUUGUUGAAGUUUUUGUUAAGGAUUUGGUGAAGAUAUUAUCUCUGCGAUUUACUUCCUAAUUGUUGAAUCGAAGCUUUGGAUUUGUAUUCUGAGCAUGUUAAUGGUGAUUUGUUGCUAUGAAAGCUGAUGCAAUUUGCUAGACCUGAAUUUUUUUUUCUCUGAAACCCUAGUUUGCCUACACUCUUGUUCAACUCUUCCUUGCUGCCUUUCCCAAUCUCUUGUCUCUCUCACGCCUGCUUCUCUAUUCUUUACCUUUGAUUUUUUUUGUUUUUGUUUUGAUUCUCAAACCCUAGCUUCAUACUGUUGUAGGCGUGGAUCUCGAUGCUUACAGAGAGUUGGUGAAGGACAAGGGGGGGAUGAGACAUGGUACUAGGUUUUUUUACUCGAACUUAAACCUUAGCAGGAUGUGUAUGUGGGAAGAGGUAGAGAGGAAUAACCGAGAAGAGGAUAUGAAGCAAGCUCUACAUGAAAGGAUAGCUCUAAAUAAAAGCCUUGGGCAAUAUUGGGAUAACCUCAGGAAUGAAAACAAGAGGGCAUUGGUUAAGUCUUGUUUAAAUGCUGAGGAUUUACAAAAUUUUACUCGGGAGAAUACUCCUGUUAUUGAGUUUCUUACCAAAAUCAACCCGGAGGUUAUAUGGGAAUAUACUUUUCUUGCAUUUGAAUUGACUUAUUUUCAGUCGGGAGCUAGAUUCUUGGAGAUUGCUCAAUCUGAUACUCUCAAUCUAAAAUCCGAGAAGUUUUUCAGCCUUCUAGAUGGAGCGAGUGAGAGUACAUGGCUGUUAGGUGGAAGUCCUAAGGUUGAGCAUGUGUUAGAUCAUUGUAUGGAGGUUUUAAAGAAUGCAGGAGAUGGAGAUGUUAUCGCUAGCAGCUGUUUACGCAUAGAACAAAAACUAUUAGAAGGUUACAUCCAAGCAGAGGUCGACAAGGAUAAAACUAGAAACAGAAGGGCCCAGAAAAAGAAGGAGAGAUAUGCUGGACCAAAAAACCCACGUGUACAAGAUAUUUCUGGUCUGCUCAAUACAAAUACAGUUGACAACAGCACUAAGGGGGAUGCAAAAAUCCAAGAUGUGGUUGUUAACAGUGAUGUGGGUAAUCUUGAGGUAGAAGCCAAAGUUGUGGGUGAAGCAAGAUCUACUCAAAUUGAUGAAUUAGGCUCCCAGACAUUAGAUAUUGUAACUGGAAUGGCUAGGGAUUAUUGUGCAACGUCAUCAGAAUCAUUAAUUUCAGAGGAAGCUCGGCAAGGUGAUGGUGCCAGCAUGUUUGAACCACUUGCUCAGCCUGAUUCUGGAGAGGAAGAUGAGGACCAGUCUGCAAAAGAUGUAUCAGGAUCGGCUACUGCCAGAACCACGUCGCAACUACAAUCAUCAAAUGCAAAGUCAAAAAAACAGGAAGCAUCAGGUCCAUCUUCCCCGUCACCAGGUGUGUUCAGCUCAGUAGUGUCCUCCAAUGAACCGGGUGGGAGUUCAAGUAACCCUUCUGGAGAAGCUGCAGUUCCUCAAACUAUGGCCAUGGAAAUUAGGGCCGUGCAGGAUAUGAUGAAAAAGGUGAGCGCUGAAAUUUGGGCAUUUAAUUAUCUUGCACAUGUCUAUGACGUACCAACUAUUUUCUGCUUAACUUGGUAAAGUAGGCUUAGUAUCUUCUCCAAAACUAUGCUACUGCCAUUUAUGCCGGUCUUCAAGUCAUUUAUUAUUUGGUGAACUGGUAUAUCAAUAUGUUCUUUCUUGUCCCAUUUCACAUGCCUAUAUCAUGGGAAGAGCUAAAGGUUCUAUGUUGCAUGUGUUAUGGUUGUGUUUUGUGUAAUCAAACCUUGUUUUCUUGUCCAUUAUCCUUUCUGUUAACUAUGGCUUUUCAUCAUAUGUGCAGCUAAUGGAUAUGCACGAAAAAUUGCAAGAGCAGAUGGCAGUGAUGAAGGCUAUAGAGGCCGAUAAUGUUGCUAUGUGGGUUCAGCGUCUUGAAGAGUUUCCUAAACAAGUAACUGGUCUGAUCGAUGACUUUGUAAACAAGGACUUUGGAGUCAUGUUAGAGAAAAAGGUGAAAAAUGAAUUAGCUGAUAUUAAAGACGCUUUUGUUUGUGCAAACACUCCAGGUAUAGAGCAAACUCAGACAGUACCUUGGCUGUAUCUGAUUACUGUCAGGUAAGAAUUUUAGAUGUUCUAGCAUUUUCUGUAAUAAAGUUGGCUUGUCUAAUUGAUGUGUGUGCUGCAGAGUGAAGUGCGAGAUAAAGCAGUUAAUCAAUUGGAGAAUUUGGUCGAAUCAAAACUUGAAGCUACUAUCACACAGUUUCGAACUUUGGCUAAACAAGUUCUUGAGGUAUGUUUAAUUCAUAGUAAUUUUUGUUUCAUUUGCGAAAGAAAAAUGAACACUAACUAAUGGUAUCUGUAGGAUGCUCUCCGGUCUAUCAUGGAUUCUUCAAUGGCACCUUCCUUUCUGAGGAAAUGUAGAGCGACGCUUGAUCUGUUAGAAGCUGAAUAUUUGAAACGAAUUGGUUCUGCCCCUCGGAAGUAUCCUGUGCAUACGAAAUUGGUCAAAGAGUUAAAUGUGUGUGCGCUUAUAGUCGGUUCAGUUCUGUUUUGAUAGUUUAAUUUUUGACAACUCUUCUUUGCUUUUCUUUCACAAGUUAUUAUGCAUUGGGUUUUUUAUGUGUGACUUUGCAUUCUGUUGUCAUUUACAGCUAGCUUUGAGCUCCGCAAUAGGAUUGUCUCGAAAUCUACAUAGAGAUUUGAUUGCGGAACAACGCAAUCUUGUGAGUGAAGCAGUAAAGGUGAAGCUGUCAAGGUUGGUGAGCGAAUGCAAGUAUGAUGAGGCAUUUAGUUGUGCUCUAGAAAGAGAUAAAACUGAUAUCGGCCUUGUACCAUGGUUAUGUAGUCAGGUGUGAUUUGAUGAUAUUUUUGUGGUUGGUUAUCUGACAUAGUGAUGGAUUGUCAGUGACAAUUGUUUGCAUUUUGCAGGUUGAUCUUCGGGACAUACUGGUGGUGCAAGUACAUAUUCCUUUGAGCAUAACUUCAAUUCUAAAGCUGCAAGUACGUCUCGCUGAAUAUUAUGAAAUAAAUCAGGAAGCCUGUGUACAGGGAUGGAUGGUUUGCUUGGAAAUCGCCAUGGACCGCAUCCAACAGAUGGCAUCGAUCAUAACAUCUUAUCGAAUCAACCAAGGCCGCCACGAUCUCCAGUGCUAAGCAAGCUAGUCUAUGUCAUCGUAUGCAUGUCAUUAACUGUGUAUUAAACUAUAUAUUCUUAUUUUGAUUGUGGUGGUAUCUAAUGAUCAAGUCUUGAUUAAAUUACCGGUUUCAAAAUUGUUAUACACCAUUUCUUAAACAUUGUAGUAACGUUCAUUAUAAGAAAACAUGAACACGUAACAAAUUGCAUUGGCAUAAUCGUGUAUGAUAUGUCGAAGAGGCUUUAACAUAUAAAUCAUCAACGGGUACCUAGCCUCCAAAAACUGAAUACUAAUUCUGCAGCAUAUACCCAGUACUCAUGUAUGGCAGCUCAAUGUCCAAUUGCGAAACUAUUCACAGAGCCAAACAAAUUAAAGGUCCAGCUGUCCCUUAUAAAUAACUUCACAUUGCAAUUUAAUGGAGGUGCAGAUUAAUAGGGAAAAACACCAUUACGAUAUUUAAAGUCAAGAGAAGGGAACAACAAUGUUCUGAUAAUUAAAAUAAACUACAAAAAACAGGAGGACUCAUCGACAUCAGUUCAGUGGUACCACAAAACAAACCUCCUCGUCCCAAAUAUGGCUGGGACAUCGGUGUUAUCCAACAAUCUACGUGUCUCCCAUUCUGUUGUUCUCAGCAGUGACAACAACAAAAACAAGAACAAAUGAUUACAUAUUCUUUUAUGUUCUCCCAUUCUGCUGUUUUAGCAGUAAUAACAACAAGAACAAAUAAUUACAACACGUGAACCAACUAUAACUGUUGUUGUUACUUGCGUGUCUAUGACGCGGUGCUCCUCCUUCCUUUUUUUUUUUUCCAACUACGGCGAGUGGUUUGCCUUUUGUCUUCCAUGAACCUGUUUCCAGCAAGAAGGGCAACUGGUUCAGUAACAAUUAUGAGGGCCCAAAUUUCAAGCAGGCUAUACGCUCUAACCAACUUUUCUGGUUAUAUUUCGGCAAGUUCAGAUAUCUUUUGGUAGGGAACACAGAAAAUAUUAUUAAUGCACGCAUUCAUUCAUAACAGUAUAGUAUAAACACCAUGUUGCAUCAAAUGUAUCACUAUUUCCAAUCAAGCUUUUUCAGCAUUAUAACCAAAUUCAAUAAAAGUGCUCAAUUGGAUUGUUUAGGAAGACUUUGGGUGGAGGAGGCGAAAUUGUAAGUAGCUUGAGGGCACAUAGAUAAAAGAGAAGUACACAUUUCAUGGAUAAAAUUCUACCAUAACAGCAAACCUAUAGUUGAAACCAUAGAUUCGAAGUAUAUUCUUAUCCAUAGAACAAGCAAGAUUCAGGUUUUAGUCUGCAAGUGUGGGUAAAAUUUAAGUCCAUGAAAACAAUCAUAAACAUUUUAUUCAUCAUAAAUAACACUCUACUAGCACAUGAUCCUUGAAAUGAAAACUCAACAACAGGACGAUAUAAGGAAGUUCAAGCUGCAAUUCACCAGAGCAGAUAUUUUAUAAAAUGGAACAAUUAUUUCCUGAGAAACAGUCUGGUCACUCUAAAAUGAGGAGGCAGUAACCAACUGGAUAAUUAAUGGACCAUGGUAACAAAAACAGACCAAAAGAUCAGCAAGACUGCCAUGUCCCUGACUGUCCAUUGAAGGGUUUGGUUUAGACACCUAUUUAUUUAAUUCUUAGCAAAGGCCAAGUGACUUGAUGGAACAUCCUCUUUUAAGUUCUUAACAGCAUUUCCUACCAUUAAACAAGAAUCUCUAUCUUGUCACAAAAUGAGACCAAUGUCAACUCAUCAACCUAUAUUUUCAAAUCUGUAGAAUUGCAAAAAUAAGGAAGUUAUCUUAUCCAAAUUCUCACCUACUGCCUCAACAACAUCAAUUGAAGAAAUACAAAAAAGAUACGAGUAAUUAUCUCUCCAUCCACAUGAUAACAGGCCUAUAUUUUCAAUCCCACUGAGAUGCCAAAAAGCUGCAAAUGUGGAUUCUACAACAUGUGAGAGAGAGAGAGAGAGAGAGAGAGAGAGAGAGGUGGGGCAUAAACAAAACUCGACCAACACAGCAAUCAAAGACUAAUGCAAACAUCCUCCUAAAUCUUAAGCUGAAAAGGUAAUUUGAACAUAUAUAAUUCAACCCCUUCAGAACAGAAUUAAAACACUCCAACAAGGUUAAAAAAAUCUAGAUAUAAUACUGACCUUCAAGCCAAGAUGCCUUCGCCUUAAGACACAACCUGACGAUCGAUAGAUUAAAAAUGACAUUACUGCUAUUGAAUCCUUGAAUGCAUAAAUGACUGCUUUCGAUUCCAUCCUGCGGGACAAUUAUAUAUAUGCGCAGUUGAUAAUUGAAGGAUCAAGGCAGAAUAAGCAUAUGUCGAACCAGAAGACAGAAAGAAGCAUAAUGCAUAUUACCAUUCUUGUAAUAUGCAAUUCUAUUAUGGCAUAGGACACAUUGCAACACCGAGGGAGGGAGGGAUUAUCAUUCUUGUAAUAUGCAAUUAAUUUUACACAUUUACUAACCUACCAGUACUAAAUAGAUUCUAGUAUGGUAAAUAAACUCUAUCACAUCACACGUUACACAGCUCUUCAAAUUCCAAUUGCAGUUUACCUAAACCACAUAUGUUUAUGCUAAACUAAAUGACACCGCACAACUCUGUUAGCAGAGUCAACUUUCACUUCGACCUUUUCUAUUAGUUGGAAAAACGAAAAAUAUUAGUGAUACUUAUGAAGUUAAGAGACAGUUUUGAAUAUAUAUUCGGACACUGCAAUAAGGAUCAAAUUACCAAAAUUUUGAUGGAUGAAUAAAAAGGGCUUAAAACUACUUGAAUUUCGUAGGAUGAACAACAGGGCCUAUAACUAGUGUGCACUGUUUUUGAUAGAAGCCCUAUACCAGACAAUCGUGCUGAUUCAAGUAUGAUUCUAAUUAUAAAGAUAUAAACUAUAUGGGUCUCUGUAUUGCUUUUUUUUGUUAGCUACCCAUACUUGAAGAUGCAAUUUCAAUCGUAAGUACAUGGUGCAGAUGGAAUACACUUUUAAACACCCGCAUCCCUAUGAAAAUGUUUGACAAACACAAACCCAAACACAUUGUUCUUGCCUCUUCGGUGUCUGCAAGUGGGCUCCCUUCUGUCUGCCAUGGACCUGUUUCAGGCAUAAAGGGUAAUAACCAUGGAACCAAAGGCUUAAGACAGAUUUAAAAAUAUUUAUCUUUGCAAAACUUUAUAUACCGAGCUAUACAUGUAACUGAAUUUACAUCAGUAUUGUCACAUUCUAGAACCACCGCCAUUCUAAAUCUGCUAUACAAAAUCAAUGCCACAUGUUAUGCAUAAGAGAAAUACUCGAUAUUGAAUUCAAGUUUACCCUAUUUUAAUUCUAACAUGCUCAAGGCAUGCCGCAACUGGUUAAAAUCUAAACAAUGCAGAUUACAGAGAAACAUGUAAAACAUCGAAGAACCCUAACAAAGAAUCGUAUGGAGAUUUGAGGUUCUCCAUAAUUAUAUUGGCGCAACAUAAUCACUGCAAACUCAUAUGAUUCAACAGAAUUGCAUUCUUAAGACAGCCAUGGCGACAAAAUUUUAAGCUAGAUUUGACAGCAAAAUCUUUCGAGCAAUGCUGUAGCAGAAUCACACAUCACCCGAAGUUCAAUUAGCUAAUCACCCAACAUAUCUUUCGCUCUAUGUAGUAUAUUACACCACGACUAAUAGAAGUCAUAUCAGGUUGACAACAUAUCAGUAAUGCUCUCGCAACCCAUUCGAUAUAAGUCACUUCAGAUCCGUAAGCUGCUCUUUUGGUUAUGUCUAACAAAUCGUGAUAUUGAGAAAGAGAAGGAACCUGAAUCAGAUUGUAUUGGGUUUCCGGCGAUGACUCAGAACUCCUGGCAAUAAGCUUCGUCGCUAAUCUCUCUGGGUUUCCGAUUCCAGAUCCGGAUUGUGUCUUCCAAUCCUUUAGAAAUGAUUCCACUCUUCUGUCUCAGCAACCUCUGCGUUAUUUGUGUCUAGAUGCAGAACUUCGAAUCGAUCGAAAUAGUUGACGAAGGAUAGAGACGCGGUUGGGGAUCGACCUCGGGCGAAUUCUCUGUUCUAUCUCUCAGUAAAGCAGUGAAAUCAGGCAGUUACCGUGACGAACAUAAAUUACUUAACUAUCCUUUGGUUAACGGCACCGUCUGGUGUACGGUACAUCGCCCGCAGUCCAGCUUUUGCCAACUUUCCACCCAAAAGACAAAAAAGAAAAAAAAAAAACUAACCCUAUGUGCGCGCGCCUCGACAAACACUCUCUCAGUCCUUCCAACCCCAAGCGCUCCUGGCUCUCCCCAAAGCGCGCGUCUCUCUCUCUCUCUCUCUCAUUCAUUCCCUCGCGCCUCUCAUCUCUCUUCGGUCUCUCCCGAAACACCCAGCUCUCUCUCUCCCAAAACACCCAACCUCUCUCUCCCAGAAAACUCCCGAGCCCUUAGCUCUCUCUGACUAUAUCCUCGCGAGCCCUCACUUAUCGAUCUCUCAUUCAGCCCUAGACCAUCUCAUUCUCAGCCAUCUCCCCCAAUUACAAAACCCUAAACCCAAAUUUCGAUUUCAGAUCAAUUCUGUCCUGGGAGAUGAUGAUGUCGCUGAUGUCAUCGCGGCAAUCUCAGAUCUGGAAAUUUCAGUCCGGCAAUGUCCUCGUCGUAUGUGUUUGUCAUCGUCAGAGAUCUGGUAAUUUUCCCGUCAUGGUCUCCUCAUUUUUAGUUCGUCAUAGGAUGAAGCCUAGAGCCAAAGGUUGCUGGCAUUGAUUGGACUUUUAACAGUUGGGGAGGUAGGCUUUAAGUUAUACAAAGUUCUUGUCCAUAUUGAAGUUGUACAGUUUUCUAUAGAUACCAUUUUAUGCUUAAUCUUUGAAGUAAUAGAACGGUAGUUAGAACCUUGAUGCUUUAAGGGUAAUUUGCACGGUUGCAUUUAAUGUUUAUUCAUGGUAUUUGUAGGAGUUGAUUAUGGUUGUUAUCCAGACUUAGGUUUGACCUCCUUGUGGCAGGGAAGGUGAGAAGAACUAAACAGAUAUGUUUUUGAUUUAUAGGUUGUUUGCUUUGUUUUAGAGACAUUGUGGGUGGAACUACUUCAACUUGGGUUAAAGCUCAGAUCUUUAACGUGUUCAACAUAAACUACUAGCUUGUGUCAAUAAAGAGCCAACCUUUUAGUUUAGUUUUGUUUGUUUGCUUCACGAUUUAAACAUUGUGAUCCUUAUUUGGAUUCACUUUCUUAUGUACUAUAGCUUCAUAAUUCUUUACCCAUAAUCCCAUAUCAUCGCAAAAGUAAAACUUUACUUUGAUUAUAUAUGCUUAUCUUCAAGGUUACAGAGCUCACUGAGUGCUUGUUGUUAUUUAAUUGUGUUGUUAUCAUGUGUAAGUUCAUGACAGGGGUGGAUUUAAACGGUGGGCUAUAUAGGCUCAAGCCUAUACAACAUUUUGGGGGAAAAUCUCCCAAGUAUGUGUAUAUAUACUUGGUUGGCUUCUUGUUAAUCCAUUAUAUUGUGCUCGAAUGUCAUACUUGAGUUGAUAGUUGGCUUAACUAUUAAUUGUUAGUUGAUAGUUCAUAGUUGUACAUAUACUGUAAAUUUCUUUUUGAUCGAAUGAUAGUUGCAGCUAGUGUUUUGUCUAAAAUAUAUACAUACGAUAAUCCUAAUACUGGUGUUGUAUCUAUGGUUGGGAGUAGGGAGUUCAUUCAAGGGGUGUCUGAAAAUCUUCUUGAGACUGCACUCCCAAAGACCUGGUGGACGGGUUCUUGUAUUGUUGGGAACUUGGCAAGCAUAGGAGGAUCUUCGGCAGUCCUGUUGAGAAUGAUUCUGAUAGGGAAACUGGUGUUCUUAUGAAUGCUGAUACUCAUGUCUUGCUCAAUGUGAAGCUUGAGCAUACUGGAGAUCCUAGCUAUCUUGGAUAUUGAUUCAUAUAUAUAGGUAACUCAAAGCAUAAUUCAGUUCUUUAUAUGCUUUGCCUUGCUAACUGAGAUUUUGACUAGUCUCUUGACUCAUGAUUUACUGACUGUACUCCUAUGUUGGAGACUUGGAAGUUUGGUUUGUUCACACACCAUGAGAAUAUUUUAGGUGUUUUCAUGUUGUUCUACUAGUUUGUUUCUUUACAGCUUUUUACUUUUUCAUUCAGGGUGACUGGAAUAGUGCGGGUGCUCACUACAGCUACAUGUAGCUCCCUGUUCAAUUUUAUUGUCAAAUUUGACUGCAAAUUGUGCUUAUAACUAGAGCCAGAGUGUUUUAUGACUGUAGAUCAUUAAAUUUUUGAACUUGUACAUAUCAGUACCAAGUCAAUGAGAAAUGAUGGUGGGUAUGAAGUAAUCAAGAAGGCUAUUGACAAAACUGAGCAAGCGAUAGAAGGAGCACAUUUGUGCUUAUGGAGAAGGCAACGAGAGGAGAGUGACCAGUCAACAUGAUACUAUUGAUAUCCACACUUUCUCUUUGGUAUGUUAAACAAUCUUAGUUAGCUAAAUCUAUUUUAACCUCUUUGCGGUGUGUAUCAAACUUGGCAGAAGUUUUCCAUAUAUUCUUAUUUAGUUACUAAUUUCAUGACAAUUCGUCCCAACAAAUCACAUGGAGUGGAAAUAGGGGAGCAUCCGUUUGUGUUGGUCGUGAUACUGAGAAAGAAGGGAAAUGUUAGAAUGUCUUUGUAUUUGUACAUGAUAUCUAGUAAUGAUCUAUAAUAUGCAUUAUAAUUAUUUUUCUCUUUACAAUAGAUGUGCUUACUGAUGAACAUUGGCAUGAGAGUGUCUUGGUGAAUUGUGUGGUUACAACUUACAAGUAAGUUGGUUCUUUGCGAUGCUGGAUAUCGUUCUUAUUUCAGACUACACUCAUGGUAAUCUUCUGCUCUUGCACUUUCAUAUCAAUCAAUCUAGCUAGCAUUGAUGAAUGAUGUUGCUCUUACACUUUACCAUAUCUGUUUCAGAAAGUUCCAACCAUUAGGAGUUGAAGUGCACAUUGUAAAGUGUGUUUUGUUGUGGACAUUUGGUCUGCAAGGUGGUGUUCUUUCCAUGCUGCAUCCUUUGUCCAUGCCAAUACAUAUUGUAUAAUGUUACCAAGAGCUUACCAAAGAGAAUAAUGCACAAGAACGCACAAUGUGAUGUUGAGAUAGGCAUUAUGUUUUACUUGUUUCGAGAGACACACAAUCAAGAUAGCUAGGAAAUAUAACAUAUGAAUUUUCAAUCUUUACCUUUGUAAUAGGUCAUCAACUUAUUGAACUCAGUUUCUAUACAGUGGAAUUGAAAUCAAUCUGUAGUCAAUGUUUAUUGUUAUUGUAUUUUUUUUUCUUUCUAAAUAUAAAACUGGAUUCUAGCAAUAAUAAUAUAUAUAUAUAUAUAUAAUUAAAAAGAAAUUAAGCUGAAAUUUUUCACUAAAACCGACUUAUGUGUCUAUAUCAGAUAACAGGUCUAAUAACAAUAAUUGUGUGAUUAGGUGUCACACAACUGUUACACAAAUUAACUGUGGUGUGAAUGUAUGUUAAUACGCUGUCGACAUGUGUUGACAUUUUAUGGCUGUCGACAACAAUCAGACACGUUUCUACAAUGCAUCAGAUGACACGUAAAAAAACAACGGUAACUUUAACAAUCAGACGAUGUUUUUUAGCCGUUGUCUGAUGCAAUUUUUGUGGUAAUGAAUACCCAACUCGAAUUCACAAAAAAAAGAAGAAUCAACAUCAGAGUCGAAGUGUUGAAUCCAAAACCCAACAGCCAUCUCUCUCUCUCUCUCUCUCUCUCGCAGAGGUCAAAGAUGCAUUGGUUGCUUUGAAAACCCAGAACCCAAUCAGAGAGAACUCAGAGAAGCAGUGAUGGGUUUCUGAGAACUUAAAGCAGAAAGAGUGAAAGACCCAAUCUCUUCUUCUCAUUCCUUUUAACACGUUUUGUCAAACGGGUGGGUUUGAGCGGGUAUUUAAUGGGCGGGUUUCGGGCGGGCUCGCAGCCCGCGGGCCAAAUUGCCAGGCCUAUUUAUGCAAACUGUUUACCAUUAUCACUUUAAACCGAUAAUUGAGAGAACCCCUGCGGUGCCGCGCCGACCAAACCGGGUUGAUAUCGAUUUUGCAGGUAUUUUUUUCCAGCUACUUUCUCUUCAGAUAAGUGAUUCUCUCUUCGUUUGUUGAAGAUUUUGUUAUGGAUUUGCUGAAGAUAUACAGCUAUCUCUACGAUUUGCUUCCUAAUGGUUGAAUCGAAGCUUUGGAAUUUGUAUUCUGAGCAUGUUAAUGGUGAUUUGUUGCUAAGAAAGCUGAUGCAAUUUGCUAGAUCUGAUUUUUUUUUCUCUGAAACCCUAGUUUUUCUACAGUCGUUCAACUCUGCCUUGCUGCCUUUCCCAAUCUCCUUUCUCUCUCACGCCUGCUUCUCUAUUCUUUAUCUUUGUUUUUUAUUUUAUUUUUUAUUCUCAAACCCUAGCUCCAUACUCGCUCAUAAUUCUGUAUCAUCAUAGCCUCUUCUAGCUCAACUGUCAUUGGGGCUGGAUGUUUGGUCCGGCUGGUUCUGAGUCGAUCCGAUCCGAAUAAGGUGGUUCGGAUGGGAUCAUGAUUAAUUAAAAUGUGGCUUCUCUUGUAUAAUGGAAGUUCGUAUUCUGAUCGGAUCCUGAAAAAAAAAAUGUAAACUGUUUGAUUGAACUAGAUCUAUAGUAGGUAGUCAGAUUGUUAGGGUAAUGAAAAGAUUAAACACAAAAUUGACUAAGAAUGUUACCCCGUUGGAUUGUUGGUGGUGUUUUGGAUGUUUGGAGCUGUUUGUUUACCUUGUUAUUGGCUUGUUGCAGCUUGUUAUUGUUGAGAAUUGCAGUAGUUUGCUUGAAAUUUGUCAAUACCUUGCUAAGUUUGAAACUUUGAAUUGCCUUGAUGCUUAAUGCUAUUUUGUGUCCAAGUUGGUAUGAACUUUUGGAUUUUUUUAUUUUUUAUUUUUUAAAUGGCUUGGAACCCAGCCUAGUUGGGAGGAUCCACUUAUUUUAUUAAAUAUAAUAUAUUGCUGCAAGGAGACAUAAAACCUCAACCCGGAGCUACAUUUAGAUAGAUAGCUAAUAUCCUCAUAGAGAACAUUGCAGGUGUCUUAUCUAACCAAACAUCAUCAAGGAACCCAAUACUAGCAAGGUGAGCUAACCUAUGGGCCGCACUAUUUGCUUCUCUGAAGAUGUGCUGAAUUUGGAUGGACUGAAAGGCUUGCAUAUAAGCCUUACAAUCCUCUAUCACUUGACCCACCUCCAACAAAUUCUGCUCCCUCCAACAAACCCUAAACCCUAAACCCUAAAACCGUAUACCCUAGGGCAGUAACUUAGAAUAUUGGAAAUAUGUUUAUUUAUUUUUUUUUUUUUAAACAUGAAAAUGGUUUGAGUUGAGACUUGAAAAAGUUGUAUGGAAAAUUGGAAUUGGUAUUAUGGAAUCGCAAAAAAAACCGAGAUCUAGGGAUGGCAAUAAUCCCUAGUGGGUAGGGUAGUUUGACCCUAAUGGGGGAGAUAUACGGGGGAUAAACAGGUAACAGGAUGGGGAUGCCCAGUAUUUGGAUUCUUAAAUCGGGUAGGGGGCGGGUAUGGUAUUUUGAUAUUCGUCCUCAUCCCCACCUAUUAAGGAUGGAAAUAUUAUUAUAUAUAAUUUAUUAAUAUAAAUAUAUAUUUAUGUAAAAAUCUUUUUUCUAAUUUUUUGUGUGAUUCUCUUCAUAAAUAUUUAAAGAAAUCUUUUUUUUAUAUAUUACUAGCCUUUUACUCGUGCAUCUCCGUGCAGAUACGUGGAUAUAUAAAAUGGGAGAAGUUUAACUUGAACUGCUCCACUUGAAAUGAAUAUGAUUAUCUUAUUUCUUAGAUAACUGCUCCACCAAAAGCGGGAACAGACCACAUCCUUUUUUCUCUCCAUAAAAGUCUAGUGGUGUUUUUCUCCAUAAAAGUCUAGUGUUUUUUUCCUCCCCGUCCUUUUUUGCUCCAUAAAAGUCUAGUGGUGUUUUCCCCAUAAUAGCUUAUGUUUAUUUUCUUUGAGAAUUUUCUAUUAUCUUGGUUUUCAGGUAAUUCAAAAAAAGGCUUCACCAUGACACCAAAGAGGGUGCCUGGCAUUCUAAUAGUAGAGAUUACUGGAUUGAAUCAUGAAACUUAUUUAUUUUGGUAUUUGAUAUUAAUUUCAUACUUCUAUAUUUCGUACUUUAUAAAUUAAUUUAUUACAUAAUUGUUGAUGGGGAUCAGGACGGGUAUGGAAACGUAAUCCCCAAAAGGUAUGGGGACGGGGAAUCCCACUAUUGGGGCAUGUAUGGGGAUGCGGAAUGAACUAGGGUAUGAUUAUGGUCUUUUAAUCCCCUGACCCUACCCUCCCCGUUGCCAUCCUUACGGCAAGAUCCGAACCGUUUUUUUUUUUUUAAUCUAGAUCCAUUCGGAUCAUGUGUUUAAAAAUACAUAAUCCGAACGGCAUAAAUUAAACGGUUCGAAUCAUGGAUCCUAUUUUUAGAAAAUGGAUCCGAUCCGAACACAGCCCUAUUAAUUGAUAUUAGCAGAACUAUCAUAUGUAGAGAGCAAAAGGUUCUAUGUUUGCAUGUGUUAUGAUUAUGUUUUGUGUAAUCAAACCUUGUUUUCUUGUCCCUUAUCCUUUUUGUUAACUAUGGCUUUUCAUCAUAUGUGCAGCUAAUGAAACUGCUUGAAGGUUUCGCUGACAUGGAAAAACAAAAUAAAGCUGUUUCUGAUGCUCUGGUGGUUGAAGAAGUUGAGUAUAAAAAGAAGAAAAUUGUACAAGAUGAAGUAUCUUGUGUGCUCAAUCUUCGUAUCCUGUUCAAACAUCCAAUCCAUCCAAUACCUCCCUCUGAGAUUUUAAUGGCUGCUUCUUCCUCCGAAAAUACAAAUACAGUUGACAGCAACACUGCUUCUUCAUUAUAUGAGCUAAUGGAACUGCUUGAAGGUAAACCUGAACUGAUUGAGGGGGAUGCAAGAAUCCAAGAUGUGCUUGUUAACAGUGAUGUGGGCAAUCCUGAGGUAGAAGUCAAAGCGGUGGGUGAUGCAAUAUCUAUUCAAAUUGAUGAAUUUGGCUCCCAGCAGGAACUCCAAAAUGGUGUUUCAGAAAAUAUGGAGAAGUUCUUUUGCUCCCAGGCAUCAGCUCAUGGAAUUGAAAUGGCCCGGAAUUUCUGCGCAAUAUCAUCAGAAUUUUAUACUACAGAGGAAGCUUGGCAAGGUGAGGGUGCUAGCAUGUCUGAACCGCUUGCUCAGCCUAAUUAUGAAGAGGAAGAUCAGGAACAGUCUGCAAAAGAUGUAUCUGGGUCGGCUACUGCCACAACCACGUCGCAACUACAAACACCAAAUGCAAAGUCAAGAAAACAGGAAUGGAAGAAUAUGCAAGCAUCAGGUCCAUCUUCCCCGUCAUUAGGUGUGCUCAACUCAGUAGAGUCCUUCAAUGAAGCAGGUGGGAGUUUGAGUCCCCCCUCUAGAGAAGCUGCAGUUCCUCAACGUACGGCCAUGCAUGAUCUGGUAAAACAGGUGGGCAUUUAAUUAUCUUGCACAUGUCUACUCACGUACCAAUUAUUUUCGGCUUAAGUUAGUAAAGCAGGCUUAGUAUCUUCUCCAAAAUUAUGCUACUGCCAUUUAAGUCGGUCUUCAAGUCAUUUAUUAUUUGGUGAACUGGUAUAUUAGUAUGUUAUUUUGUGUCUCAUUUCGCCUGCCUAUAUCAUGGGAUGAGCAAAAGGUUCUAUGUUUGCAUGUGUUGUGGUUGUGUUUUUUGUAAUCAAACCUUGUUUUCUUGUCCAGUAUCCUUUCUGUUAACCAUGGCUUUUCAUCAUAUGUGCAGCUAUGUGAUGAGGAAAGAGAAUACUUGCAAAAGCUGAGGGCAAAGGCGGCUACUGUCUUAGAUAGAAUAAAGAAGGAAGAAGCUGAAAAGAAGAAUAAAAUUGCAAAAGAUGAAGUAUCUAGUGUGCUCAAUCUUCCUAUCAUGUUCAAACAUCCAAUCCCUGGGGAUGCGAGAAUCCAAGAUGUGCUUGUUAACAGUGAUGUGGGUAAUCCUGAGGUAGAAGUCAAGGUUGUGGGUGAUGCAAGAUCUACUCAAAUUGAGGAAUUUGGCUGUCAGCAGGAACUCCAAAAUGCUGUUUCAGAAGAUACGAAGUUCUUUUGCUCCCAGGCAUCAGAUCUUGGAAUUGUAAUGGCCCGGAAUUUCCCUGCAAUAUCAUCAGAAAUUUGUAUUACAGAGGAAGCUCGGCAAGAUGAUGGUGCCAGCAUGUCUGAACCACUUGCUCAGCUUCAUUAUGUAGAGGAAGAUCAGGAACAGUCUGCAAAAGAUGAAUCUGGGUCGGCGACUGCCACAACCACGUCGCAACUACAAACACCAAAUGCAAAGUCAAGAAAACAGGAAUGGAAGAUUAUGCAAAUAUCAGGUCCAUCUUCCCCAUCAUUAGGUGUGCUCAACUCAGUAGAGUCUUUCAAUGAAGCAGGUGGGAGUUUGAGUCCCCCCUCAAGAGAAGCUGCAGUUCCUCGACGUACGGCCAUGCAUGAUCUGGUAAAACAGGUGGGCAUUUAAUUAUCUUGCACAUGUCUGCUCACGUACCAGUUAUUUUCGGCUUAAGUUAGUAAAGCAGGCUUAGUAUCUUCUCCAAAAUUAUGCUACUGCCAUUUAAGUUGGUCUUCAAGUCAUUUGUUAUUUGGUGAACUGGUAUAUUAGUAUGUUAAUUUGUGUCUCAUUCACCUGCCUUUAUCAUGGGAUGAGCAAAAGGUUCUAUGUUUGCAUGUGUUGUGGUUGUGUUUUGUGUAAUCAAGCCUUGUUUUCUUGUCCAGUAUCCUUUCUGUUAACUAUGGCUCCUCAUCAUAUGUGCAGCUAUGUGAUGAGGAAAAAGAAUACUUGCAAAAGCUGAGGGCAAGGGCGGCUACUGUCUUAGAUAGAAUAAAGAAGGAAGAAGCUGAAAAGAAGAAGAAAAUUGCAAAAGAUGAAGUAUCUAGUGUGCUCAAUCUUCCUAUCAUGUUCAAACGUCCAAUCCAUGGGGAUGCGAGAAUCCAAGAUGUGCUUGUUAACAGUGAUGUGGGUAAUCCUGAGGUAGAAGUCAAGGUUGUGGGUGAUGCAAGAUGUACUCAAAUUGAGGAAUUUGGCUGCCAGCAGGAACUCCAAAAUGCUGUUUCAGAAGAUAAGAAGUUCUUUUGCUCCCAGGCAUCAGACCUUGGAAUUGUAAUGGCCCGGAAUUUCCCUGCAAUAUCAUCAGAAUUUUGUAUUACAGAGGAAGCUUGGCAAGGUGAUGGUGCCAGCAUGUCUGAACCACUUGCUCAGCUUCAUUAUGUAGAGGAAGAUCAGGAACAGUCUGCAAAAGAUGAAUCUGGGUUGGCGACUGCCACAACCACAUUGCAACUACAAACACCAAAUGCAAAGUCAAGAAAACAGGAAUGGAAGAUUAUGCAAAUAUCAGGUCCAUCUUCCCUGUCAUUAGGUGUGCUCAACUCAGUAGAGUCCUUCAAUGAAGCAGGUGGGAGUUUGAGUCCCCCCUCAAGAGAAGCUGCAGUUCCUCAACGUACGGCCAUGCAUGAUCUGGUAAAACAGGUGGGCAUUUAAUUAUCUUGCACAUGUCUAUUCACGUACCAAUUAUUUUUGGCUUAAGUUAGUAAAGCAGUCUUAGUAUCUUCUCCAAAAUUAUGCUACUGCCAUUUAAGUCGGUCUUCAAGUCAUUUAUUAUUUGGUGAACUGGUAUAUUAGUAUGUUAUUUUGUGUCUCAUUUCACCUGCCUAUAUCUUGGGAUGAGCAAAAGGUUCUAUGUUUGCAUGUGUUGGGGUUGUGUUUUGUGUAACCAAACCUUGUUUUCUUGUCCAGUAUCCUUUCUGUUAACUAUGGUUUUUCAUCAUAUGUGCAGCUAUGUGAUAAGGAAAGAGAAUACUUGCAAAAGCUGAGGGCAAGGGCGGCUACUGUCUCAGAUAGAAUGAAGGAUGAAGAAGCUGAAAAGAAGAAGAAAAUUGCAAAAGAUGAAGUAUCUGGUGUGCUCAAUCCUCGGAUCAUGUUCAAACAUCCAACCCAUCCAAUAACUCCCUCUGAGAUUUUAAUGGGUGCUUCUCCCUCUGAGAGUACAAGUACAUGGGCAGCUAAUGGAACUGGUUGGUGGUAAACCUGAUCGAACUGCUUGAGGGGGAUGCGAGAAUCCAAGAUGUGCUUGUUAACAGUGGUGUGGGUAAUCCUGAGGUAGAAGUCAAAGUUGUGGGGAAGCAGGAUCUACCCAAAUUGAUGAAUAUGGCUCCCAACGGGAACUCCAAAAUGCUGGUUCAAAAGUUCUACGUUGUUUAUUAUUAACAAUUAUCCAAAGUACUAAUUUAUUGAUGACAGUUAAGAAUUUCUAGACCUUCAUGAUCAUUUACUUAUUGUUUGUAAUGACUGGAUGUAUUGAUUAGGUAUCUCGGGUGUAUUGUAGUAUUGUAUUGUAGUUUAGUAUUUAUAUUUUUUUUUUAUCAUAUAUUACAACUUCGUGAGUCGAAUUCAGUGUUCUAUUUAUUAAUAAGAAGAGAUUAUGCCGUUAGACCAAAUGGUAUUGGGUUAGUAAUCAGAUCUUUAGAUUUAAUGCUGUUAGAUCAAAUGGUACUGGGUUAAUAUUCAGAUCUUUUGAUUUAAUAAGAAAUGUUGUAUUUAUACAGAUUUAUAUAUUUUGGAUACUCAUAGAUUUUAAAACUUAAAUUUUUUAAGGAUUUUUAAAAACAAAUUAUAAACUAGCAUGGACUCAUGAAAUUCGAUAAACAUUUUAUGAUUCAUCAUUCAUCAAUAUAAACAUGCAACUUAAGUAGAUAAAAAACAGUAUAACAUGAAAACUUCUCAAAUUAAGCUCCGUAUUACAUAUUAUGGAAAAGAAAUAAAGGAUUCUUGUUGAUAUGAGAUCAUUUUAAAAAGCCCUCUGACCUUUCUUUUUUCUAUUUUUUAAUAAAAACAAUUUUAUCAUUUAUAAUCAAAUAGAGGUUACAAAGUGAUUCGAUCCGCAGUUUUGUGUUUAGAGGGUGAAUAUAUCAUUGGAGUCGCUAAUGGGUAUGACCCUCGUUACAAAAUUCUGCUGACAAGACUAAAGUGAAUAUGUUUUCAAAAAAGAAGAAUGGUGCUAGCAUGCCAUGUCCUUAACUUGCCCAAAUAUUUGGCAAGGGAAGGGGUGUAUCUGUGCCAUUCUAGCUUGAGUAUCAAUGAAAUUGAAGUAUGAUUUUACCUGUCAAAUUUGAAUAAAGGAUACAAAACAUAGAGAGCUAGAUUAUAUUUUCCAAAUGUUCAUUACAUAAAUUUGAAACAUAAACAAGCAAAUCCAGCAAAUGCCAUUGACCUAAUUGCUACAGAGCUCGGCAGCUUCCCCUUGUCCAUCCUUAGGUAUAGCGCUUCGUAUAACGGUUGGUUAAUGACAAUCAAAACCACACAUAGAAGAAUCUGCAAGAACAUUGCCUCAUAAACUUCUGCAAUGCCCUUUGUUCCAGUGAUUGCUUCCUUCACAAACCAGGCAAAGCAGUAUAAAUUGAGCAAUGCAAGUGUUGCAAGCACGACGAACAUUGGAGACGAGCUCCCGAAUUCCAUGAUCUCUUUCUCGUAUCGUUCGGACACAUCUUCAUCGGACACCUUCACUGUUAUUACAAAUCCUGAAUCAGUGUAUCCAAGGUUGUGUACAAUGGUGUCGAUGAAGGCAAAGAGAUAGGAGGUUGUUCUCUGGUAAAGCCAUAUACGUUGUUCGUUCCACCAACCUAAGCUCGUUCCUCCACACCACCGAUACUCCACGAAGCUCCCAACUGUUCUUAGUCAAUUAUAACAUACGCAAAUGGUAUGAUCCAUCGGCUUGAAAUCUAAUCCCACAAGACAAAACUUGUAAUCAGAAACAUGCAUGCAUGUAAAUUGUGACAAAUUAUAAUGAGAACUAUAUAUACCUGAGGAAACAAGGAUGUGCCUCUAAGGAGGCUAAGUGAAGGGAGAAUCGAGUAGAUUAGUGUUGCCCAACAAUUAGCUGCCCAUAGGUUGUAGCGAAGGUAUCCAAGUUGAUGGCCUAAACUAAUCUUUCCGUGGCCAUACCAUAAGACAUUGAACUUAGAGAGAGUAAUCUGAAGGUUCCCCUCAGACCAUCUCUUAUGCAUCACAAGUGCAUGAAGCAAUGUGGUUGGAGCUAAUCCUAAGAAAGCUUUUCUUGUUGGAUUGCAAUGCACUGAUUUCCAUCCUCGGCAUUGGAUCGAUAACCCCGUUAUCACAUCUUCGACGGGACUCCCAUAUUUCAAUCCCAUCUGCAGAACAUUAAGAUUUCUUUGCUCAAUUUUGAGUACUGCUACAUUUUGAAAAAUGUGUGUGGUACGUUAAUAGAGAGUGGGAUACCUCUUUUCCCCAUAUAGUGUUCUCUUCAAAUGUACAACUUGCAAGACUCUUUGAUGUUUCUUCUAAUUCAUGAAUGGCGAUUUCUUCUCUUCUUUCUUUAUCCCAUUUCAUCAUUUCACUCUUACAUCCCUCGAUACAUUUCUUCCCACAAAGAGUUUCUCUUCUGUGAAAGCAGCCACUUCCAAUAUAUAACAUCCCCCCAUAAUUAUCCAGACCAUGGCCUUCCACCUUCAUGCAGUAUAUACCAAAACAAUAAGAAGUCCAAUAAAUGAUAUGAUAUGAAACAGUUAAUCGAAAAUUUUGCUUAUAAUAUCUCCAUGAUCAUAUAUAUAACUCACCUCAUUAAGAACUCGUAAUGAAGCGUAUAAUUCAUUCUUAGUAAGGUUGUCGAAAUUCUGCGGGAACUGUACGUAUGCAAUCUCAUGGCCUUGUUCUUCAUCCAUCAAGAAGCAAAGUGCGUCCCUUAUGGCCAUGGAGUUGUUCGAAUACAUGUCACAGUCUACAUUAAGAAGUAACUUCCCAUUGCUAAUGCUCGAUGAUACCCUAAUCUGCAUAAUGAAUUGUCCUCUGUAUAUAUACAAAUUUGUGAUCGUUUAUUUGUAUGAUUGCAGUUGAAUUCCUCACCAGUGCAUUCAUAGCGCCAGCUUUGAAGUUAUGGUGAAAUUGGGGUCUCUUCUCGCGAGCUAAAUACACCAAAGUUGGCAACACACGCCCUUCGACAUCUCUUGCAUUUGGGUCUCUCCCAUCAAUUACUAUCUGCGAGAAAAGUUCAAUAUAUGAACUAAUUUAAAUAGGGAAGUGAAAUCCAUAUUCUUUAAAUUGUAAUCCACACUCGCACCUUCUAUUUUUUGUAACUUAAAUUUUGUUUAGUGACUUAAUUUUUAUCUUCUUAUGAAAAUAAUGACUAAAAAUAAAAAGUGGGAGUAUGGAUUAUAAUCUGGAGAGUGUGGAUUUCACAUCCCUUUAAACAUCUAGCACUAAAGUGAGUUAUUUAAUUAGUUAAUACUUGAUAUAAAUUAAAAUAUCAAAUUCUCAUACGUACUUGAAGAAUUGUGUCAUGGUCACGUUUUGAUGAAUAUGAGUCCCACUGAGAAAAACCAUUACGUUUUGAUCUUACUUCUUCCGGAAUCCGGCCUAGCUUCACUGCAUUUUCAAUUUUUGUUGCCAUGUCCUCGUAUAGUUUCUGCAUCAAUAUUAUUUGGUGACAUGAGAGCUUAAGUAUGUAGUAAGCAUUGUAAGACCAAAAGAAGAAGAAGAAAAAAAGUAGUUACAAAUGCAACACAAAAUAAAACAAGAUAUAACGGAGUAAGAAAUGUUUCUUGUAUGUUCUUUUGGUGUUACACUGCUUAAUCCAAUUUUGCAGUGUUUUGAACGUACUUCUUCUGAAACGUACGCGGCCUAGCUUUAGUGUGUUUUUGUCUUUUUGAUUCUAUUCUCCAUGUUCUCGUAUAAUUCCUACAAACAAUAAUUUGAUGACAAGAGAAGCUCAAUUUGUAAAUAUGAAUAGGGGUUCUCAAAAACAAUUUUCUAUAAAAACAAAAAAAACAAAAAGAAAAGAAAAAAGGAAGCUCAUCAAUUAUUCCACGACCAAAUAAUUAAGAGUACCAUGCAUGCAUGAGAGAAUCGAAAAAAAUGUGUGAGAACUGAGAAAUGGAGAUAAGCAAUAAUUAGCAGGUAACUCUAAGCUAGUUGAUUCAAAAGAAAUAACCAUGCAUCCUUCUCCAUUUUUCCACUCUGAUUAUGAUUAAUUACUAUUCCACAAAGACAUCCAUAUUAUAUUUAUAAACGUCAUAGUCAUAUGUUAAUUACUAUAUUUUGAUCAUGACCAAAUUGGAUCCGACCAACUUAUCUCAUUCUUCAUUUGCAUGAAUAAAAUACGAUAAAGAAAGUAUAACCUUGAUGAGAGCCAAAUCACCAGCCUGAUUCUGAUUUUGACCACCAACUGCAUCAGAAGCUGUUGAGACGAGACGAAAUAAGCAGCCGGCGACCUUGGUUCCACACUGUACUUCUUGCAAUAGGGUAUCCAGUGCUUAGCAAACUCAGCUGCUUCCAGUAGAGCAUAGUACGUUAGCUCUGAGCCGCCAUCAUCGGAGAGAUACACGCUGAGCUUCUCCGGUGGGUAGUCGUAAGCCAUGACGGACAAGACAGUGUUCAUCACCUUCAUCGGCGGCUCUAUGAUCGGAUCAGCUGUGCACACGAAUAUGUCCACCCCCGGCAACUCUUUCUCAUAUCUUAAUUUUCCAAUUUAAUUAACACACCCUCAUAAGAAAACCACCUUAAUUAUUACUUUGUAAACUCUGUGAAUCUUGGAAUUAAGUUGAUGCAUACCUUUGAGAAAGCCUGUCCUUGAAGGUGUGCCUGUAGACGAGGCUCCACCGAGCGGCCUGAGUGACGAACCAGUAAAAACUGAACCAUAACUCGGCAGCGAACAAGCACAUCCAGCCAAAUCUUCCAUCUUCUCCAGCUUUUGGUAUGUGAGUCGCUCUAUAUACCCAUAUCAAACAUAUACCAACAAAAACAGACACUGCAAAUAAUCUGUAUAGGAAUCUUCCCUUUGCUCUCGUUGUCUCAAACAGCGGAAAAUAUAUUUCCGGUUCCAUUUUUCAGCUCUAAUUGCUCGUCCUCUCUUUCUGUGUAUCUAGAAUGGUUUAGUAAUGGUGAACAAGUCCUUCAUAUUUUCGUUGUAGGUACCAAACCCAUCAAAUUUGCAACUUGUAGUCUUGAAUAUUUAUUAUUGUUUAGUAAUGGUGAACAAGUCUUUCGUAUAUUUAUAACAACGUUGAAAACUAAUAUUACUAUUUUAAAGACCAAUAUUACUAUUUUAAGGAUUCAUUUUACAACUUUAAGACAAAGUUAAUGCAUGACAUGCAUCAACACACCAUAGCCUUACCCCAAAGGCAUAUAGUCACGCUAAAUAUUUAAUAUUGACGCUUUAUCUUGAAUAUUUAUUAUUGUACUAUAAAAUUAUUCAACGUCAUAAAACAAUUGUUAAGGUACUAAGGUCAUUCAUUAUAUAUGCCUACCCUAUAAAUAUGAUGUAUUGUACUGUUCAUCAGUUAGUGAAGAAAUACAAGAUGUAGACUCUAAACCUCUUCUACGUUCUUUACUCUUAGUUUUGCACUUUCAAUUCAAUAAAUCGUGAAUCCUUUCAACAACGUGAUAAACAAAAAUACGGUUCGACUCAAAUGGUAGUUAUACCAAUUUUCCCCCUCUUAGAUCUUCUCCAUUUUUUUUUCGUUCUUAAUUGGAAAAUAGAUGUUGAUAAAUCUGUUUGGUUCUUAGUUAGUAUGAAUGUCACAUUUCAAGUUAGUAAACGUGUCAGAAAUUCAACUGUAUAUAUUAUAUCAAAACAACAACAUGAUAUGAAAACACGUACUCCAUUGGUUAGCAUAUAAUAUGUCCGUCCACGAACAUAUAUAGAUAACUUGUUAGUUACUUGAUCGUGAUGAAGCGAGUAAGCCAUUAUCUCUAAAAAUAAUUAUUAUGAAAUUCGUAGUUGUUUGAAAAUGCAGUCCUUGUCUAUACUUUAAUAACAAGAAAUUUGUGAUUCAUUACAUGAAUCAAGUAUAAUUAUCAGUUGGCAUGGAUCAAAAUUGAACAUCUCGAUCGGACGAAGAGAUCAUGACUCUUAUAUGUGUCCAGACGUACACCAGAGACUUUAUUUGACUUUUCUCCACUAUAUAUUCUCAAUACAUUCUCGUUGAAGCUGCCAAAAGCUUAAGCUUAAUUUCCACACACAACAUGAACGUCAUAGAUGACUUAAUUCGAUGUGGACGACUUUGAUCAAUGAUACACGCUGAUCGAGCUAGCUUCUCCAAAGCUUAAUGUAUCCAAAUCGAUGAUUUGCAGAUUUAGAGAUUGAAUUAAUGCAUGUGUACCCUAAAAAAUGAUCAAAAUAACAAAUCACAUAUAUAGUUAACAACAAAAAAGUAAUUAGCAGCUUCAUUAAUAUAAGCUAAUUGGUAAUUAACUCCUUAAUCCUAAUUAACAGACUUGGGACAUGAAUUGUGGAAUGUAUAGUACAAGGCAAAAUAGACUUUGCUAAUUAAUAAAAUUAACCUAGGGCUAAAGUUGACAUUGUGGUUGGCGGCAAAUAAUUAAGCACCAUGCACCGACAAAUCAGUGACGAAAUCGAUGAUGAUCGAUCCAUGUUAAGCCAUAAAAUAUCGUAAUCGGGUGUGUUUCUUAACUCUGACAUGAGGCCUCAGUUGAACUCAAGUGAAGACUCCUCGGCGGCUCUAAUAAUGUCCAUUUCUUUUUACCUCUCUCGCUCAUGGAUUACGUACAUAGUGAGAUUAGACUUGGCUAUGUUUUGUUCGACUCUAUUCAACCUUUGCAAGACUGCAAUUGCUAGCUACUAUAAAUACAACUUCGCUGCGAGUAGGAUUUCAUAACAAACCAUUCAGAGUUUCAGAGAUACUACUCGAUCGAUCACUACUUAGCUGAAAGAUAUGGGGAAUAAGGAAGGGUAUUCACCACUGUUGGAGACCAAGAGAGGAAAGGGAAGAGUGCUAUAUAGGCUGUUUGCUGCUUCUUUGUUUGCAGCUAUAUGCUUGGUUUGGGUUUAUAGAGCGAGUCACAUACCAAAGCCAGGAGAGGAUGGAAGGUUUGGCUGGAUAGGGCUGUUGGGUGCUGAGUUAUGGUUCGGGUUUUAUUGGAUCCUCACCCAGUCCUGCCGGUGGAAUCUUACCUAUAGGCAAACUUUCAAGGAUAGAUUAUCUCAAAGGUACGUAUAUAACUAUAUAUGUUACACAAUGCUCUCCUAUUCUUAUUGCCCUCUUGUUGCAACACAGAUAUAUAUAGCCAUUCCAUGUUUGCUAUAUAUAGCUAAUAUCUUCUUCUGCUCAUAUUGCAUGUAUUAAUUCAUUUGGGAAUUACAGAUUUGAGAAUGAGUUGCCGGGAGUGGACAUAUUUGUGACCACAGCAGAUCCAAUCAUAGAGCCACCAAUGAUGGUCAUGAACACCGUUCUGUCAGUCAUGGCUUAUGACUACCCUACGGAGAAGCUCAGCGUGUACUUAUCCGAUGACGGCGGUUCCGAGCUUACGUACUACGCUCUCUUGGAGGCUGCUGAGUUUGCUAAGCAGUGGAUACCGUAUUGCAAGAAGUACAGUGUGGAGCCGAGGUCACCAUCUGCAUAUUUUGUCUCGAUAGAUUCUGACGCAGUUGAUCGUGAUGAUAACAAGGCUAAUGACUUGGCUGUAAUUAAGAAAUCAUACAAGGACAUGGAGACUAAAGUCGAAAAUGCAGUCAAGUUAGGCUACAUUUCGGACGAAGUACGAUCACAACAGAAAGGGUUUUCUCAAUGGGACUCGCAUUCGUCUAAACGUGAUCACGAUACCUAUCUUCAAGUAAGAGAUACAACUUGCUGAACCUUGUAGUACUCGUGCUUCAUCUUCAUUGUCUUCUUUUUUUUCAUUAUGUUCGUAUAUAUGUUGUUACCGUAAUGCAUGCAUCUACUGUUUCUCAGGUUGUAAUUGAUGGAAGAGACCCAAAUGCAAUCGAUGUCGAAGGAAUUGCAUUGCCAACUUUGGUGUAUUUAGCUCGCGAGAAGAGACCACAGUAUCACCAUAACUACAAAGCUGGCUCUAUGAAUGCAUUGGUAAGUAUAUAACUGUACGUAUAAGGGAUUAGGGUAAAACAACCUUGUGCACACAAAUCAUUUACUUUAUUAAUUUGCUAAAAUUUCCAUUUAUUGGUUUUAUACAGAUUAGGGUUUCUUCAAAUAUUAGCAACGGGAAGGUCAUUCUAAAUGUAGACUGUGACAUGUAUUCGAACAAUUCCAUGGCCAUAAGAGAUGCACUUUGCUGCUUAAUGGAUGAAGAAAAAGGCCAUGAGGUUGCAUUCGUACAGUUCCCACAAAAAUUUGAAAAUCUUACCAAGAAUGAACUAUAUAUUGCAUUCAUGCGGACAAUCAGCGAGGUAAGUACAUGUAUUAUGUAUACAUAGAUAAUUUUAUCGAUCUCGCCUAAUCCUCAACUUUUCUAUAUAAUAUAUUUUAAUGAUGGAUCUAUCGUUAGAAGAUUGGAUUGAUCCAUCGUUAAUAUAUAUUUAACGACGGAUCCAUCCAACCUUUUCGAUAAAGGUUUUAGUUCAUUUUAUUGAAGUCAUAUGGGAAAUUGAAGGUGGAAAUGCAUGCUUUGGAUGGUUUUACUGGCCCAUUUUACGUUGGAAGUGGAUGCUUCCACAGAAGGGAUACUCUUUGUGGAAGGAAGUUCACCAAGGGAAGUAAGAGUGACUUGAAAUGGGAGAUCAGUAGAAAAAGAGAAGAAGCUACCAUUCAUGAAUUGGAAGAAGAUUCGAAAGCUCUUGCAAACUGUUCAUAUGAGCAAAACACCGAGUGGGGAAAAGAGGUCUCUCUCUCUCUCUCUCUCACAUAUAUGAUCAUAUAUCACAAUUGCGCACAUUGAGCUUUAAAGUUUGCGGCAGGUGGGUGUGAAAUACGGGUGUGCUAUUGAAGACGUGUUCACGGGGUUAUCGAUCCAAUGCCGUGGUUGGAAAUCGGUGUACUUGAACCCAACAAGGAAAGCUUUCCUAGGAGUAGCUCCAACCACAUUGCUUCAGAUGCUAGUGCAGCAAAAGAGAUGGUCGGAAGGUGGCCUCCAGAUUUUGCUUUCAAAGAACAAUCCGGUAUUGUCUGAUCAGAUCAGCUUUGGCCAAAAACUUGGAUACGCUUAUGUCGGAUCUUGGUCUAUCAAUUUCCUUCCAACCCUAUAUUACACAGUGAUCCCUUCACUCUACCUCCUCAAGGGCAUUUCCUUAUUCCCUCGGGUACAUUACUGUUUUCGAUUCUCAUACUUUUUCAUGUCAUAGUUACAUAAAACUCGUCCACUUUCUCCAUCCAUGUAUCUAAUGCAUUUUACGAAUUGGAUUCAGGUUUCAAGUCCAUGGAUCAUACCUUUUGCUUACGUGAUUAUUGCCAAGUACACUGUGAGCUUGCUGGAGUUUCUAUGGGCAGGUGGCUCAGCCUUAGGUUGGUGGAACGACCAAAGAAUGUGGCUAUACAAAAGAUCAAGCUCCUACAUAUUUUCCUUCAUCGACACCAUGCUGUACCUUCUGGGAUAUUCUGAUUCAGCAUUUGUAAUAACAGCCAAGACCUCGGAUGAAGAUGAGUCGCAACGAUACGAGAAAGAGAUAAUGGAAUUCGGAGCAUCUUCUCCAUUGUUUACAGUAUUGGCAACACUUGCAGUACUAAAUUUGUAUUGCUUCGCUGGUUUUGUGAAGGAAGCAAUCAGUCUGGGAUCACAGGGCAUUGCAGAAGUUUAUGACACAAUGGCAUUGCAAAUUCUUCUAUGUGGGAUUUUGAUUCUCAUCAACCUGCCUUUGUAUCAAGCCCUGUAUAUAAGAAAGGACAAGGGGAAGUUGCCGAGUUCCAUAGCGUUGAAGUCGAUGGCAGUUGGUGUCUUUGGUUUAGCCUGUCUCAAUUUUUCAGGCUAGCAAGCUAGGUUGUCCAAUAAAACUCAUCAAGUUAGUCAAUUUGUUCCCAUUUUAUUCAUCAUGUCGGAUAAAUAAAGCAGGAUCAUGCUUAGUUCGUGUCUUAAUUCUUGUAAUUUGUUAUCAAAAUGCUUUACUUUAAGGUUUCCGGUUGAUUUGAUUCACUUUUCAAGUAUAUAUGCAUGUGUGGAAAACUACCCAUCAGAAAGCCAUACUUGAACUCCCUCUUUCUAAUGGAGUCACUUUAUAUGUAAUAUAUCCUUUCUUCCAAUCCCAACUAGCUAGCUCCACUCAUCGUCUUAACCAGCUCUACAUCUCCUAAUGAAUAAUUGGUAUUGUUUAAGAUGGUAAAUGCUAUGAUGAUGAACAUCUAAACCUAUUAGGUCCCUGAAUCGCGAUGAACCUUUAACAUUUAGUAUCAAUAAACUCGAUGAUCCUAAUACCAUUUGAUUUAAAUUUUUUAUUUUUAAGAGUUCAAAUCAUACAAUAAUUAAGAAAAUAAAAUUUACACUCCUUCGACAUACUCCUUAUUUUCUUUCUUUGAUAACUUACAUUUUAAAGGAGAAGUGUGAAUUGUAAAUCGUGGAUCAAUCAAAUUAGUCUCGGACCACGGUAACAAGAUGGUAAAAAGUAAAUUAUAAGAACCAUGCUCUCGUGGAAAUCUAUGCCCGCGGUUAAUUACACCAACCCAACGACAAAAUCAAACGCUCUUGACAAGUCGUUUUUUGUCGAAGCUCAAAAAACAAAAUGCCUCCCGUGUAGUUUGCAGUCUCGUUAUGUCUCCCUGAGAUUCGAAACCUAAACAACACAAACUCUGUUCCUCUUCUUCUUCCUUAAAAUUCAACACUUUCUGUUCUCUUCUAUCCUUUCUGGGCUUUAAUCAAAUUCCAAGGUAAAUCUCAUUUUCCUCUAUAAAUUUUGAAUCUUUAUUUGCUUAUAUUUUCUUUCUCUUCGAUCCUUUCUGUUACUCUGCGUUUGGAACAAAGCUAAUACAAACGGUGAAAUUUGUUACCUUUCUUCAUGUUUAGAAUGAGGGUACCUCUAAUUUCCUUGCCCUUAUGCUCAAUCUCUUGAAAAAGAAAGCUUGCUUUGCAUGUAAAUUUCUGAAACAGAUUAUCGUGUAGUUUGUGGAAUAAUUAUCCUGCAGUAUCGGAAUUCUAUAUAUUUUUGUUUGUUUAUUUUGUGUUUAUGUUGUUGUAAUAGUUUCUGGGUGAUUCCUUAAGCAGGGGUUUGGUUUUUAAAGUUUGUGCCUUGAGUUCCUGACUGAAUUUUUGCAUGAAAAAUAAAUCAUAAGACAUGUGAUGUUAAUUGUUCUUUGAAAUUGAUUUUUAUGAAGUUUUGAAUGUUAUAUAAGGGUACUUUUAUAUGUUGUUAAGUUAACAAUUGUAUUUGAAUGUACAGAUGCAAAUUGGGUUUUCAAGCUGCGCUGCUGUUAUAUUGUUGGCAUUCUUGUUGAGCCUGCAAGGAGCUUUCAGCAUCAGAUUUGUGAUUGACAGAGACGAAUGCUUCUCUCAUAAUGUUUUGUAUGAAGGAGAUACUGUCCAUCUCUCUUUUGUUGUAAUUAAGGUUGAUGCAUCUUGGCAUUAUACUCAAGACGGUGUUGAUCUCAUGGUAAGUCCCAUGUUUUUCGCCUAAAUUGGGCGCAUAGUUUGCCAACUUUGCUAGGACCUUGCAAUUUAUUUUUAUAUGCAUAUAUCCAUGUUAUGUAGAGAGUGGUGACAUAGUAUUAUGUUCGUAGUCAACUGUGUACCAACCCAUGAUCUGUGCAAUUUCGAUGGCAUCUGUAGGUGAAGGGACCUUCUGGUGAGCAGAUACAUGAGUUUCGUGAUAAGACAAGCGAGAAAUAUGAGUUUGUCACUCGUCACAAAGGAAUCCAUCAGUUCUGCUUCACCAACAAGUCACCUUAUCAUGAAACAAUAGACUUUGACAUACAUGUCAGCCAUUUUACAUACUAUGAUCAGCAUGCAAAAGAUGGUGAGACGCGGUGCUUUGUGGAAAUUCUUUAUCUGAGUCUCUAAUAAGGUCUCUGAAAACUGUUGAGCUGGUUGGAAAAUGAGGUUGGACUUAUUAUAGUUUUGUGGUUUAUCUGCAGAGCAUUUUAACCCUUUGUUAGAGCAGAUAUCAAAGUUGGAGGAAGCUCUUUACAACAUUCAGUUUGAGCAGCAUUGGCUUGAGGCUCAGACUGAACGUCAGGCAAUAGGUAUCUGCUGAACUCUGAAUACCUUCUCAAGCAGCUUUAGUAGCUGAGGGAGUGUGGUCCUUUAUUUGAUGCUUGCAACCUUCCAUCCUUGAUAGACUUGAAGUUACCUCGUUUCACUAUCAUUAAUUGCAUCUUUGAUGUGUCUUUAGACUUAUAGAUGCUGAUAUAAGGUGUGACUGGUCAUUCCCUUUUCACUUUCGUAGUGUUUCCAUAAACAAAUGUUGCAUAUUUCAUCUCUCUUUUCUUUCUUAUAUGCAUAUGCCAUCUAAUUGUGAAACUUGUAAGCUUUGGAUUUGUCAAUCCUUUUGUACGUGAAUUGCUCAAUCGUUGAUGCAGUGAACGAAGCAAUGAGCCGGAGGGCGAUUCACAAGGCCUUUUUUGAAUCAGCAGGACUUGUUGGUGCUAGUGUUCUCCAAGUUUACCUUCUUCGCCGCCUCUUUGAACGGAAGCUUGGGAUGUCCAGAGUGUGACCUUUUUAUAGUCACCCCGGGGAUUUUGCACUUGACUGUCUUUUUUCUUUUUUGACAAGAUUGCACUUCGACUAUUUAGCAGUUAAUUUUACACAUUGUUUUUCCAUGCUUCUGCCCUGUUCUCUUUUCUAUUUUGUCCAGCAAGAAUAAAUCAUGUAUAGAAACCAUCAGUUUGGAAAUUCUAAUCUAAUCUCUUGUUUAUUGUGAAAUCCUUGAUCUUACACUUGAUAUUUGCUUCUGUUACAAAUACCAAUUACCAAGAGCUUAAAUAUUUCAGUCAUAAAGGCACAAGGCUAAUGGUAGUGAAGAAUUCAAGUGUUACUGUUAUGUCUGUUUACUAGCUGGCCUUGAUCAACUAUUCCAAUUUCCAAACCAUCUAUUUCUCGCACCAAAUUUUCCUCAGAUUAUAGCAUCGACAAAUUAUCUCAAGACGAUUGUUUAAAGAAGAUCAAGACAACAUCUCUCAUGGUUAAGCAAUUGACAGACUUAACGUUCAGGAGACGCUGCAUGUCUAGUCUUUCUAGGAUAGGCACUAUAACCUGUUAAAAAUUCGAAAGCAAUCAACUGAUCAAUCAUGAUCAGAGUUAAGAACGAACAGAAGUAUGGAUUUCAUGAUCGAGACGGAUCACAAAUGAUAUGAACAUUUUGAGUCGUUGACACUCGAAGCACUACAGCAAUUCUGCAAACCCCAAAGACCGUACCCUAAAUUCCAACUUCACAACCCAAAUAGAAAUCCAAGUCCGAAACAAGCCAACACCCAAAUGCCAUCUCCAAGCCCAUAUUCGUUGUACUUGAUUGAUAUCAAGUUAGAUGAGAGUUACAAAAUUAACUGUACUUUCACUCUUCUUUUAUUGUGUAGAGACAUCACUGAGAUGGGAAACAUUCUUACAGCCUCAAAAAGUGUUGUAGAAUAUUUCAAAAGAAAAAGAAAAUCAUUUCACAAACAAGACCCAGUUUGAUAAUACAAUGAGGGAAGAAAAGAAUGUCAUAAGCAAGGCUCUAAAGUGUGUAGCAUAGAUAAGACAAAGACGGAAACAGAUUGGCAUCUAAUAACAAUCACUUCAGACAAUAUAGAUACAAUAAGUAUUUGCCUUCUUUACUCCUCCCAUCACAAAGUUUUACGCCACACAAAUAAAUCCAUCACUGCUAUACAGCUCCCUAUCUUCUUUGGAAAAAUAUGGUGGAGCCAGUUACAGAACAACAUGCUCUUCUGUUGAAGGCACUUACAUGUAGGGGACCUUGUCAAGAUUGUGUGGGUGGUUGGGCCAUGCAGCAAAACCAUUUUUUCUGAGAGCCAGGGAUCAUCAACAUGAGUGAAACAAAAUCAAGACAAUUAGUCAAACUGAGAAUAAAAUAUAAUUACACACCAAUUAUUUUUUCUAUAUGGAGACAAAAAUAUAGACACUCAGAUUGAGAAAGACUAUAAUGCACCAAAGCAACGAGCAUAAAUGUGGUUAUAGGUUUAGAGGAAGAUAUAUGCACCAAUCUCUAGGGCCUCUACGGUUUUCUACUGAUACUUAACUGUACAAAUUAGAUUGAAUUCUGUCUAAAAGAAGAUGGAUUGAAUUUUUGAUGUUCCAGUCCUGCUCCAUGGAGCAAUAUGAUACUGAUAAUACAGCCAAACGUUCCUUUCUUUUUUUCUUUUUGCAAUAUCAUGGCACUAAAAUUACAAUUCCUUUUGUCUAUUCCCAACUAUAGUUCCAUAUAAGAAUUUAGCAACAUUGAUUUUAAAGCUAACAGGUGGGCUGGCUGGCUGAGUGUCAUUGAUAAGACAGUUUUAAAUGGCUAUGAAAUCUAUAUGGUUGUAGAUUGUACUGCCAUCACUUUAAAGCAAGAGCAUGUAGCUUAAGAACUAGGCAGAGUAGCAUAUAUCAGAUAAUUGAAACAUAAAUAAACAAAUAAUAUGAGAAAACAUCUUACAGAUGAUGGCCUUCCAGGAUCCACUCCAGGCCUGACAUUACUCUGAUCAGCCUUGCUUGGUGACUCAGGUUUGCCACCUGUCUUUUUUUCAUCCCUAGCCUUGUUAAAGAUCACAGUAAACCCUUCUGCUGAAGCAGGAUCAUUGACAUCCCAUUCACCAAAUUUUGGGAGAGGCCUGCCCUUGUCCUGUUAGAGACAGUAAAGUAUUCCCAUUAAUAUCCAGCACCAGCAUAAGACAGCCAAGUAAAUAAGUAACUGGUAUCUUUUCAAAGAUUGACUUCAACUGCUAUAAUUUCAAAUAGUAAGUAAACUUCAACUGGUAUCAUUAUAUGGACUUGGAUUCGAUAAGAUAACACUUUUGCAAGUGUUUAGUUGUCGUUUAUUUGUUGACCAUAUGUAAAUGUGAAUACUAAUACAAUAUAAUUUACAAAGUGAGAAGCUAGAACCACAGUCAAAGUGAUCUGAAAAAUGGAAUCAAACCGUAGAGCAAUGCAUAUCAGCUCAGAACUGUCAUUUCAAGGACUCACAACCCAAAGACCAGCUUUGUAGCAUAGUUGGAUUCCAACACAAGUCACCACUACGUAAUUAAUUACACUAAUUCAUGUAGCCUCUAGAACUCACCGUAUAUACAACUCUACAUUAUUAUCAUUCAUGAAACAACAAUGAUUCAUUAACAUAUGCAGCUGAUGAUUCACACGUGAAAAAAAAAAAUCCUCUAUAGUCUAUACUGCACAAAAAGCACAGCCAAACAUUGUGUUUCUAAUACCAUUGCAUCAACAAGACAGAAGAGACCACCAGAACCAAUGUCACCACCCCUAGACUUUUAGACGGCCUAAUGAACUCUCCCAACAGGAUCUUUUAAAGAAAAUCGAUAACUUGCUAUUUGGUUUUUAAAUGAAAAACUGCAAUUCAAUCUGAAAUCAUUUAAGCCUUUUCAUUAUUCCAAAAACACUCAGUAAGCCUCUCAAUCAGAAACUAAGAGCUUAUAUAUUUCUCAUCGGAAACAAAGAGUUAAUAACCUACCUACCACUAGCAUCCUGAACUUAAAUUCAGUGGUGUGCCUUUAGAACUGUCCUAGGAAAUGAGAAUCGAGAGGUAUUCCCAUGAUCAAAUUCAUAUAAUCAUUUAACUGAAUUAAAGGCCAAAAGAACUAUAUACUACAGAAAACAACAUGGUUUUCAGGAAGCAUUAAGCCCUUAGACACAAUGCAAUCAGCACGCAAAGAAGCUACUGUUCAACCAGAAACAUCACAACAGCAAAUCCAGCUGGCAGAAGAGGAAAAUGCUCAAAAACACCAAGUGAUUGCUGAAUCAACACAAAAAGCAAUCUAACAAAGAUAGCUCAACUCAUGCUCACGAAGUGCUGGACACUUUCGUAAGCACAACACAAUUCAUUGAAACUAAAAAGAUUGAUCAUUUCUCAACUUCUUCUAAUACACCAAUCUUUAUCUAUUCAAAAAUCGCGAAAAUCAUUCUCCUAAACAACGCAAUCAUAUGAAAACCUCUACAUCCAGCACCAAAAUCAUAAGAUAAAAUCCAUCAUUCGCAACUCGAUAAAACUAUACACAAUCAAUCACAACAGACUCAAACCAAUACGUCCUCUAAACAGAUUCCAGACUCAAAAAAAUCAAACUUAUUAAUUCCAAAACAAUCAUAAACCAAAUAAAAAAUUCACCAUUGAACCAAAACUAAGAAUCCAAAUCUGCUCCUCCAGAAAUGAAUGAACACCGUAAAACUCACAUACAAAUAAAUAUAAUUUAAACUCCAAAUUAACGCAAAAACAAAAUUAGAACAAAUGAUCCGAGCCGAUUUCAAUUAAACUAAUACAUAUUAACGAAGAAAUCCAAUAUAUUAUAGCUUAAAUCGAGCUGAUUUAGCAUCAGAGAGAUUAUAAUCAAAAUAAAAAAUAAAAAAAAAUAUAUAGGUUGGAUUUGAGAGAAGAAGACGAAAGCGAUUACGUACCGACAUGAAUUCGAUGAUCAAAAAAAAAGGGGAAGCUUUUUUUUCCGGGAAAGAGAGAAAUGAGUCGGAAAAGUAAUACCAGAAAACCAGAGAGAGAGAGAGAGAGAGAAUGAGAAUUUGGGCCAGAAAUGGGCCUAUUAUUGCAAAGCGGAUGGGAUGGUUUUAACGGUUUGUUUUCCUUAAAUAGACGGCGUUAAUGGGUUAACGGAGAGGAGGGAAGACUGUUAAGUGGAGCGUCAGCAGUGACGUGGGCUGGUGGGUGGGAGUAACGGAACGGAGUGGUGAGCUGGCAGACGGAGUGGAGGGAGUAGCUGUAGGGUUGCACGGAGGCAGAGAGCACACUGGAAUUAGCUGGCAAGUGUUUGCUUUUGAAUCGAUUAAUUUUCCUUCUAGUGAACCCUUAAAUUGAGGACUUGGUGAGAAUUUUUUUGUUUAUCCCACCUUUCGAUCUUAUAUCUACAUCUUAACCGUUCAGUUUAUAGGUAUUUAUGAAUAGAUCAUUUCUGCAAAUUUUCAGUCAUAUUGAAAAUCGUUAAGACAUUCAUAAGUGUGAUUUACCAAUUAUGAACUUGAACGGUUCAUGUUUAACAAAUUUGGUUCGUCCAUUAAUUUGAUCUAGUUUGUUACCUUAACGAUAACUAAUUUGGCUGAAAAUUUGUAGGGCUGAUCUACACAUAUAGACCUAAAAACUGAACGGAUAAGAUGUCAAAAUGUGAUCGAAAAUUGGGUCUUUUAAACCAUAAACCGAAAAGUCCUCACCAAGUCCUCAACUUAAGGGUCCUCACUAAAAGGGCUCCCUUAGGGAGUUUUCAGUGUCGUUUUUGAUGAAAAUGAUAGUGUAAUUUUUGGUUACGAAAAUGAUGGUGUCAUUUGGGAGAGGAAGUAAAUGAUUCUGUUAGCUAGUGCAAGUAUUUUACCAAAAGGACAAAGAUCGAUUAAAAAUGUAUGUUGUGUUUUACCGUGUUCGUCAGUUAAAAAUGUACGUCUGGAUUUUGAUUCUCGACUUAGAUCAUAUGUACUUUGAUCAAUGAUUCCCUACUUGGAUUAGAUGUACUUUGAUCAAUCACAGUCGUGUAUUACAAAUUCGGAUGACACCCCGAGAUUGGUGCGCCUUUGGAAUUGUAAUGCACGAAUAAAAGUCGAGCAACUCUGCUUUCUUUCAAGUUUUAAGCUAUGAACAUAUUUGUAAUACGAACCUUAGCUUAGCCUAGAGGAAUUGAUCUAAAACCAAAGCAAAUAGUGAGAAAAUGGGGAAAUGUGCACAUAUACAAAACAAUAUCACAGGUGCAUUUGUUAAUGCAAAGUCAACAAAUGCAAUAGCAUCUCUGUUAAAAAAAAUAAAAAUAAAUGCUAGAUUAUGUCUGCCAUGGCCAUGGCAUCAAAUUCCUUUGAGAAUUUGCGACGCAGACCAUUGCAAUGUAGUUUCUGUGCUUCCAUCACCAGGUGCAUAUUGCAGGUGUUGAUAUAGACACCCCAAUUCAUUUGGUUUCCUUGUAUCAUCAGCAUAUUCUGUUGCGAUAUCGUGUGUGCUGCCAUCAUCAAUGUGCAAGCUGCAGAUAUUUCUUGAGACACCCAAUUCGUUUGGUUCCCUCAUCAGUGGCCAACAUCUUUCUCUAUCAAAGAGCUGUUUCCUCCACAUUUAUUGGCAUGUGAGGUCUGUAUAAAAUUCUGAAUAAUGAAGAGUCGUGAGUCAUGAGUCAAGACUGCGUAGGAUGAUAUGUAUAAUUCAAUUACUAGAAUCAGAAAUAGGCAAUUUAGAGAUAAAAACAGGGAAAGCAUUGUGAAUGAGUUUCUAGGCAAAGCAAAACUUACAGAUUGGUUUUUAAGGCGUGACGCUGAUUACAGAUCCUAGCCUUCAAACCAUAGUGCUCAAGAAGAGUGGUGCAAGAAUGAGCUCGUAAUGGAUCAUCCAUUGUGCAGAGACCAAGAGGGAUAGAUUGUCUGUUAAUUAGUUACAACGAAACAAUGAAGUAAAACCAGACAUCAUACUAAAAGAAAGAACAAGCCGCCUAAAUGAAAUAUUAGCCUAAUACCUAUGAGGAACUCCAGUGCAUAAUAUGAGAGGGUCUUCAGCAACAACAGACGUACUCAUUGCUUGAGAGAAGCAUCAGCUACCUAAAGAGAACAAGGAGUUGAAUCAUAGAUUGAACCUUCAGAUAGCAAACACACAUAAAAGAAAUUGGGCAAACUUACAUAGCAUGUGGCAUGAUUCAUUUAGGCAAAUAUCAUCAAGUGUGAUACCCAAGCAUCAGGUGGAAUGCAUUUCAUCAAAACUAACAAAAAGCAGGUCACUCUAAGAUAUACGUGUCGUUAAAAAAUGCUAAAAGAACAAAUAAGGAAUUGAGAUACGGAAAUUGAACUGUAAUCUAUACCAUUAUGGUCAUGUUGCGUUAUGACUUGGAUAAGAAAUGAGAGCCCAUGGCAGUCUGAUCUCUCAAUAGACCUCAAGUAAAGAGCUCAUAUCCUUACUUGGGAGAGCCCAUCGCAGUCUCACAUACCGAUCAAUGAUGUUACUUCACAACCUAAAUCUAGUAUUAUUUCCAUUUAUUGCAACUCCAGGAGUUUAAUGUUCCCAUUGCAACAUUCAACUGCUCAUGCAGUGUUAAGGUCCUUCCAUCCAAAUUUCCACAUAUCAACCCCCUCUCCAAUAGAUCUACAAAAAUCUCUUCACCUUCAAUAAGAUUAUUACCAGAGAAUACAGCAGCAAGGAGAAGAGUGUAUGUUGUUGUGUUGGGAAAGAGACCACUUUGUUUCAUCUCCUUGUACAGCUCAAAUGCAGCCGCAACAUCACCAUUAGCACAAAAGCCUGAAAUGAGAACAUUAAAAGCAGUAACAUCAAGUGGCACACCACAAUGUUCCAUCACACCCCUCAAUUUUAGAGCCUCUGCAAGGUUGGCUUCUUUGCAGAACUUGUGCAUCAAAGUAGUAAAAGUAGCAGUUGUUGGAACAAGUUGCAUUCGAAGCAUGUGAUCCAGAACCAGCAUCGCUUCUUCAACCUUCCCACAUUUCGCAAGCCCUCUAACCAUAGCACUCUCAGCAAUGUCACGGGAAGUGACACCAAGAGCUUCCAUCUGAUCUUUUAGUUCAAAUGCUCCUUUUAUAUCUCCCACUCUACACAUACCAUUAAUUAUAGUGAAAUAAUGUGUAUACUUUGGAGUAUAACCUUUGGCCAACAUUUCAUACAGAAGACUUCGGGAUGCUCGGAAAGCUAAACUUCUGAACAGUCCGUUCAAGAUUGCAUCAUGGGUGUCUGUAUUAGCAGAAACUCCUAACAGAUUCAUGACACUAACUAGUUCAAAUGCCAUCCCCAUCUUCCCAAUCUCAGAAUACUUGCUGAUAAGCAAAUUGAAUGUUAAAAGAUCAGGUACAGCACCUUCUAUAAUCAUCUUAUGCAACAUUUUGUGGCCAAUAUCCACCUUACCUGACUCACAUAAUCCAAGAAUAAGAGAGUGACAUGUCAGUCUGUCGGGCAAUAAUUUGAUCCUGAUCAGGUUUUUGUACACCAUAGAGCAUGCCAAUAAAUCUUCUUUCUUUGAGUAUCCAUGCAAGAGAAUGUUAUAUGAAGCCAAAUUAGGGAAUAAUUUUCGGCUACCCAUACUUGAAAAGAGAUCAUUUGCCUUCAUCAUUUUUCCCAUCCUCGAGUAUCCAUCCAUCAUUACAUUAAGAGCAGUAGUAUCCGAGUUCAGACCUUUGUUCUCCAUCUCUUCAAACAGAUAUGAAGCGGCCUUAGAUUGGCCAAUCUUGAAAAGGCCAUCAACUAGACAGGUGUACAUUAUGGCAUUCGGUGAUAAAAUCCCUUUUUCCAUCACUCUUCCAAACAACAGGAUGGCAGUAACCAUUUUUCCCUUCCUGCAUAACCCAGCAAGAAGGCUACUGUACGUAUGUGUAUCGGGCAAGACAUUAUUCUCAACCAUCUGAUCAAGAAGGACAACAGCCUCAUGCAAAUUCCCAGACUUACAUGUCUCAGAAAGAAUUGUAUUGUACACAACAGUAUCAACAGCAUAUGGAAUGCUGUGGAGUUUCUUCAAAAAAUUCCUUGCCUCCUCCAAAUGACCACCCUGGCAUAGCCCUUUCAGUAUACUGCCAUAAGUAAAUGGACUUGGGUGAUGACCUAAUUCAAUCAUUUCAUCAAACACAGAAAAUGCUCCUAACGCAUUACCCAUGUUUGCAUACCCAUUUAUCAUACAAUCAAAAGAAAUGGAACUAGCAACCAGACCCAUGCUGCUCAUAUGACGCAUGAAAUUUUCUGCAGCACCAAGAUUCCCAGCUUCACAAAGCGCAGUAACCAAUAUGUUACAUAUGAAAUGGUCGGCACUGUGGCCAUUACGAUUCAUAACUGCAUAGAUCUUUAAUGCUUCCAUUACGUUGCCCAUCUUGCAACAGUUGUAGAUUAAGGUAGAAUAUAUUAUUUUAUUGGGGGCAAGGCCAGCUCUAUAUAGUUUACACAUUAUCUCUCCCACAUGUUUCAUCCUCCCAGCUCUGCAUAAUCCAUUUAUGAGCACUGAAAAUGCUACAAUAUCAGGAUUCACACCAUCCUGGAUCAUCACAUUAAGAAAAUGCACGGCUUCAUCAAGCAAACCAUUUUUGCAUAACCCAUCCAUGAAUGAUGUAUACAUAACGCAACCACUACCAAUCCCAUUCAGUCGCACUCUCUGCAAAGUACUUCUUGCUAAGUCAAACUUACCAUGCUUGCACAGCCCGUUUAAAACAGCACCAUAGCUGACUUCAUUAGGUCUUAGUCCCACUGCUUCCAUCAUGUCCAAGAGUCUGAAAGCUUCUUCAAGCUUACCCUUCUGACAGAGCCCGUCAAUCAGAGCAUUAUAAGUAACACAAUUUGGUGAAAGAUCAAACUUUGACAUCUCAUCAAAAACCUUGGUAGCAACACCAAUCUUCCCCUCCUUGACAAACCCAUUAAUAAGGAUAUUGUAUGUAACCUCACUAGGAGAUAACUUCUUCCUUCUCAUCUUCUUCAACAGUAAAUAACCUUUUGCACUACUACUGUUUCUACACAAAUCCUCAAUAAGCAUGUUAUAUGUACAAACAUCUGCUUCAAUACCCUUAGAACCCAUAAGAUCAAUAAGCUCAAAAGCUGCUUUAUACCUCCCCUUCUUGCAGUACCAAUUGAGCAAAGUAUUGUAAGUAACUACAUUAGGAACAUAACCACUCUUUUCCAUCUUCCUCAAAAGAUAACUAGCUUUACUAAGCUUUCCUUCAACACAUAAGACACUAAUCAAUAUAUUAAAAGUACUAACAUCAGGGCAAACAUUCUUAGCCAGCAUUUCUUUGAAAAAAGACCAUACCGAUGCAGCCCUCCGGUCCUUUGCCAGCGAAGCUAGGAUCAUAUUACAAGUACAACCCGACGGCCUAAACCCCCUUAAACCCAUCAAAUAAAAAGUCUCUACAGCACUACCAACCAUCCCUUCCUUCAAGUAAACUCUAAUCAGAAGGUCAAAUACUGAAGGGUUGGAAUUGCAAAGAGGGUAAGUAUCCAUCAAAGCAUCAAAAACGGACUUCGAACCAACACCCAUUUGUGCUAAAUGACCCAAAAUCAACCUGGCAGAGUCAUACAUUCUAGCUCUAGCAAGUAUAUGAGUUGUAACAGAGAGUACAUGAGUGAGAUGAUUGAGUUCCAAACCAGGCUGUUGAAUUACCCAGUUGAAGAAUUUCAGGGCCAAUCUUCCAUGCACUGGUCUCAGAGAAGCCAACCUGUACUCCAUGUGGUUCAGUGACUCCCAUCGGUCUAUAGUGAGAAUCGAGUAUAUGCUUUUCUCCAUUUCUGAACCUGUUUAUUCCCAAAAGGUUAAAACUCUGGCCAAAAAAUCAAACACCCUCUUCCCAAAAUUGAAACUUUAGCAUCGACACAAACACCCUCUUCCUAUAUUUGAAACUUUAGAAAUUAAAGAAACACUAUCUUCCCAAAGAUUGAAACUUUGUCCUCAAAAUCAAUCACCCUCUUCACAAAAUUGAAACUCUGGGCACAAAAACAAACACCCUCUACCCAAAAUUGAAACUUUAGCAUCAAAACAGAGAGAGUACUCAGAGUAGUAGAGAGGGGGACAUACCUGAGGUUUGAGCUCUGUUUCUGAACCCAUUUUCUUUGAGAUUGCUUCUGACAUUAUGAGAGGGACCAGCCUGAAAAGCUCUGAACUUUGAAAUUGUGUGGGAAAUUUGGCAGAGUUGUUUAGUCUUCGAAGGCAACAUUGAGUGUAGGUAUGCUUGUUUGUCAUGACAGGUCUGCACAGCAAAACAGAAACACCCAACUAUUGUUGGGCGCCGAUAAAGUACUGACAAUUAAAAGAUAAAUAAGUUUAGGAAGCUUUUGAAGAACCAAGGCCUGGAUACGAAGUAUGUUGUAUAAUGUACGGAUACGGAUAGAAACGUAAAGUUGUAUUACUUUUCUAUUAGGAAAGUAUUUCGGAACAUUGCACGCGGAGCGUAACCAUUACAUAUGCUUCAGGAACAUUGCACACGGAGCAUGACCAUUACAUAGUGCACGUAGAGACAAUAAAUGCAUCUCUCUCAGUUUUGAUUGUUCUGGCUCACACCCUUCCCAUCCAAACACAUAUUUUAAUUCCUUCAUCCAAUGUAAAUGUAGUUUCUCCAGAUUUGGUAGUCUCUGUACAAAUUUUGAUACACUCUUCAAGAUACAACAACUGUUCAUAUGCAAUAUCUUGAGAUUUGAGAGAGAACCAGGUGGUAGCUCAUGGUGGAUCAGAUCUAGCAGAUGCAACUCUUCCAAACUCUCAAACAUUGGUCCUGUUUCAACUCGUGUUGUUGUGUUCAUCAACUCCGUCAAGUACACAUAGGAAUGAAGAAAAUACCCAAAAACACUGAGAUGCUUGAGUUGAUGUAACGUCCCAUGGUCAAACAAGAUAUACGCUACAAAACCAUCUCAACUACGUGAAGACUUGCUCUGUCCGCUGAUAUCCUUAUAUAUUUAACAUAUUUCAGGGUAUAUUUUUGUGAAACCCAAAGAAACAAAGUAUUUAUUAAAUUUAAAAAAAUUAAAAUAAGGGGCCCAACAAAAUUUUUUCGCACCGGCUUCCGAUCUUUCAGGACCGCGCGCCCUGGCGCCGACCAAAGAGGAACCCAGGUUAUGUUGCGACUGGAAGUCUUUGGGUGGAAAUAUUGAGCCAAAACCCCAUCAAAGCUGAGAGUUGAUCGGAGAUAGUAGUCCCCUGCUGCACGUUCCUCCGUUGUGAAAGUAUAAUGUCCACCAUUCACUCGCAGAAUAUAGAAGUCACCUGAAGCAUUGAAAACCAACUGUCUACCUUCACUACCUGGAACAGUACCUGAGGUGGUUUUAGUUGAAUAGAAAGGUUUUUCAUCAGUGAACACAAGAUUCCCAUCGUCUUGAAAAUCUAGCUGGAAGCUUCCUCUCGAAUAGUCAGUCUCUGAUCUCCGUGAAGAAAGUUUUCCUCCUCUUUCAAGUAUUUGCCCAGGCAACAUGGUAUCAGUAGGAUUCUUGAACGUCUCCCAUAAAAUUUCUGACUUCUCGUCUUCCAGAACAAAGUUACCUGUAUCAUUCAUAACCGCAUGAGCAACAACGCCAGCUGUGGUUUGAUUGGAUUUCCAUAAUUGCUCACCCUGAGGACUUGUAAGAACUAGCCCACUGUUAGCAGUCAAAGUCACAUCUGAACCAUUAGGUGCAGGCUUAUCCCCAUUUGCAUACCAAACUAUGGUUCUGUCUGGUAUCUUGGCGAACCAUAUAGAAAGCAAGAAAAGGUCAUUGUUUUCAAGUUGUCGAAACCCAAAUGCAAAAUCACCAGAGGGAGAAAUCCAUGGGGAAUUUCCUGCUGUGGAGAGAGAAGCACCCACAGCUAUGCCGCCUAUGCGGAUAUUGUCUUUCCUCAUUAUCUCUUUAUACAAUCUAGAGGCUCUUCUCCUUUUUUUUGUCUGGGUGGAAGCUGGCGGCAGUGCUUGCUUAACCGGAUACACGGGAUUGGGAUCUCUUUCGCAUGCAACUAUUUCUGUUGAAUUCCCAUUUUUGCGUACUUCGCCCAUUCCGUAGACCCCUAUGGGAGUGACGUUGUCAUCUCUACGCUUCUUCACAACAAAGUCCACAAUUUUCUCCACAAGUUCUGUAUCAGUUCUACAAGGAAGGAAUAAUCAAGGGUCAAAUAACACAUCCAAAAGCGGUGAGCAUAACUCUCAGAUAACUGAAAUAGAGUAAUCUCAUCGAGGUACAUACUUAUAAAUCUUUGAAUCCCACCCAGAGAAACUGGCCACUUUGUUUAGAGCCUUUCUCCACUGCUGGACCUCCACUAAUCUAUGCCGCUGCGAGCUCUCGUAUUUGCUGAAAGCUACUUCAAAACUUCCCUUUUGAUAUCUUACAUCAGUAGGCUCGACAUUAUAAAAAAGUGGGAGAAUUCUUUUGUUUCCUUCCAUCCACUCACAGAUCUUUGCAAGUUCCUCCAAACACCAAGUAGAAGAGGCAUAGUUUGGAGAAAGGACAACAAUUGCAAACCAUGAUUCUUCAAUUGCUUUUAUUAGAGUGGGAGAUAUAGCAUCCCCUACUUCAAGAUUUUGAUCAUCCAUGAAUGUUGCUAUUCCUCUCUUGUUUUGCAACCCAUCAUAUAAUUGAGAAGUAAUUCCCCUCCGAGUGUCAAGACCCCUGAAACUCAAAAACACAUCAUACUUGCACGGACGAGCCGCUGAUGAUGAUGAUGAUUCAAUGGACGAAGGAAGAGAUGCAGAGGAGGCCAUUCACCAUUGAAACCAGCAAGAGAGAAACUGAUUUCUAGUGAGAAAAGCAAACAAGGGAGGAGACUAUGUGACUAGUGAAUACUAAUGUUUUAAAACGCUAAGGCGUAACCUAAGACGUUUUCUUGAGAGCCUUGAGCCCUGAGGCUUGAGAGGCUUGAGGCGCAUGAGACGUAAGCCUUACGGUAUAAAAAUUAAAUAAAUAAAAAUUAUUUAAACAAAUUUAUUACUUUUGUAAAUAGUUAAAUACAACAUAAAAAAAACCGAAAGAAUAACUAAAAAGAGCUAUUCAUGUCAGUAUUUUUUGCAUCACCAUUAUUCUUUGUUUUUUUCCAUAAUAUUGUUGUCUUCGACCUUCUUUCUUUUCGUCUUGAGUACAUUUCUUUUUUCUUUUAGCCAGAUAAUUGUUUUCCCUUCCAUUAGAUAUAUAUCGUCUUCUUCAAACAUUCACUUUAUUUAAGCUUUAUGGUUACAGUUUUGCAAAUGAUGUAAUUUUUUCGGUAUAAAAUAUAUAUAUAUUUUAAAAAGGGAAAAUGCACAAAAAUAUAGUUUUUAAAGCCCAUUUCAAUGACAAUAAAACUUUUGGACCCAAUUGAAUGAGAAAAAUUCUUAUUUGUGCCCAAAUACACAAAUAUUUACUAAAGUAAUAAUAAAAUAAUAUUUUGAAGACAUUUUUACCCCUGACUUUUGCACAUGUUUAGUGAGAGAAAGUGGAAGAGAGAGAAUGAAGACUUUGCCGGAAGCUCACCAACCACCACACUCUGGUCACCGGGAGCUGGAAUCUCGCCGGCCGCCGAAAUUUUCGUAGAUCGCCGGUCGUCGGAAUUUUCGUCGGUCGCCAGAAUCUUUCUAUUGAGAUUUUUACUGGGGUCAAUAAAAAAAAAUUACUGCCCCCAAUAAACUCGUUAUUUACCCUUAGUAUUGAAUUUAUUAGAGAUAGUAAAUUUUAAGAAAGAAUUUAUUAUCCCCAAUAAACUUGUUAUUGACUUUAGAACUGAAUUUAUUAGAGGUAGUAAAUUUUAAGAAAGAAUUUACUACCCCGAAUAAACUUGUUAUUGAUCUUAAAAUUGAAUUUACUAGGGGCUGUAAUGUUGAAAAGUAUUUUAUUAGAGGCAAUAAAUUUUAAAAUGUUCUAGGAUAUUCUCUAUGUGUGCCUUGGCCUUAUGUCAAUAGGAUAUGUAGUUAGACUAGAUCUAUGUAUUCAUAUCCUUACCAUAUUGGUAUUGUGUAAUUCCCUAUAUAAAGGGCUCCUAUCAAUGAAUAAGAUGAUGACUCUCUUGCUAUCUCUUUGUCUCUACACUUUAUCAUUUAUCACGUNNNNNNNNNNNNNNNNNNNNNNNNNNNNNNNNNNNNNNNNNNNNNNNNNNNNNNNNNNNNNNNNNNNNNNNNNNNNNNNNNNNNNNNNNNNNNNNNNNNNNNNNNNNNNNNNNNNNNNNNNNNNNNNNNNNNNNNNNNNNNNNNNNNNNNNNNNNNNNNNNNNNNNNNNNNNNNNNNNNNNNNNNNNNNNNNNNNNNNNNNNNNNNNNNNNNNNNNNNNNNNNNNNNNNNNNNNNNNNNNNNNNNNNNNNNNNNNNNNNNNNNNNNNNNNNNNNNNNNNNNNNNNNNNNNNNNNNNNNNNNNNNNNNNNNNNNNNNNNNNNNNNNNNNNNNNNNNNNNNNNNNNNNNNNNNNNNNNNNNNNNNNNNNNNNNNNNNNNNNNNNNNNNNNNNNNNNNNNNNNNNNNNNNNNNNNNNNNNNNNNNNNNNNNNNNNNNNNNNNNNNNNNNNNNNNNNNNNNNNNNNNNNNNNNNNNNNNNNNNNNNNNNNNNNNNNNNNNNNNNNNNNNNNNNNNNNNNNNNNNNNNNNNNNNNNNNNNNNNNNNNNNNNNNNNNNNNNNNNNNNNNNNNNNNNNNNNNNNNNNNNNNNNNNNNNNNNNNNNNNNNNNNNNNNNNNNNNNNNNNNNNNNNNNNNNNNNNNNNNNNNNNNNNNNNNNNNNNNNNNNNNNNNNNNNNNNNNNNNNNNNNNNNNNNNNNNNNNNNNNNNNNNNNNNNNNNNNNNNNNNNNNNNNNNNNNNNNNNNNNNNNNNNNNNNNNNNNNNNNNNNNNNNNNNNNNNNNNNNNNNNNNNNNNNNNNNNNNNNNNNNNNNNNNNNNNNNNNNNNNNNNNNNNNNNNNNNNNNNNNNNNNNNNNNNNNNNNNNNNNNNNNNNNNNNNNNNNNNNNNNNNNNNNNNNNNNNNNNNNNNNNNNNNNNNNNNNNNNNNNNNNNNNNNNNNNNNNNNNNNNNNNNNNNNNNNNNNNNNNNNNNNNNNNNNNNNNNNNNNNNNNNNNNNNNNNNNNNNNNNNNNNNNNNNNNNNNNNNNNNNNNNNNNNNNNNNNNNNNNGAUGUACACUUACAUCGUCCUUAGAAACAUGGCAUAUUGUGCCGAUUUUGGUCCCUUCCUUUGAAGGUGACUCAUGGCACUGCAUCCUCAAGGAGGAUCGCCCACGUGUUUCCGGUUAAGUCUUCUACCCUAUAACGGAUUUUUCAUCAUCAAUUGUUCAACUAGGCUCAUCCAAGCUCAGUGUGAUGUCUUAGAAUUAUUCGAAAUUAAGGAGAUAGUGGUUUUAAGUGUGCCUCGCACUACCGACCCUCCACGGACAUGCCUGGUCAUACUGACUUGGAGUUACCGAAAGCUUUUGAUUUUGGAUCCCCCUACGCUAUUAAACCAAUUGCCGUCUUGCAAAAGAAGUUGAAGACUUAUCAAAGCUGAAAAAUUAUCAUCAUAAUCGGAUCCUCUAGGUCCUCUGAGUUAGUUUAUGUUCAUGUCAAGGAGCUUUUGCUAACUAGUCGUGGAGUUUACGACCUUAGAACGAUCGAAAGGACUUGGUUUUGAUCAUACACAAGUCACUUUUGGCUAAGGCAAAAGCCUACACGCCACCUGCAAGCUUCACAGUUUCGCACAUGCCAAAUCUGCGAAAAACAGCAAUCUGUCCCUUCUGGACAAUCAAUUUCGUUUGAGCUUUGUGAACAGCUCCGGACGAACCAGACAGUGAGCUUUAUAUCAUUGGAAAGCUUUAUGAGUCUAGUUUUCAGAACUUUUCAAGGUUCAUCCAUAUCUAUUUUAACGAAGAAGUUAUGGCUGUUUUAGUGCGCAAAAGUCAUUCUGCGCGGAAAUUUUUAUGCACUCUCGGGAUUGCAGCUUUUCGUAGCUUCUUUCAAUCCUUCUAAAUGGUUCAAGUAGAACUAUUUACUCGCAUAUCUACUCCUUGUAGUUAUGUCUCAUAGAGACAUUGAGUGCUUCGCAGAUAGUGGAACUAUCCACAACAUUCUAAGGAACCAUGUUGAGCUUUAAAAACAUUCAUGCUAAUGGUUUUCAUUUGAAAACACAUUGUGAGAAUGAACAAGAAUUCUUUUGUGUAUACCUCCUCAUGAAUGCGAACUGAAGCGCAUCUUGGAGAAAUUCAUGAGUCAAUCUAGUGAACUGUAUGUCACUACGNNNNNNNNNNNNNNNNNNNNNNNNNNNNNNNNNNNNNNNNNNNNNNNNNNNNNNNNNNNNNNNNNNNNNNNNNNNNNNNNNNNNNNNNNNNNNNNNNNNNNNNNNNNNNNNNNNNNNNNNNNNNNNNNNNNNNNNNNNNNNNNNNNNNNNNNNNNNNNNNNNNNNNNNNNNNNNNNNNNNNNNNNNNNNNNNNNNNNNNNNNNNNNNNNNNNNNNNNNNNNNNNNNNNNNNNNNNNNNNNNNNNNNNNNNNNNNNNNNNNNNNNNNNNNNNNNNNNNNNNNNNNNNNNNNNNNNNNNNNNNNNNNNNNNNNNNNNNNNNNNNNNNNNNNNNNNNNNNNNNNNNNNNNNNNNNNNNNNNNNNNNNNNNNNNNNNNNNNNNNNNNNNNNNNNNNNNNNNNNNNNNNNNNNNNNNNNNNNNNNNNNNNNNNNNNNNNNNNNNNNNNNNNNNNNNNNNNNNNNNNNNNNNNNNNNNNNNNNNNNNNNGACUCAUAUAGGCUUUUUGACCAAAUUGGUCAACCUGGAAGAGAUAUAAUGGUCCAAAUUUUGAGGAAUUCUCAUGGACAUCCAUUCUUCCGCUCAAAACGAAGACAUUCGAGAUCUAGCAUCACCAUGAAGCAUGGUGGUGACCCGGGGGACAUUGACGUCACCCGAACACGACUCCAACUUCCUGGAGGUCGUCCGGUCAAUUCCUUAAGCAAUUGAGGUGCACCGGCCUUUCCUCGAUGUCGCAUUGGCCCCCUGCAAUGCUCAUUGCUCUUUUUGAAAGCCUAUUCUUUAGCUAAAUAAGGAGUGAGACCCUCCUACGCUAAAUAACACAAAAGUGAACAUUCUAUUCUUACAUCAAACUAUGUAGAUAGAUACAACCAACUUGCGGACACCUUUUUAUGUUUUAUGGUGUUGGUUGACGUGUUAACACACUGGUCACGUGUUACACUAUUAUCUACUGCUUAUCCUGCUUAUACUUCUACGGGCUCACUACCCAUUCUUUAAAGAAGUUUAUCGGGAUGUAAGUUGAAGUGUCCUGUACCCCAUGUUCACACGCAAUACGGUCUCACCGAGGCUACGACCAAGCAACUUUAGCUUGUCGCUCGAACAUUAUUGAUACGCACCACUCUUUCUAUUGCGUCUUGGGGCUAUGCAAUAUUUGCAUGCAGCUUUACUAUUCAUCUACGACCCACCAUCAUUGAAUUUUGUUGUACUACAGCUCGUGACUGUGCACCAGGAUUGACACGAAAUUGCAAUCCUUGAGCUCGGUAGGAUUGAAACGGAUCUCCAAUCCUUGAGCUCGGCUAGAUGUUAUUUCUAGGUGCCAAAUCGCAUUUCCACUGCGUACAAUGAUGGGUCAUUUGAGAUGAAUAAGUUUAGGUUGGAUAUGAACCUCCACCUAUAAUCCGCAUAUGUAGGAACCUUGUCAGGCGAUCUCAUUCACCGCUAAAUUGCGGAUUGUCACUUUGAUGAGACAAUAUUCCCGCUGUUAGGGGGAGAUAAGAACAUAAGUGUUCAAGUGGAACGACGUGAAUUGUCGUGGUUUGUCCCCACUAAGUCUCAUCUUGAUCCCAAAUGCUUAUAGUGUUAAAGUGACGAGAUCACAUGCUGCAAAUAUGUCUGCAAUGAUUAAUGUCAUACAAAAGGACAUGGCGCGACCAAAAAGUGUUGGUCUUGACGCCAUCACCAUGGAUGGUGAUAUGGUGACGCCAUAUAGUGGCAAAAUUGGUGUCACAAGGCCGUGUGGCUCCCUAAAAUGAGAGAGGCCCUUAGGUUCGAUAUUGUCUUGCACUAAAAAGAAAGCGAGCUUGGCACAACCUGAUCCAUUGAUCAGUGAUACUCAAAUCCGUCUCAUGAAGUCUGAAUUGUGAUUAUCGUUGGGGGAUGCCUCAAUGUCAAAUCCAAUCCAUAUAGAGAUCUCUACAAGUAUUACACUAGUGUACAUGAGGACGUGAGAUAAUGAGUCUACUAUCGAAUCACCCUUCGUUGAUGGAUAUCAACUUAGUUGAUUGGCCUAAUGGAAAGAUACGAUCCAACAUUAACAAAGAGAUAGGUCCUUGGGCAGGUGAUGCCGACACCGCAAGCUAAACCCUAUCAACUAUGCCUUUGUUAGAUAGCGUAGUGAGAGUAAGAGCUUAGACUCACCUUAUGGCGCAAGGUUUUUCACUAACACGCACUGGGAUCAACUACGAUGAGAUAUGCUCUCGUAAUGGAUGUCAUUGAACUCCACUACUUUAUCAGUUUGGUAGUUUCCGAAUAACUGAACAUGCAGCCUAUGAAUGUGGUCAUAAUAACAUCUCUAUGGGAUCAGAGAUAUACAUGAAGAUCUUAAACGGACUUCAUUCAUCUGAAUCAAGUGGCUCCAAACCAUAGGAGCAUGCGUUUGCUAAAUGUAUUGAAACGCACAUGGACUCUACUUGAUUUGGAAGGGAUAUGGUGAAUUAUGCCUUUGCGUGUUCAUUCCGGAUUUACAUGGACUCUUGAUGGAUCAAGAGAUGCCAAUAUGUAUCAACAUCCGAAAGAAAAAGAUCUUAGGGAAGACAUGGUCUCGAUAUGGCACUCGAUGAC